AAUUGAGAAGGAAAAGUUUGAUGUUAAUAGCCCUUCAUGAUACCUCCUUGCAAGUAACAUGGAAUCACAACUGCUUCUUAGCCAACUUUCUGUUAUGCUCCAGAGCAGGGUAAACUCUCUGAUACUGCAAGACAGCCCAAACAAGGUGCCUGAAAGAGAACUCGGGCCACAGAGGAUCUGGAUUCUGCAAGUGACUAAACGUUGUCUGCCAAAGGAGGAAAUUGCUCAAUCGAGUCUCGCCCGAAGUCCGGAUGACAAUAUCAGGAUCUGGGCAUUCGGCACUAUACAUGUGGCGAUCCAAAUCCGCCACUGAAAUCUCUGAUCGCACACCGUUAUUUGCAGCAUGACCAUUGCAUUCGCCAAUAUGUUCGCUCUGAAACAUUUCCAUCCUUUCCGCACAGACUUGACUGACAGCAUUGACAAUCUCAGAAGUCGAGUUGUAUGGCAUGCAGAUAGAAAAGACCAGCCCUGUGUUCCCAGCUGUGCUCGCCAUCAGCUUCUCAGCCGCCAACCGCACCGGCUCAUAUAACAAGUCCAAGUUACCCCAAAAGUUGAUCUUACAGUUAAUCUUGUUGAUUACACUUCGGUUCUCUAAGAGUUCGUUGAUUUUUUCCUCCAUUAACUGCAUCAAGGAUUCCACCUCACUUGGGUCCCUUUUAAAAUUGUCGAUGCUGAAUGCGUAGACAGUGAUGUACUUCACACCCAUUUCAUAGCAGUACAUCAGACUUGCAAUAAGGGUAGAGAAACCCAUCCUGUGACCCGCUCCUUCUUGCAUGCUUCUGAAUUUAGCAUAUCGACGAUUGCCAUCCAUAAUAAAUGCAAUGUGCUUCGGCAUUGGGCCAUAUGAGAGGAUGGCUAUGAGGCACUUGCGUAGGAAAUUCUGAAGGCUUGAAAGCACACCGGCUGUAACCAUCUCAUUAGGAUUCUCUGCCUUCGGAUCCUACACCAAAAGCAAAUAAAGAACUGAGCACAGUCUUAUAUGUUAUAAGAAUUCUUGUCCAUGUCAGCAUAACAACAAGGUUAUAGCUCUUUGAAGAUUUUUACAAGCCUAAGAGUAUCUCCAUUAGUUCCCUAGAAAAUGCUCCCUACACUCAGAUUUAGCGAGUUGGUAAAUAUAUAUUGGGAACACAAAAAAAAAAACUCUAGCCUCCAACAUUUCCAAAUUCUUAGGUUGCUAAAUAUUUUCAAAUUACAUUGGCUCAACUUUUUUCUAAUUAAUACUUGCAGCUUUAAAGUUAGUUUUAUUUGUACGGUAAAAUUUAAUAAUCAUUAUUCUUCUCUUCAUUACUAUUUUUAUUCGCAUGAAUUACAGUCGGUCAUUUUUCUCUAUUUUUUUUGGAUGGGUAUCUUUAGACUUAUCAACGAGGAUGAUAAAAUCAUUCUUUCCACAGCUCAAAUUAUUCAAAGUGCAUUAAUUGUACACGGUGCGAACUCGAUGGCAAACAAGUGAUUUUACGUUGUGAUUGACACACAAAAUUGGCUAUUGGGAGUUCCAAACAGCUCCCUAAGUCCGAGGACUAAAUAGAGACAUUUAGAAAGCUGGUAUAUUUGGGAAUCUCAUUUAAGUAACUGUUGGAGCAUGAUUUUUUGCUAAUAACAACCUAAAUUAAUUUUAGUGACUUUUUUAGGGGACUAUUGAAGAUGCUCUAAUAACUGAUAUCUAAAUGCUUUAUCAAGAAAUUAAUCAACAUAUGCUGCUGCAAAUAUGAAACUCACCACAUUAGGUGUGGGAAAGAUAAGUGACCCCACCAUUCCGAUGAUGAGGGACUAUACGACCAAUUACCAAAGCUGCAAACAGGAAAACACAUGAUUAAAGAAAAGGGUGAAUGAUCACCAUCAGGAUAAAGUACAGUUAAAAAGAACCGAAACCAAGCAACAUUUGGCAUUAGAAAGAACAUGGUGCAAGGGUUUUACAAGCAAGCCGCACAACGCAGUAAGCCAGUAAUGAGCUCAAGCCGCAUCAUCUUGGGCCAUGAAUGGUGAGAUCCACUGAUUACUAGGUGAUUGGAGCGAAUGAUUUUCCCAGGUGCAAAUGAUGAGAGCCACUGGGGUUUCAGAUCUACAACUAGGCUGCAUAUCCAAGGGGCGUCCAAUUCCAGUUAUGACGCACACGAUGGGAUAAAAAAGCGAGGAGGACAGCACUUCAGUGAAGGUCAGUGUUUCCGCUGCUGAUGCAAAAGCGCCUUAGGGACAAUAGCUUUGCCUUUUAUUUAAGCUCAUCUGGGUUGGAUCAAAUUCUAGUGCUCUUGUAGGUGCCACAAUCCUAGUGUUCUUGUAGGACAAAAAGUUGAUUACGAUUGGAAACUAUAGCUAAACACCAAAUAAAUUAAGAAAGACUGCCGAGGAUUAGGACUGCUUACCCACCCAAAGCUUUCCCCUCACCUCCCAUACGGCCAGUCAAGAACGAACACACGUAGACGUUUCAUCGAGCACAUGUUGAGCAAGGGAGGCGAGCACCAUAGAGAGAGCCAACUGACCUGCAGAUUGAGGACUCGGAGGUCUGGAAGCGAAGGCCGACGAACGAGGGGGGCGAUCGAGCGAGAGCGGUGGCGGAGCAGCGAGCAGGUGGUACUAUUGGAUGAGGAGGGUCGGACUCAGAAGGGGAAUUUGUAGCAUUCCCAUCGUCUCGCUCUCGCGGUCUCGCCGGACGCGCGGAGGCGGAGCGGAGACGGGAGAAGGGCGAGAGAGACACGGAGCCAGCACGUUGCGCUCCUCAAGAAUCCAAUCUUUUUUGUUGUUUUUUUUCGUGUGCUGCGGGUGACCCGUGCCACCACCACGACUCCUCCGUGAGACCGUGACGCUAGCUGGAAACGCCCGCCGGGUCGCGGGCGCGCCUGUUUAUCCGCAACAGUUGGAGCGCGCAGCCAAAUCUCUUCUAGUUUCCACCAUUGUACGGCACUACGGCCACUGCGAUCGUCAACACUUACAAAAAAAAACUUUGUCGUACUUGAACGGCCACUGCGAUCUGGAGCUCAACCCCUAUCUUUCGUUGACCUCGAGUUCACAGGUGCUACGGCACGCAGCUGCCUUCUCGCCGCAUAGGUUGAAUACGUGCAGUGAAUGGGUCAGGGGGGCCGGAGGAGAUGGCGUGCAGCCGCAGUGGAUCUCGCAUGUUAAGUCCAGUCCAUUCGAUCAGUACAUUCCGUCCAUAGAAUUCGAUCUGUUGUAUUCUCUUGGACUAAGCAAGGCGAUUGAUUGGUUUGGACGCUUAUAUGAGGUGAUUCUAGAGAAGGGAUCUGAUGUAUACUUGUAUAGUGAUACACCAUGUAAAAGUGAAGUUCCAACUUGUACAUCACCCUUGGCUGAGACCCCAUCGGUGGUGGUAUUGAACCACAGGGAGAGGGUGAGGGAGAGGGGAGAGGAAGAGGUGGUCCUCACCGGCGAUGAGCACCGUCGUCGACGGUCCUUGCAGGGCGGCGGUCGUCUUGCAACUAGGGCGGUGGAGAAGGAUGUCAAGGGAGGUGGAGCUCUAGUGUGGGGGUCGAGGGCGAUUUGAUCCUGUCCGCCCUUCUCCCUCUUCCUCCCAUGCCGCCACGGCACAUCGGGCGCAACUCACACUCUCCGCCCGCUCUCGUCUCUCACUUGCUCGCUCACGCCACCUCAAAGCUAGCAUGUAGGGCGUUGUCUAGGCCGCGACGUCAGCGCGUGGCACGGCCGCUAGUGCCUCUGCUCGUCGGCAGCGAACAGCUGCGUAUCAGCCAUAGCCGUCGAUCACGCAGAUCUUCGACCCAAUUUUCACACGAUUUUCUAAUUCAAACUUGGUUCCAAACCUCUACAAAACUUGCUGAGGAAUAGUAUGACUACAACUUUGGUUGUUGGCGCUCAAACAAAAGAUCAGCCAAUUGCUCAAAUUUAAGCUCUGAAGAUCGACUCGAAAGCUGCUCUAAGUGUUCAUCGCCAUCCUCAAUUUAGUUUCAUCAGUUAGACUUCUGAACCGUUCCAUUUAACCCACUUCGAGCUUAAAUUUAAAUAUGAGUUCACCCGUUUGAAGCUUAGACAAGUACUCCGAUCAGUCCUAUGCACAUCCGAGUUUUGUUUGGUCAAGAUUUCACCAACCUUUUGUGCGGAGAAUCUCACAGAAAUCAAGUUCCUCUGAAACUUAACAGCCCAUCUAAAAUAUCCAAAAUCAGGUUUGCUCAUCUAAAACUAUCCAAAAUCAGAUUUAAAUCAGAUUUGCUAAAACUGGAUACCAACAUUGACGUACCAUGUUAGAGUCACUUGCAUCAUCAAACUUAGCAUUUGAGCUCCCAAACUUGACAUAUAAAUUAAAUCUCCAAACUUUCAUUAGUGUGCCCCAACAUAGCAUGACACAUCAGCAUCCAGUAUAAGCAAACUUGGUUUUGAAUAUUUUUUUGCACGAGCCAAACAAGUUACAUGACUCGUUUUUUCUGGUUUUCUAGAUGAUCUAAAUGACACAGCGUGCCGACUGCUGCUGCAUUUUUCUUUUUUUACAAAAAUCUCGUAGAAAUGGAAUGAUCUACUGAGCGGGUGGUACUCAUCCAUCCACUGAUCGAAAAGAGUGUUGUAGGCAAAAUUAACAUUUUCUGAUGCUGCUGGGUACAGAAGUACUAUUCACCACUCUGUUUGGACAACAUUUACAGGUAUGGAGAAUUGCAGACGAGACGACGAAAAGACCAUGGAAGCUUCUGUUUUAGCUCUAGAUACACAGAUCACUUUGUAACUGAAUAAAAUAUAACUCAUCGCAUAUGGUGCCUGAAAGAGCAAACUGAAGUUCAGUGCAUCAAGUAAUUCAAAAAUGGAAUCCAAGCUGAAGGAAGGUGCUCUCGCCUCAGUGUUUCCUUUGUCCCACGGCGAACUUUGCAGCGGAUGGUUGGGAGACCAAGGCGCUGGUGAGCCUCGUAGCGGUGGCAUCCAGAGAAGCCUGAAGAUCACACAGGAGAAUAUUCAGGACGAGAAAAAUGGAUCUAGAUCUCCAAAUAGUGAGAGCAUGAGUGACUAAUUCGUUCUGGAAUCUUGGACUACCCACCAUAAUAGACCCCAUCGACCUCCAACACAUCAAUCUGCAGUAGUCAAGAAACUGAGCCAAGUAAAAAUCAUAGCAUCCAGAAAAUCCAGCAAUGUGCUCCAUAACGUGGCUCAGAUGCAGGAAACUGAAGGCUAAAUAUCUUAGCAAAGCUCAAUCUAAUUAAACUGGUGUUUUUUCUGCUCUUUGUGAGUAUAUAAGAGUUUAAGAAAACUAAUGCACAGUUUUUUCAUCACUAAUAACACAUUUUUUUCAUCAUGUGUCCGGUUUUCCAGAUAACUGCGAUGGAACAUAAAUGUGCACAACUCUUAUUGGAUCGUGAUGAACAAAUGGUCAUACUUAUUUGAUGUUGUACCUAUAGUUUCAAACAACAAGGAGCAACAUCUAAGUACAUCCACACAUAUUUAAGAGAACCGUCAGCUUUGGCAUAAUGUCAUACCAUGGAGGGAAUAUGACAUAUUAACAUGAAAUUCACUGAAACAUUGGGCAAAUAAAAAACCUGAUUUGUUUGUGUUAAAAGCAUAUUCUUUUGCGAUUCAAUGAAUUCAGUAAUGUGGAAAGUGUACAAGCAUUGGCUCAGAAUUUAAUUACAAGUUGAUUCACAUGUGCUAAAUUCCUAAGAAGAGUGCUUGAAUCUGAUAGAAAACUCAUCUAGGUAGGUCAGGACUAACCAAUAAUUGUACUCGUGGAUGAUGAGAUAUGAAAUGAAAAGAUACAGAUAUAGAUACCCACAGGUACUUGGAGGCCGAUGACACGGAUACUGUCCAUGAGUUCUUGCACCUUGACUGGAUCAUUGGCCCGCGUUCGCAUCAGUGGCCUCCGGAUUUGGUCCAGUGGAAUUUCCAUUAUCACUGGGCCCUUCUUCUCCGAAUCUGUUGUCAGGGAUGGCACUGCUGCACCUGUAUAACGAAAGUGUAGACCUCGUUUAUACAUUCGGCACCAUGAACUCCAUUGGUAAUCAUUUCCCACACAAGAAAAGAAACCGAUUUGGACAUAGGGAGAUAUAUAUUUUAGCAUGCUGAAACAGUUGGUGUGUCAACAUAUCUCGUGUGUCCAGGGAAAUUACGCAAUGAAAUUAGUAUCUCUAUAUCAGGAGACAUGUGUUCUGCAGGACGCUCAUCCCCUAACUUUUUUUUACUAAUUUCUUUGUAGCUACUUCUGAAUCAGGUAGUGUGUAUUUGCUGAAAAAACUAAAAUGAACUUCCAAUGAAUUUGAACCGCACUAUGGAAUCAAUAACCCACAAUCUAGUUGCUUGAAUCAACUCACUUGGGCACGCCUGCAUAGUGCACACCCUAGACACCCCAGCAAAUUCAGUAACACGAGGAUACAAUGUUUGACAAAAAAUAAAUUCUCUACAUCAGUUCCCCAGCUCAAGAGAUACCAACUUCGUGGACUGAAGUACUGAACUCAAGCACACGCACACGCACUCCAAUAAUUCAAAAACAAAACCUGUUGCAGUACAAUAAGGACUUGUUCGUUUCUUCAGCAUUCCACCCUGGAAUCGUUUUAGCUGAUCAAAACUUAUAUAAAUUACACAAGCAAUCCGGCUAGCAAUCGUCAAGGUUAUUAAAACGACAAAACGUUGAAACACUCAUGGGUGAGUUUUAACUUUUAAACGGUUUAAACAAAGUUUAAACGUAGUUUUAAACAACAUAGGGAAAUUUCAAUAUAUCAUAAUUUCAGGCAAUUAUAUCAAGUCAAAUACCAAACAACCAACAUAAGUUCACAUAAUAAUAUUGUGCAAAAUGACAUGUCCACAACCACAUUACCACAAUAACAGUGGAGCACCCUUCAUCAAUCCUUCUUCCUUCAGCAAGCGAGCAACAGGAGGCUAGAUUACUCACCAGUGGAGCAUACGCCAGCGGACAGUGGGACAGUCAGUCUCUGUACUCUGUAGUCCUGCCGCAGUGGGACAACUGAGGCGGGGCUGGCAGCGCCGGACGGGCGGCGCAAGAGGGAGGACGGCCUGGAGCGCGGCGGCCUGGAGCGGCGGCACGCAGAGGCUCUGAGGCGGGGCUGGAGGACGGCCUGGAGAGCAGCGGCAUGGAGCGGCCUGGAGAGCAGCGGCCUGGAGGGAGGACGGCCUGGAGAGCAGCUGCCUGGAGCGGCGGCGGCCUGGAGCAGCGGCACGCAAAGGCGGGGCUCGCGGCGCCGGAUGGGCGCCGCAGGAGGGUUGGAGCAGCGGCAGCGGCGGCCUGGAGGCUGGAGCGCGCCCUGGAGUACGGCGGCUGGUGAGAACGCGAGUUCCUAAUUGGGUUGGUGAUAGUGCGGCCUGUAGCGGCGGGCUGGGCGGGAGUUUCUAAUUGGGCUGGGCCAAUUUCUAGCAGCAGACGCAUUAAACGCCCGAAACGCGGCGUUUCACUCUAUACCGCGUUUAAACGUCAAAACGCGACGUUUAAACGACGUUAAACGACGUUUUACGACGAAUCGUAAAACGUUUUGUCGUUUCACUUUCUGUCAGCGUUUUAUAGUUUAAACGACGUUUAAACGUCGUUUUAACGUCGUUUUAAUAAGCAUGGCAAUCGUUCCAGGCGAACCGAACAGAUCCUAAGGGAUCGAACAAAGGUGUGAGCAACGCUUCCCAGGAGGACACUACGGAGAAGACGAAGGAUACAACCACUUCAGAAGGAAGGGCGCGUCACGUGAGGAAAGCCAGCGUUCACAUAUCCGGUCCAGAAUGGGCCGUGUAACAUGGUCGUAUUUGGGUUCGCAUAUCCGGUCCAGAAUGGGCCGUGUAACAUGGCCAUAUUUGGGCCAUGUCUUAAUAAGGAGUAUUAAACCCUGGACAAGGGAAACGCAUGGGAAAACAGAUAGCUAUAGCUACACGCCACCAUCCUAUCUUCCUCUCCACGUCUCCUUCCUUCUCCUCUACUCUUCAGCCUUCCCUCAUCAGAGGUGUUAACAAAAGGGGAUCAUGCAAGUACGUUGCUAGAGACAACCUAAUAAUUAGUAUUAAACCCUGGACAAGGAAGGGAAACGCAUGGGAAAACAGAUAGCUACAGCUACACGCCACCAUCCUAUCUUCCCCUCCACGUCUCCUUCUUCCUUCUCCUCUACUCUUCAGCCUUCCCUCAUCAGAGGUGUUAACAAUCUGGUAUCAAAGCCCACCGACCCCGGAUCCCAUCGGUAACUGCCCCCGGCGACCCCGAUCGGCGGCCAUGGCGUACUCCGACGCUGCCACCUGCCAGCUGCUCGACGAAUUGCAGCAUAUGGAAGAGCGCCUCUCCGGCGUCAUCAGCGGGCGUUGCGACGGCGUACAACGACAUGUGGACGAGCGCUGCGACGACAUACAAGCUCACUUCACAUCACGCUGAGAAUCCAUUCAGCAGCAAGUUGACGUCGCGGCGCUACGCGGCGAGGAGCGUCUGAUCGCGCUCGAGGCGAUGAAGUCCGACUACGACCUCUGGCAUCCGGAUCUGGAGAAGCGAGUCGAGGACAUUGCCUUGGAGGUGAACCACGUCAACCGCUUCCUCGAGCAUGAGCAUCAGGCGACGUCCUUCGUCAAGCCCGGCAUAUUCGGUCCUCACGAGUCGGCUGCCGCGCGCUCAUCUGCCGGCCACCACCAUGCCGACGGGCCAUUCGGCCACCGCUUCGAGCCAAAUCACCAGGAGCGUGAGUCGGGGUGUGCGGAUUUCACCCGACUCACGGCCCGGUCAAGGGUACGUACUCAGGCCACCCUACCCGUGUUGCUGGAUUCAUGCCUGAGCAGUUUUAUCCUCACGAAUCACCACACGAGAUGGGUCGAUCUGGUUACGGAAGAUUGCCGAAACUUAAUUUUCCACUGUUUGAUGGGAAUCAGCCACAACUUUGGAAAUCCAAGUGUGAAAAAUACUUUGAGAUGUAUGAGACCGAAUACCACAUGUGGGUGAAAGUAGCUACUAUGCAUUUCGAAGGGCGCGCAGCGCGAUGGCUUCAAUCUGUUGAGCGUCGCCUGCGUCAGUUAUCCUGGGAGGAGUUUUGUACACUUGUCCACGACCGUUUUGGUCGUGAGCAACACGAAACCCUGAUUCGCCAGCUGUUUCACAUUAGGCAAACCACUUAUGUACCUGAGUAUGUCGAUCAGUUUCACUCAUUAGUGGAUGAAACAAGCUUUAGUGGCUGCCCCAGUGUUGGCUCUACCCGAUUUUUCCCUUCCAUUUUGCAUUUACACAGAUGCCUGUCUUACUGGUAUUGGCUCUGUUCUCAUGCAGCAAGGCCACCCCUUGGCGUUUCUCACUAAAGCUCUUGGACCCAAGAAUCAAGGCUUGUCCACGUACGAAAAAGAGUAUAUGGCAAUCAUGGUAGCUGUGGCUCAUUGGCGAUCCUACCUCCAGUUAGCUGAAUUCCAUAUUUACACAGAUCAUCAAAGUUUGACCCAGCUCAACGAACAGCGCCUGCAUACAGUGUGGCAACAGAAACUGUACACAAAGUUGGUUGGGCUACAGUAUCGUAUUAUCUAUAAGCGUGGCUGUGAUAACGCCGCAGCUGAUGCUUGUCUCGUUGUCCCCAACCGGCAUCUCAGUUGUUCCACAUCUCCCAGUGUACUCCAACAUGGAUCACUGAAAUCCAGCAGAGCUAUCAGCAGGAUAAUCAGGCCCAACAGUUACUAGCUGAAUUGGCAAUCAGUUCUGACCACACUUCAGCUUUCACAUUGCAGCAAGGUAUUAUCAGGCAUAAGGGUCGUAUAUGGAUCGGGAACAACAAAGAGUUGCAAUUCAAAAUCAUGUCGGCGCUGCAUGAUUCAUCUGUCGGGGGUCAUUCAGGUGUUCACGUCACAUAUCGGCGGAUUAAACAGCUAUUCUCUUGGAAGGAUAUGAAGCGACAUGUACACCAGUUUGUGCAAUCAUGUGCUGUCUGUCAACAGGCAAAGCCGGAUUGAGCUCGUUAUCCCGGUUUGCUCUCACCUUUGCCUGUUCCUCCACAUGCGUGGCACACCAUUUCCAUGGACUUUGUGGAAGGGCUUCCCAAAUCUAACGCCAUGGACUGCAUUUUGGUCAUUGUGGAUACUUUUUCAAAGUAUGGUCAUUUCCUCUCCCUGGCUCACCCGUUCUCAGCAGCAAAGGUAGCCAAAUUGUUCCUUGACAACAUCUACAAGCUUCAUGGAAUGCCAGUCAAGAUUGUGUCUGACCGAGAUCGGGUCUUCACUAGUAAUUUCUGGCAGCAACUAUUUCAGUUGACUGGUACACAACUUUGUAUGAGCUCUGCAUAUCAUCCGCAGUCGGAUGGGCAAACAGAGCGAGUUAACCAAUGCAUUGAGACAUAUUUGCGCUGCUUUGUUCAUGCGUGUCCAACAAAAUGGUGUCACUGGCUUUCCGUUGCUGAGUUUUGGUAUAACACAAAUUACCAUUCUGCUCUUGGUCGUUUGCCAUUUGAAGUUCUCUAUGGCCACCCACCCCGCUACUUCGGAGUCUCCACAUCAGAAGCUGUCAAUGCCCAAGAUCUGCAAGCAUGGCUCCAGGAUCGUGAGGUUAUAUCACGUCUCGUCCAGCAGCAUCUGGAACGAGCUCAGGCAAGAAUGAAGCGCCAAGCUGACCAAAAGCGAUCCGAACGCAGUUUCAAUGUGGGAGAUCAGGUUUAUCUCAAGCUCCAUCCGUAUGUGCAGUCAUCUGUUGCUACCCGUUCCAAUCAGAAAUUGGCUUUCAAGUUCUUCGGGCCCUAUACUGUUCUGCAACGCAUUGGUUCUGUCGCAUACCGCCUGCAGUUACCCGAACAUGCCACCAUCCACCCGGUCUUUCAUGUAUCACAACUCAAGGCGUCAGUAGGAAGGCAGCAUUCUGUGAUUCCGGUUUUACCAUCUGCUGACCAUGUUUUACAGGUUCCAGUACAACUGCUCGACCGUCGAUUGAUCCAGCGCGGUGGCGCCAUGGUCGCACAAGUGAAAACGCGCUGGUCAGGCCUGGAUCCUACACUGGCCACCUGGGAGGACGCCGAAGCUCUAAAGGCCAAGUUUCCUCAUGCACCCGCUUGGGGGCAAGCGGUGUCUGAAGAGGAGGGGAAUGUGAGCAACGCUUCCCAGAAGGACACUACGGAGAAGAAGAAGGAUACAACCACUGAGAACACAGCUUCAGAAGGAAGGGCGCGUCGCGUGAGGAAAGCCAGCAUUCGCAUAUCCGGUCCAGAAUGGGCCGUGUAACAUGGCCGUAUUUGGGCCGCGUCUGUAAGACUGCCUCCAACAAGGAUCGGUAUAUGGUUCUGUCCUCUAUAUUUAGCGUCUUCACUCGUUUGAAGGCGCCCAACAACGACCGCUAUUUCAUCCACUAAAAGAUAGAGGGUGUCCUUUGGCCGCUACAUUUAGUGUCUUCCUGUGCAUCCGCUAUCACAGCGGCCGCCGCUGCCGAGGAGGAACGUGCACCAGAUCACAAGGUGGAGGCCGCACGCGCCAUAUCACCGGAAAAGGAAGGAGGUCGUGCGGCCGCCGAUGAGGAGAGCAUACAACCAACGUGGAGCAGAGCGUGCGGCCACCGCAAGAAGCAGGAGCACACGCGGCCACCGGCGAGAAGGAGACAGCACAGUCGUCGACAUGGAGAAGAGUGCAGGUGCCAGCGUUGAGGAGGAGCGCGCAUGGCUGCCGGCUGCCGGCGAGGAACCCAAGCGCGCGCAGCCACCAACGAGAUGAAGCAGAGCGAGCAACAGAUCACCAGCAGGAUGAGCAUGCACACCGUCUGUAGCGUUUUCUCUUUUUUUUAUUUCAGUUAGAAAUACAUUGAAAAUAACUGGGUAGAAAUUUGUGGUUAAUAAUAUUAGUGAAAAUAUGGAAAAUGUGAUAAGGACGAAAUUUAGAGGAUAUUGCUAGAGAAAGUCUAGAUAUAGAGAACGAAAUCUUUUAUAAAGUGUUGUAAAGGAUAAAGAAUAUUUCUUUAGAGGACGAAAUUUAGAGUAGAGACAACCUAAUAAUUAGUAUUAAACCCUGGACAAGGAAGGGAAACGCACGGGAAAACAGAUAGCUACAGCUACACGCCGCCAUCCUAUCUUCCUCUCCACGUCUCCUUCUUCCUUCUCCUCUACUUUUCAGCCUUCCCUCAUCAGAGGUGUUAACAAAAGGGGAUCAUGCAAGUACCGUUGGAGGAGGAAGCGGAGAGCGCCAGAUUCCUGCUCCUCGUUCCGCUCGCGCUCCUUCCCCUUCCUGGAGCGAAGGAGGCGUACGGGACCGCGCUGCGGGGGAGGAGGGCGCCGGGGCCCAUCGCCAAAUCCAGGGUCGAACUCGACGCCAUGGCUGCCGUGCUGCUGCCCGGUCUGUUGCCGGGCCCCGCCGAGAGGCCGUAGCGUGUCAGAGUGUCGCGUCGAUGUGUACCACAAGAGUUAUCUGGGCUAGAUGUUAGAGCAAAUGGGCCGAUCAGCACAGAAAUGGCAUGAUUCGAGCGUCACGCAUGUACAACAUCGAGUAGAUCGAUUUUCCAAGUAAGGAGAGUAGGAGACAGACAGACACCUAACACUAUUCCUAAUCUAAAGUAUACUUCAGUAUCUAAAAAUGAAAUGAAUGCUAAUGCUAAAAAUCAGCUAAAUCAUAAGUGAAACGUUAUGCAUACACUAAAGAGGAAAAACGAUAUCCCUCCUCUCAUGGUCCGGGUCUGGUCCGUAAACUCGCACAGAGAUUUAUUGCAUGAUAUUGUACCUCCAUCAGAAGGUCUAGACUAUAUGGUCGGCUGCGAACCUAUAGAGAGGUUUAUGUGGGGAUAUUGUCCCUCUCCUAGACAGUUCGGACCUAUGGUCCGAACGGUCUAUGAGCCCGAAGAGAGAUUCAUGCACGGAUAUUGUACCUCCUACAUAUGGUUCGAACCUUAUGGUCGUACGGUUCGAAAAUCCACAUACAACAAAGAGGGUCCUACAGGGGUACCGUCCCUCCUCUGUUCUAGACCCAUGUGUCACACCCGGAUUUAAGGAAUAAAGUCGGGUGCAUCUCAUAUGUGCACCAAAAAAACAUCACAUAUAAUAAAAAAGUGUAUAGAGAUAAAUAUCACAAGUAUCAUUAUUACAUAGUGGAAGUCUUACAAAAAUAAAUGAUAAUAAUAAAAUGCUAAUAUUAUUCCUUGGCGCCAUCAAGCUGACUAGGAGACGCCACCUAGAUCAACUCGUACUCCUCAUUAUAGGGCUCUUCCUGGACCACCUGCUCUUCACCUGUGGGGGGUUAUAUGUCGCAAGAGUGAGCUCACAAAAGAUCAUAGCUCAACAAGUUGUGGGAAUAAUGUGCAUGAACUCACCAAAGGUGGGAGUUCAUGUGAAGUGUAAGGCUAAUCAAUAAAUAAGGGUUAAAGCUGAGCAUUGCUUUUAAUAAGUUGGUCAAAUUUUAUUAGCAGUUACUAAAUAUAAGUAAAUACCAAACCAGAGUGAUAAUAGAUCAAAAUAGUAAUAAACCCUAAUGCGAUGCAAAUGACAAAUUGAAUUUAAUUCCAUAAAUUAAUCAUGUGAGGGUCCGAGACGCUCAUAACCGUGAGCACGACUGAUAUACCAGUUUUAUACUCCGCGGAGGUUGCACAUCUUUACCCACAAGUCAUGUUACCCAUCUCCCAAGGGAUCGCGAUUUUCCAUACACCUCUACCAAGGAAGCGAGGCAGGGUAACACCACGAGGCCUUUACAAAGUUCCACUAGCUUCAGAUAACCGCUACAGUUUCUAAGAAGCUCCAAUACAUGGAUCCCUCACCUGACCACAAUCGCAGCAAAAUCAACCCAAGGACCUCCCUACACUGACCACUCCCCUACUGCCCAUGUCCCUUUCGGUUAAGGUAAUAAUCCACUAGCUUUCCUAAUUAGUCAGCCAAGUGCGUCCCAUAGUAACCUUGUGGUAGCACUGUUUUCCUGGGUGGUUGCUCCAUGUUCUAAUUAACAUAAUGAUCUUAUCAUGAACAGUAAAUAACAAACUGAUAAUAAAAAUAUGAUCAUGAAUAAUGUGUAUGUCCAUACCCAAAACCACAUAAAGAAAUAGCAGGUACUACAAAAAAAUCAGUGGUAAAUAAGGUAUAAAGAUAGCCAAACUAGGGUAACCUAUUGGGUCCCAUCAAAAUUAACCUAUGCAGAUCAUUAUGAUUAAUAAGAAUAUUAUUGGGUAAAAAGAAGUGAUCAAUGGCACAACUUGCCUUCAACGAGCUUCUGCUCAGCAAUCUCCACCUGCUGAACACAUGGGUCCUCUGUGGCUUGCUCGUCUACUCGCAACAAUACAAACAAACAUGGUAUAGCAGAAAUUAACAUCACACCAAACAAUAGAACAAAAUGCAUGAUAAUAUUCUACGCGUUGUAACGAGAUAGUAGGAACAAGAAUCACUAAAUUCGAAGUUACGGUUGUUAAGUUAUGAAUUUCUAAAGUUAUUUAGUCCUAGUAUAGAAUAAUUGAAGUGAAUAAUUUUAAUCCAAGUUUCAUGGCUAAACAGAGUUACUAGAUGAUAAAGAAUAUUAAAAAAAUUAAUGCCACUAGAAUGGAUCAAUUUGGAGUUAAAAUGAAUUAAAUAUGAAUUAUACAAGUUUCUAGAAUUAUUUUUUACUAAAAAUCAAUUUCUAUAAUUAAUUAUCUGUUUUUUCUGAUCUCUAGACUGGCGCGCAAAAACAGAGAAGUUCGGGGUUAGAUCCGUAAAAUUCCUAAGACUCAGGCUUGUUCAAGGGUGGACUGCGGGUUUAUUCUUAAAUAGUACCGGGACUCUUUAGUAAAUGUGACGCAGCGAAGGGGUAUCUAGUGAUGCUGGUCGUAGGAUCAGAGCCCAACGCCCUAGAUUAAAUCGUGAAGUUCUGAUGUUCAUCAGGCAUACAGGACCGGAGGAUCUAUGAUGGACGGUCCAGAUUUAAUGAACGACGUGGUUAUGCGCUACCACAUCGAAACAGUCCAUCCCGAGAUCUACGGUUACCAACCCUUCCCCCCUCCCCGAUCUAAUCCUAGGCGUUGGAUAGAAAUCCUACGGCGACCACACCACGCUCCCAUCCGGUCACGCCGAGCGAUGGCGCCACGCCCCCUCGCGGCGGAGGCCAUGGCCGGAGGUGGCCAUAUCGGUGGACUACGCCCUAAACUCCAAUUGGUAUGGUGCUAUGUGUGAAGAAUGGCAAAGCGAACUCGCGGGUUGUUCUCGGCGGGGUGCAAGUUCGGCGAAAUUCAUGACUCCGGCGAGGAAUUCCCACGGCUUCAGCAAGCCCCUCCUCGGUUACUCCCUCGCACGACGUCAAUGCGACCAAAACAAGCCUCGGAUGGCCACACGGGAGCCGAAAUCGCACUAAUGAUGGGUAUCCGCGACGACGGUGAUAUACCUCCGCACAGAACGUGCCGGCGCAGUGGAUGGCGUGGAGAAGCGGCGGCAAGAAAAUGGGAGCAGCGGGCGAGGUCGUGGGGUCCGAUAUUUGUAGGCGAGGUGGGGUACGAGGCGGCUGCAAUGGAAUCCGGAGCUUACGGCUGGUAGAGGCAUGCACGGAGGUGGGUGUCGCGCGGAGAAGACGGUAGCGCGUAGGUGUUGAGGGACUGUCUGGUGGGCCCCGCGGAGCAGCAGCACGAGUGCGAGAGAGCGAGCCUAUCAAGGGGCCCCCGCCUGUCGGCGCGUCGGCGCCGUCUCCACUAGCUGGGCCGAGCGCGCGGAGUAAAACAACCAUGGGCCAAAAGUAGUAGGGCUGGCCCAAUUAGAUUUGUUUUCUUCUUUUCUUUUCUGUUUUUGUUUUCCUUUUAUUUUUUUGAAUUCCAAAUUUGAAUUCAAAGUUUUGUGGUGAAAUUUGUACCCAAAUUUUUAGUGUAUGAUUUGAACAUAUUAUUAUGGAAUUAAUUUAUAAAUUUAUUUUGUAUUGUGCAGUAUUUCUCUCUUUCCUUCUCUAUUUUCAAACCCUAAUUUCAAUUUGGGGGUCCAAUUCAAAUCUCAAAUCAUUAUUAUAUUUUUAUUAGUACUAUAGUUAUUAUUAUUAAAUGCACACACAAAUAAAACUCCAACAUGAUGCAUAGAGUAUUUUAUUAGUUAAUUGUUCACCUAAAUUUAGGUAUUCCCAUGUGAUAAUGAGUAGAAGAUCAAAACACCUAAUGACAUCCACCCCUUUUCUUAUUAUUUCCAAACCGGGUAUUACAAAUCAUGCCCCUUAAAAAGAAUCUCGUCCUCGAGAAUAGGAAGGACUAGGGAAAAGGUGGGGAAAAUCUACUCGUAGCUCUUUUUCUCUUUCCCAAGUGGCCUCAUCUUCACCAUGGUGACUCCAUUGCACUUUGCACAUUUUAAUCACUUUACUCCUUGUAACACGAGUCAAAGUAUCAAGAAUCUUGAUAGGAUACUCAGUAUAAGUUAGAUCAUCUUGAACACUAAGAUCCUCCAUAGGUAGUUGCUCUUCAGGUAUCCGGAGGCACUUCUUCAGUUGGGACACAUGGAAGACAUCAUGUACAUCCGCAAGAUGGUCGGGUAAUUCUAGUUGAUAGGCAACUUCCCCCACUCGCUUUAGGAUCAAGAAGGGACCAAUAAAGCGAGGGGACAACUUUCCUUUAACUUUAAAUCUUCGCAUACCCCAGAUCGGUGACACCUUCAAAUACACAUGAUCACCCUCCUUGAACUCUAGCAGUCUCCUCUGGGUAUCUGCAUAACUUUUCUGCCUUGACUGCGCAUAUGGAUGAAAACGGUCAGUAAACACUAAAACCAUUACCGUUUUCAUAUUUUUUAUCGGAAACAAAAUCGAAAACGGUAACUCCAAAAACAGAAACGAUAUCGGUAUUUCAGAAACAUCGGAAACGAAAGUUAGGUGCGGAAAAUACACGGGUAACUGUCGAAAUCUAAAAUACGAUCAAUAAACAUAUCAAACUUCACAAUACAACAAAGUUGACAAAAGAUCACAAAGACCACAAGUUCACAAUUCAUGAUAUAACGAGUUCACAAAAUAACAAGUUCACAAGGAUCACAAAUUUAUAAUAUAAAAAGUUUACAAAGAUCACAAGUUCACAAUAUAACAAGUUCACAGUAUAACAAGUUCAUAAAGAUCACAAGUUCACGGACUCAAAGUUCACAAUUCACAAUAUCCACUCGAUCUAGCUGACAUGGCAUGCUUAGUUAUGAAAUAUUUUUUCCUCACAUAAAGAGUUUUUCACAACCUCACAGGAAAACCCUAAAACCUAGUGUGUGGAAAAGACAGACUGUCAGCUCUCUAUCAUUAUAUAUUACUAAUACAUAACAUGUACAUAGAAAAGGGUGGAUUCGUUCGAGAGACCAGAUCGUUAAUCCCAACUGCCUUCCAACACCAUCUAUCCAAAAAAAUUCUUAAGGUGUCCAAAAAAUACAAAAAUAAGUAAUCCUUAUCUAGAGACGUACAGGCGAUGCGAAAAAUCACAUGCUGGAAAAUUCCAAAAAAUCUGAGACGCAAUUCCGAAAAAAUCCGAGACGCAAUUCCGAAAAAUUCCGAGACACAAAUCCGGUAAUUUCCGACAAAAACCGGUAACCGAAGGAAACGGUCGGUAAAACACCACACCGAUUCCGAUAGAAAAUUCUGAAAACCGAUUCUGUUUUCGAAAAAUAUCGUUACCAGUGAAUCCGAUCAAAAUAUUUUGAAAUCGGUUUCCGGAAUACCAAAAAAUUCUGAAACCAUUUUCAUCCCUAACUGCGCAGUCCUCAAGUUCUCCCUUAUCAACCGGACUUGUUCUUCUGCCUAUUGUAUAAUUUCUGGCCUAAAGAACUGCCUUUCACCAGUUUGAUCUCAAUACAAAGGAGUCCUGCAUUUUCUGCCAUACAGAGCUUCAAACGGAGACAUCUUCAAACUGGCCUGGUAGCUAUUAUUGUAAGAGAACUCUGCAUAGGGCAAACUCUUAUCCCAACUGCCACCAUGUUUAAGAGCACAUGCUCUUAACAUAUCCUCUAGUACUUGGUUAGUUCUCUCGGUCUGCCCGUCAGUUUGAGGAUGGUAGGCCGAGCUGAAAUUCAGUCUUGUAUCCAAGCACUCAUGCAACUUUUGCCAAAACCGAGAAGUAAAUUGUGAUCCCCGGCCUGACACGAUCUUCUUGGGCGCACCGUGUAGACAUACUAUCUGUGCCAUGUACAACCCUGCUAGCCUAGCUCCUGAAUAUGUGGUCUUCACUGGGAUAAAGUGGGCUACUUUAGUUAGCCUAUCCACAACCACCCAUAUAGAGUCGUACCCAGUAGAUGUGCGGGGUAGGCCUACAUUGAAGUCCAUGCCAAUUUCUUCCCACUUUCACUCAGGUAUCUUAAGCGGGUGCAAUAAACCGGCGGGUCUUUGAUGUUCCGCUUUUACCCUCUGGCAAACAUCACAUAGUGCUACAUGCAAAGCAACAUCCUUCUUUAGUCCAUACCACCAAUACUUCUGCUUCAAGUCCUGGCACUUCUUUGUACUGCCCGGAUGGAUGGAGUAAGCUGAGUCAUGUGCCUCCUUCAAUAUGGUCUCCUGAAGACUAUCAAUCUCAGGAACACAAUGUAGGAUUACGGGGAGGCUACGCUAGCGCAAAACAAAAUUUUCAACCCCAUAAUACCAAGAACUACUGCGGUUAUAGGUCAUGGAAUUACCACUAGACGCGCAGAGCAGCGGAAGACGUCUCGAUGUAGACGAACACGUCGAGCAGUGUCGUGCAGUCGUCGGCGUCCUUCACGUCCUCGCACGGUUCGUCCUAGUGCUCCAGAUGCAGCACCUCCGAGGUAUCCACACGUACAGGGAGGAAGCGCCGCGUACCGAACUGCUAGGUUCGCGACGGCGGCUUGGCGAGGGCGAGAGGUGAGCGGCGGCUGCUCGUUUGCUGGUGGCAAAUUAGGUUAAGCCUAACCGCGUCCCCGCCCCUCAUUAUAUAGGCGUUAUGGUGGGCUUCUGACACCGAGGCCCAUCAUUAACCCUAAAGCCCAGUCUAAUUUUGGAUCUAAUCCGAGUUAGGCUUCCUUCCCCCUUAAGUGUGUGACCCUAUAGGUUCACGUACAAAUAGACAUAGCCCGAGUACUCUUACUUGGCCCAAUAAUUGACAACGGCCUCUAGCAAGACAUGUCAACUCCUAUGCGCACGUAAAGAUCAUAUCAGACGAACCAUUGCAACAUUACGUACAUGUUGUUCCCUUUGUCUCACGAUAUUUGGUCUGGCUCUAAGCCGACCUCUCUUUCUCGAUACUGUGAAUUGGAAUCCUUUCAAUGGUUAACUCUUAACCCUAGCACGGCCAUGCAUUUCUUGAUCCAAUCACUCGAGGGGCCCAGAGAUAUCUCUCUCACAAAGAGAGGGACAAAUUCCAUCUUGACUGACCAUGUCUCACAGCAUGCUUCCUGACAAACCCAAAACUACCUUUAUAACUACCCAGUUAUGGAAUAGCGUUUGAUAGUCCCUAAGUAAGUCAAUUCACAUCUUGAGAACAUGCGACAAUCUCAGGUUUAAGGAUACAAUAUUCAUGUUGCAAAAAGAGAACUAUAUUACAAUAUCUCACGUUGGGUCGGUCCAGCCUCAUGUCAUACAUGCGCCCACAUUAUUAGUUUAACAUCUCCAUGUUCAUGACUUGUGAAAUGUAGUCAUCAACUAAUACAUGUGCUAGUCAUCGACUCUGACUAGGGACAUCAUUUAGAAUAACCAUAUAAGUAAAGAAUCUCACAAACAAUUCACAUAAUUGCUAAUCAAUACAAGGUGCCUUCCAUGGAUAUUCAAUUAAGCAAUAUAUAUAUCAUGGAUACAAAGAAAUAUGCUCAUCUCUAUGAUUAUCUCUAGGGCAUAUUUCUAACAGUCUCCCACUUGCACUAGAGUUAAUCUAGAAGAUAUCUAAUACCCAUAGAUCUCAUGUGUGCCUCAUGCUUAGGUUGUGGAAGAGGUUUUGUCAAAGGAUCAGCAACAUUCAAAUCCGUAUGUAUUUUGCAUAUCUUUAUCUCACCCCGCCUAAUGAAUUCCCGUAUGAGGUGAAACUUCCGCAGUACGUGUUUGUUUUUCUGGUGGUUCCUUGGCUCCUUAGCUUGCGCAAUAGCCCCAUUAUUGUCACAGUAGAGGUUCAAUGGACUAGAAGCAUUAGGAAACACACCAAGCUCGAUGAGGAACUUCCUUAUCCAAACACCUUCCUUCGCAGAUUCAGAAGCUGCAAUGUACUCGGCUUCUGUUAUAGAAUCAGUCACAGUCUCCUGUUUGGAACUCUUCCAACUAACAGCACCACCAUUUAUUGUGAACACAAAACCUGAUUGCGAUUUUAACUCGUCUGGGUCAGUUUGGAAGCUAGCAUCGGUGUAACCAGUUACAACGAGAUCCUCCUUACCCCCAUAUACCAGGAACAUAUCUUUAGUCCUUCUUAAGUACUUAAGAAUGCCUUUUACUGCUGUCCAGUGAUCCUCACCUGGAUCAGCCUGGUACCUACUCGUAGCACUUAUAGCGUAUGAAACAUCUGGGCGUGUACUUAUCAUGGCAUACAUGAUUGAUCCAAUUGCUGAGGCGUAUGGUACCUUACUCAUGCGCUCCUGCUCAUUAGCCGUCGCAGGACAUUGCAUCUGGCUAAGGUGUUUACCAUGUGACAUAGGUAUGAACCCUUUCUUGGACUGUUCCAUGUUGAACCGUUUCAAAACCUUGUCAAUGUACGUAUCUUGACUUAAUCCUAUAAGCCUCUUCGACCUAUCUCUAUAGAUCCUUAUGCCCAAAAUAUAUGCUACUUCCCCUAAGUCCUUCAUAGAAAAACUCUUUUUCAGUGAAGCCUUGACGGAUUCCAGCAUAGGAAUGUCAUUCCCAAUCAAUAAUAUGUCAUCCACAUACAAGAUCAGAAAUACAACAACGCUCCCACUUUCCUUCUUGUAAACACAAGCUUCUUCUUCAUUCUGAUGAAAACCAAGCCCUUUGAUCACUUCAUCAAAACGAAUGUUCCAACUCCGAGAUGCUUGCUUCAACCCAUAAAUGGAUUUCUGUAGUUUGCAUAUCUUUCCAGCAUUGAUCGGAUCGACAAAACCCUCGGGCUGUAUCAUAUACACGUCCUCAUCUAGGUUUCCAUUAAGGAAAGCUGUUUUGACAUCCAUCUGCCAAAUCUCAUAAUCGAAAUAUGCGACAAUAGCUAGAAUGAUCCGAAUAGAUUUAAGCAUCGCUACUGGCGAGAAUGUCUCGUCAUAGUCAACUCCUUGAACUUGUUGAAAACCCUUUGCAACAAGUCGAGCCUUAUAGAUGUGAACAUUUCCAUCCAUGUCUUUCUUCUUCUUAUAGAUCCAUUUGCAUUCUAUAGGUCUAACACCAUCAGGCGGGUCAACCAAGUUCCAAACUUGAUUUUCUCCCAUGGAAUCUAUCUCGGAUCUCAUGGCGACAUGCCAUUUCUCGGAAUCUGGGUCCAUCAUCGCUUCUGAAUAUGUUGCAGGUUCGUCGUUGUCUAACAACAACACUUCCCCAUUGCCCAACAAUAGCACUUCUCCUCGUGCCUCAUGAAGCCUUGCUGACCUUCGUGGUUGUGGUGGUGAUUCUCUUGCCAUAGACGUCUCAACUUGUUCUGCUACAUUAGCAUCACUUGUUGAAUCUUGUCCCACUGGCUCAUCCUGAACUUCUUCAAGAUACACCUUUUGUUUACUUUUCUCUCUUUUGAGAAACUCUUUCUCUAAGAACACACCGUUCCGGGCGACAAACACUUUGCCCUCUGACCGGUGGUAAAAGUAAUAUCCUAAAGUUUCCUUUGGAUAUCCCAUGAACAUGCACUUGUCCGAUUUUGGAGUGAGUUUAUCUGACUGAAGUCGCUUGACGUAAACCUCACAACCCCAAAUCUUCAGAAAAGACAAACUGGGAGUCUUCCCAGUCCACAUCUCAUAUGGUGUCUUAACUACGGACUUAGACGGUACCCUAUUUAGUGUGAAAGCUGCUGUUUCUAGAGCGUAUCCCCAAAACGACAAAGGUAGGUCCGACUGGCUCAUCAUUGAUCGAACCAUAUCCAAUAAAGUCCGAUUACGUCGCUCAGACACGCCAUUCCUCUGAGGCGUUCCAGGCGGCGUAAGCUGUGGAACAAUUCCACAACUCUUUAGAUGAUUGCUAAACUCAUGACCCAAAUAUUCACCUCCACGAUCUGAUCGCAGUGCUUUAAUUUUCUUGCCACGCUGAUUUUCUACUUCAUUCUGAAACUCUUUGAACUUUUCUAAGGAUUCAGACUUGUGUUUCAUUAAGUAGACAUACCCAUAUCUACUAAAAUCAUCAGUGAAGGUUAUGAAGUAUUGGAAUCCUCCCCUAGCUGUCGUACUCAUUGGUCCGCACACAUCAGUAUGUAUGAGUUCCAAUAAAUCUAACGUCCUCUCCGGUAAACCCGUGAAGGGCGCCUUGGUCAUCUUACCAAGUAAGCAAGCUUCACAUGUCUCGUAUGAUUCAAAAUCAAAUGAAGUUAAAAGUCCAUCAGAAUGAAGCUUCUUCAUGCGAUUCUCACUUAUAUGACCCAAACGACAGUGCCACAUGUAGGUAGGACUUAAAUCAUUAGGCCGAGGCCUUUUAGCACUAAUAUUACAGAUAGGUGCAUCAUCAAGAUUUAAAAUGAAUAACCCAGUCAUAAUGGAUGCAAAAGCCACAAACAUGCCAUUCUUAGAGAUCACACAACCAUUGUUUUCACUCGCAAAUGAAUAACCAUCCUUCAUCAAACAUGAAGGAGACAUAAUGUUUCGACUCAUACUAGGAACUAGAUAACAAUUAUUUAACUCCAAAAUAAAUCCUGAUGGGAGGUGGAGUUGCAUCGUCCCGACGGUCAACGCAGCAACUCUUGCAUUAUUGCCUACCCGGAAAUCAACUUAUCCUCUUUUCACGCUUCUACUUCUUAUCAUUCCCUGCAUCGAAUUGCAAAUAUGGGCAACCGAUCCGGUAUCAAAUACCCAAGAAUUAAUAUAAGAAUCAGCAAGAAAAAUUUCUGUAAUGUGAAUAGCAAGUGUACCUGCUGCGGCUAUACCCUUACCACCGCGAUCCUUAAUAGAGGCCAAGUACUGCUUGCAAUUCCUUUUCCAGUGACCAAGUUCUUUGCAAUAAAAGCACUCUGCAUCUGCAGCUGGUCUAGCCUUGGGCUUUUGAUUUGGCUUGGAUACUGUAUCUUUUGCCUUGCCCUUCUUCUUUUGAGAUUUACCCUUCUUCUUAAAGUUGGGUUUGUUUUGGACCGCCAUCACAUGGCCGCUGCUGCCAGCACUUUUCUUUAUGUCCCCCUCUGCAGUUUUCAGCAUGCCACAUAGUUCAUUGAGGCCCCUCUUCGCCCCAUGCAUAUGGUAGUUCGUGAUGAAGUUUCCAUAGCUGGGCGGAAGAGAUGCCAAAAUGAAGUCAGUGGCCAACUCUUGGCUUAUUGGGAAGCCUAGCUUCUCCAACCUCUGACUGUAACCAACCAUUUUGAUUACGUGUGGCCCAACUGCUGCGCCUUCUGCUAGCUUGCAUUCCAGAAAGGCUUUGGACACAUUGAACCUUUCAGUCCUAGCCUGAGUCUGGAACAUAUCCUUGAGCGCCACGAUCAUAUCGUGCACCUCAUGGUUUGUCUCAAACUGUAUCUGCAGCUCAGGCUCCAUGCAAGCAAGCAUUAGGCAACUCACUUCAAGAUUAGUAUCCAUUGCUUUCUUGUAAGCGGUUUUAGCUGCAGCAGUUGCAUUUUCACCAGGAUCCUCUGGUAGUGGGGUGUCUAGAACGUCUUCCUUUUUUUCAGCCCUGAGAACAAUUCUCAGGUUACGGAUCCAAUCCGUAUAGUUUGUUCCAUUUAACUUAUCCUUUUCAAGAAUUGAUCGCAAAGUAAAUGUUAGUGUGCCAGGUGCCAUUUAUCUACAACAAAAUAAUGCAAAAUACUAAGACAAAAAUAUCCAUGACAGAGUAAAUCAUAUUAAACAUUUAAUAGUCUACUCCCACUAAAAUCAAUAUCCCUCGAUUGAUACUUAGUGAUUCAGAACCCACAACUAACAAGUCUACUAGUGAGCUUUAGCAUCACCGCUAGAAGACAAGGUAGAUCGGUAAGCAACUCCUUGCUAAUCAUAUCAUAUAUAUGACUCCUGUUGUUGGGUGACAUCUCUAUGUCUCGGCUCCCAACCUUAUGCCUCAAAGUCCUUAACCAUUAAGCUGACUUUGUUUAAGUUAACCAACCCUUUCUGCAGUUCGUAUCCGAUACAAACCUAUCUAGUCAAGGAAAACUGGUGGCACCCUAAUUUCAUAGACCCACCACCAAUUGUACAAGACUUAUGAUAGUGCAAGGUUUGGAGAGGCAUUUAAGCUUAAACAUUUAUGAGGGAUCGUCCUACUUAUAUCAUCGCACGCAAGGACAUAUAUGCAAUAUGAACAAGUAGAACAUUAAGAAUGGCAUUCACACAACAGUUGUGAUUCGGUAUGGCUUGCUGUCACAUGGUGAUCCCCAUCUCCAAUAAUCUGUCCAUCACGAUGAUCUCCAUCUCCAUGAUAUAGGUAUGCCAUCCUUCAGGUGAUGAGUCCUUCAAGACCUAUCUAACGUAUGCUUGUAAACAAAUUACAUAUACGCUUUGGAUCAUCACAUGUUGACACGCAGGUCAUUACAUUAAAUUUGGACAAUACAUAUGGCUCCAGCCGUAUUGCCCAGGUCACGACACGCAGGUCAUGAAUAAUUCAUUAAUAUGUAUCAUAUACACAAUAGCCAUACCGAUCACAAGAUGCCCUGCAAAAACAGGUUAGACAAACACGUUUCUAUAUGUUCGCCACUACAGCAGAUAGCCACGGCGGUCCCGCUGGCCGGUCAGCGGGCGGGGGGUCGAGGGGGGAGCCGCCCCCCGCGGGUCUCAGGGAAACCUCACAGGAUUCCAUGCAUCAUAUGUAUGGAAAUUCCACUGGAAAUCUCAUGCGGUUGAUCAAAUCAACCCAAGUCCGAGACUUUCGACCCGAAGAAGAUUACACUCAUGACGUCGAUCUGUUACGUCAAUCUGCUGGUUGUGUACGCAGUUAGCCCCGAUGGUGAUUCCAGCCGGUAGGGGCAAGUCGCGCACAUAACAGAGAAGGACGAACUAAUCUUUUCAGUCAUAUCCGAUGUAAUCUACUUCAACCCUUUAUAACCAAUUGAUCUAAUCAAACCGUGCAUCCAGACCUAAAACUACGCAGAACCUGCCUCUGAUACCACUGUAGGAUUACGGGGAGGCUACGCUAGCGCAAAACAAAAUUUUCAACCCCAUAAUACCAAGAACUACUGCGGUUAUAGGUCAUGGAAUUACCACUAGACGCGCAGAGCAGCGGAAGACGUCUCGAUGUAGACGAAUGCGUCGAGCAGUGCCGUGCAGUCGUCGGCGUCCUUCAUGUCCUCGCACGGUUCGUCCUAGUGCUCCAGAUGCAGCACCUCCGAGGUAUCCACACGUACAGGGAGGAAGCGCCGCGUACUGAACUGCUAGGUUCGCGACGGCGGCUUGGCGAGGGCGAGAGGUGAGCGACGGCUGCUCGUUUGCUGGUGGCAAAUUAGGUUAAGCCUAUAACCGCGCCCCCGCCCUCAUUAUAUAGGCGUUAUGGUGGGCUUCGGACACCGAGGCCCAUCAUUAACCCUAAAGCCCAGUCUAAUUUCGGAUCUAAUCCGAGUUAGGCUUCCUUCCCCUUAAGUGUGUGACCCUAUAGGUUCACGUACAAAUAGACAUAGCCCGAGUACUCUUACUUGGCCCAAUAAUUGACAGCGGCCUCUAGCAAGACAUGUCAACUCCUAUGCGCAUGUAAAGAUCAUAUCAGACGAACCAUUGCAACAUUACGUACAUGUUGUUCCCUUUGUCUCACGAUAUUUGGUCUAGCUCUAAGCUGACCUCUCUUUCUCGAUACUGUGAACUGGAAUCCUUUCAAUGGUUAACUCUUAACCCUAGCACGACCAUGCAUUUCUUGAUCCAAUCACUCGAGGGGCCCAGAGAUAUCUCUCUCACAAAGAGAGGGACAAAUUCCAUCUUGACUGACCAUGUCUCACAGCAUGCUUCCUGACAAACCCAAAACUACCUUUAUAACUACCCAGUUAUGGAAUAGCGUUUGAUAGUCCCUAAGUAAGUCAAUUCACAUCUUGAGAACAUGCGACAAUCUCAGGUCUAAGGAUACAGUAUUCAUGUUGCAAAAAGAGAACUAUAUUACAAUAUCUCACGUUGGGUCGGUCAAGCCUCAUGUCAUACAUGCGCCCACAUUAUUAGUUUAACAUCUCCAUGUUCAUGACUUGUGAAAUGUAGUCAUCAACUAAUACAUGUGCUAGUCAUCGACUCUGACUAGGGACAUCAUUUAGAAUAACCAUAUAAGUAAAGAAUCUCACAAACAAUUCACAUAAUUGCUAAUCAAUACAAGGUGCCUUCCAUGGAUAUUCAAUUAAGCAAUAUAUAUAUCAUGGAUACAAAGAAAUAUGCUCAUCUCUAUGAUUAUCUCUAGGGCAUAUUUCUAACACAAAAAUCCGUUCUUGAACCAUAUCGUGCCCUGCUCAUCAUCCGUGAAGUCUGGGCCUCUUCCUUCUGUUAUCAGAUCUUUGAUCUCUUGAAUUUUGCCAUCACCGAUCUGACCUUUACGUUUUUCUUGUUCUAAGGUAGGUUCCACUUCUAUGGUAAUUCCUUCAGUGUGAGCAACUAUCCCCAGAUUGAGCUUCUCAAAGUCUUCUGCUAACUCAUCGGGUAAAUGGGCUACAAUAGCUGCAUGGACAUGCUCCUUCCGACUCAAGGCAUCCACAACCAGAUUCACCUUGCUCGGAUGAUAAUGAAUUUCCAAGUCAUAAUCCUUGAUUAGCUCCAACCAGCGGCGUUGCCUAAGGUUGAGAUCCUUCUGAGUGAAGAUAUAUUUUAAGCUCUUGUGAUCAGUGUAGACUUGGCACUUAGUCCCCAUCACAUAAUGCCUCCAAAUCUUGAGAGCAUGCACUACGGCUGCCAGUUCUAAGUCAUGAGUGGGGUAGUUCAACUCGUGUUUCUGCAACUGGCGAGACGCGUAGGCGAUGACAUGUCCUUCUUGCAUAAGCACACAUCCCAAGCCCUGGCGGCACACAUUACAAUAUAUAUCAAAUCCUUUCCGCAGAUCUGGCAUAAUCAACACUAGGGGCGACAUUAACUUAAACCUUAGUUGGUUGAAACUCUCUUGGCAUUCCCAGGUCCAAUUAAAUUCCUUUCCCUUCUCUAACAAUGAGGUCAUAGGCUUUGCCAUCUUAGAAAAUUCUUCAAUGAAUCACCGGUAAUAACCUGUGAGUCCCAAGAAACUCCGAACCUCAGUGACUGUUUUUGGUAUCUUCCAACCCACUAUCUCUGUUACUUUAGCCGGAUCCACUGCGAUUCCACCUUUAGACAUGAUAUGUCCAAGGAAUGGUACUUCAUCAAGCCAGAACUCACACUUGCUAAAUUUGGCAUAGAGUUGUGUCACACCCAGAUUUAAGGGAUAAAGUCGGGUGCAUCUCAUAUAUGCGCCAAAGAAAACAACACAUAUAAUAACAGAGUGUAUAGAGAUUGUUGGGUACUUGUCCUUAAUGUUAUAAAUUAAGAACAAAGCAACACAGAAAUUGUUAAACGUUAAAGUCCUUCGUCCUUCGAAGCAUUAUUUCCCUUGGGAUAUAAUGAGUUUCGGACGAAGGAUAUGAAGGACAUACCUUCAUCAGUACAACAAAUAAUGAAGAAGGAUUCAUAUAAAGUAUGAGAAAUAACAUAAACACUUAAAUAUUAUUAUUAGCUCAUUUCUAUUUUAUUAUUAUGGAAAAAUAGAAAUGAUAACAAAUUACAUAUGUACCUUCGGCUUGAAAGAAGGCAAAAGUACAAGCGUGACGCAAAAGCAAAUGCCAAGUCAGCGUGAACAGUACGGGAGCACUGUUCAUCUAUUUAUAGGCACGGGGCGCAGCCCAUGUAAAAUUACACCCAUGCCCUUUACAUUUGCUAAUAACUAUAUAGUAAUCCAUCGGGGUCUAAAUAGCCUUUUCCCCUUUAAGUCGGUUUCCUUUUCUGCUAUCACGCUGAAGCUCCCCUACGCUUAGCUUCGGCUCUGCGCCAUCCUUCGUAUUCUUUGUGCUUCUUCACACUGUGGUUUUGACCUAAGUCCGAAGGUACCUGUUCAUGUAUCAUACUCCAGAAACAUUGCUAAAUCAUGUUUUUGAGGACCUUCGGAAGCCGAAGGCCCCCAACAGUAGCCCCUCGCAAUAUUAAUUUGUUAGAAUGAUAAAUUCAGAUUGCGAUAUGGAUGAAGGCCUUAAGCCGAAGGUCCGAAAAACACCUUCCGUUUGCUAGAAUAGCAAUAGUCAAUGACAAGUGGGGUCCUCCCACUUGCAACGCACUAUGCGUAUAAAUAAGAGCACACCGCGAGCUCAUUUGGCACGCUUUCUUGCCAUCUGCUCUUGCUUUCCCAAUUUUUAGCUCUUGCAUACCAACGCUUGCUUGGUUUCUUAAAUUUUCUAAGCUUCGGCUUUGAGAACACCUUUUUCCAACAUUUCCGAAGAUGUCUGAAGAUAAAAAGGUUGUUGCCGAAACGAAGAUGAGUCUUUCUGAGGAGAAGAAUCUUGGGUUUCUUGAAUCAAUAGCAAAGACAAAUACAGUGAAGAUCACUAAGGAGAUUUGAGAAGGUUUAUCUGAAGACACUGGUGAUAAUGACAGUUAUGAUGUGGAAAAUGGGGGCGAGGACUCCGAAGAUCGACCGUGGCGACCAAGUCACGCAGUCUUCGAAAAAUCAACUAUUAAGCAGAGUCAUCUUGACAAUAUGAGGGGAAGAUAUUUUCGAGAUAUGUCUCUAGUGAGGGCUGACAAUGGAGACAAGACUGCUGCUACUCCCGAAGAGAAUGAAGUGGUGAUCUUCCGAAGCUUUUUCAACGCUGGGCUUCGGUUCCCCCUAAGCAGUUUUGUGGUUGAGGUUUUAAAGAUAUUCCAGAUUUUUCUUCACCAGAUUACUCCCGAUGCCAUCAUAAGAAUGGGAAUCUUCGUAUGGGUUGUGAGGAGUCAGGGCUUGGAGCCAAAUGCAAAAAGUUUCUGCAGUAUGCACGAACUGUUAUACGAGACGAAGCCCUGGGGUAAGGAACAGUACCACAACAAUUUUGGCUGCUAUAGCUUCGUUGCCCGCUCUGGGUCAAGCUGCCCCGUGCCAACCUUUCGGAAGAGAUGGCCCAGAGACUGGAUGAAAGAAUGGUUCUAUGUGAAAAAUGAUUUAAAGGCACGAGAAGACAUUAAAGAGAUAAUCAUGCGCCCUAUCUGGCAGUGCUUUGGGCUUCGGAAGCCGAAGGUAGAAAUUGAUGAAGCAACCGAAGAAUGCCGAAAGGCCUUUGGCAUAGUUUGUUCCUUCAUCGGGACAAGGGACUUAGUCCAAGAGCACGUGGCCUACAAGAUAUGGCCAUUGGUAGCCAACUGGGAGAUACCGAAAGAGGCCAUCAGCGACCCCCACGAAGGUGGUUUGGUUCGACUAAAAUAUACCUUCAGGUUUGGAGACCAAUUUAUUGAGCCAGACGAUGAUUGGCUAAAGUGUGUCGAAGCUACAAGUGAUGAACUACUUGGGCCGUACUCCAAAGCGGAAGAUAAUGAGCUAUCUGCGGCCUUCGGAAGCCGGAAAAAGAAGAGACUGAACAGAGUUUUUGAUGCUAUUGGGUUCAUGUACCCUGACUACCGCUACCCGUCACGGGGGCGAAAAAGAAAAAGUGCAACCUCCGGGAAAGGUGAUGCUUCAGCUGCUGCAAGCGAGCCCGCGCCAAGAGGAAAAAGGUGAAAGUCCUUACUCACCGACCGCGCUUUAUUGAACCGGCCAUAGUGCCUGAAUUUGGUGGUGAAACCUCUUCGGCUACUGAAGCCAAAGAACCUGUAGCUACACAGACAGCUGAAGAUCCGGUUGCGAUGCCGAAGGCAUCACCAGCCAAAUCAGGUGAGCCAAAGGCCAUUAAUAUUGAAGAAGCAGAAGUCGAAGAAACAAAAAUAUUAGAAGUCAUAAGCCCUUCGAUAGAGGUGACAGUGCCGAAGGCGCAAAAGGAUCUUACAACGACUCCUAAGAGGAAGAGGAUGGUCAACAUACUAGAUGUGCUAGAAACGAUAAAAACUUCAAGCUCUACUCCGAAGAAGACUGCCGAAGCUUCAAAAACACAAAUUGAGGCAAAACUAUCCGAAGCCGAAGCUGCCAGGAGCCCGGCCGAGACCGAAGCUGGGCCUUCAGAGCCCGCCAAGGAGAAAUCCUUGGAAAUCGGAGAAGAAGAAACGGGAAAAGAAGCUGCAGAACAAAUUCUGUCUGAAAAAAACUGCCAUUCCUAUUCCCGAAGCAUCUUCCGAAGCUCUCGAUUAUAUUGUACGACAUGCUUCGGAAAAAAGGUUAUCUGAAGAGGAAAAACAAGAAGCUCAAUAUUAUGUCCAGAAAUUAAAAUAUCCAAAGGGGCAUUAAUAUUCAACGGCAGCGGAGAAGAAGAUUUCUUGUAUUGUCUCCUAGACAGCAAGGAAAUUUCUGUCUGCCAAGAGAUGGGCAAAAGCUUCGGAUUCCCAAUGCUAGAAGAUGGGCUUUCGGUGCUAUCGAAAGAUGAACUGGCGGACAACUUAGCAUAUAAUAGCCUAAAGGUAUGAGAAUGAAUUUUUUAUAUUAAAAAACCAAGAUUUGUUUUAUUUGCUUAUACUUAAUUCCACACUUCUUUUGCAGGGCCUCAUUCUUAGCAACGCCCUCAGGGCACAAAAAAGUGCCGAAGAUAAAGGAUGUACUAUAGCUUUGAACAACCUUCGUUCCGAAGUAAUUGAACUAAGGAACGAAGGUCUUGAAAAAGAUAAGAUUUUAAACUCAUUGUUGAACAAAAUAAAAGAAGACGAAGCUACUUCCAAAGCUCAGGCUGAAGCCCAGAGAAGCGAAAUUGAGGAUCUUCGGAAACAGCUGGUAGAGGCAAAAUUAAAAUGUGCUAUUGCCGAAGCUGACCGAGACACCAGUGACUACUGGAAAAAUUACUGGGAAAAAACAGUUGUAGAGCUUCGCUCUUCAAAAGAAAGAUGCUAUGGAAAAUCUGUAGCAUGUGUACAAAGGAUAAAAACUAGCUUCGCAAAUAUUGGCGCAUAUUCAAAUGAAGACAACUUCGUACUGGGCGAUCCCGAAGGUCCAAUUGAAUGGAUCACCGGCGAAGCCAAAGCUUUUGAGGAAGUUUUGAGUGGCCGUGGGGACGUCUGCGCCUUUUCUGGUGCAAGAGGAGUCGCAUCCAUUUUGGAGAAAGCAGGAUGCGAACAUGUGAAGAUUCUGGUCCAAGCCGAAGCUGCUUUCUCUAUUAAUGACACGAAGGAUCCCUCGGCCGAAGCAAGCUUAGUUGGCGGAAAAUUCUUUACUGACGUUUGGGAAAAUGGCGGCCGAGGGAUGGCCCAUGAGAUAAUAAAAAAGAGCGAAAAAGAUACUCACGAUACGAGAGAAGCAGCGAAGGCAGCUGAGAAAGCUGCGGAACUCGAGAGACGGAUAGGUAUUGCCUAAUUGUUUUUAACUUUAUGUUUUAUUUUUGUGACUUCGAACUUAUUUAUGUUUUGUAUCGCAGCUAAACUAUCUCCUCCCCCAGAGCCCUUUGAGUCAUUGGCCGACCCCGAAGCAAAAAAGGAAGAUGAAAUUACUAAGAUGGCCGAAGCUAUUAUGGACGAAGCUGUGACUCAACUACUAAACGAAGCUGCGGAAGCAGUUUUAAAAGAAGAAUAGCUAUUGUUGUAAAAAAGUUCGGAAUAUUGAUGUAAUAUUUGCUGAACAAAGUGUGUAAUAUUUUAUAGUUUUGAAUGUAAUAUAUAAGCUGUUUGUAAUUCAGUUCUUUACGAUGCAUGAAACUUUACGUACAUACCAUUUUUGAGCCUUCGGCGAAAAAACACCUUCCCUUCUUUUCAUGCUUCGUGAAGAAUAUCCAUAUUCCGUGAAAAUAUUAUGCUUCGUAAGCAAUAGAUCUCCUUUGAUAUUAAAGUUGAUAAAGCUGUACUUCUUCAAAACUUAUUUUGUGCCUUGGCACAACUUCUUCGAAACAAUUUCCGAAGAUCAACAUUGUAUCCCUUUCUUGUGCAAUAUGAUGUAUGAUGUCAUGUUAUGCGAAUGAUGUGAUGAUGUUAUGAUAUGCGAAUGAUGUUUGUGCCGAAGAUACACACACAUUCCCACAGUAGAACACACAAUCUCUUUGCCGUUUAUUUUUCGGCUUCAUAGCUUAUUUUUCGGUGUAUCAGCGCUGACUUUUCGCUGUAAGCCUCCCUUAGGAUCUUCUUCGCCUUCUACUUCGACGGUAUUCGCGUUGACUUUUCGCGCUUUGCCUUAUACUUCGGCGGAAUCAGCGUUUAUUUUUCUCUGUAAGCUCUGCAUUCCCUUUGGAACGACUUUUGAGCAGAAAAUUUACGCUGUGCUCCCUUAGGAACGACUUUUUGUUGUUUCAGCAAACUUACACUGCGUUCCUUAGAACGACUUUUUGUUGCUUCGGCAAAACUUGUAAUAUAAUUGUGAACCCCGCGUUCUCUUGAGAACAAAUUUCAUGCUUUACUGACUUUUGGAACUUCGUGAGUCUGUGAAGAAGGUAUAUUAUAUCAUGACAAUGACGAAGCUAUCACAAGAAAUUGAAAACAACAAAAGAAUUAAGCUUUCAAUGAUUGCUCCUUAUUGAAAAGGAAAAUGAUGACGAAUGCAAAAACUGUUUCAGAGCUAGGAUAUCUCUUAGUAGAUGUGCUUCAAUUCUGGCACAGUACUGUUGACUGUGCGAGCUUCAGACUGCUCCCUGAAGUCUCACUGCUGGUGAGUGUGCUGGCUCCCUUCUAGCUGCUGGCCUUGGGGAUAUGUGGGUUGCAUUGGUGGUGGAGGUGGAGGCUGUUGCCAAGAUGCCUGAGGUUGGCUUGCCGAAGCAACAGAAACUGCAGGAUGGUUACCCACAUACUCUGGUAUGUACGGUGAAUGAUACGAAGCAGUAUGCAUAACUUGCUUCGGCUGGUUCUGUUGGGCUGCAGCUUCUGCUAUCUCCUUCUGUUUCUGGAUGGUGACAUGGCACAUCCUUGUAGUAUGGCCCUUGUCCUCACCGCAGAAUAGGCAAUAAAUUUUCCUGGGCUGAUCCCCAAACCUUCCACCAAAGCCCCUGGCGCCUCUGCCCCUUGGAGCUGGAGGCCGAGGAUAGCUUUGUUGCUGCCCCAAAGCCUAGGAGGAAUAUUGCGGCCUCUGCUGCUGACCUCCUCUGUCGUCAUUCUGAGUAGAGUGGAUUGAUCUAACGUGCCUUGGGUGGACUCUCCCUCUGAAGCCCCUGGUCAUCUCGGAGAACCUGUAAGCUUCCUCCCUUCUCUGCCGAAAGUCAUUAUCAGCGCGGAUAUAUUCAUCCAUCUUCUGAAGCAAUUUCUCCAGGGUCUAACGGGGCUUCCUGGCGAAGUAUUGGGCCGUAGGUCCUGGCCGAAGCCCCUUGAUCAUGGCCUCAAUGACAAUUUCAUUGGGCACUGUUGGCGCUUGUGCCCUCAGACGCAACAACCUUCGGACAUACGCCUGAAGGUAUUCUUCGUGAUCUUGCGUGCACUGGAACAAAGCUUGAGCAGUAACCGGCUUCGUCUGAAACCCUUGGAAACUGGUGAUCAGCAUGUCCUUCAGCUUCUGCCAUGAUGUGAUUGUUCCUGGCCGAAGAGAGGAGUACCAGGUUUGUGCAACAUUCUUGACUGCCAUGACGAAAGAUUUCGCCAUGACUGCAGUAUUGCCUUCAUAUGAAGAUAUGGUAGCUUCGUAGCUCAUCAGAAACUGCUUCGGAUCUGAAUGUCCGUCAUACAUAGGGAGCUGGGGUGGCUUGUAAGACGGGGGCCAGGGUGUAGCCUGUAGUUCUGCUGACAGAGGAGAAGCAUCAUCAAAAGCAAAAUUUCCAUGAUGGCAAUCUUCAUACCAUUCAUCCUCGUUGUAGAAGCCCUCUUGAUGCAGCUCUCUGUGCUGGGGUCUUCGGUGUUGCUCAUCUUGAGUAAGAUGACAUACUUCUUCAGUGGCUUCGUCAAUCCGCCUUUGUAGGUCAGCUAGUCGAGCCAUUUUUUCCUUCUUCUUUUGCACUUGCUGAUGAAGGAUCUCCAUAUUCCUGAUCUCUUCGUCCAACUCAUCCUCUUGGGGCAUUGGACUGGUGGCCUUCCUCUUCUGGCUUCGGGCCUCUUGAAGAGAAAGGGUCUCCUGGUUCGGGUCCAGCGACUGCAGAAUGACAGCCCCUGUCGCUGAAGCUUUCUUUGGCGGCAUGACGAAGGUCUAUGCUUGCCGAAGGUGGUCGAAAAGGGUUCACCAGAGGUGGGCGCCAAUGUUGGGGACUUGUCCUUAAAUGCUAUAAAUUAAGAACAAGGCAACACAGAAAUUGUUAAAUGUUAAAGUCCUUCAUCCUUCGAAGCAUUAUUUCCCUUGGGAUAUAAUGAGUUUCGGACAAAGGUUAUGAAGGACAUACCUUCAUCAGUACAACAAAUAAUGAAGAAGGAUUCAUAUAAAGUAUGAGAAAUAACAUAAACACUUAAAUAUUAUUAUUAGCUCAUUUCUAUUUUAUUACUAUGGAAAAAUAGAAAUGAUAACAAAUUACAUAUGUACCUUCGGCUUGAAAGAAGGCAAAAGUACAAGCGUGACGCAAAAGCAAAUGCCAAGUCAGCGUGAACAGUACGGGAGCACUGUUCAUCUAUUUAUAGGCACGAGGCGCAGCCCAUGUAAAAUUACACCCAUGCCCUUUACAUUUGCUAAUAACUCUAUAGUAAUCCAUCGGGGUCUAAAUAGCCUUUUCCCCUUUAAGUCGGUUUCCUUUUCUGCUAUCACGCCGAAGCUCCCCUACGCUUAGCUUCGGCUCUACGCCAUCCUUCGUAUUCUUUGUGCUUCUUCACACUGUGGUUUUGACCUAAGUCCGAAGGUACCUGUUCAUGUAUCAUACUCCAGAAACAUUGUUAAAUCAUGUUUUUGAGGACCUUCGGAAGCCGAAGGCCCCCAACAGAGAUAAAUGUCACAAUAUAAUUAGAGUACUUAUUACAUAGCGAAAGUCUUACAAAAUAAGAGAUAAAUAUAAAACAAACUAAAGUCCAUCCUUGGCGCCAUAAAGUCGACUGGGAGACACCAACUAGAUCAAAUCGAACUCCUCGUUGUUUGGCUCCUCUUGAACCACCUGUUCUUCUCCUGUGGGGGGUGUCAGACAGCAAGGGUGAGCUCACACAUGUUCAUCGCUCAACAACUUGUGGGGAAUAAAGUGCAUGAACUCACCAAAGGUGGGAGUUCAUGUGAUGUGUAAGGCUGAUUAAGAAUAGGGGUUUAAAGCUGAGCAUUGCUUUUAAUAAGUUGGUCAAAUUUUUAUUAGCAGUUACUAAAUGUAAGUAGAUACCAAACCAUAAUAAGACUAGAACAAAAUUAAUAAAUAAUCCCAUGCAAUGCAUAUGACAAAUUGAAUUUAGUUUCAUAAUUUAAUCAUUCGAGAGUCCUGAGCUGCUCUUGACGGUGAGCUUGGCUACUAUACCAGUUUUACACUCUGUAGAGGUUGUACCCUGUACCCACAAGUCAUGUUACCCAUCUGCCAAGGGGUCAUGAGUCCCAUUGUCACACCCGGUUUUAGGGGGCAAAACCGAAUGCAUAGCAUAUGUGGGCCAUGAUCUAUUUCCACACAUAUGUUGAUGUCGCAAGUGUAAUAUAUCAAAAGAACAAUGCAUAAAAGCAUAAAUAACGAUUAUAUUAACAUAUUACACUUCGAACACACAUAAUGUCUUAACCUUUAUUCAUCAAAGUACAGCGAAACAUGGACAUCCAUCCACAGGAAGAUGACCGGGGGUAUCACUAGACUAGCAUCCAUGGAGCUCAGCAUCAUAACUUCAUCUGCAAACUUCUGAUCAAAAUUUAAGCAAGGGUGAGCUCACUUAUGGUCGGGGCUCAGCAAGUGGGGGAAAAUGCAAGGUAACAAGGUAAGGCUAAAGUUUAAUGUGAUUGGCAUUUUAGUUGGUCAACAUUUUACUAUCAACACCUGAUUACUAGGUAUAAGUAUAUAUCGAUCCCAAUUAAGCAUAAUUCAUAAUCAGCAUGAAUUUAAACCAUUUGAGCAAAUACCAUCAACAUGAAGCUCAACCUCUUGAGCGCACCACUUAAGCAUACCGCUUAAACAAAACCAAUCACGAUUCAUUUCCAUCUUCAAGUUCAAUUAUCAUGUGAGGGUCCAGGCUGCUCAUAACCAUGAGCACGGCUGAUAUAUCAGUUUUACACUCGGCAGAGGUGGCACAUCUUUACCCAUGAGUCGUGAUUCCCUUCUAGCCCGGGUUUGCAAGUCCUGUAUUCACUUCCGAGGUGACUGGCUAGGGUCUCACUACGAGGCUUUUCCCUAGAGUCCUCAUUAUGCAAAUGCUGGAAAUGGUCAAACUGCAUAAAGCACACCUAACGUAACCAACUUAUAGAUCAGUCUGUAGGGUAAAGCUUGGGAACUAUGCACAUAUCCAAUCUGCCUGAGCCGGAAAUAUAAGCGCUUGGCAGAUGCCCCCAUUCCGGGCGACCACGACCAGACCCAACAUAAGACUUCCCUAGUUAUUUAGCCAAGGUCGUCCCAUACCACCCUCAUGGUAGCACUGUUUUCCCGGGUGGUCACUCUAUGUUCCAAUUAAAUCAUAUGAUCUUACUUAAUCGUCAGAUUAGCAACAAUAAUGUAAACUUAUCAUUUGAAACAUUAAUAUCACAAACAGGAGUGACUGCAUAAAGUUAAGUUGUAGCAAUAGCAUAGCUACGAAGGCAAAGUAUAAUACCCAAGUUUGAUCAAGGAAUACAGUAGAAAAGGUUAGGUGUAUCUGAAUAGGUAACCCAUCAAAUGAUGCAUAUAUAUAUAUAUAUGCAUAAUAUAUAUAUAUAUAUAUAUAUCCAAGAAUAAACUUUAUGAAAUGUAUUGUUUGGGAUCAAACAGAGUAUGCAGAGGGAGAAGUCCACUUGCCUUGCUUAUUGAAACUUGAGUUUCUUCCACGGAUCGAAAUAGAUCUUGAUUCUUAACUACUAGAUCAACCACUCAAUAUAACACAAACAAACAAGAAGAAACAAACACCACUCAAUAACAUACAACAUUCACCAUACACAAAGCUAAAAGAAAGCUUAACGAAAAGAGCAUUCGUUUUCUAAGAACGUCGCAAGUAAUGGUUAUAAUAAGAAGGUAUUCUUUUAAAAAAUAUGUGAUCUAUACUUUAUAAAACAAGACAUGAGCUUAAAAAUAUCUUAAUUAAAAUAUACAAAUAUUAGGUUCACCUAUUUAAUCUUUUAUAAAACGUCACAUGUGAUAUGUCUAAGAUUAAGGGUUUAUAAGAUGAUAAAACACGUUAUAACGAUAUUAAACCUUUUUAACCUUUUAGAAAAGAUACAUGUUAUAUAUCUAAGGUUAAUGGGCUACGAAACACGUUAUUAAUUUUGGAAGCAUUAUGGAACAUCUUAUAAAUCAUUGUUAAACAUUCACUUAUGAUAAACUAAGAUAUAAGUCUAAAUAGGUUUUAUGUGAAAAGAUCAUUAUUAUUAAACACCUAUUUUUAUGAAAAGCUAGGUUAUAGGCCCUUAAGUAGAUUUUCAUGCAAAAGAUAAUGAACAAAUAACUACCUUUUAUUUUUUAUUAGAAGGCACAUGGUCUAUAUUCUUUAUUAAGAAAGCUAUAUACAAAACAAUAUGUAAAUUAACAUUUUUUAAAUAUAAAAAGAACAUGAACACUAAUUUCUUUAUUUAAUCCUUUAGGAAAACUAAAUGAUAUAUAUAUUUAAAUAAUAUGGAUUUAAUGUGAUGAACGGAUUAAUCACGCUUAUAUUACUAGUUAAGGACAAAUUGAAAUGUAAGCCUAAUUAAUAAAUUGUGAGAAAAUAUAAAUAAUCUAUUGAUUAUAUUUAGUUUCAAUUUAGGAAUAUAUGACCUAAAUCAUUUGAAAGGAAAAAUGUAUAAACUAUCAUUUUAGUUUAUAAAAGCAAUGACCCUUGUUAUCUUUUAAUUAAGAAAAUAUAAAUAAUCUAUUAAUUGGACAUAUAUUUAUCUUUUAUUUAUUAAGAAACAUAUGGUCUACAUAUUCUUUUAAGUUUCUAUUUAAUACGGCUAUACUUAAACAUCUAUAACGAACCUUGUUAAAUCAAAAACAUGAUAUCUAUUAAAAAGGUCAGUUUAAAAUUAGAAACAAAUUAUCUACUUUAUUAGUAAGAAACCUAUGUUUAACAACAUAACUAUCAUUUUCUUUAUUAGGAAAGUAUGAACGCCUAAUUAAGUCAUUUUAACAUUAUAAUAAAAUUCUAUUCUUUCGGGUUUUCUCCUUUCUUUCUUAAAUAGAAAUUAUACGUGUGGCUAAAAUUGUUUACUUAAUUCUUAUAACAUUAAUAUUCUAAGAAGUACUUGUAAAUUACUAAAUGGGACUUUUAAUAACAUAUUCAUGGUUAUUAUGACAUAAAUAAGUAUUUUACUAAUUCUAAGUAAUUUAAGUGCUAUACUUAUGAAUACAUUUAUCAUGAAUAGUAAAAUAUAUAUCUUCAUUUGACCAGGAAUAUGUGGCUUAGUAUUUAUUCUAUUUCUUUAUGUCAAUAAGUUUACACUUAAAAUACUACUAAUAAUUAUCGUUCCACACACACUAAAUCAAUUAUGAGCAAUCAAAAAUUAUUCCAAAUGCAAAUAAAAAUCAAACACUUAAAAGAAAAUUCAUUAUCAUAAUUACCAUUAAUAAACUAACUGCAUUAUUUUUAUUUAAUGGUUUUUAUAGUGUUACAAACCUACCCCUCUUAAAAGAAUCUCGUCCUCCAGAUUAAGGAAGGCUAGCAUGAAAGCAAAGGAGAUACAUGGUUAUUUGUAGGUUCUUAGUUCAUAUUGAACUCUUCUAAUAUUAAGGAACUUCCUUUCUUCUUUGCUCCGCAAUGUAUACUAAUCAAGCGACCUUCAUCAUCGUACUUAUAAAAGAGUUGGUCUUCUGAAUUAUUGCUUAGGUCAUGCUUGGCAGCUUUCUCCUCUAGUCGGUCUAGACGCUUCUUGGGGCAUUCGCGAAUAAUAUGUCCUUCAUUUUUGCAGUAGUAGCAAGCACCUCUUGCUUUAAGUUCUUUGCGAGUCAACUUUGCUUGACCAACAGGGGGUGAGGGUUGAUUUGGUGUUUGUAUCUCAUAUAGCUGAGCCUGACUUGAUUCUUCUGUUUGGGUAUCCAUGUGUUUCGUGGCUUUUGCUUGUGGUUGAGGUGGACUAAUCAUGUAUCCAAACAUUUUUCUAUUCCUUUUGUUGUUCUUCAUUCCAUUCAUCAAAUAUCUCUGUGACUCAUUUUUCUCGUUCAUAGUUGUUAAGGUAGGAAUAUUGGCGUUGGCAUCAUUUUCUUCAUUUCCGUUGGGGUUCAUCAUCUAGUCAGCGGGUAAAAGAGUUAGUGAGACAGACUACAUAAGAGGCUUGCAUGACAUUAAGAUAAAGAGCUAACACAACAUUUUGAUUUCCAAGAUAAGAUUAGUUAAGGAUGAUUUCCGAUUCCGCCUAGCUUCAUCAUACUACAAGAGUGUACAAGUGUUAUAAUCCUUAACAGAGAUCUUUUGAACCUUAUAUGAUAGGAACGGGGGUGCUCGAUCUUCCGUCAGGUGUAGGUAACUAUCAAUUUGGUGGAGAUGUCACACAGACGAUCCGGCUUCCAAUCAACACGACUAGAACCCCGCAAUCGCAGCACCACUUCUCCUCUAGUUAUCAACCAUGCACUGUGCGAUUGACCUUGCCACGAGGGCUAAUUCCUAGCUGAGAAUCGAAGACACAGGCAAGAACAAGAAAGAACACAAUCUAGAAUAUUGCGGAUGAAUGAUUAAGCUCACAAGUUGGGGUCUCACAAACCGAUCUACGGCGACUAUUCUUGAGAGAUCUAAACUUAAGCAAAACCCGCCUCUAACAAGGAUGUGGCGGCUAUUAAUAAAGACUCUAGGGCUAUGCAAACCCUAGACGCGCCCCUAAUGGGCUCAACGAAGAUACACGGCCCAAAAGCCCAAAAGACGGCGUCGCAACGUCGGAACAGAUUUUGAACGUCAACUUGGGCCUCCAUCUUGAUCCCGACGUCCUAGCUGGUCCUCCCCUUCAUUCCUAAGUACAAUUAAAUCAUUAGGUAGCAUACUACUCUCAAAUGCACAAGAAUAAUUACUUAGGAACGAGAUCACUUGUAAAUUCAAUUGUCGAACGCGUGCGCGAGUAAUUGGGUAGUCAACUUGAGGAGUGUUGUUUGUAUCCAUGGGAGUGAUGUCCUCAUCAUCCUCCCCCUCUUGAAGUGGAGUCAUCCUUGACUCAAGCUCAUCUUCUUCUCCCAAAUAUGGCUUUAAAUCUGAAAUAUUAAAGGUGGGACUAAUCCCAAACUCGGGGGGCAACUCAAGUUUAUAUGCAUUGUCAUUAAUCUUCUCCAAAAUUUUAAAUGGUCCAGCAACACGGUUGGGCAAGAUCGCUCCAGGAAUCAAAUCAAUCUGGUGCUCAAUCCCACAAAUGGGAGGAAGUCCUUGAGGUAACUAAGAGGGAAAACAUCUCAGAACUGCUGCAAAAGGUUAGCCACAGAUGCAGGCAAAGUGCUAGCAAUAUCAUCAAUAGAAAAGAAAGCAUCUUUGCAUACCAAGACAUAGCAACAAGCAUCAGUAGCAUGAGUUUCAAGCAGAUCAGAUUUAGUAGCAAGCAUGACAGGAGCUUUCAAUUUAAUUUGUUGCUGAAUUUAUGUCUCAUUAGUUGGUUCCUUAUGGGUACUUGUAGCUCUAUCUUUAUCAGCUUGUACAAUUUCAGCAAGAGUCAAAGGUAGCAAAGUAAUGCUUUUAUCUUUAUGCCUAAAAGUGUAUGUAUUACUCCUACCAUGGUGACGUGCAUCAGUAACAUAUUCCCAAGGUCUACCCAACAAAAGAGAACAAGCUUCCAUAGGUACUACAUCGCAAUUCGCAUAAUCAGAAUACAUACCAAUGGAGAAAUGCACUCGUACCAUGUGUGUUACCUUAACCUUGCCUGAAUCAUUGAUCCACUGAAUGUGGUAUGGAUGUGGCCGUGGACGUGUGGUAAGGCCAAGCUUCUUGACCAAAUCUGAACUCACCAAAUUAUUGCAGCUUCCACCAUCAAUAAUAACACGUGCAUGCCGAUUCUCGAUGGAGAAGAAAGUCUGGAACAAAGUAUGGUGUUGCUGCUUCUCUGAUGAUUUAGGCUGAGAACUAAGAACACGCUGCACCAUGAUGCUUUGAAGAUUCACCGUAGCAUCAGCACCAAGCAUGGCAUCAUCAUUAGCAGCAACAUCACUGGAGUCAUCAUCGUCACCCUCACCGUCGAAAGCACUAAUGUAGCCAUCAUCCGUAGCAAUGUAUGUUCGCUGACUCGGGCAAUCCUUCUUCACGUGACCAAUCCCAUGACAGCGGUGGCAAACAAUACCCGAAGAACGACCACUGGAAGGUGCUGCAGGUGCUGGUGAAUUCUGUUUCUUGGCGGGUAGUUGUAAAGGAAGGUUACCAACAUGUGCAGCAGGUGUCAAAGGUGUAUGAAUCGAGGCAGCUGUGUGCGUCCAUGAUGUAGAGGAGGCGCCAAAAAUAUCCCUAGAUCGAUGUUGGCGUCCCUGUAAUUCCUUCUCUGCAAGCAUAGUAAACUGGAACAACUUGUUGACAGUGUUAAAUUCUUUGUAAUCCACAAUGUCCUGAAUGUCAUGCCGCAAACCUGAAUAAAAACGGCAAAGAGCGUCCUCAUGUCCCUCUACUAUCCCACAACGCUGCAAUCCCUUCUGAAGCUCAGCAUAAUAAUCUUGAACAGAUUUAUCCCCUUGCUCUAAACACAUCAAUUUCUUACGCAAUUCUCUAUGAUAAGAUGGGGGAACAAAUCUAUCGCGCAUAGCUACCUUAAGAUCUUCCCAAGUCGUAGGUGCUCUACCAUCCCCAACUAGACCAGUCCACCAGACAAUAGCAAAAUCUUUAAAUUCACUAGUGGCUUGUCUAACUUGAUGUCGUUCAGGUACAAGGUGGGCAGCAAGUUUCUGUUCUAUCGUCAUCUCCCAAUCAAGAUAUCCCUCAGCAUCAUAAUGACCCGAAAAAGAAGGUAUAGAAAAUUUAAUCUUAGCAUAAGGGUCGUCAGGAGCAUGAUUGUUAUUACCUUGCUGGCAGUGUGGCAUACCUUCUGUGUUUUGAUGAAGACGACGACGUAGGCGCAAAUCUCUGGUGGCCGCUUCAUCAUAAUUACCUUCUUCAUCAAACACCGCAUCAUCGGGAAGACGUGGACGAGGAGGUGGUGGUGGCGGUGCUUGUUGUUGCGUCUCCAACACAGCAAGUCUGUCGACGAUCUGGGACAAUCGUCGAUCCAGCCUCUCGUAAGUCUUGCCAAGGUUCAUGUCAAUGAAGGCAUCAUGCACUGACUUGUGGACCAUCUCCUCCAUUUGCUCCUUCGGGAGCUUGUUGUUUGCCUCAAGAUCUUGGCGGCUAACACAUUCAUCGAAGUAUGUAGGGAUCCUUGCUUCUUUGUUGUCGCCUGCCAUCGAAACACAAAAAUAGGAAACAAACGAUGACGGUUAUCCCUGAUAAUUUCACUACACGCUCCUCUCAGGUGGAACACAGGAACACGCUCUAAUGUAUCUUACCAAGCUCUUACAAGUGUCUGACGAAAUACAAGCAAAUGAUGGUACAAUCGGAGGCUAGUUCGUGAUACUUACCAAGAGGUAGUGAAACCGCGAUUACAAGGUCAAAUCUGUAUUGAUCAGAAGAUAUAGUAUGUGGAGCUGUAGGACAGGCACAAUAUGUAUGUGAAUGUGGAACAAAAUCGAGUGCAGAUGAGCGAAGUUCAAUAAAUAUCCAAAGCACAAAUCACAAUUGUUGGCUAAGAGAUGUAUCCGAGGCGUAUCACAACAAGCUGGAACAAGGAACAAUGGAAAUAGUAGAAUGGCAGUACCGUAAAUGUUGUACUCGCGAGGCCAAAAAGGCACUAGUAGGAUUCACUGGUGAUUUUGUUUUUCUUUUUUGUAUGAUUUCUUUGAUAUUUUUAUCAGCACAAGAAGCAACAAAAUAGGAGCUACACCAAGUUUCACCUAAAACAGAGAUCAGAUGUGGUCUACAGAAAAUGAGCAAGUUCUCUGAAAAGCGUGCAAGAGCUUUGACAAUUUUUUCUUUAUUUUCCUGAUUUUUUUGGAAAAUUUUAUCGAAACCAAACAGGCCGUAUGCGAGUUUGGCUGGCCUCAGAAUGGUGUCAACAAGCUCCUGUAAAAAUUUUAGAUUUUUUGGACACCCGAGCGAAAAGUUAUGCCCGGUUUAAGGAAGGUACCUCAAGUUAUGUUUUUGGAGGCACGACUAGAAAGCGGCGGCUAGGGCAAAAAUUCCCUAUCUGCAAUCACAGCGGUUAGGGCAAGUCGAUUAAUGGGGUGGAUCGACUUGUGAUCUGGGUAAUGGUGGAUGGGAUAGCGGCGUAUCUGCAAUCUAUCUAGGGCUGGCGCGGCGGCGGCUAGCGAGGGCAAGUCGAUUAAUGGGUGGAUCGACUUGUGAUCUGGGUAAUGGUGGAUAGUAUAGCGACUAGCGAGGGUAGUUGAUCUACGACGAAGAUACACCCUAAACCAGCAACACGACUCAACCACGGACACGAACUGAACAAAGCGAAUCUGAAAACGAAAUUGCAAAGGCUAAACAAGGGUUCUAGGACAACGGAAUUUUUUUUGUAUGGCAAUUAUCUGGAGUUAUAGGAUGAAAAACCUAAACUAAACUAGGGUAAGCUUGACGGUAAUACCUGAGUAUUUGAAUACCACUUGAUAGGAACGGGGGUGCCCGAUCUUUCGUCAGGUGUAGGUAACUAUCGAUUUGGUGGAGAUGUCACACAGACGAUCUGGCUUCCAAUCAACACGACUAGAACCCCGCAAUCGCAACACCACUUCUCCUCUGGUUAUCAACCGUGCACUGCGCGAUUGACCUCGCCACGAGGGCUAAUUCCUGCCUGAGAAUCAAAGACACAAGCAAGAACAAGAAAGAACACAAUCUAGAAUAUUGCGGAUGAAUGAUUAAGCUAACAAGUUGGGGUCUAACAAACCGAUCUACGGCGACUAUUCUUAACAGAUCUAAACUUAAGCAAAACCCGCCUCUAACAAGGAUGUGCCGGCUAUUAAUAAAGACUCUAGGGUUAUGCAAACUCUGGACGCGCCCCUAAUGGGCUCAACGAAGAUACAUGGCCCAAAAGCCCAAAAGACGGCGUCGCAGCACCUGAACAGAUUCUGAACGUCAACUUGGGCCUCCAUCUUGAUCCCGACGUCCUAGCUGGUCCUCCCCUUCAUUCCUAAGUACAAUUAAAUCAUUAGGUAGCAUACUACUCUCAAAUGCACAAGAAUAAUUACUUAGGAACGAGAUCAAUUGUAAAUUCAAUUGUCGAGCGUGUGCGCGAGUAAUUGGGUAGUCAACUUGAGGAGUGUUGUUUGUAUCCAUGGGAGUGAUGUCCUCAUCAUUAUAGAUUUUAGAGCAUGAUAUCCAAAUCAUCUUCCUAAUCCAACAGUAUUUUUUAGCACAAUUUGAUAGAAAGACUUGAGCGGGACUUUAGGGCAACUAGAGUGGAGCAUCACAUUGUUUGCAUAUAGCAGAUGACACCAUACUUUAUUCUCUUUAUAAAGAGGCAAAACACAAUAGGUGCGAGAGAUUCUCCAAAUUUAUUCAUAUAUCACCUAGCACAAUUACAAAUCUUGAAAGGGGCAACACCUUGUCAUUUUUUUCUUCGUGAGACAUACUCCUUCUAGCUAAAUGAUAUAUUAUUCUUCCUUGUCAGAUGCACCAAUCAGAGCUGGAGGUCGAUUGUCUUCAACUACUAUUCUUUCUCUAGAUGGGGUUUCCAAACACAUGGUUCUCUCAGUAUGUUGGAUUACUGCCUUAGUUCUUUGUAACCAAUUCUUUCCAAGAAUCACAUCCUUUCCCAUUGUUUCUAUCACUAUAAGAUCAGCUAGAAAAUCUAUCCCAUUGAUUUUAACACUUACAUUUGGACAUAUGUAGUUUACUAACAUUUUUCUUUCCGGUGCACUGAUGGUCUUCCUUGAUCUCAAGGGACACUUAAAGAUACCAUACUUUGUUGCAAACUGGGCACUAAUAAAAGAAUGUGUUGUACGAGGAUCAUACAACACAGUGGCGAUGGUUGUGUGAAUGACGAGUGUUCCAAAAAUUACUGCAUUUUCAUAUGGAAUGGUUCCUGUCACUGCAUAACUUGUCCUUCCUAUGGACUUUUUCUGUUGUUUAUUCUUUAUUGAUGCAUGAGUUUGAGGGUGUUGUAUUUUCUUUUGGACCUUAUUGAUCUCCACAUCCUUCUUAGGACAACUAUUAAGAAGAUGGCCGGUAUCACCACAGCCAAAGCAAGCACGACUUGAUGAGUUACAUGGUGGAGUUGUCUUUACGUUGUUGGUAGAAGUUUCUGUGCAUUUUUGUUCAUAUUCCAUGUCUGAAGACUGAGAUAGCUUCAUCUCGGAAGUGAUCUGUAGUGAACUCUUCUCAGGACAGUUACGGAAGUAAUGGCCUUCAUGUCCACAUUGAUAGCAAGCUUUUCUUGAAGUUAUUUCUUGACUUUUUCCAUGUUUCCCUUUUUGUUUCUUGGACCUAAUGUGACCACGAGGCUGAAACUGUGUGCAAGUAAUAGUCCAUCCAUCAAUGUAACACUCAUGUGUUUCUUCUUGGGGGCUGGGCAUCCUUGUGAUGUUUCCUUUUUGAAAUACUUUGCAAUUCAUCAACUGACAGGGCAUUAGGUAUAAGAGACUCUGCUACUAGUUGUUCAGGGGAAGACAUCUAUCUUUUUAUGCCAGAAAAUAAAAUCUGGUUCUUCUGUUUUGCAGUUUCAUGUUCAUUUGCAUUGAUUUGGCGACAAGGAAUUCCAUAGUACUCAUAACAACAUGUUCUAAGGUCACUUGUCUGUUGGUUUGGUUGUGCAUCCUUUUGUGUCUUUAAUGUCUGUUCAUCAGUUGUUUUAUUUAUAGUGUUGUUUUGACUUGCCAACACACAGCAUUCUUUGCAUUUAGUGACAUCACUUGUAGUUGACAUUCCAAGGUCUGACAUCUGUAUGGGUAUGGAAGAAUGGAAGGGACGAAAAUUUUGAGCAAAGACAGACUGUAGAGAGUAGAGAAAACCCAUCUAUCUAAGGUUUUACCUAGCUAACUGAUGCCGUUGUGGACAAAAGUCACACAAUACACCAAUAAUCAUUUCAAAGAAGCAAAUCAAACAUGAACACAAAGGACAAUGAACUCAAGCAUACCAGCACAACACAACUCAAUUCUACACAUUCAACCAAAACAAAAGGUGAGACAAGGUUUGGAAUAAGAAAGAUAUUAUAAAGUCAAGGAGUCAGGUAAGAAAUAGCGAGGAGUCAUACAAGACAUGUUUGUUGGUGGCCAAGAGUGAAAUAAGCUAACCAUGAACUAUUAAAGUGAGGAUAAAUGAUACAAUCAAGGAUAUGAAGUGAGUUAGGGAGAAAGCUUUAUCAAGGAGACAAAAUAGGUAAGCAUUAUCAAGGAGAAGUAGUGAGGCAAAGAUUUCAAUAUAUCAAGGUAGAUAUUACCCAAGGAUGGCAAUACAAUGGUAAGAAAACAAAAGUAUAAGAAGUCAAGGGUUAUAUAGCAAUAUUAUGGAUUAGAGAACCACUAUAAUAUAAUCUUGCCCUUACCGAUCUAGUCGAAAAUCUUAAUACUAAAGAACAAUCCUAUCAACCUAGUCAAGAAGUCUGGUAAUAGAUCCAAGUGAUCCAUAACAAAACUUCUUGCGGAGUGGGGAUAAGAUAGAGAAUAAGGCAUCAUCAAUAGCUUCAAAAGAGUUUCUUCUGACAAUCUUCGCUUCAAGUUCCAUAAUCUUGCUUGAUCAUUUUGCAAUGCUUCUCAUUAUAACCUUCUGAUAGACGAAGAAUCAGACAAGAAGGGUUGAAGAUAAAAGAGACGAGUUUUGAUAUAAAGUAAGUUUUUAUGGAGACAAUUAAGUCAAGUUUUGAACGACUGACUGGGCUUUCCAUUUCUAACUAAUCUAGCGACCUACGGUCACAUUGCUUUGAUACCACUUCUGUCACACCCGGUUUUAGGGGGCAAAACCCAAUGCAUAGCAUAUGUGUGCCAUGAUCUAUUUCCACACAUAUGCUGACAUCACAAGUGUAAUAUAUCAAAAGAACAAUGCAUAAAAGCGUAAAUAACGAUUAUAUUAACAUAUUACAUUUCGAACAGACAUAGUGCCUUAACCUUUAUUCAUCAAAGUACAGCGAAACAUGGACAUCCAUCCAUAGGAAGAUAACCGGGGGUAUCACUAGACUAGCAUCCAUGGAGCUCAGCAUCAUAACUUCAUCUGCAAACUUCUGAUCAAAAUUUAAACAAGGGUGAGCUCACUUAAUGUCGGGGCUCAGCAAGUGGGGGAAAAUGCAAGGUAACAAGGUAAGGCUAAAGUUUAAUGCGAUUGGCAUUUUAGUUGGUCAACAUUUUACUAUCAACACCUGAUUACUAGGUAUAAGUAUAUACCAAUCCCAAUUAAGCAUAAUUCAUAAUCAGCAUGAAUUUAAACCAUUUGAGCAAAUACCAUCAACAUGAAGCUCAACCUCUUGAGCGCACCACUUAAGCAUACCGCUUAAACAAAACCGAUCACCAUUUAUUUCCAUCUUCAAGUUCAAUUAUCAUGUGAGGGUCCAGACUGCUCAUAACCGUGAGCACGACUGAUAUAUCGGUUUUACACUCUGCAGAUGUGGCACAUCUUUACCCAUAAGUCGCGAUUCCCUUCUAGCCCAGGUUUGCAAGUCCCGUAUUCACUUCCGAGGUGACUGGCUAGGGUCUCACUACGAUGCUUUUCCCUAGAGUACUCAUUAUGCAAAUGCUGGAAAUGGUCAAACUGCAUAAAGCACACCUAACAUAACCAACUUAUAGACCAGUCUGCAGGGUAAAGCUUGGGAACUAUGCCCGUAUCCAAUCUGCCUGAGCCAGAAAUAUAAGCGCUUGGCAGAUGCCCCCGUUCCGGUCGACCACGACCAACACCCAACAUAAGGCUUCCCUAGUUAUUUAGCCAAGGGCGUCCCAUACCACCCUCAUGGUAGCACUGUUUUCCCGGGUGGUCACUCCAUGUUCCAAUUAAAUCAUAUGAUCUUGCUUAAUCGUCAGAUUAGCAACAAUAAUAUAAACUUAUCAUUUGGAACAUUAAUAUCACAAACAUGAGUGACUGCAUAAAGUUAAGUUAGCAUAGCUACGAAGGUAAAGUAUAAUACCCAAGUUUGAUCAAGGAAUACGGUAGAAAAGGUUAGGUGUAUCCGAAUAGGUAACCCAUCAAAUUAUGCAUAUAUAUAUAUCCAAGAAUAAACUUUAUUAAAUGUAUUGUUUGGGAUCAAACAAAGUAUGCACAGGGAGAAGUCCACUUGCCUUGCUUAUUGAAACUUGAGUUUCUUCUACGGAUCGGAAUAGAUCUAGAUUCUUAACUGCUAGAUCAACCACUAAAUAUCACACAAACAAACAAGAAGAAACAAACAACACUCAAUAACAUACAAAUUUCACCAUACGCAAAGCUAAAAGAAAGCUUAACGAAAAGAGCAUUCGUUUUCCAAGAACGUCGCAAGUAAUGGAUAUAAUAAGAAGGUAUACUUUUCAAAAAUGUGUGAUCUAUACUUUAUAAAACAAGACAUGAGCUUAAAAAUAUCUUAAUUAAAAUAUACAAAUAUUAGGUUCACAUAUUUAAUCUUUUAUAAAACGUCACAUGUGAUAUGUCUAAGAUUAAGGGUUUAUAAGAUGAUAAAACACGUUAUAACGAUAUUAAACCUUUUUAACCUUUUAGAAAAGAUACAUGUUAUAUAUCUAAGGUUAAUGGGCUACGAAACACGUUAUUAUUUUUGGAAGCAUUAUGGAACAUCUUAUAAACCAUCGUUAAACAUUCACUUAUGAUAAACUAAGAUAUAAGUCUAAAUAGGUUUUAUGUGAAAAGAUCAUUAUUAUUAAACACCUAUUUUUAUGAAAAGCUAGGUUAUAGGCCCUUAAGUAGAUUUUCAUGCAAAAGAUAAUGAACAAAUAACUAUCUUUUAUUUUUUCAUUAGAAGGUACAUGGUCUAUAUUCUUUAUUAAGAAAGCUAUAUACAAAACAAUAUGUAAAUUAACAUUUUUAAUUAUUAAAAGAACACGAACACUAAUUUCUUUAUUUUAUCCUUUAGGAAAACUAAAUGAUAUAUAUAUUUCAAUAAUAUGGAUUCAAUGUGAUGAAUGGAUUAAUCACGAUUAUAUUACUAGUUAAGGACAAAUUGAAAUAUAAGCCUAAGUAAUAAAUUGUGAGAAAAUAAAAAUAAUCUAUUGAUUAUAUUUAGUUUCAAUUUAGGAACAUAUGACCUAAAUCAUUUGAAAAGAAAAAUGUAUAAACUAUCAUUUUAGUUUAUAAAAGCAAUGGCCCUUAUUAUCUUUUAAUUAAGAAAAUAUAAAUAAUCUAUUAAUUGGACAUAUAUUUAUCUUUUAUUUAUUAAGAAACAUAUGGUCUACAUAUUCUUUUAAGUUUCUAUUUAAUACGGCUAUACUUAAACAUCUAUAACGAACCUUGUUAAAUAAAAAACAUGAUAUCUACUAAAAAGGUCAGUUUAAAAUUAGAAACAAAUUAUCUACUUUAUUAGUAAGAAACCUAUGUUUAACAACAUAACUAUCAUUUUCUUUAUUAGGAAAGUAUGAGCGCCUAAUUAAGUCAUUUUAACAUUGUAAUAAAAUUCUAUUCUUUCAGUUUUUCUCCUUUCUUUCUUAAAUAGAAAUUAUACAUGUGGCUAAAAUUGUUUACUUAAUUCUUAUAACAUUAAUAUUCUAAGAAGUACUUGUAAAUUACUAAAUGAAAAUUUUAAUAACAUAUUCAUGGUUAUUAUGACAUAAAUAAGUAUUUUACUAAUUCUAAGUAAUUUAAGUGCUAUACUUAUGAAUACAUUUAUCAUGAAUAGUAAAAUCUAUAUCUUUAUUUGACCAGGAAUAUAUGACUUAGUAUUUCUUCAUGUCAAUAAGUUUACACUUAAAAUACUACUAACAAUUAUCGUUCCACACACACUAAAGCGAAAUUCAAUCUGUAAACGUUUUCUAGUAUGAAAAUCACCGAGGUAGUGAAUAGUGACAGUAUUCAUUUUAAAAUUAUAAAAUCGUAGACAUAUCCGAAGUAUUGCCACGGAGUUCGAAUUUGGCUACACGUAUACAUCGCAAUCUCUUAAAUCAUACAUGUAUACACAUAUCCCAAAAUUAAUUGAAUUCGCAAACCAGAGGCAAAAUCGCAAAUUUGCCUUCUUCUACCUUGGUGUUUUUGUUCAUGCACAUGAAUGGAGGUCGACGUGCAGGGAGGCGGUCUUGGCGGGUAGGGAACGGGCGCGGCCGAGGUGCCGCGCGGACGGAGCUCCGACGGGGCUCCACGGACAGCGGGGCGGACGGCGACGGCGUGGGCGAACUCCAACGACGGCGUGGGCGAGCAAGGAGUGUGUGUGAGAGAGAGGGGCGAGCUCGGGUAGGGAGGAGGGAGAGAGGAGCUCGGUUCCAUUUAUAGGGAGAGGAUAGGGCGCCGGGGGAGGGAAGAGAAACGACGGCCGACCAUGAAUUCCAUUAAUGGCGCCAUCAGUUUCAAUGGGAAAGAACGUGGGGGGAAGAGAAACGGCUGCAUUGAAGCUUCUUUACGCCGAGGGAGAACGGUCGCGGGCGGGGUCGCUUGGGCGCGACACUCGGGCGUCGGGCUGGCUCGGCGGUCCUGGCGCGGUCGGACGGCCAAGCGCGGUGCUGGGCGCGCGGGUGGCGCGAGGUGUCGGGAUCGGCGCCUGGGCUGCUUUGCUUGGCCACGGGGGCGCGGUUCCUGGCGUCGGGCUCCUGGGCGCGGCCCAACAAUGGCUUGGCGCGAGCUGGUGCAGCACGUCGGGCGGUCAGCUACGUCCUGGCGACUGCGCGUGGAAGGGAAGCAAGGGGAGAGGGGAGGAGAUAGAGGGCUGGGUGGGGCCCGCUUGCAAGAGAGAGAAAAGGGGAGGGGGAAAGUUCCUUGCGGCGGUGGCGGCUUCAGCUGGGAGGGGGACGCGCGUGGCUGGGAGUAUUCCUUUUUUUGUUUUUUUCUAUUUCUUUUCUAAGUUCAAAAAAAUAUUUUAAACAACCCUAAAAUUCAUAAUAAUUAAACCAAAAUUAUUUAUAAGUAAAAUAUUUAUUUUUGGAGUAAUAAUUAUUAUAUUAUUUAUUUGGAUUUCCAUUUAAGAAGAAAUUCUAUUAAAUAUCCAAAAUCAAUUAUGAGCAAUCAAAAAUUAUUCCAAAUACAAAUAAAAAUUAAACACUUAAAAGGAAAUUCAUUAUCAUAAUUACCAUUAAUAAACUAUCUGCAUUAUUUUUAUUUAAUGGUUUUUAUAGUGUUACACCCAUACACAUCUACCAAGUGAAAGUCACCUAAAGGGGGUGAAUAGGCAAAUCUGAAAUUAAUAAAGUUUAAGCACAACUACAAGCCGAGGUUAGCGUUAGAAAUAUAAUCGGGUCCGAAAGAGAGGGGGAAAACAAAUCACAAGCGAAUAAGAGCGGAUGACACAGUGAUUUGUUUUACCGAGGUUCGGUUCUUGCAAACCUACUCCCCGUUGAGGUGGUCACAAAGACCGGGUCUCUUUCAACACUUUUCCUCUCUCAAACGGUCACUUAGACCGAGUGAGCUUCCUUCCUCGAUUUCCCGGGUCACUUAGACCCCGCAAGGACCACCACACAAUUGGUGUCUCUUGCUUCGCUUACAAGGCUUUAAGAGUAAGAAUGAGAGAAAGAAGAAAGGCCAACCAAGCAACAAGAACAACAAAAGAAUACAAGUCGAUCUUCUCACAAGUCCUAAAAACUAGAGUUGAAUUGUGGACUUUGAUUUGAUCGGUGGCUUUGAUUUGUGUCUUGGAGUGUUGUGUAUUGCUCUUGUAUUGAAUGAGGAGUAGUGAAUGCUUGGAUGCCUUGAAGAGUGGUGGUUGGGGGGUAUUUAUAGCCCCAACCACCAAAAUGGUCGUUGGGGAAGGCUGCUGUCGUAUGGCGCACCGGACAGUCCGGUGCGCCAGCCACGUCACCCAACCGUUAGGGUUCGACCGUUUGAGCUUCUGACAUGUGGGCCACCGGACAGUCCGGUGGUGCACUGGAUAGCUCCUGUUCACUGUCCGGUGCGCCAUCUGGUGCCUGCUCUGACUCUGCGCGCGCAGUCGUGCACUGUUCACUGUUCCUAUAGCUGUUGCAGACGACCGUUGGCGCAGGUAGCCGUUGCUCCGCUUGGCACACCGAACAGUCCGGUGGUACACCGGACAGUCCAGUGAAUUAUAGCAGAGUGGCUCCUAGAAUUCCCGAAGGUGGCAAGUUUGGAGUCGAACUCCCUGGUGCAUCGGACACUGUCCGGUGGCACACCGGACAGUCCGGUGCGCCAGAUCAGGGCAGCCUUCGGUUGUCUUUUGCUCUUUUUAUUUGAACCCUUUCUUGGACUUUUUAUUGGUUUGUGUUGAACCUUUGGCACCUGUAGAACUUAUAAUCUAGAGCAAACUAGUUAGUCCAAUUAUUUGUUUUGGGCAUUUCAACCACCAAAAUCAUUUAGGAAAAGGUGUGAGCCUAUUUCCCUUUCAAUCUCCCCCUUUUUGGUGAUUGAUGCCAACACAAACCAAACCAAAUAUAUAAGUGCAUAAUUGAACUAGUUUGCUUAAUGUAAGUGCAAAGGUUACUUGGAAUUCAACUAAUAUACAUUUCAUAAGAUAUGCAUGGAUGCUUUCUUCAUUUUUAACAUUUUGGACCACGCUUGCACCACUUGUUUUGUUUUUUGCAAAUGUUUUGGAAAUUCUUUUUCAAAGUCUUUUGCAAAUAGUCAAAGUUAUAUGAAUAAGAUUUUGAUAAGCAUUUUCAAGAUUUGAAUUUUUCUCCCCGUGUUUCAAAUGCUUUUCCUUUGACUAAACAAAACUCCCCCUCAAUGACAUUCUCCUCUUAGUGUUCAAGAGGGUUUUAGAUAUUACUUUUGAAAGAGGUCAUACCAAUUUGAAAUUAUAUCAAAAAUAAGAUACCAAUUGAAAAAACUCUUUAAUACAAAUUGAAAGACUACAAAUUUUUGAAAUUGGUGGUGGUGCGGUCCUUUUGCUUUGGGCUAAUACUUUCUCCCCCUUUGGCAUGAAUCGCCAAAAACGGAUACUUGUGAGUGAAAUAUAAGCCCUUUUUCAAACUUUCUCCCCCUUUGGUAGAUAAUAUAGGAGUGAAGAUUAUACCAAAUUGGAGAGCGGUGUGGAGCGACGGCGAAGGAUGAAUAAUUCGAUGGAGUGGAGUGGAAGCCUUAUCUUCGCCGAAGACUCCAUUUCCCUUUCAAUCUAUGACUUAGCAUGAAAUACACUUGAAAAGCACAUUAGUCAUAGCAUAUGAAAUAGAUGAUCAAAGGUAUAUAUGAGCAAUGUGUGCAAAAUAUCAAUCAAAAUUCCUAGAAUCGAGAAUGUUUAGCUCAUGCCUAAGUUUGGUAAAUGUUUUCUCAUCUAAUGGCUUGGUAAAGAUAUCGGCUAAUUGAUCUUUGGUGCUAACAUAUGCAAUCUCGAUAUUCCCCCUUUGUUGGUGAUCCCUUAAAAAGUGAUACCGAAUGACUAUGUGCUUAGUGCGGUUGUGCUCAACGGGAUUAUCCGCCAUGCGGAUUGCACUCCCAUUAUCACAUAGGAGAGGAACUUUGGUUAAUUUGUAACCAUAGUCCCUAAGGGUUUGCCUCAACCAAAGCAAUUGCGUGCAACAAUGACCUGCGGCAAUGUACUCAGCUUCACCGGUAGAUAGAGCUACAUAAUUUUGUUUCUUAGAAGCCCAAGACACCAGGGAUCUUCCCAAGAACUGGCAAGUCCCUGAUGUGCUCUUUCUAUCAAUUUUACACCCUGCCCAAUCAGCAGCGAAAUAACCAAUUAAAUCAAAUGUGGAUCCCUUGGGGUACCAAAGGCCAAACAUAGGAGUAUGAACUAAAUAUCUCAAGAUUCGUUUUACGGCCCUAAGGUGAACUUCCUUAGGAUCGGCUUGGAAUCUUGCACACAUGCAUACGGAAAGCAUAAUAUCCGGUCGAGAUACACAUAAAUAAAGUAGAGAUCCUAUCAUCGACCGGUAUACCUUUUGAUCUACGGAUUUACCUCCCGUGUCGAGGUCGAGAUGCCCAUUAGUUCCCAUGGGUGUCUUGAUGGGCUUGACAUCCUUCAUCCCAAACUUGGUGAGUAUGUCUUGAAUGUACUUCGUUUGGCUGAUGAAGGUGCCCUCUUGGAGUUGCUUCACUUGAAAUCCUAAGUACUUCAACUCCCCCAUCAUAGACAUCUCGAAUUUUUGAACCAUAAUCCUACUAAACUCUUCACAUGUAGAUUUGUUAGUAGACCCAAAUAUGAUAUCAUCAACAUAAAUUUGGCAUACGAACAAAUCAUUUGCAAUUGUUUUAGUAAAGAGAGUAGGAUCAUCUUUUCCGACUUUGAAGCCAUUAGCGAUAAGAAAAUCUCUUAGGCAUUCAUACCAUGCUCUUGGGGCUUGCUUGAGCCCAUAAAGCGCCUUAGAGAGUUUAUAGACAUGGUUAGGGUACUCACUAUCUUCAAAGCCAGGAGGUUGCUCAACAUAGACCUCCUCCUUGAUUGGUCCAUUAAGGAAGGCACUCUUCACGUCCAUUUGGUAAAGCUUAAAGCCAUGGUAAGUAGCAUAGGCAAGUAAUAUGCGAACUGACUCAAGCCUAGCUACGGGUGCAUAGGUUUCACCGAAAUCCAAACCUUCGACUUGUGAAUAUCCCUUGGCCACAAGUCGGGCUUUGUUCCUUGUCACCACACCAUGCUCGUCUUGCUUGUUGCGGAAGACCCACUUGGUUCCUACAACAUUUUGAUUAGGACGUGGAACAAGAUGACAUACCUCAUUCCUUGUGAAGUUGUUGAGUUCCUCUUGCAUCGCCAACACCCAAUCCGAAUCCUUUAAUGCGUCUUCCACCCUGUAUGGCUCAAUAGAAGACACAAAGGAGUAAUGUUCACAAAAAUGAGCAACACAAGAUCGAGUGGUUACCCCCUUUUGAAUAUCGCCGAGGAUAGUGUUCAUGGGGUGAUCUCUUUGUAUUGCUUGGUGGACUCUUGGGUGUGGCGGCCUUGGACCCUCAUCAUCUUCCUUGUCUAGAUCAUUAGCAUCUCCCCCUUGAUCAUUGUCCUCCUCUUGAGGUGGCUCCUCUUGAUCUUCAUUUUCAUCAUCUUAUGAUUGAUCCUCAUCUUGGGUUGGUGGAGAUGCUUGAUUUGAAGAUGAUGGUUGAUAUUGUGUAUGUGAAGGCUCUUCGGAUUCCUUAGGACACACAUCCCCAAUGGACAUGUUCCUUAGCGCGACACACGGAGCCUCUUCAUCAUCUAGCUCAUCAAGAUCAACUUGCUCUACUUGAGAGCCAUUAGUUUCAUCAAACACAAUGUCACAAGAAACUUCAACUAGUCCAGUGGACUUGUUAAAGACUAUAUAUGCCCUUGUGUUUGAAUCAUAACCAAGUAAAAAGCCUUCUACAGCCUUAGGAGCAAAUUUAGAUUUUCUACCUCUUUUAACAAGAAUAAAUUAUUUGCUACCAAAGACUCUAAAAUAUGAAACAUUGGGCUUUUUACCGGUUAGGAGUUCAUAUGAUGUCUUCUUGAGGAUUCGAUGAAGAUAGAGACGGUUGAUGGCGUAGCAAGCGGAGUUGUUUGCUUCCGCCCAAAACCGGUCCGAAGUUUUAUACUCAUCAAGCAUGGUCCUCACCAUGUCAAGUAGAGUUCUAUUCUUCCUCUCCACUACACCAUUUUGUUGAGGUGUGUAGGGAGAAGAGAACUCAUGCUUGAUGCCCUCGUCCUCAAGGAAGCCUUCUAUUUGUGAGUUCUUGAACUCCGUCCCGUUGUCGCUUCUAAUCUUUUUGAUCCUUAAGCUGAACUCAUUUUGAGCCCGUCUCAAGAAUCCCUUUAAGGUCUCUUGGGUUUGAGAUUUAUCCUGCAAAAAGAACACCCAAGUGAAGCGAGAAUAAUCAUCCACAAUAACUAGGCAGUACUUACUCCCGCCGAUGCUUAUGUAAGCUAUCGGGUCGAAUAAAUCCAUGUGGAGUAGCUCAAGCGGCCUGUCAGUUGUCAUGAUGUUCUUGUGUGGAUGAUGUAUACCAACUUGCUUCCCUGCUUGGCAUGCGCUACAAACCCUGUCUUUCUCAAAAGGAACAUUUGUUAGUCCCAAAAUGUGUUCUCCCUUUAGAAGUUUGUGAAGAUUCUUCAUCCCAACGUGGGCUAGUCGACGAUGCUAGAGCCAACCCAUGUUAGUCUUAGCAAUUAAGCAAGUGUCGAGUUCAGCUCUAUUAAAAUCAACUAAGUAUAGCUGACCCUCUAACACUCCUUUAAAUGCUACUGAAUCAUCACUUCUUCUAAAGACAGUAACACCUAUAUCUGUAAAAAGACAGUUGUAACCCAUUUUGCAUAAUUGAGAAACAGAAAGCAAGUUGUAAUCUAAAGAAUCUACAAGAAAAACAUUGGAAAUAGAAUGGUCAGGAGAUAUAGCAAUUUUACCAAGUCCUUUGACCAAACCUUGAUUUCCAUCCCCGAAUGUGAUAGCUCUUUGGGGAUCAUGGUUUUUCUCGUAGAAGGAGAACAUCCUUUUCUCCCCAGUCAUGUGGUUUGUGCACCCGCUAUCGAUGAUCCAACUUGAGCCCCGAAUGCAUAAACCUACAAAACAAGUUUAGGCCUUGUUCUUAUGUACCCAAACUGUCUUGGGUCCUUUGACAUUAGAAACAAGCACCUUGGGUACCCAAACACAAGUCUUUGACCCCUUGUGUUUGCCCCUAACAUAUUUGGCAACUAUUUUGCUUGAUUUGUUAGUUAAAACAUAUGAUGCAUCAAACGUCUUAAAUGAGAUGUUAUGUUCAUUUGAUGCAAUAGGAAAUUUUUUUAGGCAAUUUAACAUGGGUUGAUUGCCUAGAGCUAGAUGCCUCACUCUUAUACAUAAAAGCAUGAUGAGAGCCAGAGUGAGACUUCCUAGAAUGAAUUCUCCUAAUUUUGUGUUCGGGAUAACCAGCAGGGUAUAAAAUGUAACCCUCGUUAUCCUAAACCAUGGGAGCCUUGCCCUUCACAAAGUUAGACAAUUUCUUAGGAGCACUAAGCUUGGCAUUGUCUCCCUUUUGGAAGCCAAUACCAUCCUUAAUGCCUGGGCAUCUCCCACUAUAGAGCAUGCUUCUAGCAAAUUUAAAUUUCUCAUUUUCUAAGUCAUGCUCAUUAAUUUUGGCACUAAGUUGAGCUAUGUGAUCAUUUUGUUGUUUAAUUAAAGCUAGGUGAUCAUGAAUAGCAUCAACAUUAAUAUCUCUACAUCUAGUACAAAUAAUGACAUGCUCAACGAUAGAUGUAGAGGGUUUGCAAGUAUUUAAUUCAACAAUCUUAGCAUGUAAAAUAGCAUUCUCAUCUCUAAGAUUGGAAAUAGAAACAUUGCAAACAUUUAAAUCUUUAGCCUUAGCAAUUAAUUUUUCAUUCUCAAUCUUAAGGCUAGCAAGAGAGACAUUCAAUUUAUCAGUCUUAGCAAUUAAACUAGCAUUAUCGUUUCUAAGAUUGGCAAUUGAAUCAUCACAUACAUUUGAUUUCUCAACCUUAGCAAUUAAUUUAGCAUUUUCAUUUCUAAGGUUAGAAAUAGUGUCAUGGCAAGUGCUUAGCUAACUAGUCAAUUUUUCACAUUUUCUAUCUCCUGAGCAUAAGCAUUUUUAACUUUAACAUGCUUCUUAUUUUCUUUAAUAAGGAAGUCCUCUUGGCUAUCCAAGAGUUCAUCCUUUUCAUGAAUAGCAUUAAUCAAUUCAUUCAAUUUUUCUUUUUGUUGCAUGUUUAAGUUGGCAAAAAGGGUGAGCAAAUCAUCCUCAUCAUCACUAGAGCUAGCCUCAUCACUAGAUGUUGCAUAUUUAGUGGAGGCUCUAGCUUUUACCUUCUUUUUGCCGUCCCUUGCCAUGAGGCACUUGUGGCCGAUGUUGGGGAAGAGAAUACCCUUGUUGACGGUGAUGUUUGCGGCGUCCUCGUCGGAGGAGGAGUCGGUGGAGCUCUCGUCGAAGUCCUACUCCUGGCAAACAUGGGCAUCGUCGCCCUUCUUCUUGUAAUACUUCUUCUUCUCCUUGCUUCUCCCCUUCUUGUCGUCGCCCCUGUCACUAUCACUUGAUAAUGGACAUUUAGCAAUGAAAUGACCGGGCUUACCACACUUGUAGCAAACUUUCUUGGAGCGGGGCUUGUGGUCCUUCCCCCUCCUUUGCUUGAGGAUUUGGCGAAAGCUUUUGAUGAUUAAAGCCAUCUCCUCAUUAUUGAGCUUGGAGGCGUCGAUGGGGAGCCUACUUGAUGUAGAUUCUUCUUUCUUCUCCUCCGUCGCCUUGAAUGCGAUGGGUUGCAUUUUGGGUGUGGAGGAGGCGCCUUGCUCGAUGAUUUUCUUGGAGCCUUUGAUCAUCAAUUCAAAGCUCACAAAUUUUACUAUCACUUCCUCGAGAGACAUUAGUUUAUAUCUAGGAUCACCACAUAUUAAUUGAACUUGAGUAGGGUUAAGAAAAACGAGUGAUCUAAAAAUAACCUUGACCAUUUCAUGGUCAUCCCAUUUGGUGCUCCCGAGGUUGCGCACUUGGUUCACCAAGGUCUUGAGCCGGUUGUACAUCGCUUGUGGCUCCUCCCCUUGAUGAAGCAUGAAGAGACUGAGCUCCCCCUCGAUCAUUUCCCGCUUGGUGAUCUUGGUCACCUCAUCUCCUUCGUGCGCGGUCUUGAGCACGUCCCAAAUCUCUUUGGCACUCUUCAACCCUUGCACCUUAUUAUACUCCUCUCGACUUAGAGAGGCGAGGAGUAUAGUAGUGGCUUGGGAGUUGAAGUGCCGGAUUUGGGCUACCUCGUCUGAGUCAUAGCCUUCAUCCCCCAUGGAUGGUUCCUGUGCACCAAAUUCAACAAUGUCCCAAAUACUAGCGUGGAGUGAGGUUAGAUGGUGCCUCAUUUUAUCACUCCACAUACAAUAAUCUUCACCAUCAAAAACCGGUGGUUUGCCUAGUGGGACGGAAAGUAAAGGGGUACGUUUGGAAAUGCGAGGAUAGCGUAAGGGGAUUUUACUAAACUUCUUGCGCUCAUGGCGCUUAGAAGUGACGGAAGGCGUGUCAGAGCCGGAGGUGGAGGGCGACGAAGAAUCGGUCUCGUAGUAGACCACUUUCUUCAUUUUCUUCUUCUUAUCGCCACUCCGGUGCGACUUGACGCGGGGAGGUGACUCCUCCCUCUUCUUAUUGCCGGACUCCCCCGAUGGAGCCUUCCCGUGGCUUGUGGCGGGCUUCUCGCCGGUUACCAUCUCCUUCUUCGCGUGAACUCCCGACAUCACUUCGAGCGGUUAGGCUCUUAAUGAAGUACCGUGCUCCGAUACCAAUUGAAAGUCGCCUAGGGGGGUGAAUAGGCAAAUCUGAAAUUUAUAAAGUUUAAGCACAACUACAAGCCGAGGUUAGCGUUAGAAAUAUAAUCAGGUCCGGAAGAGAGUGGGGAAACAAAUCACAAACGAAUAAGAGCGGAUGACAUGGUGAUUUGUUUUACCGAGGUUCGGUUCUUGCAAACCUACUCCCCGUUGAGGUGGUCAAAAAGACCGGGUCUCUUUCAACCCUUUCCCUCUCUCAAAUGGUCACUUAGACCGAGUGAGCUUCCUUCCUUGAUUUCCCGGGUCACUUAGACCCCGCAAGGACCACCACAUAAUUGGUGUCUCUUGCUUCGCUUACAAGGCUUUAAGAGUAAGAAUGAGAGAAAGAAGAAAGGCCAACCAAGCAACAAGAACAACAAAAGAACAUAAGUCGAUCUUCUCACAAGUCCUAAAAACUAGAGUUGAAUUGUGGACUUUGAUUCGAUCGGUGGCUUUGAUUUGUGUCUUGGAGUGUUGUGUAUUGCUCUUGUAUUGAAUGAGGAGUAGUGAAUGAUUGGAUGCCUUGAAGAGUGGUGGUUGGGAGGUAUUUAUAGCCCCAACCACCAAAAUGGCCGUUGGGGAAGGAUGCUGUCGUAUGGCGCACCGGACAGUCCGAUGCGCCACCGGACAGUCCGGUGUGCCAGCCACGUCACCCAAUCUUUAGGGUUCGACCGUUGGAGCUUCUGACAUGUGGGCCACCGGACAGUCCGGUGGUGCACCGAACAACUUCUGUUCACUGUCCGGUGCGCCAUCUGGCACCUGCUCUGACUCUACGCGCGCAGUCGCGCACUGUUCACUAUUCCUAUAGCUGUUGCAGACGACCGUUGGAGCAGGUAGCCGUUGCUCCGCUUGGCACACCGGACAUUCCGGUGAAUUAUAGCGGAGUGGCUCCCAGAAUUCCCGAAGGUGGCAAGUUUGGAGUCGAACUCCCUGGUGCACCAGACACUGUCCGGUGGUUCACCGGACAGUCCGGUGCGCCAGACCAGGGCAGCCUUCGGUUGUCUUUUUCUCUUUUUAUUUGAACCCUUUCUUGGACUUUUUAUUGGUUUGUGUUGAACCUUUGGCACCUGUAGAACUUAUAAUCUAGAGCAAACUAGUUAGUCCAAUUAUUUGUGUUAGGCAUUUCAACCACCAAAAUCAUUUAGGAAAAGGUGUGAGCCUAUUUCCCUUUCACCAAGGAAGCGAGGCAGGGUAACACUACGAGGCCUUUACAAAGUUCCACUAUCUUCCGAAAACCCGCUAUAGUUAUGGGAAGAGAAAUUGCAAGAAUCCCUCGUCUGACCGCCAUCGCAGCAAAAUCAACCCGAGAACCUCCCUGCAUACCUACUCCCCUACUCCCCUUGCCCCUUUCGGGUAAGGUAGUCUUCCACUAGCUUUCCUAAUUAGUCAGCCAAUGGCGUCCCAUUCCACCCUUGUGGUGGCACGUGUUUCUCAUGUUAAGCUCCAUGUUCCAAUUAAAAUUAAUGAUCUUGACAUGAACAUAAAUAACAUAACAGAAUAAUUGGAACAGGGAUAUAAUGAAAUAUUAACCCCAAACCAUAUAAAGCAAUAACAUAACUACCCAAAUGAUUCAGGGAUAAACAAGGUAAAAAGGAUAACCAGUCUAGGGUGACCUAUUGGGUCCCAUCAAAAUUAAACCUAUGCAUGAAUAAGUGAUAUUAAAGAACAUUAUUGGGUGAAAAGUGGUCAAGGGCACAACUUGCCUGGGACUUGAGAUUCCAGGUACCAGGAUGAUCCUCAUAUGCUUGUGACCUCACUGCUAGUCGUAGCAAUAAAAACAAACAUGGUAUAUGCAAAAUUAACAUCACACCAAUCAUAAGAACAAACUAUAUAACAAUGAUCUACGCGUUGCUACGAGAUCGUGGGAUCGAGAACCACCAAAAUUGGAGUUACGAUUAUUAAGUUAUGACUUAUGGGAGAUCUACGUGAUUUAUCCAUUAAACUAUGUUAUAACUUGGUUAGUGUAAAUCAUAUGAGAGAUUAUUCUAUAAAUAAUUAACUCAACAUUAGUUUUAAUUAUAACUUGACUAGAGAUCAUAUUUUAAUCAUAUUAUAAUUAUGGACAGAUUAAAUUUGAUUUAAAAGUUAAUCUAGUAGACAUAGGAUAAAUAAAUAUCUAACUAUAAAAGUAUGAGACAUGGUUUAAUUAAUGUUGUUACUGAGUAGUAAUUAUUUAUACAAAACUAACGCAACUUGAACGGAUCAAAACAGAGUUAAAAUGAGAUAGUUAUGGAUUUUCACAUUUAUAGGUGCUAUGUACAAGAUUAAUUAGAAGAUUAAUUUUAAUAUGGUUUUCAUGUCAAAACAGAGACACUAGUUAAUAAACAAUAAUAACAAAAUUAUAGAAACUGGAAUGAAUCAAUUUGGACUUAAUAUGAAUUUUCUAUGGAUUAAACAAAUUCUAGCCAUUAUUUUUAUAUUAAAAAUAGAUUUCCAAUUCAAUUUCUCUGAUUUACAAACUCCCUGGACUGGGCGCAUGAAAACCAAAGAGUGCAGGGUCUCUGGCGCAAAAGGACCUAAGACUCAAGCGAACCCCUAUAUGGACGGCGAGUUGAUUUAUGUAAAGCGCACGGUCUCUUAUGCAUAAUCCUCUGGCCGAAGGGGUACCGACCAAUCCUGGCCACACAAUCUAAAAUACCGUCUAUAUUAGAUUAUUUUAUUUACGAAACAACGCGCGAUCACAGUCGAACGACAACCGUUGAUUCUGAGAUCUGCGAACCAGAUUUAAAAUAAGCGAGGACUAGUAGCCACACCCCCGGAUCUAGAUCGGACGAACCCCAUUACCCUGACCGAACCGACAGCAAGCACAUCUAAUCGCAGUCGUACGUGUCGCGAACGACGACUAGGAUUAACUCUAGCGAACCGUUAUUUUUGGAUCUAAUCCAGUACGCCCAUUUGGAGAUCUACGGCUAGCCUUCAUUCUCCUACCUCUAUCCAAGCCGAGCGACGGCGCCGCCAGCCGCUGUGGCAGAGCUUCACCGGCGAACAGUGAACCUCGCACUCCCGCCCCCAUAACUUGAAGCGUCCCGAUCCUUUGGGACUCAGAUGUGAAACAAUUACUAGUCACAGGAGGCUAGUAACCACAUUCCUUACUUUAAAUAGUACAUAGUUCGAAUAAAAGUUAAUACAAUACCAAAGUACAAGCUCGAGAGAGAGCCAGAAUUACAAAGCGCAGUAGAAGAUAAACUAGCCCAAGCCACAGGCAGAACUGGGUGCAGACACAGCCCCCUAAAUCAAGCAUAGCAGAAAAGAAGUCUUUAGCUGCUGAAAAACAUAAAUAAAUGUGGGUGAAUAGACUAGGUAUUCCGCAAGCCCAUCCCGCUCCCAUAAAGAGAAAGGGACCUAUAUAAUACAUGCUUUAUAUGGUGGAGUUGAAGUCACUCUUCUUUUUACAGAGAAAGGCAAUACUUUGAUGGUUUUUCCCAAAGAAGGAAAUAGCACUUUUUCACACUCAACCACCACUGAGCUUCCCGCUCCCGUGGCAUUGUUUUCAUCUCCAAAAACACACUCACUCACACACUUCCCUGUUCCCGGAGGUUAUAAAACACUAAUUGUCAUACCACACCAGACUCGUCCAUUCCAGUGGACACGGACUAUUCGAAUAGGUUUGAACUCUGCGCAGAGGGGUACACUUUACCCACUAGUCCGGUUUCUGCGAUCUCACCGUCGUGAGACCCGAAUGUCGAAUCUCUUUCUUUCCUCGCAUGUCCUUACCUUAACGGUUAUACCGUAAGGAGUCAGGACACCGCCAUGUCCAAACCGGACAAAACAUUCCCCCUCCUUAUCCUCCCGAUGCUCCCCAGCCUUCAUAACCCUGAGGUUUGGACCGUAUGAGUUCAGAUUGAGUGACUGCCCAUACAAUCUCGAGUGGUUGUACUUAUCAUGAGUACAGGUAGUGAAGGAUGACAAACCGGUCCUUAUAUGAGGGGACAAUCCUUCUGCUCACACCUAAACCGGCUGAGCCAUCACCUUAGGCCCUCCCCUAAACAAGGGAGUCCCUGAUCAUCCCACUCACAAAGUGAUGAGGGUGAAUACCCUUCAUCAUACACUUUUUGAAAACAUCGUUUAGUAAAAACAUGCCCUUUUCCCAUCCCACAUUUUGUACUCAAACAGAUGUUUGUUAAUGCGGGCUAUCUCUCUACUCACAAUGCAAAAGAUCCAUCCCUUAACCCCGGCUUACGUAGUGGUAGAGAGAAUAGGUAAUUUAUGCAUCAAGGGAAGAAUGGACUUGCCUUCGUCGAAGCUCUCCUGGCACAAAAGAUCUAUCUCGGAGGGGUCGGGUUCCUACCCUUCUUCCGCAGCUACAAAUUCCGGAGCAUCGGAUCCCUCUUCUUCUAGCAAAAAUAGAUAAUGAACAGUACAUCAAUCAUGGUGACUUGGUGGGGUGUGCCAAUUUUUAGACAUUAUUAUUUUGUGCCCUAAAUUUUAUUUAGACUCUUUUUGGUGCAUAAAAUAUCAAUAUAUAUACUGGGCCGGGGGGGGGGGGAUUUCAGCCUAGCCGAGCGCGGCCGCGCGCGGCCGUGUUGGUAGGCGGCCUACUUGGCCCGCCAGUGGGGGAACAACGCGGGGAUGGCGCAGGCCCACGUGCCAGAGGGAGGGGGAGGCUGAUGGCACUAGGAGGGGGUGACGGGGGGGGGGGGGCGAACCGAUCGAGCCUGACCGCUAGUGAGGUCCGCGACGGUUCUCCGCCGGGCCCCGGUUCUGUGACGGUAGAGUGGUGGCAAGGCACGGGCGAGGGUAGGGGAUCACGGUGGUAGGGUCAAUUUGGCCGGAGGGCGCUUGGGAUGGCCGGUCCACGGCGAGGUGGCGGGCGCCCGCGGCGGGGGAGAUCGCUGUUGAGGCUGUCGAGUGCAAUAGGAGAAGGGGGUGGGUGCGUUGUGCUCGCGAGGACACGGUGAAGCUCAAGAGCUACAAUAAUUGGACUAGAACGCAACAGAGAGGGGAGGGCGAGACUCACCGGAGUGGAGGAAGGGCGCGGCGGCGCUGGCUCAAUCGAGCUCGGGAGAGGGAAGAGGGAGUGGACGAGGCUAGUGUGGGGAAAGGCGAAGCUCGGGCGGUUCUUUUUAUAGGCGCCUGGGGCGGGGAAGGGGGCGAGAGGUGGCGACCACCGGCGAGCUUGCCACAGCGGGGAUGGUGGCGCACAGUGGUGGCGACGGGAUGGCUCGGGCAGACGCAAGGCGCCAAACCGAGCUGGUGAGCGUGAUAAUGGCGAGGCGACGGGGCGGGCAGUGGCCCCACGGCGAUCGCGUCGCUAGCCCGGUCACGGGCGCGAGGAAGGCACUAACAAGCAGGACCUGCUUGCCAGGGAGAGAGAGAGACUGCGAGAGAGCGAGGGGGAGUGCGGCUGACGGGUGGGGUCGGGCUGGCAGCAGCGAAGGGGAGCGCGGGCACGCGGGCGAUGGGCCGCUUGGGCCGCGAGGGAGAAAGGGAGGCGCGGGCACGCGGGAGAGAGGGGGGUUUGGGCCGGAAACGACCCAUCCGCGGGGGAGUGUUUUCUUUUUUUUCUUUUUCUAAUUUAUAUUUCCAAUUUCUAUUUCUUAUUUCUAUUUCUUUUAUCUUUUUUUCUUUUGAACAAAUAAUUAGCUAAAUAAUCUUAGGUGCUAAAAAAAUAUUCUAUGUGAGGUGCUUCUAACAAUCAUAAUGUAUGCAAAUGAUGAGAUGUCCUAUGAGGUGGAGUCUAGGGAGCAAUUAGGGGGGGGGGUUAGGGGAUUAGGGUUCCAAACCUUGGGUUAAAUUUUGGGAUGUUACAAACCUACCCCACUUAAAGGAAUCUCGCCCUCGAGAUUCAGACUGGGCUUGAGAAAAGGUAAGGGUAUUCCCUCCUCAAGGAGUCCUCACUCUCCCAGGUAGUUUCCUCUUCUCCUUCUCUGCUCCACUGAACUUUACAGAGUCUCACUUCUAAGUUGCGGGUCUUUCGGACUGCUGAGUCAAGAAUCUUUACUGGCUUUUCUCGGUACUGAAGAUCCUUGUCAAUCUGGAUUGCCUCUUCUUCGAUGUGGUUUUCUGGUACUUGCAGGCAUUUGCGGAGCUGGGACACGUGAAACACAUUGUGGAUAUCUGACAUAGAUUCCGGCAAUUCAAGGCGAUAUGCUGCGGGUCCUACUCUGCCAAUGAUGGGAUAGGGACCGACAAAUCGCGGAGCUAGCUUUCCUUUCACUUGAAAUCUUUUGACUCCGCGCAUCGAGGAGACCUUGAGGUAGACGAAAUCUCCUUCCUCAAGUCUGAGUUCUCUCCGCCUGUUGUCCGCAUAACUCUUCUGCCGACUCUGAGCUUCAAGUAAUCUUUUGCGGAUCAGGGCAACCUUCUCUUCUACCUCUUUAACGAAGGCAGGUCCUUCUAGUGUCUUUUCCCCUACGUUGGACCACAUUAGAGGGGUCUGGCACUUCCGUCCAUACAAUGCUUCGAACGGUGACAUCUCGAUACUGGCCUGGUAGCUGUUGUUAUACGAGAACUCUGCAUAAGGCAAAUUGGACUCCCAAUUUCUGUCAAACAUCAACACGCAGGCUCUUAAUAAAUCCUCGUGGACCUUGUUGACCCUUUCUAUCUGACCAUCUGUCUGGGGGUGAUAGGCGGUGCUGAAGUCUAGUUUGGUGCCCAUAGCUUGCUGAAGGCUCAUCCAAAAUUUUGAGGUGAACUGUGUUCCCCUAUCUGACACUAUCUUCCGUGGAAUACCAUGGAGUCUGACUAUCUCUUUAAGAUAUAUCCGGGCAAGGGUGGCUCCUCCGAAGGUAGUUUUCACUGGGAUGAAGUGGGCUACCUUGGUAAGACGGUCUAUUAUCACCCAGAUAGAGUCAUUCCCUUUUUGUGUCCAGGGCAGUCCGGUUACAAAAUCCAUGCCUGUUUCCUCCCACUUCCAUUCGGGCACUAGAAGGGGUUGCAAUAAGCCUGCAAGCUUCUGAUGCUCGGCCUUAGUUCGUUGGCAAGUGUCGCACCGGGCCACAUACUGUGCUAUCUCUUUCUUCAUUCCUCUCCACCAAUAUCUGGUUUUGAGGUCUAGGUACAUCUUGGUGGUCCCUAGGUGGAUAGAGUAGGCUGAGUUGUGAGCUUCGUCAAGCAGGACUUCUCGUGCCUCCCCUUUUGGUACACACAAUUUUUGAACUAAAGGACUCCUUCCUCAUUUGUCCUAAAGUCCGGAAGUGGUUCCUUGCGAGCCUUUUCCAUAAGACCUGCUGUCUCAGUGUCCAGGCGUUGAGCCUUGCAUAUGAGGUCUUCUAGCAUUGGCUUGACUUCUAGGCUGCCAUUGUCUCCCAAACAUGCAUUCAGCUGAGCUAAUUCUUUCUUCCAAUCUUCUAAGAAGUUGGUUCCUUUCUUCCCGAAAGGUUUUCGGCUGAGGGCGUCUGCUACCACGUUGGCCUUCCCGAGGUGGUAGUGGAUCUCAAGGUCAUAAUCUUUGAUCAAUUACAACCAUCUUCGCUGACAGAGGUUGAGGUUUGGCUGAGUGAAGAUAUACUUCAAACUCUUGUGAUCGGUGAAGAUGUGACAUUUGUUCCCAAUUAGGUAGUGCCUCCAUAUUUUUAGGGCAUGCACUAUGGCUUCUAAUUCCAAGUCGUGUGUGGGAUAAUUCUGCUCGUGUGGCUUCAGUAAGCGUGAUGCAUAUGCAAUGACUUUCUCAUUUUGCAUAAGUACACACCCUAAGCCUUGCCUUGAAGCAUCACAGAAGACGACGAAAUCCUGAUGGAUGUCUGGCAACGUCAAAACGGGUGCGGUUGUGAGCUUCUUCUUUAUGAUUUGGAAGCUUUCUUCACACUUCGGGGUCCACACAAACUUAUUGUCUUUCUUGAGGAGCUCGGUCAUUGGUCUGGCUAUGCUGGAGAAUCCUUUGAUAAAACGUCGGUAAUACCCUGCCAUUCCCAGAAAGCUUCGAACUUCACUAACGUUGGAUGGCUGCUUCCAUUUGGAUACUGCUUCUACCUUGGACGGGUCUACUUCUAUUCCUUCUGCAGUCAAGAUAUGCCUAAGGAAGGCUAUCUUUUCUAACCAGAAUUCACAUUUGCUGAGCUUAGCGUAGAGUUGAUGUGCUCUGAGUCUUUCGAGGACCAUCUGGAGGUGAUGCUCAUGAUCUUCUCGACUCUUGGAGUAGAUAAGGAUGUUGUCAAUGAAAACUACAACAAAAUUAUCCAACUCUUCCAUUAAUACCUUAUUCAUGAGGUUCAUGAAAAAGGCAGGUGCGUUGGUUAGUCCGAAGGGCAUUACUGUGAACUCAUACUGUCCGUAUCAGGUGACAAAUGCAGUCUUUUGAAUAUCUGCUUCCUUGAUUCUCAGCUAGUGAUAUCCUGACCUUAGGUCUAUCUUGGAGAAAUACUUGGCCCCUUGAAGCUGGUCGAAGAGGUCGUCGAUCCAAGGGAGUGGAUACUUGUUUUUGAUUGUAACUUCAUUCAAGGAUCGGUAAUCAAUACACAUCCUCAUACUUCCAUCCUUUUUGGUGACGAAAAGGACUGGUGCUCCCCAAGGAGACAAGCUAGGAUGAAUGUACCCUUUUUGUUGGAGCUCUGCGAUCUGGAGUUUUAAUUCUGCUAGUUCGGUGGGAGCCAUGCAGUAUGGUCUCUUUGCGAUAGGCGCAAUGUCGGGGACUAGAUCUAUGUAGAACUCCACUUCUCUUUCUAGUGGCAUUCCUGGCAAUUCUUCUAGGAAUACAUCCAUGAAUUCUUCUACCAUAGAUAUGCUUUCUGCUGCUAGAUUAAACACCAUUGGAUCCUUAGCGGGUGGCUGAGCCUGACAAGAAACUGACUUUCCUUGGUGGUCCGUGAGAAGAACAGUCUUAUUUGCGCAACUUAUGAUGCCCUUGUGUUUGGUUAACCAAUCCAUUCCUAAUAUCACAUCAAUCCUUUGGGAUGGCAAUAUGGUUAAGUCUGCCAAGAACACUACCCCACUUAAAAAAAUUCUGACUUGGGAGCAUUUGAGCUGGCAUAAAAGGUCUGACCCUGGGGUUCGGGUGACCAAGGGAAUUUCUAGGUGGGUAGAGGGAAUGCCAUGCUUAUCCACAAAACUAGUCGCUAUAAAUGAAUGGGAUGCUCCUGAAUCAAAAAGUACAGUAGCGGGAGUAAAUUCAACAAGGAACUCACCGAGCACUACUCCCGGAGCUUGCUGAGCCUCUUGAGCAUCGACGUGGUUUCUUCGUGCCCUGCCAUGAUACUGGGCCUUGCUCUGCUGGCUGAUGGAGGAGGGUGCCUUGGAGGCGGGUGCUGGGGUAUUCUUGGGGCCAUUCACCGAGUUAGAGUAAGUAGGUCCUGAUGCCUUCAAAUGGGGGCAGUUAUUCUUGAAGUGACUGGGGUCUCCGCAGUGCCAACAUGCAUUAGCUGGUGGUUGGUUGCUUGCGACUGAGGGGGCCUGAAAAGAGCUCUGACUCUGCUGACUGAAACAUGACGGAGUGGGUCCAGCUGGUCUAUUGAAGCUUGGUCCCUUGGGUGGAAAUCCAAAGGAUCGAGUUCUCUGGUGCCGGUCUUGUUGCUGAGCUCGGAGGACUUGGAAUUUCCUCUUGAGGUGACCUUUUUCUUCUUGCCUUGCCCUUUCCACUUGUAUGGCCUUGUCUGAGAGGUGCGAGAAGAUGAGGAAAUCUUGGCCAGCAAGGAUGGUCUUGAGUUCUAGUCUUAGCCCUUUCAGAAAGCGGGCCAUCUUCUUGGCUUCUGUGCUGACGUCGUCAGACGCGUAGUGAGCUAAUUCUGUGAAUUUGUGCACGUACUCACUGACAGAUCUUCCACCUUGAGUUAGUUACCGAAAUUCAUCUUCCUUGAGCUGAACGAUCCCUUGGGGCACAUGAUGUUCUCGGAAAGCAGUUUCAAAUUCUGCCCAGGUAGCAUCUCUGACGGCAGUGCUGAAGGUAUCCCACCAUGAUAGGGCCAUCUCGGAAAGUUGAUGAGCAACCAAUUGAACACGCUGAUUCUCAGGGCAUCCAAUGGCUUCUAACUUCCUUUUUAUCGUGUGCAACCAGUCAUUAGCAUCGAGGGGAUUGCUGGAUCCAGCGAAUGUGGGAGGCUUGAGCCUUAGAAAAUCUCCCAUCCUGUCUUGUGGUCUUCCACCAUUCGGGCGCUGAUUCUCCAGACUUCUAGUGAGGACUUCAAUCAGUCGGGUUUGGUUGGCUAGAACUUGGGCUAAAUCUAAUGGCAGCUCCGGAGGUGCAGGGAGGUGGGUCUCACUCCCUUCUCCACCGGCUUCUCCUUCAGCUCUUAGGGGAACCCUGCUCCAAUCCCGGAGGCGAUAGGCGUGGUUUUAUCCGAAGCCAUCUACCAGGGGGAGAGAAUUACUACUAUGCAUGUGCCAAUUUUUUUCAACCAUGUUAUUUUAUUCAUCACACAAGUUCAUUACAAGCAUUCAGUUACCACAAGUCGCACUACACACGAGCGCUUUCUAAGGUACUUACGAACUCCAUUUCUAAAGUGUCCCUGAAUUCCUUGAGAAGGUCGUCAAGGCUAGCUAGGGACAUGUCCUCGACAUCGGACAAGUUCUCUAUCCUGGAGGGAGGUAGUGCUGGAGGGGCUUCCUUCUUCCGCUCAGUCUGGCACCCUUGGCUCUUGGUCUUCUUUCGGAUUUUCUUUGUGGGGGUGAGCUUCUUUAGCUUCUUAUCGUAAUCCAUCUUCAGGGUUCGGUAGGCUUCACGAGUGUUGGCCUCUUCACCUUCUGCUAUUUCGAGACUCUCUUGGAGGGACGCCUUCUCCUUUUUAAGUUCCUUGACCUGUUGCUCUAUGCUUUCCACCCGGGAGUUUAGGUGGGUGCAGUGGGAGGAAAGGUCAUCAUAGUGGUUAUCGAGAGUGUGGAGAUAUCCGGCCAUAUAGACGAUGGUGGGGUCCUCCUCAGUAGGAUCUCUUCCUGACAGGGCCUGAAGUCUUUUCCUCCAGGUAGGGCUAUUUUUUGUUGCUAGGUGGGAAGUAACGAAGGGGGGUUUCAAAACCUCUCUGCUGUAGUUUUGGCAUAGCUGUCAGAGGGCUUUUCGGGCAACAUUUUGGCAUGUGUCUGGGAAGCAGUGUCCGGUGAAGGUGACUUGGAAAGGGGGUGGUUUGGGUAGCUUCGACUUUCUCCCAGGUAGACUGCCAUAGAGCACUUCUCAGUUCCGUUCUCACGGUAUUCUUUCUAGACGUACUCCGGCUUUUUGCGGAUUUCCAUGCGAAGCGCGCAACUCCGCAAGAGAUGAGGGAAUCCUUCCACCUCUGAGCAGUAGGAUGUCUUAAUGACCAAAGAGCCUUCCAUCUCGUAGAAGAAAAGAAGGGUCUGUUAAUAUUAGGGGAAAGGAGAGAAGAUUUUCUUAGAGGUAAGAGGCAUUUUCUUUUUAAGGCAAACUUUUAAGGUCGAGGCUGCAAUCUACGGCCAGUCCUAUGGUCUCUGAUACCACCUGAAGCGUCCCGAUCCUUUGGGACUCAAAUGUGAAACAAUUACUAGUCCCAGGAGGCUAGUAACCACAUUCCUUACUUCAAAUAGUACAACGUUCAAAUAAAAGUUAAUACAAUAGCAGAGUACAAGCUCGAGAGAGAGCCAGAAUUACAAAGCGCAGUAGAAGAUAAACUAGCCCAAGCCACAGGCAGAACUGUGUGCACACAUAGCCCCCUCAAUCAAGCAUAGCAGAAAAGAAGUCUUCAGCUGCUGAAAAACAUAAAUAAAUCUGGGUGAAUACACUAGGUAUUCCGCAAGCCCAUCCCGCUCCUGUAAAGAGAAAGGGACCUAUAUAAUACAUGCUUUAUAUGGUGGAGUUGAAGUCACUCUUCUUUUUCCAGAGAAAGGCAAUACUUUGAUGGUUUUUACCAAAGAAGGAAAUAACACCUUUUCACACUCAACCACCACUGAGCUUCUCGCUCCCGUGGCAUUGUUUUCAUUUCCAAAAACACACUCACUCACACACUUCCCUGUUCCUGGAGGUUAUAAAACACUAAUUGUCAUACCACACCAGACUCGUCCAUUCCAGUGGACACGGACUAUUCGAAUAGGUUUGAACUCUGCGCAGAGGGGUACACUUUACCCACUAGUCUGGUUUCUGCGAUAUCACUGUCGUGAGACCCGAAUGCCAAAUCUCUUUCUUUCCUCGCAUGUCCUUACCUUAACGGUUAAACUGGAAGGAGUCAGGCCACCGCCAUGUCCAAACCGGACAAAACAUUCCCCCUCCUUAUCCUCCCGGUGCUCCCCAGCCUUCAUAACCCUGGGGUUUGGACCGUACGAGUUCAGAUUGAGUGACUGCCCAUACAGUCUCGAGUGGUUGUACUUAUCGUGAGUACAGGUAGUGAAGGAUGACAAACCGGUCCUUAUAUGAGGGGACAAUCCUUCUGCUCACACCUUAACCGGCUGAGCCAUCACCUUAGGCUCUCCCCUAAACCAGGGGGUCCCUGAUCAUCCCACUCACAAGGUGAUGAGGGUGAAUACCCUUCAUCAUACACUGUGAAAACAUCAUUUAGUAAAAACAUGCCCUUUUCCCAUCCCACAUUUUGUACUCAAACAAAUGUUUGUUAAUGCGGGCUAUCUCUCUACUCACAAUGGAAAAGAUCCAUCCCUUAACUCCGACUUAGGUAGUGGUAGAGAGAAUAGGUAAUUUAUGCAUCAAGGGAAGAAUGGACUUGCCUUCGUCGAAGCUUCCUGGCACAAAAGAUCUAUCUCAGAGGGGUCGGGUUCCUGCCCUUCUUCCGGAGCUACAAAUUCCGGAGGAUCGGAUCCCUCUUCUUCUAGCAAAAAUAGAUAAUGAAUAGUACAUCAAUCAUGGUGACUUGGUGGGGUGUGCCAAUUUAUAGACAUUAUUAUUUUGUGCCCUAAAAUUUAUUUAGACUAUUUUUGGUGCAUAAAAUAUCAAUAUAUAUAUACAUAUAUAUAAAAAAGGAAAGGAAAAAAAAGAAAAAGAAUAGAGAUUUCCUCAGCUAGCUGGGUCGGGGGAGGAUGACGGCGCUAGGAGGGGGGUGACGGGGGGGCAAACCGGUCGGGCCCGACCGCCGGUGAGGUCCGCGACUGUUCUCCGCCGGGGCCCCGGUUCUGUGACGGUGGAGUGGUGGCAAGGCACGGGCGGGGGUUGGGGAUCACGGUGGUAGGGUCAAUUUGGCCGGAGGGCGCUUGGGAUGGCCACUCCAUGGCGAGGUGGCAGGCGCCCGCGGUGGGGGAGAUCGCCGGUGAGGCUGCCGGGUGCAAUAGGAAAGGGGGUGGGUGCGUUGUGCUCGUGAGGACAUGGUGAAGCUCAAGAGCUACAAUAAUUGGACUAGAACGCAAUAGAGAGGGGAGGGUGGGACUCACCGGAGCGGAGGAAGGGCGUGGUGGCGCUGGCUCAAUUGAGCUCGGGAGAGGGAAGAGGGAGUGGCCGAGGCUGGUGUGGGGAAAGGCGGAGCUCGGGCGGUUCUUUUUAUAGGUGCCCGGGGCGAGGAAGGGGGCGAGAGGUGGCGAGCACCGACGAGCUUGCCACGACGGGGAUGGUGGCGCACAGUGGUGGCGACGGGAUGGCUCGGGUAGACGGGGCGACGGGAUGGCUCGGGCAGACGCAAGGCGCCAAACCGAGCUGGUGAUCGCGAUAAUGGCGAGGCGACGGGGCGGGCAGUGGCCGGCGGUGAUCGCGUCGCUAUCCCGGUCAUGGGAGCGAGGAAGGCGCUAACAAGCGGGACCCGCUUGUCAGGGAGAGAGAUAGAUCGCGAGAGAGCGAGGGGGAGUGCGGCUGACGGGUGGGGCCGUGCUGGCAGCGACAGAGGGGAGCGCGGGCGAGCGGGCGAUGGGCCGCUUGGGCCGCGAGGGAGAAAAAGAGGCGCGGGCGCGCGGGAGAGAGGUGGGGGUUUGGGUCGGAAACGACCCAUCCAAGGGGGGAGUGUUUUCUUUUUUUCUUUUCUAAUUUUUAUUUCCUAUUUCUAUUUCUUAUUUCUAUUUCUUUUAUAUAUUUUUCUUUUGAACAAAUAAUUAGCUAAAUAAUCUUAGGUGCUAAAAAAUAUAUUCUAUGUGAGGUGCUUCUAACAAUCAUAAUGUAUGCAAAUGAUGAGAUGUCCUAUGAGGUGGAGUCUAGGGAGCAAUUAGGGGGGGGGGUGUUAGGGGAUUAGGGUUCCAAACGUUGGGUUAAAUUUUGGGAUGUUACAUAACUUCACCGAAGACGUGCUACACAGAGAAAAGAUUGAUGUGCACUUGGACGUAGGUUCCAUACCCAAAGUGAUGGUGUAGCAGAGCCAGUCCCCAGUGCGGUGCGGUUGGCGGCGGCAGAGAAAGUACGACGAGGAAUCGUCGCCUCCUAGAGAGCACAACAUGCACGCUGGAGUUUCGAUGGGCAUCCACACACACUGGCGAACGAUCAUGACCAAUCCGAGGACUCUAAACGACGACCGAGGCGGAGAACGUCAAUGGCGGUAGGUCCUUUCUCCCUCGGUAUGGUGGCUUUGGAGAUGUGUGCUCGAGGAGGUAAAAAGGGUUGGUACUUAUCAGCACAAGCGGACACAUAGCUUAAUCAGUUGUAGCCGCCACGAAAUCCACAUUCCCAUAAGCAGGUUCGGUGGAGAUGAGGUGGGGCGUGGCCGAAAUCCCAAGCGGAUCCAUCGGAUUCAGGUGCAACAAAUCGAGCAGGAAGACGGUUCUGUUCGGUGGGCCCCACGGGACAAUGCGCGCGUGCGGUGGGGGAGUGAGGCUGGCGGCGUGGGCCCACAUGGCGGCGAGUUGAGGUGUGUGCGCGGGCGGAGUCUGGCGGCUAGGGUUUGGCGCAGUGGAAGUGCUGGUGGAGAGAGGAUUGGGCCACGCGGGAGUGAAGAGCUGAUAGGGCCGAAAUGAAGUCCCGAGGCCUAGGUAGGUUUCCCCUUUUUAUUUUAUUUUCUUUUUUGAUUUGUUUUUCCUUCUCAUUUUGAUUUGAAAUUUCAAAUUCAAACCUGUGGUAAAUUAUCCUCAGAUUAAGAGUAUAAUUUGAACAUGCUAGUAUUACUUUUAUUUAAAAUAUUUAUUUUGUAUAUAUUUUCUUUUUUUCUAUAUUCUUUUCUAAUUUCUAAUUCCUCAUUUUUAAUUCAAUUCAAAUUCAAAUCAUGUUUUGAACUUCCAAGUUUUCAAAUAUCAAACUUAACUCUAUACAAGACAUAGCAUCUACUAUUUUUUAAUAUUAUUAUUUAUUAUUUCCCCUUGCCAUUUAUUUAUGGUGGAAAAUAAAUGGGUUUAUAAACAUUUUCCUUUCUCAUUUUCUAUUUUAUGAUCUUAUUUAAAAUUGGAGGUAAAGUUUAUCUUUUACAUAAAAUGCCUCACCACAAAAUCAACAAGAGAUCAACCGUGCUUUAUCUAUUUAUUGGUCGCUUAACUAAUUUAGCAUUAUUGUUCGAAUAUGAGGAGGAAAAGUUCUAAUAGGUUCUUCAAAGGUCUUAAAAAUUCUCACAACACUAUUAUAUAUUUUUAUUUCUUCAUCUUAUUAUUUUAUGAUAUGUUUACUUUUAUUUUAUUUUAUUUUAUUUUAUUAUUAUUUUCUCCUACCAAUUUUUGGUCUUACAAAUCCUAUCCCCUUAACAGAAAUCUCGUCCUCGAGAUUUGUAAUAAAAUGGUGUAUACUCACAUUGUCUCAGAACAUAUGCACAAAUAAAAAUCUCGGCAUGAUGUGUAUCUUAUUAUCAACACAUGGGGUCAAAUAGACCUUAUUGUUACUCCUAAAACAGUAAAAUACUAACUACUAACUAAAGUAAUAUUUAGGUCUUACAAAUAGUAAUAUAUAUAUAUAUAUAUUUAUGUAGCUUGGUGGAGCUGGUGGUGGUGGUGGAGGUAGUGGGUGUUGUUGUUGUCUUUCCAACCGUGCUUGCCUCAUUUCUUGACGCAUCUCUAGCCGGUCCUGACGUAUUUCCUGGCGUUCUUGCCUUAUCUGAUUUUGCAUUUCGUUCACCAUGUUUGUCAUUUGUUGUAGUACCAGCAUUUGGGCGGCACACUGGAUCGGUCCCAGCUAGUGGAGGAUUUGGAGGAUUCAUUUCAGUUUGUUGUUGCCUGAUAGUCUUCCCUUUUUGGUAUUGACCAUAAGAGUUAGAAGCAUAUGGUAGGAUAGUUUUGCAAGGAAAGUAUUUGGUAGUCAGAAUGAAUAGGCUAGUAGCUGGUUAUGAACUAAAGAUUCUUUAGCAGGGCUUAAUCUUUGUUUUAUGUCCAGAUUGGGGUAACUAGUCGUAUAAGACGAAUUUCCAAAGGUAAGAUAGAAUCUGUCAAGAUGAGAUAGAUAUGGGUGAGAUAGACUUACAUGAUGUAGGUCAAAAUCUUGUUUGAUGUUAGGUGGGGAUAGUCAGAUUAUGCAAUUCAUCAUGAUUCUACUGGUUGAGUUAAAUCUUUUUGCUCUUGGUUGAGUUGGUCUAAUGUGCUAAGUUAAGUUAACACCUGGCUAGUAGGGUCCAAUCGCUAAUCUAUUUAAGUAGACCACAAUAGAUUAGAUCAUGUUAGAAUAUCAUUUAGUUAAGCACAUCAAGCUUACUUUAUCUAUAUGAAAUUAUAGUAUUUUUUACACCUAAAAUUUUCAUGCCAUUAGCGGUUGUGGUAUAGAAAACAAGGGUACAUCAGGUUUUAACUAUUAGGUGAGUGUAGAGAAGAUUUGGGGUCACAGAAAAUUAGGUAAGGGAGACUUUUAUUCUAGAUGGUGGAUCUUGAUUCAUCUGAAGAUCUGUUUCUACUAAUAUCCUUCAUCGUCGAAGUUAACCUUCUGCUUGGGUCUAAUUUAGGAACCAUCGGUUAUGGUGUUAGAUGCUAUUAUCUGAGUUGGGAUAACAAUUGCGGGUACAUGGGGUAGGUAGAUUAAACAUAAUUUUACUUUGCUUUUGGGAUAAAUGGGUUGGGCAACCUAUAACAUAGGUUAGGUCAUGGUUUCUCAGACGAAUUGGUCUAAGACACCAAUUUAGGUUUAAAACCUAUUUAUAGGAAUAUGGUCUAAUCUAUGUUACCAGUAUUAACUAACUUGUUUAAGUAACUUCCUUUAGAUUAGAUCGUAUUAGAUUAGGCAGGGUCUAGAUUAGAUUGGAUAUAACUAGAUUAGAAUAGUUUAAAUUAGAUAGAUCUACCAAGGUAGGAUAUAUAUUAUUAGGAUAUGUUAGAAUCUUUUGAGAUAGGAUGGAUUAUAUGGUGUAGGUAGGCCAGAAUCUCUGAUAGAUCAAAACAGAGGGUUAUGCAACCAUCGAAUGAUUAAGGUAAUUGCAUAAGGCCAAGUUGGUCUAUCGUUCUUAAUUUAGUGCAGAGUGAACUAAGUUAAAACAUAUUUUAUAGGAGUAGAGUCUCAUUUAUUUCAUCAGUAUUAUCCUUCUUGUUAAGCAACUUAUAUUUGAUUAGCUCAACUUGAGGUUAGCCUUCGUUAGGUUAGAUUAAUCUGUCACAUUAGGUCAGAUCUAGGUAUGACUAGCUUCGACUAGAUAAGAUCCAAUUAAUUUGGGUUAGACAAUGAUCAUGGUGGGAUAAGUCAAGUGGUUUUAGUCAUGCAAAUAUAACUUAGAUCUGAUCUCAUUAUUUUGGAUUAGAUCCUGGUUGUUACUUUAGGAUGAGUUAAGUAAAGUGGUUAGGAUAAGACAAAUCUUUCAAGAUAAGCUGAAUCUAUUAAGAUAAGAGGGAUUUUUAAAGAUAAAAUGGAUCUAUUAAACUAGCUAUAUUUUUAAUUAGGGAAUAUUCUGUGUUGUCUAUUUUAUAAAUAUUUUCCCUUAUGUCUCGGUGUAUAUGCAGAUGCAAUUGUGGAAAUUACUCCAUAAUCCAUCACACUCAAUCAAAGAUCCAAAUCAGACAAGUAUCAUAAGAACAAACACUCAAGCGUAUAGAUACAUAUAAAAAUAGUUUUAUUUUUGUUCCUAAGAGUAGGUCUCCAAUUCCUAAAGAUCACUUUAGGCACAGGAUUUCAAAGUGUGAAAUCCACAUUUGUCUUUAGAAGGAAAAGGUAAGAAUAAUUAGAGUAAAGCGGAAAUAGAUGAGGAAAGAUUAAGAAAAGUUUAGAAAGAAUCAGAGUAGCGAAGGUAAGUAAAUAAGGGUUUUGUCCAUUUCUAUCUAGGUUUCGUCCUACAGUCAACAUUACUCUGAUACCACUUCUGUCACACCCAGAUUUAAGGGAUAAAGCCGGGUGCAUCUCAUAUAUGCGCCAAAGAAGACAACACAUAUAAUAAUAGAGUGUAUAGAUAUAAAUGUCACAAUAUAAUCAGAGUACUUAUUACAUAACGGAAGUCUUACAAAAUAAGAGAUAAAUAUAAAACGAACUAAAGUCCAUCCUUGUCACCAUAAAGUCGACUGGGAGACGCCACCUAGAUCAAAUCGAACUCCUCGUUGUGUGGCUCCUCUUGAACCACCUGUUCUUCUCCUGUGGGGGUGUGAGACAGCAAGGGUGAGCUCACACAUGUUCAUCGCUCAACAACUUGUGGGGAAUAAUGUGCAUGAACUCACCAAAGGUGGGAGUUCAUGUGAUGUGUAAGGCUGAUCAAGAAUAGGGGUUUAAAGCUGAGCAUUGCUUUUAAUAAGUUGGUCAAAUUUUUAUUAGCAGUUACUAAAUGUAAGUAGAUACCAAACCAUAAUAAGAAUAGAACAAAAUUAAUAAAUAAUCCCAUGCAAUGCGUAUGACAAAUUGAAUUUAGUUUCAAAAUUUAAUCAUUCGAGAGUCCUGAGCUGCUCUUGACGGUGAGCUUGGCUAGUAUACCAGUUUUACACUCUACAGAGGUUGUACCCUAUACCCACAAGUCAUGUUACCAUCUACCAUGGGUUCAUGAGUCCCAUACACCUCUACCAAGGAAGCGAGGCAGGGUAACACUACGAAGCCUUUACAAAGUUCCACUAGCUUCCGAAAACCCACUAUAGUUUCUGGGAAGAGCAAUUGCAAGAAUCCCUCGUCUGACCGCCAUCGCAGCAAAAUCAACCCGAGAACCUCCCUGCACGCCUACUCCCCUACUGCCCUUGCCCCUUUCGGGUAGGGUAGUCUUCCUCUAGCUUUCCUAAUUAGUCAGCCAAGGGCGUCCCAUUCCACCCUUGUGGUGGCAGGUGUUUCUCAAGUUAAGCUCCAUGUUCCAAUUAAAAUUAAUGAUCUUGACAUGAACAAAAAUAACAUAACAGAAUAAUUGGAACAUGCAUAUAAUGAAAUAUUAACCCAAAACCAUAUAAAGCAAUAGCAUAACUGCCCAAAUGAUUCAGGGAUAAACAAGGUAAAAAGAAUAACCAGUCUAGGGUGACCUAUUGGGUCCCAUCAAAUUAAACCUAUGCAUGAAUAAGUGAUAUUAAAGAACAUUAUUGGGUAAAAAGUGGUCAAGGACACAACUUGCCUGGGACUUGAGAUUCCAGGUACUAGGAUGAUCCUUAGAUUCUCGUGACCUCACUACUAGUCGUAGCAAUACAAACAAACAUGGUAUCGGCAAAAUUAACAUCACACCAAUCAUAAGAAUAAAUUGUAUAACAAUGAUCUACGCGUUGCUACGAGAUCGUGGGAUCGAGAACCACCAAAAUUGGAGUUACAGUUAUAAAGUUAUGAUUUAUGGGAGAUCUAUGUGAUUUAUCCAUUAAACUAUGUUAUAACUUGGUUAGUGUAAAUCAUAUGAGAGAUUAUUCUAUAAAUAAUUAAAUCAGCAUUAGUUUUAAUUAUAACUUGACUAGAGAUCAUAUUUUAAUCAUAUUAUAAUUAUGGACAGGUAAAUUUAAUUUAGGAGAGUUAAUCUAGUAGACAUAGGAUAAAUAAAUAUCUAACUAUAAAAGUAUGAGACAUGGUUUAAUUAAUGUUGUUACUGAGUAGUAAAUAUUUAUACGAAACUAACGCAACUUGAACGGAUCGAAACAGAGUUAAAAUGAGAUAGUUAUGGAUUUUCACAGUUAUAGGUGCUAGGUACAAGAUUAAUUAGAAGAUUGAUUUUAAUAUUGUUUUCAUGUCAAAACAAAGACACUAGUUGGUAAACAAUAAUAACAAAAUUAUAGAAACUGGAAUGAAUCAAUUUGGACUUAAUAUGAAUUUUCUAUGGAUUAAACAAAUUCUAGCCAUUAUUUUUAUAUUAAAAUAGAUUUCCAAUUCAAUUUCUCUGAUUUACAAACUCCCCGGACUGGGCACAUGAAAACCAAGGAGUGCAGGGUCUCUAGCGUAAAAGGACCUAAGACUCAGGCGAACCCCUAUAUGGACGGCGGGUUGAUUUAUGUAAAGCGCAGGGUCUCUUAUGCAUAAUCCUCUGGCCAAAGGGGUAUCAACCAAUUCUAGCCACACGAUCUAAAAUCUAUCGUCCAGAUUACAUUAUUUUUAUUAUGAAAUAGCGCGCGAUCACAGAAGAACGACAACCGUUGAUUCCGAGAUCUGCGAACCAGAUUUAAAAUAAGUGAGGACUAGUAUCCACACCCCCGGAUCUAGAUCGGACGGACCACAUUACCUUGACCGAACCGACAACAAGCACAUCUAAUCGCAGCCGUACGUGUCGCGAUCGACGACUAGGAUUAACUCUUGCAAACCGUUAUUUUUGGAUCUAAUCCAGUAUGUCCAUUUGGAGAUCUAUGACUAGCCUUCCUUCUCCUACCUCUAUCCAAGCCGAGCGACUGCGCCGCCGCCGCUGUGGUAGAGCUUCACCGGCGAACAGUGAACCUCGCACUCCCGCUCCCAUAACUUCACCGAACACGUGUUAAACAAGGUAGGUUUCCCCUUUUUAUUUUAUUUUCUUUUUUUAUUUGUUUUUCCUUCUCAUUUUGAAUUCAAAUUUCAAAUUCAAACCUGUGGUAAAUUAUCCUCAGAUUAAGAGUAUAAUUUGAACAUGCUAGUAUUACUUUUAUUUAAAAUAUUUAUUUUGUAUAUAUUUUAUUUUGUUUUCUAUAUUGUUUUCUCAUUUCUAAUUCCUCAUUUUUAAUUCAAUUCAAAUUCAAAUCAUGUUUUGAACUUCCAAGUUUCCAAAUAUCAAAAUUAACUCUAUACAAGACAUAACAACUACUAUUUCUUAAUAUUAUUAUUUAUUAUUUCCCCUUGCCAUUUAUUUAUGGUGGAAAAAAUGGGUUCAUACAAAUUUUACUUUCUCAUUUUCUAUUUUAUGAUCUUAUUUAAAAUUGGAGGUCAAGUUUAUGUUUUCUAUAAAAUGCCUCACCACAAAAUCAACAAGAGAUCAACCUUGCUUUAUCUAUUUAUUGGCCGCUUAACUAAUUUAGCAUUAUUGUUCGAAUAUGAGGAGGGAAAGUUCUAAUAGAUUCUUUAAAGGUCUUAAAAAUUCUCACAACACUAUUAUAUAUUUUUAUUUCUUUAUCUUAUUAUUUUAUGAUAUGUAUAUUUUUAUUUUAUUUUAUUUUAUUAUUUUUUUCUUCUACCAAUUUUAGGUCUUACAAGUUGAUUGUCCCGUAACUUUGGUAGCACCAUCCGCAGAUGUUCCUCAUGAUCACUAUCAUUCUUGGAAUAAACCAGAAUAUCGUCGAUGAAUACCACGACGAAUCUAUCGAGAUACUCCAUGAACACCUUGUUCAUCAGAUUCAUGAAGUAGGCUCACGCAUUAGUUAAGCCAAACUACAUGACUGUGAACUCAUAUAGACCAUAUUGGGUAAAGAAAGCCGUCUUGGGAAUAUCAGAUUGCCUAAUCUUCAUUUGAUGAUAACCCGACCUAAGGUCAAUCUUAGAGAACAACCUAGCACCUCUCAUCUGAUCAAAUAAAUCUUCAAUAUGGGGUAAAGGAUACUUGUUCUUAAUUGUGACAUCAUUUAGUGAUCUAUAGUCCACACACAUCCUUUGCGAAUCAUCCUUGUUCUGUACAAACAGAACCGGUGCUCCCCAAGGUGAGGAACUCGGACGAAUGUACCCUUCUUCUUGCAACUUUGUUAAUCGCUUCUUAAGUUCUUUUAAUUCUUCCACUGACAUCCUAUAUGGCCUUUUUGAAAUGGGAGCAGUACCAGGUAAGAGAUCAAUGACAAAUUCAACUUCCCUAUCUGGUGGCUUUCCGGGUAACUCUUCAGGAAAGACAUCUGGAAAGUCUCUAACCACAUGGAUGUUUCUACCCACAAAUUUUCCAUCUACUAGAAAUAUGGCGGGUCUGGUAGAGGCGAUUAUGGUAAUCUCAACUUGAAAUCUUUCCCCUUUAGAACUUGUGAGUUCUACAGUUCCCUUAUCACAGUGUAUAAUUGCCUUUGUUUUCCUUAACCAGGACAUCCCGAGUAUCAUAUUAUCGGCGUUUCGACCCCGGGGGGUCCCUGGACCGACGAGUGAAUUGUCGCCGCGUGUCCCAGCCCAGAUGGGUCGGCGCGAGACGGAGCACAAAGGGGGGAAGAAACAUGCAAAAGGGGAACCCGCAGCCUUCGUGUUGCCCUGCGCCCAGGUCGGGUGCGCUUGCAGUAGGGGGUUACAAGCGUUCGCGUGGGGGAGCCUUAUGCGCCGGCCCGUUCUCCCGCACGGCCAACCUUCUCGUAUGAGAGCCCUGGACCUUCCUUUUAUAGGCGUAUGGAGAGGGUCCAGGUGUACAAUGGGGGGUGUAGCAGUGUGCUAACGUGUCUAGCAGAGAGGAGCUAGAGCCCUAAGUACAUGCCGUCGUGGCAGUCGGAGAUGUUUUGGCACCCUGUUCAUGUGAUGUCGUGGCCGUCGGAGGAGAGCUGGAGCCCUGUGGGAGGACAACUGUCGGGGCUGUCGAGUCCUUGCUGACGUCUCCUUGCUUCCGUAAGGGGCUGAGAGCCGUCGUCGUCAUGGAGCACGUGGGGCGGCAUCAUUAUUUGUUUACCGGGGCGAGACAGAUGUGACGCCGGUCUUAUUCCCCGUAGCCUGAGCUAGCUAGGGGUAGGGUAAUGAUGGUCUUCCUUGUGACGUGGCAGGUUCGAGCCCGAGGUCGGGCGAGGCGGAGGCUCCUCCUAGGUCGAGGCUGAGUCUGAGCCCUAGGGUUGGGCGAAGCGGAGUUCGUCUUCCAAGGUCGAGGCUGAGUCCGAGCCCUAGGUCGGGCGAGGCGGAGACCGUCUUCCGAGGCCGAGGCUGUGUCCGAGCCCUGGGGUCGGGCGAGGCGGAGACCGUCUUCCGAGGCCGAGGCUAUGUCCGAGCCCUGGGGUCGGGCGAGGCGGAGUCCGUCGUCCAGCGUCGAGGUUGAGCCUGAGCCCUGGGGUCGGGCGAGGCGGAGACUGUCUUCCGAGGCCGAGGCUAUAUUUGAGCCCCGGGGGUCGGGCGAGGCGGAGUCCGUCGUCCACUGUCGAGGUUGAGCCCGAGCCCAGGGGUCAGGCGAGGCGGAGACUGUCUUCCGAGGCCAAGGCUAUGUCCGAGCCCCGGGGGUCGGGCGAGGCGGAGUCCGUCGUCCAGCGUCGAGGUUGAGCCCGAGCCCUGGGGUCGGGCGAGGCAGAGCUUCCUAUGGCGCCCGAGGCUGGACUUAGCUGCUGUCAGCCUCACUCUAUCGAGUGGCACAGCAGUCAGAGCGACGUAGGCAGCGCUGUUUUCUUGUCAGGUCGGUCAGUGGAGCGGCAAAGUGACUGCGGUCACUUCGGCUCUGUCGACUGAAGAACGCGCGUCAGGAUAAGGUGUCAGGCGAUCCUUGCAUUAAAUGCUCCUGCAAUACCGUCGGUUGGCGUGGCGAUCUGGCCAAGGUUGCUUCUCUGCGAAGACUGGGCCUCGGGCGAGCCGAAGGUGUGUCCGUUGCUUGAGGGGGCCCUCGGGCGAGACGUGAAUCCUCCAGGGUCGGCUGCCUUUGCCCGAGGCUGGGGCGAGAUCGUGUCCCUUGAGUGGACUGAGCCUUGACCCUAAUCGCGCCCAUCAGGCCUUUGCAGCUUUGUGCUGAUGGGGGUUACCAGCUGAGAUUAGGAGUCUUGGGGUACCCCUAAUUAUGGUCCCCGAUAGUAGCCCCCGAGCCUCGAAGGGAGUGUUGAUACUCGCUUGGAGGCUUUUGUCGCACUUUUUUGCAAGGGGACCGGCCUUUCUCGGUUGUGUUUCAUUCCGGUGGGUGCACGGGAGCGCACCCGCCGGGUGUAGCCCCCGAGGCCUUGGAGGAGUGGUUUGACUCCUUCAAGGUCUUAGCGCGUUUCGUGAUGCUUCGGCCGGUCUGGUUGUUCCCUCAUGCGAACUGGCCGUAGCCCGGGUGCAUAGUCGAGUCCCAAGUUCUCGGGCUGGUAUGUUGACGCUGUCAACGGUUUGGCCGGAGCCAGUUUUGCGAGAGCAGCCCCCGAGCCUCCGCACAGAGCGGGAGGGCAGUCAAGGACAGACUCGGCUUUUUUCAUACGCCCCUGCGUCGCCUUUCCGCAAGGAGGAGCAGGGAAAGCCCCAUGUUGCCCUCGGACGACGUCGAACAUGGUGUCUCUAAUGAGUUGCUAAUGGGUAAUCGGAGUGGACGCCCGUGCCCCAUUCGUUAGGGGUCGGCUAGUGGCCCGGAGGCGCGCUCCAAAAGUACCUGCGGGUGAUUCGCGGGACCCGAUCCCCUUUUGACGGGGUCCGAGGGCUCGAUGCCUCCCUCUGGUGGGAUUCCGUUACAAAAUCGUUCCCGUCGGUCUCGGAAAUGUCCUAGGGUACCUCGGGAGCGUAGCCCGAGCCUUGGUUAUGAAUCAAACGUACCCAGUGUCAUCCCUCGCUCUGCGUGCUCUAAGGCGGCUGUCAGAACCCUUCGGGGGCCAGCCUACGAACCCCUGAUCAGUAGUGGGCGCGGAGCCCGAGUGGCCUGAGGCAGCCGUUGAACCCUUAGAGGGGCCAGCCUUCGAACCUCUGACCAGUAGUGGGCGCGGAGCCCGAGUGCUCUGAGGCGGCUGUUGAACCCUUCCAAGGGGCCAGCCUUCGAACCUCUGAUCAGUAGGGGGCUCGGGGCCCGCUUCCUUCGCGGAGAAGGAUCCCUUUCGAAGUAUCCCCUUUCCCGGUCCCUAUGGCAUGAGAGAGAAAGAGGAAGCGGAAAAGGAUACAAAAUCGAAUGAUGUGGCGCACCUUUUUUGACGCGGUCAUCAUGGCGGAGGUGAAGCGUCGCCUGCUUCGCCUGCCAAAGGUGCCGCCUGUCCUGCCGCAAAGUUAAUGCGACGGGACGAGUGGUUCGCGGGGCAGCCGUUGUGCGUGCGCGAGCCGUUCGAGGAACGGGCGUCUCACUUUGAGUUUUGAAUCUCGCGGCGGGUUCGGGCGAAGUGUUGAACGGGUCUCGCCUGGGCCUUUAUAUAUUCGGGAGAGGGACCGGUGUCGGUUCUUUACUCUGCUGCUUGCCUCCCACUUAGGUUUUCGCAACCCGAGGGAAUAGCCAGAGAAAGGAAACCGCGCACCUAGUCCUCUCCGCCGCCACCUCUUCUGCUUGGUGAUGGCCGACCGGGUGACCAUUGUUUCGCCGCGCGACUCGUGGCCUUUCUCCACCGUCAUGGCGAAUGAUCUGGAGGCCCUUGUUGCUGAUGAUUUGCUUCGCCCUCUCUCCGGUGACUCGUAGCCGGAGUGGAUGGCCCCUCCGAGCGGAGCCGCCCCGUCCCCGCCGCCGGGGUAUGUGCUGAGCUUCGUCUCCUUUCACGAGCGGGGGUUCGGAGUGCCGGCGAGCCGUUUUAUGCGGGCGAUUCUGCACGUCUACGGGGUGGACCUGCACAAUCUCAGUCCCAACUCCAUCUAGCAAGCAGCCAUCUUCGCGGCGGUUUGCGAAGGAUAUUUGGGGAUUGCCCCCCAUUGGGACCUGUGGACCCAUCUCUUCUUCGCAGAGCUUUUUGCCUCGUCGACGGGGGAAAGAAGAGUUCGCAUGGUGGUGAGGGCCGGUGGCUGCAUCCUCUAGUUGAGGCAGGCGCGGUCGCUGCAGUACAUCCCUGCCAUCCUCGCGUCUUCGAACAAAGGGUGGCAGCGCCGGUGAUUUUAUCUCCGAAAUGACGACGCGAGGCUCCCGUCGUUUUCUCAACGAGUGGUGACCGCCACCGCCGAUAACUGGCGCUACAGGACCCCGCGCGAGAGACAGAAGAAUCUCCAGCCCCUUUUGAAGGCCUUGGAGGAGCUGCAAGAAAGAGGGCUCACCGCCGCGGGGGUGGUUGCCGCCAUUCAUCGCCGGAGGGUGCUCCCCUUGACGGAGCGGCGGCUGCCGCUUUGGGAGAUGAUGCCGGGGGUCGACUUGGAGGGUUUUCAGAUGUCCUCGGAUCCCCUUCCCGCCGACGACCUUCACAGGCGGGUAGCCGACACGGUAGGGAAGUUAGACACCGGCGCCCUUUCCCAGCUCUCGAUGCGUCCCGAUCGUGGGUGUGUGUCCCUGGUGAGUGUCCGCUCCUUCUUCCUUCUUGUGUCGGAUUGCCCUUGGUUCUCACAGUCGAAACUUUUCGUCCGUUUCCAGGUGGUGGGGUUUCACAAGCCUUCCCUGCCACCGGUCCCGGAGGACGCGGUGGACCGAGCUGCGUGGAGGGUCGUCGCGGAGAAGAGGAAGGAGAAGAAGGACGCGAAGAAGGCUCGGGCUCGCGAGCGGAUGUGGGCUCGGGACGCCUUGGAAAGGCUUCGUUGUCAGCAGAGGAUGGGCUCCCGAGGGAGCCGUCGCCGGAGACGCCUGAUGACGACGACGACAAUGAAGACGAUGAUGAAGACGACGACAUGGCUGCCCGCCUCAGCCUCAGCCCGGAUCUGAGGCCGGGCCAGGGGUCGUCGAGCCAGCCCCUGAGCGGGCUGGCGCCGUCGGUAUCUGGGGCCGGGACGUCGGGGUCCCGGUCCGAAGAACGGGGGUAGGCCGAGGGGGUACUUGACCCCUUGGCCGAGGUAGUUGAGGCGACCCCGGGGAGUCAGGCCGAGCCGCCUGCUCCCCAAGAACCGUUGCCCGUACCGACUGCGCAGGAAGGUGAUCCUCGGGUCGUCGUGGCUGCGCCUGGGCAGUCCGUCCCUCUGGUGCCUCGGGCGCCCAGGGCAAGGAUGCUGCCAAAGCCGGCAGCGGGGCUGACCUCGGUGGUACCUUCGAGGAUCGAGACUCGAGAGACCUCCCCACAGGCACGAUUGAUCAUGGCCCGGAGUGGGUAAGUAUCUUAAGAUACCUUCAUCCUGGCUCCUCCUUCGUGUGUCCUGAUCCUGCUCUUCCUUUUCUUCCUAGCAAACGGAGGCAUGGUUCGACCGGUCUGGCUCCCUGGAAGAUCCUCAAAACGGCGCCGGCUUCUGCAGCCAGUGUCGCACCGGGCCUCGCCGGCCAGCUGGCCUCCUUACAAGAUGCCCCAAAGCGGGGGCCCAGGCGGCACAAGUUGCCGUGGGGCGAGCUCCCGAGGCCGACUCCUCCGUCGAGGCGGCCGUCGUGCCGAGGGAGACUGCUGGCGCGGCUGCGGCCUCGAGCCCACCAGACGCGUCGCCGGCGCUGGCACCGGCUUCUGCCAAGGUGGUUGCUGUUCUGGCCGUGGAGCCACCCGUCGCCGCCGAUGCUGAGAUGGCUGAGGCGUCGCUACUUGAUGCCUUGGAGAAGGGGGGCGCAGAACCGCGACCCGUCUUGGGGAGCGGCAGCCUCGUCCCCGCGCGACGCAGUCCCGACGGGCGGCGUCAGUCGCUCCGGUUCUGGACCAGUGGGGCUUCGGACCCCCUCUUCGUUCUUGACGAUGAGCGAGAGGAGCAGUCUUGGGACGAGCUUCAUGAGUGUGCCGAGGCAACGGUGGGGUCGCUUCGGUCGACCUUGGAGGUCCUUUGCAGGGACGUUCCCAAGAUCCUCCAGGUAAUGAUUUCAAGCAUACCUUUCACGUGAUCAAGGCAUUCUUUAUGACGCCCCGCUUCCUCUCCUCAGGAUCUGACGGAUCUGAGCGCCGCCAAGUCGUCGUUCAUCCGUCGUGAGGCCGAUGUCUAGGGUUCGCUGUGGUCCCUAAGGACCACGCUUGCCGGGGCUACCGAGCGCCUCUCCCAACGGAGCGCCGAGGUGGCGGACCUUCGGUUGCUCUGUGUCGAUCUGGGAGCAGAGGCAGCGGUGGCACGCGUAGAGGCGCAGCGGCAGCAGUUGGAGCUUGGCCAGGUCAUCGGCGAGCGGGACCAAUCUCGGGGUCGGGCCGCCGAGGCUGAAAGCCGGGCUGAGGCUCUUGGAGUCCAGUUGGCCGAGACGUCUGCUCGGGCUGGAGCCCUUGCGGCAGACCUAGCCGUGGCCCAAGCCGCAUCCUCGGAGCAGCGUGCCCGAGCCAAAGGUAUGUCUUGGCCAUUUUAAGAUUUUGAUUCAGCUUCGUUCCUCAACUCAUGUUUGAAGUCUUCCGCUUUGGCUGUUUGUAGAGCUCGAGUCUGCCCUCGAUGAGUCCACCAAGGCACUUGCCCAGGCGGCCGAGCAGAGGGAGGCCGACCACGUGGCCAUGUCCGAGGCCAUCUCGGCCUUCUGCCGGGUCUUUGGUUUCGACGAUGUCCCCUCGGGAAGCUCCCCUCAGAGUCGCCUUCAGGCCUUGGGUGACCACGCGCGCGGCAGACUCCGCGAGGCGCUGCAUCACGGCGUUAGGCGGGCCUUCGCCGUGCUCGCUUCCCACUACGAUGUGGAUCUGGAGCGGGUCAGCGAGGGGUAUUGCCUUCCCGAUGAAGAUGAAGCUGCCCUGGCCGAAGUCCAGAGGCUUGACGCGGCCGCCGCGGGCCCAAGCGCGGUGCUGGCGACCACCUUCGAAGCAGAGAUCCUCCCGCUUGCGCCGUCGUCCGAGGCUGGGGCGGAUCUCGCCAAGGGUGGGGACGAAGCCGAGGGCGCGGCUCCUUCUCCGGGCGACGCCUGAUUCUGCCGGAGCAGUUUAUUUUGAAUGCAUAUGUGUCUUUUGCGGCCGCCGAGGCCCGAACACUUUAUCAUCAUAAUAUAAGGUUGUGUUUCUUUUCCUCCUGUGUUGCGUAUCCGGACUCGUUCGUCAGUAGCAGGAUUUCUUACCCAAGCAAGAGUUAUUUUUCAUGGUAGGCGACGAGUGAGGUAUCCGUAUCCCAGAGGCGUAGGAGUCCCUCGGCUCGGUCGGCCUUGCCACUUACAUGCACCCUUAUUUGUUUCUUGGGGUCCUGUUACUGAUAUAGCCGGGAGACGCGAAAGUCGUUUUGAUGGAAGACUUUUUUCGAGGAAAAUUUUGACGCAGAGGGGGUUUCCCCCUUCUAGCCCCCGAGGGAGGGUCGGGCUUUGCCGAGGCAAGGCUGAGCCUUCCUUGAUGGUUAGACUUCAUAUGUAAACGAGGUAUAUGAACGGCUUGAAAACAUCUUAAGGGUAGAAGCGACGUAGCUGUCGGAUGUUCCAAGCGUUGCUGUAGACCUCGCCUUGACUGUUGGCCAGCUUGUACGUCCUGGGCUUCAAAACCUUGGCGAUGACGAAUGGCCCUUCCCAGGGAGGCGUGAGCUUGUGCCGCCCUCGGGCGUCUUGUCGUAGUCGAAGCACCAAGUCGCCCACCUGGAGGUCUCAGGACCGAACCCCUCGGGCGUGGUAGCGUCGCAAAGACUGCUGAUACCACACCGAGUGUAGCAAGGCCAUGCCCCGAGCCUCUUCCAGCUGGUCCAGUGAGUCUUCUCGGUUGGUUCGAUUGCUUUGGUCGUCGUACGCCCUCGUCCUUGGGGAACCGUAUUCUAAGUCUGUGGGCAAGAUGGCCUCGGCCCCAUAGACUAGAAAGAACGGUGUGAAGCCCGUGGCUCGGCUCGGUGUUGUCCUCAGACUCCAGACCACCGAGGGGAGUUCCUUCAUCCAUCGCCUGUCGAACUUGUGGAGGUCGUUGUAGAUCCUCGGCUUGAGUCCUUGCAGAAUCAUGUCGUUGGCACGUUCUACCUGCCCAUUCGUCAUGGGGUGAGCCACGGCGGCCUAGUCCACCCAGAUGUGGUGAUCCUCGCAGAAGUCCAGGAACUUUCUCCCGGUGAACUGGGUGCCGCUGUCGGUGAUGAUGGAGUUCGGGACCCCAAAGCGAUGGAUGAUGUUGGUGAAGAACGCCACCGCCUGUUUGGACCUGAUGCUAUUUAUGGGUCGGACCUCGAUCCACUUGGAGAAUUUGUCGAUGCCGACCAGCAGGUGCGUGUAGCCCCCGGGUGCCUUCUGCAAGGGACCGACGAGGUCCAGACCCCACACAGCAAACGGCCAGGUGAUGGGUAUUGUUUGCAGAGCCUGAGCGGGUAGGUGCGUCUGCCUUGCGUAGAAUUGACACCCUUGGCAGGUGCGGACAAUUCUAGUAGCAUCGGCCACCACGGUCGGCCAGUAGAAACCUUGUCGGAAAGCGUUUCCAACAAGGGCUCGAGGCGCUGCGUGAUGACCGCAAGCCCCCUAGUGUAUUUCUUGUAAUAACUCCUGACCUUCGGUGAUGGAUAUGCAUCGCUGGAGGAUGCCGGAGGGGCUGCGGUGGUAGAGCUCCUUCCCGUCACCCAGCAAGACGAAUGACUUCGCGCGCCGCGCCAGUCGCCGAGCCUCGGCUUGGUCGAGGGGUAGCUCUCCUCGGUGGAGAUAUUGCAGGUAUGGGGUCUGCCAGUUUCGAUUAGGCGUGACCCCAUUCCGCUCUUCCUCGAUGCGCAGUGCCUCACCCUCGGGGGCCGAGGGCGCCUCGGGCAGGGCCGAGACCUUCUCGAGCUCGGGCGUGUCGUCGGUCUUGACUGAGGGUUGAUGUAGGUCUUGGGAGAAGACGUCCGGGGGAACCAUUGUUCGCGCCGAAGCUAUCUUCGCUAGCUCAUCCGCAGUCUCGUUGUAUCGCCGGGCGACGUGGUUGACCUCGAGCCCGUAAAACUUGUCUUCCAGGCGCCGAACCUCGUCGCAGUAGGCUUCCAUAUUCGGGUCGCGACAGUGGGAGUUCUUCAUGACUUGCUCAAUGACAAGCUGCGAGUCACCGCGAGCGUCGAGGCGUCGGACCCCUAGCUCGAUGGCGAUGUGCAACCCGUUGACCAGAGCCUCGUACUCAGCCACGUUGUUGGACGCCGGGAAAUGGAGGCGCAACACGUAGCGGAGGUGCUUUCCGAGCGGCGAGAUGAAGGGCAGGCCCGCGCCUGCCCCUGUUUUCAUCAGCGACCUGUCGAAAAACAUGGUCCAGAGUUCCGGUUGGACUGGAGCUGUUGGAAGCUGGGUGUCGACCCAUUCAGCCACAAAGUCCGCCAAGACUUGGGACUUGAUGGCCUUCCGAGGGGCGAACGAGAUUGUCUCGCCCAUGAUUUCCACCGCCCACUUUGCAAUCCUACCCGAGGCCUCUCGGCACUGGAUGAUCUCCCCCAGGGGGAAGGAUGACACCACAGUCAUCGGAUGAGACUCGAAGUAGUGUCGCUACUUCCGCCGCGUCAGAAUCACCGCGUACAACAACUUCUGAGUUUGUGGGUAGCGGAUCUUGGUCUCGGACAGUACCUCACUGAUGAAGUAGACUGGCCUCUAGACGGGCAAUGCAUGCCCCUCUUCUCGUCUCUCAACCACGAUCGCGGCGCUGACCACCUGAGUGGUAGCGGCGACGUAGAUCAAGAGGGCUUCUCCGGCAGCGGGGGGCACCAGGAUGGGUGCGUUCGUAAGGAGCGCUUUUAGGUUCCCGAGGGCUUCCUCGGCCUCGGGGGUCCAAGUGAAGCGCUCGGCCUUCCUUAAGAGGCGGUACAGAGGUAGGCCUCUUUCGCCGAGGCAUGAGAUGAAGCGGCUCAGAGCCGCAAGGCAUCCCAUGACCCUCUGUACGCCUUUCAAGUCCUUGAUGGGCCCCAUGUUGGUGAUGCCGCGAUUUUCUCCGGGUUGGCCUCGAUGCCCCGCUCGGAGACGAUGAACCCCAAGAGCAUGCCUCGGGGGACUCCAAAGACGCACUUCUCGGGAUUGAGUUUUAUGCCUUUCGCCUUGAGACACCGGAAUGUCGUUACAAGGUCAGAGAGGAGGUCGGAGGCUUUCCUCGUCUUGACUACGAUGUCAUCGACGUAAGCCUCGACCGUUCGACCAAUGUGCUCUCCGAACACAUGGUUCAUGCACCUUUGGUACGUCGCGCCCGCAUUCCUCAAACCAAAUGGCAUAGUAACGUAGCAGUACAUGCCAAAGGGCGUGAUGAAAGAAGUCACGAGCUGGUCGGACUCUUUCAUCCUGAUUUGGUGAUACCCUGAGUAGGCAUCGAGGAAAGACAGGGUUUCGCACCCAGCAGUGGAAUCCACGAUUUGAUCGAUGCGAGGCAGAGGGUAGGGAACCUUCGGACAUGCUUUGUUUAGACCAGUGUAGUCUACACACAUCCGCCAUUUCCCUCCUUUCUUUCUCACAAGCACAGGGUUGGCAAGCCAUUCGGGAUGGAAUACCUCUUUGAUGAACCCUGCGGCCAUCAGCUUGUGGAUCUCCUCGCCUAUGGCUCUGCGCUUUUCUUCGUCGAAUCGGCGCAGAGGCUGCUUCACGGGUCGGGCUCCAGCUCGGAUAUCCAGUGAGUGCUCGGCGACAUCCCUCGGUAUGCCAGGCAUGUCCGAGGGACUCCACGCAAAGACUUCGGCGUUCGCGCGGAGAAAGUCGACGAGCACUGCUUCCUAUUUGGAGUCGAGCUCGGAGCCGAUCCGUAUCUGCUUGGAGGCGUCGUUGCUGGGGUCGAGAGGGACGGACUUAACCGUCUCUGCUAGCUCGAAGUUGCCGGCGUGGCGCUUCACGUCUGGCGCCUCCUUGGAGAGGCUCUCCAGGUCGGCGAUGAGGGCCUCGGAUUCGGCGAGGGCCUCGGCGUACUCCACGCACUCCACGUCGCAUUCGUACGCGUACGUGGGGCCGACGGUGAUGUCCCCGUUGGGGCCCGACAUUUUGAGCUUGAGGUAGUUGUAGUUGGGGACGGCCAUGAACUUGGCGUAGCAUGGCCUCCCCAGUACUGCGUGGUAGGUUCCUCGGAACCCGACCACCUCGAACGUGAGGGUUUCCCUUCGGAAGUUGGAGGGAGUCCCGAAGCAAACGGGCAGAUCGAGUUGUCCGAGGGGUUGGACACGUUUCCUGGGGAUGAUCCCGUGAAAAGGCGUCAGGCCGACCCGGAUCGAGGACAGAUCGAUCUGCAGGAGCCCGAGGGUCUCGGCGUAGAUGAUGUUGAGGCUGCUGCCUCCGUCCAUGAGGACCUUGGUGAGCCUGACGUUGCCGACGACGGGGUCGACAACGAGCGGAUAUUUCCCCGGGCUCGGCACGCGGUCGGGGUGGUCGCCCUGGUCGAAAGUGAUGGGCUUGUCGGACCAGUCUAGGUAGACUGGCGCCGCCACCUUUACCUAGCAGACCUCCCGACGCUCUUGCUUGCGGUGCCGAGCCGAGGCGUUCGCCACUUGCCCACCGUAGAUCAUGAAGCAGUCGCGGACCUCGGGGAACUCCUCUGCCUUGUGAUCCUCCUUCUUGUCGUCGUUGUGGGCUCGGCCACCUUCCGCUGGUGGCCCGGCCUUGUGAAAGUGGCGCCGAAGCAUGACGCACUCCUCAAGGGUGUGCUUGACGGGCCCCUGAUGAUAGGGGCACGGCUCCUUGAGCAUCUUGUCGAAGAGGUUGGUGCCUCCGGGAGGCUUCCGAGGGUUCUUAUACUCAGCGACGGCGACAAGGUCCACUUCUGCGGCGUCGCAUUUCGCUUGCGACUUCUUCUUGCCCUUCUUCUUGGUGCCGUGCUGAGCGGACGCCUUGGGGAUGUCUUCCGGCUGGCGGCCCGGGGGCUGCUUGUCCUUCCGGAAGAUGGUCUCAACCGCCUCCUGGCCAGAGGCGAACUUGGUGGCGAUGUCCAUCAGCUCGCUCGCCCUGGUGGGGGUCUUGCGACCCAGCUUGCUCACUAGGUCGCGGCAGGUGGUGCCGGCGAGGAACGCGCCGAUGACGUCCGAGUCGGUGACGUUGGGCAGCUCGGUGCGCUGCUUCGAGAAUCGCCGGAUGUAGUCCCGGAGAGACUCUCCCGGCUGCUGGCGGUACCUUUGGAGAUCCCAGGAGUUCCCAGGGUGCACGUGCGUGCCCUGGAAGUUGCCGGCGAAGGCUUGGACCAGGUCGUCCCAGUUGGAGAUCUGCCCCGGAGGUAGAUGCUCCAGCCAGGCUCGAGCGGUGUCGGAGAGGAACAGGGGGAGGUUGCGGAUGAUGAGGUUGUCAUCGUCCGUUCCACCCAGCUGGCAGGCCAGUCGGUAGUCCGCGAGCCACAGUUCUGGCCUUGUCGCCCCCGAGUACUUUGUGAUGGUAGUCGGGGUUCGGAACCGGGUCGGCAACGGCGCCCGUCGUAUGGCUCGGCUGAAAGCCUGCGGACCGGGUGGUUCGGGUGAGGGGCUCCGAUCCUCCCCGCUGUCGUAGCGUCCCCCACGCCUGAGGUGGUAGCCUCGGCGCACCUUCUCAUCGAGGUGGGCUCGACGGUUGCGGCGGUGGUGCUCGUUGCCGAGGCGACCCGGGGCCGCAGGCGCCGUGUUGCGCGUGCGCCCCGUGUGGACCGAGGCUUCCCGCAUAAAUCGGGAAGUCACAGCGCGAUGCUCCGAGGGGUACCCCUGCCUUCGGGAGGCAGAGCUUUCGGCCCGUCGGACCGCGGCAUCCUCCAGGAGAUUCUUGAGCUCUCCCUGGAUACGCCGCCCUUCGGUGGUCGAUGGUUCCGGCAUCGCGCGGAGUAGUAUUGAUGCUGCAGCCAGGUUCUGGCCGACCCCACUGGAAGCCGGUGGCGGCCUUGCCCUGACGUCGUCGGCAAUGCGGUGCUGGAUGCCCUGGGGUAGAUGACGCGCUUCUCCGGCCGGAGCUUGGUCUGCCCAUUCCUGCCCGAUGUUCCGGCGGAACUGCUCAAGUGUUCCUGCUCCCUCGUCGAGCCUGGCCUGCAUCUCGCGGAUUUGCUCGAGCUGUGCGUCCUGACCCCCCGCAGGGACUGGGACCACAGCUAGCUCCCGAAGGAUGUCAACGCGAGGCGCAGGCCUAGGGGGAUCACCGUUUUCUGGCAUACCAAGAUGGUUGCCUUCGCCGGGACCCCCUAGAUCGACGUGGAAACAUUCACGACUUGGGCCACAGUCCUCGUCACCGAAGCUGCGGCUACCAUCGGAACAAUCGGAGAGGAAGUAGUCGCAUGCGGUCAUGAAGUCCCGCAUGGCACUGGGGUUACCGAGCCCGGAGAAAUCCUAACAAAAGUCGGGCUCGUCAUCUUCCUCGGAACCCGAGGGUCCGUAGGUCGAGACGGCCGUCAGUCUGUCCCAGGGCGACCACAUAUGGUACCCCGGAGGGUUGGUACAUGCCUCUAUGAAGGCUUCCACCGAAGCGAGGUCGCUUGGUGGGUCGAAGCUGAAUCCAAAAGGCACGAGAUGGGAAUCGGUCGGUACCUCUUGGUCGACGGGCGGUGACAAAGUUGCAUAAGGGGCGGACUGCACCGUUGUCUCAGGUACGAGGGUGACGCCCAGCAAGUCCUUCGCGAGCGUGCUAGCGUCGUUCGUCUGCUUGGGGUUGGCAUGUUGUGGGGAAACGGCGCUCGUCUUCGUCUCAGACGCAAGGUCGAAGACCGACGUGUCCCCCGCUGGGGCGCCGACGUCGUCGACUUGCUCGAUAGCCGACGAGGUGCCGCCUCCUGCUUGGCCAUGGUUGCCCCGCCUCCUACUCCAUCGGCGGGGGAGGUGACGGGACAAACCCGGAUGUUGUUCUUCCGCCACGUGGGGAAGACGUCGUUGAUUCCGCCGCCGGCGGGCGGGCUAACGAUCGCCAUUGUCGCUGUCGCGCGGCGGAGGAAGGAGUAUCAUGUCGUAGCUGCCGUCGAGGGACAUGAACUCAAGACUCCCGAAACGGAGCAUCGUCCCGGGUUGGAAAGGUUGCUGGAGACUACCCAUCUGGAGCUUGACGAGAAGCUGUUCGUCAACACGCAGCAGGCCCCUACCUGGCGCGCCAACUGUCGGCGUUUCGACCCUGGGGGGUCCCUGGACCGACGAGUGAAUUGUUGCCGCGUGUCCCAGCCUAGAUGGGUCGGCGCGAGACGGAGCACGAAGGGGGGAAGAAACAGGCAAAAGGGGAAACCCGCAGCCUUCGUGUUGCCCUGCGCCCAGGUCGGGUGCGCUUGCAGUAGGGGGUUACAAGCGUUCGCGUGGGGGAGCCUUAUGCGCCGGCCCGUUCUCCCGCGCGACCAACCUUCUUGUACGAGAGCCCUGGACCUUCCUUUUAUAGGCGUAAGGAGAGGGUCCAGGUGUACAAUGGGGGGUGUAGCAGUGUGCUAACGUGUCUAGCAGAGAGGAGCUAGAGCCCUAAGUACAUGCUGUCGUGGCAGUCAGAGAGGUUUUGGCACCCUGUUCAUGUGAUGUCGUGGCCGUCAGAGGAGAGCUGGAGCCCUGUGGGAGGACAGCUGUCGGGGCUGUCGAGUCCUUGCUGACGUCUCCUUGCUUCCGUAAGGGGUUGAGAGCCACCGUCGUCAUGGAGCACGUGGGGCGUCAUCACUAUUUGUUUACCGGGGCGAGCCAGAUGGGACGCCGGUCUUGUUCCCCAUAGCCUGAGCUAGCUAGGGGUAGGGUAAUGAUGGCCUUCCUUGUGACGUGGCGGGUCCGAGCCUGAGGUCGGGCGAGGCGGAGGCUCCUCCGAGGUCGAGGCUGAGUCCGAGCCCUGGGGUCGGGCGAAGCGGAGUUCGUCUUUCGAGGUCGAGGCUGAGUCCGAGCCCUAGGUCGGGCGAGGCGGAGACCGUCUUCCGAGGCCGUGGCUGUGUCCGAGCCCUGGGGUCGGGCGAGGUGGAGACCGUCUUCCGAGGCCGAGGCUGUGUCCGAGCCCUGGGGUCGGGCGAGGCGAAGUCCAUCGUCCAGCGUCGAGGUUGAGCCCGAGCCCUGGGGUCGGGCGAGGCGGAGACUGUCUUCCGAGGCCGAGGCUAUGUCUGAGCCCCGGGGGUCGGGCGAGGCGGAGUCCGUCGUCCAGCAUCGAGGUUGAGCCUGAGCCCUACGGUCGGGCGAGGCGGAGACUGUCUUCUGAGGCCGAGGCUAUGUCCGAGCCCCAGGGGUCGGGCGAGGCGGAGUCCGUCGUCCAGCGUCGAGGUUGAGCCCGAGCCCUGGGGUCGGGCGAGGCGGAGCUUCCUAUGGCGCCCGAGGCUGGACUUAGCUGCUGUCAGCCUCACUCUGUCGAGUGGCACAUUAGUCGGAGCGACGCAGGCGGCACUGUUUUCUUGUCAGGUCGGUCAGUGGAGCGGCGAAGUGACUGCGGUCACUUCAGCUCUAUCGACUGAAGAACGCGCGUCAGGAUAAGGUGUCAGGCGAUCCUUGCAUUAAAUGCUCCUGCGAUACGGUCGGUUGGCGUGGCGAUCUGGCCAAGUUUGCUUCUCUGCGAAGACUGAGCCUCGGUCGAGCCGAAGGUGUGUCCGUUGCUUGAGGGGGCCCUCGGGCGAGACGUGAAUCCUCCGGGGUCGGCUGCCUUUGCCCGAGGCUGGGCUCGGGCGAGGCGAGAUCGUGUCCCUUGAGUGGACUGAGCCUUGACCCUAAUCGCGCCCAUCAGGCCUUUGCAGCUUUGUGCUGAUGGGGGUUACCAGCUGAGAUUAGGAGUCUUGGGGGUACCCCUAAUUAUGGUCCCCGACACAUAUCUAUACUGCUUUCUUCUAAUACUAUAGGUGUAGACCAAAAUUACCUUCCAUAAUUGUCAGUGUUAAUAUGUGUGUCAUAUAAUUUGCUUCAACAGGCCCUUUAUGGGUAAUUACUAGCAGAGGUUUUUGCAUAGUUUGAAGUGGUAGUUCAUUUGUGGUGGCAUAUUGAGCAGAAAUAAAUGAAUGCGUAGCUCCAGAAUCAAAUAAUAUGACUGCUGGAAAUGAAGUAAUGUAAAACAUACUGAUAGCGAUGUCCGCUCCAUCAGCAGUGGCCUCGGCACUGACUUGGUUGACCCUGGCAAUGCUGAAUCCCUUGCAAGAGGUUGGAGUCUAUUGCUUGUUCUGAGCUGGUGUGCUGGAAUUCCCCAUCGGACAAGCAUUUUCAUAGUGCCGAACCUGACUGCACUUAAAGCAUGUAGGGCAUGUUCUCUAUCCUGCGGGCCUCGCCGGGGUGCCAGUGAGGGCAGCCUGAUGAGUGUGGGGUGUCUGUGGAGUCCCCUGUGGAGCGUACUGAGCUGGGCGCGAUCCUCCUCCAGGACGAGCUGGUGUACCCUGGGGUGGAGCAUAUCGAGGGCAAAUACUGCUGCUACCCUGCCCUUAGGUAAUGGCCUUCCUCUUCAUUUCACCCAGUUGAACACGCUUGUGUUUAAAAACUAGAGCUUCGUCUAAGAGUCUCUGAAAUGACGGAAAGGUGUGAGCAACCAGUGCAUACUGCAGUGGCCCAUUAAGUCCCUCUAUGAAGUGUUCCCGCUUCCUUUCAUCAUCAGCCACUUCAACUGGAGCAUAUCUUGAUAGUUGAAUAAAUCUGUCAUGGUACUCACUGGCUGACAUAUUGCCUUGUUUCAAUGACAUAAAUUCCUUAUUCUUAAUCUUCAUCAGUCCAGCAGAAAUAUGGUAAUUUCUGAACUAUGUGGUGAAUUCUGCCCAAGUCAUAGUAUCAACAGCAUCAUGGGCAGCAGUGUAAGAGUCCCACCAAUCAGCAGCGGGUCCUCUAAGAUGACCAGAAGCGUAGAGCACCUUCUCCCAGUCAGAGCAUUGAGCAAUAUUUAACAUCUUCUCCACUGACUUUAACCAAUCGUCGGUGUGCAGAGGAUCUGAAGAGCUGGCGAAGGUAGGUGGUUUGUGGCUCAUGAACUCCCGGUGCUUGUCGCGGGGUGGAACUGGUGGUGGUGGAGGAGGCAUUGGUGCUUGUUGUUGUCGCAUCAUUCUCUCUUGACACAUUUCCUCCCUCAUCUCUUGCCUUUCCUGGCGCAUCUCUUGAUGUUCCUGCCGUAUCUGCGCUUGCAUUUUCGUCAUAGUAUUGGCCAUUUGUUGCAGCAUUUGCAUCUGGGCUGCAACCACAGGAUCAGUCCCGGCCGGUGGGGGAUUUGGAGGAUUCAUCUCUGCUUGUUGUUGUCUAAGCACCCUCUGGUUGUGUGGGUUGGCAGGUAGAUCAAUUCUUCCUCCCUUCCUGAUAUUGACCACCUGGGUUAGAAAUACAUGGUAAGAUAGAAUUGACCACCUGGCUGCAACCACAGAAUAUUUUGGGUUUUUAUUACCUAAGUAGAUUAGUAUGUCACCUACUCAUUCUAAUUACCUUAUGGUAGUACAUGCUAGAAUGCCCUGCUAUACUAUUUCAAUCAAUCAAAGAAGCAAAUCAAGCAUUUACCAUCAGAACAAACAACCAAUUACUUCAAGUAGAGAAAAUAAUUUUAAUUUUGUAUUUGGAUUUCCUAUCUCUUUAGAGGGUCAUGGAUGUAGGUUCCAAAGUGUGAAAUCCUCCUUGUCUUAGAAUAGAAAAGGUAAGAGUAAUCAGAGUAGAACAGUAGAAGGUAAGACACGAUCAAUAAAAGUAUAAAAAGAAUCAGAGUAAGAUAAGUAGGUAAGGGUUUUGUCCUGUUCUAUCUAGGUUUCGUCCUAUAGUCAACAUUUGCUCUGAUACCACUUCUGUCACACCUAGAUUUAAGGGAUAAAGUCGGGUGCGUCUCAUAUGUGCGCAAAAGAAGAACAACACAUAUAAUGACAAAGUGUAUAGAGAUAAAUGUCACAAGUAUCAUUAUUACAUAGCGAAAGUCUUACAAAAAUAUAUGAUAAUAUUAAAACAAACUAAUAUUAUUCCUUGGCGCCAUCAAGCUGACUGGGAGAUGCCACCUAGAUCAACUCGUACUCAUUAUAGGGCUCCUCCAGGACCACCUGCUCUUCACCUAGGGGUUAUAUAUCGCAAGAGUGAGCUCACAAAAGAUCAUAGCUCAACGAGUUGUGGGGAAUAAUGUGCAUGAACUCACCAAAGGUGGGAGUUCAUGUGAAGUGUAAGGAUGAUCAACAAAUAAGGGUUAAAGCUGAGCGUUUCUUUUAAUAAGUUGGUCAAAUUUUAUUAGCAGUUACUAAAUGUAAGUAAAUACCAAACCAGAGUGAUAAUAGAUCAAAAUAGUAAUAAAUCCCAAUGCGAUGUAAAUGACAAAUUGAAUUUAAUUCCAUAAGUUAAUCAUGUGAGGGUCCGAGCCGCUCAUGACCAUGAACACGGCUGAUAUACCAGUUUUACACUCUGCAGAGGUUGUACAUCAUUACCCACAAGUAAAAUUACCCAUCUGCCAAGGGAUCACAACUUCCCAUACACCUCUACCAAGGAAGCGAGGCAGGGUAGGCCUUUACAAAAGUUCCACUAGCUUCAGAAAACCCGCUAUAGUUUCUAGGAAGCUCCAAUGCAGGGAUCCCUUGCCUGACCUCCAUCACAGCAAAAUCAACCCAAGGAUCUCCCUACACUGACCACUCCCCUACUGCCCUUGCCCCUUUCAGGUAAGGUACUCAUCCACUAGCUUUCCUAAUUAGUCAGCCAAGGGCGUCCCAUACCACCCUUGUGGUAGCACUGUUUUCACGGGUGGUCGCUCCAUGUUCCAAUUAACAUAAUGAUCUUAUCAUGAACAAUAAAUAAUAAACUGAUAAUAAAAGCAUGAUCAUGAAUAAUGUGUAUCUCCAUACCCAAAACCACAUAAAGCAAUAUCAGGUACUUCCAAAAAUUUAGUGGUAAACAAGGUAUAAAGAUAGCCAAACUAGGGUAACCUAUUGGGUCCCAUCAAAAUGAACCUAUGCAGAUCAUUAUGAUUAAUAAGAACAUUAUUGGGGAAAAAGAAGUGAUCAAGGGCACAACUUGCCUUCAACGAGCUCCUACUCAGCAGUCUCCACCAACUGAACACCUGGGUCCUCUAUGGCUUGCUCGUCUACUCGCAACAAUACAAACAAACAUGGUAUAGCAGAAAUUAACAUCACACCAAACAAUAGAAUAGAAUGCAUGAUAAUAUUCUACGCGUCGUAACGAGAUCAUAGGAACAAGAAUCACUAAAUUCGAAGUUACAGUUAUUAUGUUAUGAAUUUCUGAAGUUAUUUAGUGCCUAGUAUAGAAUAAUUCAAGUGAAUAAUUUUAAUCCAAGUUUCAUGGCUAAACAGAGUUACAAGGUGAUAAAGAAUAUUAAAACAAAAUUAAUGCCACUGGAAUAGAUCAAUUUGAAGUUAAAAUGAAUUAAAUAUGAAUUAUACAUGUUUUUGGAAUUAUUUUUGUACUAAUAAUCAAUUUCUAUAAUUAAUUAUCUGAUUUUUCUGAUCUAUGGACUGCGCGCACAAAAACAGAGAAGUUCGGGAUUAGAUCCGUAAAAUUCCCAAGGCUUAGACUUCUUCCUGGGUGGACUGCGCGUUUAUUCUUAAAUAGUCUAGGGACUCUUUAGUAAAUGCGACGCGGUGAAGGGGUAUCUAGUAAUGUUGGUCGUUGGAUCAGAGCCCAACGCCCCAGAUUAAAUCGUGAAGUUCUGAUGUUCAUCAGGCAUACAUGACCGGAGGAUCUACGAUGGACGACCCGGAUUUAAUGAACGAUGUGGUUAUGCGCUACCACAUCGAAACCGUCCAUCCCGGGAUCUACGGUUACCAACCCUUCCCCCCGAUCUAAUCCUAGGUGUUGGAUAGAAAUCCUACGGCGACCGCACCACGCUCCCAUCCAGUCACAACGAGCGACGGUGCCACGCCCCCUCGCGGCGGAGGCCAUGGCCGGAGGUGACCGUAUCGGUGGACUAUUCCCUAAACUCCAAUUGGUACGGUGCUAUGCGUGAAGAAUGGCAAAGCGAACUUCAUGGAUGCGGAACUCAUUGCGGACGAAGUCGCACGCGGGCUGUUCUCGGCGGGGUGCAAGUUCGGCAGAAUUCACGACUCUGGUGAGGAAUUCCCAUGGCUUCAGCAAGCCCCUCCUCGAUUACUCCCUCGCAUGACGUCAAUGCGACCAGAACAAGCCUCGGAUGGACACGCUGGAGCCAGAAUCGCACUAUUGCUGGGUAUCCGCGACGACGGUGAUAUACCUCCUCGCGGAACGUGGCGGCGCAGUGGAUGGCGUGGAGAAGCGGCGGCGAGAAAAUGGGAGCACAAGCAGGCUAGGUCGUGGGGUAUGAUAUUUGUAGGUGAGGUGGGGUACGGGGCGGCUACAACGGAAUCCGGAGCUUACGGCUGGCAGCAGCAUGCGCGGAGGUGGGUGUUGCGCGGAGAAGACGGUAGCGCGUAGGUGUUGAGGGACUGCCUGGUGGGCCCCGCGGAGCAGCAGCACGAGUGCGAGAGAGCGAGCCUACCAAGGGGGCCCCGCCUGUCGGCGCGUCGGUACCGUCUCCACUAGCUGGGCCGAGCGCGCGGAGUAAAACAGCCAUGGGCCAAAAGGAGUAGGGCUGGCCCAAUUAGAUUUAUUUUCAUCUUUUCUUUUUUGUUUUUGUUUUCCUAUUAUUUUUUUUGAAUUCCAAAUUUGAACUGAAACUUUUGUGGCGAAAUUUGUAACUAAAUUUUGAGUGUAUGAUUUGAACAUAUUAUUAUGGAAUUAAUUUAUAAAUUUAUUUUGUACUGUGUAGUAUUUCUCUCUUUCCUUCUCUAUUUUCAAACCCUAAUUUCAAUUUGGGGUCCAAUUCAAAUCUCAAAUCAUUAUUAUAUUUUUAUUAGUACUAUUGUUAUUAUUAUUAAAUGCACACACAAAUAAAACUCCAACAUGAUGCAUAGAGUAUUUUAUUAGUUAUUUGUUCACUUAAAUUUAGGUAUUCCCAUGUGAUAAUGAGUAGAAGAUCAAAACACCUAAUGACAUCCACCCCUUUUCUUAUUAUUUCCAAACUGGGUAUUACACUAUGGUCGGACGGUCCGUGAGCCCGUAGAGAUGGUCCUACAGGGAUACUGCCCUCCAAACAGUAGGCCCCCCAUGGUCGCACGGUUUGAGAGCCUGCGAAGAGGCUCCUGCAGGGAUAAUGUUCCUUUUUUCUGACGGUCUGUGCUCCAUAGUUUGAUGGUCAUGAAGCCAACAGAGAGCAGUUUCCUCUUAAAUUUUUGUAUAACAUAAGAAUUUAGAGAUUUAGACAAGUUAGGACAGGGGUUUACUUUGACGACUCCUUUGGAGAAAGUAGAUAUAGAUCGACUUUUUUAAACCAGAACCUGAAAACUGAUUCUUGGAAUAAAGUGAUAUGUUUGUUAUGUGAUUACUUUGAUUGUUUUGCUUGGAGUUAUACUAAAAUGUCAGGUUUGAGCCCAGAGUUGGUUGAACAUCGGUUGCCAAUAAAACCCGGGUUCCGCCCAUUUAAGCAAAGGGCAAGGCAAUUUUGUCCCGACUUAUAUCCAAGAAUCAAGGACACAAUUCACCAGUUGUUAGAAGCUAUUUUCAUUAAACCUUGUUGGUACACUGACUGGGUCUCAAACAUUAUGUCAAUGGAGAAGAAAGACUCCAACAAGCUUAGGGUAUGUAUUGAUUUUCGUAAUUUAAAUAGAGCAACCUCUAAAGAUGAAUAUAUUAUGCCUGUGGCCGAUAUAUUAAUUAAUAAUGCAUAUAGAAAUAGAGUCAUUAGUUUUCUUGAUGGUAAUAUCGGAUACAAUCAAAUAUUUAUGACCGAAGAAGAUACGUCUAAAAUGACAUUUGUAUGUGAAAGGGAAAUGUGCCCUUAGGCAUUUCUAUAUUAUUUUGGUGAUUAGAUGCUCAACACAUUCUGUUUUGACUAAUAUGAGCUCAGAGUUAAAGAGAAGCAAAUUAGAGAAACAAAGGUAUGAUUCUAGCACUUAGUAAAUUAUUUUGGUACUAAUUAUGUUCUAUUAAGUGCCAGGCAUUUUCUCAAAAUGAGAGAAAUUAAAUUGGAGAAGGUUGGCUAAGUUCAGCCAAAGCCUGCGGUGCACCGGACAGUGACACAUGGUUCAGCCAACGGUCAGAAGGUAGCACUGGACUGUCCGGUGUGCCACGAGACCAGUGGAUGGCAAUAGUCGGCUUUGCUAGAAAAGGAAGGAAAUCGGGCACUGUUCACUGUCCGGUGAUGCAUCGGACUGUACGGUGCGCCCACGGACAGAAGGCAACCAAAGCCUACAAAAUGGAGCUCCAACGGCUCCUAGUUCCCUUGGGGCUAUAAAAGGGACCCCUAAGCGCAUGGAGCAGGACACCCAAGCAUCCAUUGAACAUCCUACAACGCCUAAACUUCACAAGCACGCAUUUGUUUCAUUGUGAUAGAGAUUUGAGCACUUCUUUGAGUUGUAACUCCGCUGCGUUGUUUCGUGUGCUCGGUUCUUAACUUGUGUGCGUGUUGUUGCGGUGACUCUAGUUCUUGUGUGUGUUUCUAUUCCCUCCCUUACUCUUGUGGUUUAAUUGUGAUCAAUUUUGUAAGGGCAAGAGACUCCAACUUGUGGAGAUUCCUCACAAAGGGAAUACUUGAGAAAAGGAAGAAAAUCGUGGUACUCAAAUUUGAUCUUUGGAUCACUUGAGAGGGAUUGAGUGCAAUCCUUGACCAAAGGAGGUCACCACAACGUGGAGUAGGCAUUGGCCGAACCACGGGAUAAAAUCACUAUGUCACUUGUGCAUUUCCUUAGUGUGAUUGUCUUUCUUCCAUAGAGUUCUCACAUAUUCACUUGCACUAUUGUUCCAAAGUUUAAAACAUAUCUCAAAGGAACAAUCAAGUGAAGAGUUCUCUUUCUCUCUCUAUUCACAACAACUUGGUUUUCAUUUCACUAACAUUUAUAAACCAAGUUUGUGUUGUUUAGAGUUGAUUAUUGCAGGAUCACCUAUUCAUCCCUCUCUAAGUGCUCUCAAUUGGUAUCGGAGCCGUUCUCUUCAUCGAGGGACUAACCGCCUGAAGAUAUGGAUCCUAAAGGCAAGGGGAUGGUGAUCAACGACAAGGAGAAGGAGACUCUCUAUGUUGAUGAGCCAAAAGGUGACAAGCCCACCGACUUAGGCUCAAACAAAAAGAAGGAUGGAAAGAAGAAUAGACGCAUCAAGAAGAUCAUCUACUACAACAGCGACGCCUCCUUCUCUUCACCAAGGGAUGACGACGACGAAGAUUCCUCGUCGAAAAAGAAAACAAUUAAUCAGAAUUACUCUUUUGAUUAUUCUCGCAUCCCUUUUAAUUUGAAUGCACAUUUAUUAUCUAUUCCACUCGGUAAACCCCCUCACUUUGAUGGAGAAGACUAUUCUUUUUGGAGCCAUAAAAUGUGUAGUCACUUAUUUUCUCUCCAUCCUAGUAUUUGGGAAAUAGUGGAAAAUGGAAUGCAAUUUGACAGUAAUAAUAAUCCUAUAUUAAUUAAUGAACAAAUUCAUAAAAAUGCCCAAGCUACUACUGUUUUGCUAGCAUCUCUAUGCAGAGAUGAGUAUAACAAAGUCAACGGCUUGGACAACGCCAAGCAAAUUUGGGACACCCUAAAGAUUUAUCAUGAGGGAAACGAUGUCACUAUGGUCACCAAAAUGGAAUUGGUGGAAGGUGAGCUUGGGAGAUUCGCCAUGAAAAGGGGAGAGGAGCCAACCGAAACGUACAACAGGCUCAAGACCCUGGUGAACAAGAUCCGUAGUUAUGGGAGUACAAGAUGGACGGACCAUGAUGUUGUUCGACUCAUGUUAAGGUCAUUUACCGUUAUUUAUCCUCAUCUUAUAAACCUUAUUCAUGAGAAUCCCAUGUACACCAAGAUGUCGCCCGAGGAAAUUCUCGAAAAAUUCGUAAGCGGGCGCAUGAUGGUAAAGGAGGCUAAGUACGGUGAUGACAUCGCCAACGGACCACUCCCACUCUAUGAGCCACAGCCCGUUGCUCUCAAGGCAACAAGCAGCAAGGAGGCGCUACCUAACAAGGUGGCACAAGUGGAGGCUGAUGGGCUCAACGAGGAGGAAAUGAUGCUUAUAAUCAAGCGCUCUAAGACCGCUUUGAAGGGAUGCAAGGAGUAUCCCAACAAGAAUAAAUCAAGGGGAAAGCGCUCCUGCUUCAAAUGUGGUAAGUCUGGUCAUUUUAUAGCACAAUGUCCUGAUAAUGAUAAUGACUAGGCACAAGAAAAGAAAGGGAAGAUGGAGAGGAAGAAAAACUACAGGUAGGCGAAGGGUGAGGCACACAUUAGCAAGGAAUGGGACUCCGAAUGUUCUUCAUCCGACUCCGACGAUGAAGGACUGGCUGCCUCCGCCUUCGACAAGUCCUCCCUCUUUCCCAACGAGCAUCACACAUGCCUCAUGGCUAAGGAGAAGAAGGUACAUACAUGAGAUACCCCUAAAUACACUUCUUCCAGUGAUGAGGAAUCUUCCGAUGAUGAGGUAGAUUAUAGUGAUAUCUUUAAGGUAUUAGAUAGAUCUAAAGUAGAUAAAAUCAAUGAAUUAAUUGAUGCCCUUAAUGAGAAGGAUAGGUUGUUAUAAAAACAAGAAGAUAUUCUCUAUGAAGAACAUGAUAAAUAUGUUAAUGUGCAAAAAUCUCUUGCUCUAGAAACUAAGAAAAAUGAAAUAUUGUCUUCUGAGUUAUCUUCCUGCCAUGAUUCUAUUUAUAGUCUUAAGAGUUUAAAUGUUGAUUUAAAUUCAAAGCUAGAAAAAGUAAAUGUUACUAGUUCAUCUGUGGAGCAUGUCUCUUUUUGCAAUAGAUGUAAAGAUGUCGAUAUUGAUGCCUGCAAUGCUCAUGCUGCCACUAUUAUUAAAUUGAAUGAUGAAGUUGCAAAUCUAAAUGGUCAACUUAAAAUUUGCAAGGGUAAUUAUGAAAAGACAAAAUUUGCCAAGGAUGCCUACACCAUUGGUAGACACCCCUCCAUUAAGGAUGGACUUGGUUUCCAAACGGGAAUCAAGAACUUAAUAAGCCAAAGGACUUUCAUUCUCAUCAAGGAGAAAGGGAAGGCUCCUAUGGCUAGUAGCUCUUGUUCUUCACAUGACAAAAAGAACCAUGCUUAUCUGUAUGCUCAUGUUAAGAAUGCUUCUAGUGUUGUUCAUCAUGAUCAUUCUAUUUUACCUACUCGUCAUGGUGCUGCUUUUGAUUCUUAUGCCAUGUAUGCAUCAUCUAGCUCAUCGUAUGUUCAUGGUAGGAGUAGACCUAGGCACCAUGUUCAUCAUGUUGUCUCUCAUGCAUCUAGGAAUGCAUCUAAUGGCCUAACUAUGCUUUAUCAUACUUAUGCUGCUUCAUAUGUGCUAACUUGCAAAAAUGAUAAAGUAGUUGCUAGGAAUUUGGGGCCUAAGUGCAAGAGAGACAAAACUUGCAUCUGGGUUCCAAAGUCUUAUGUGACUAACCUUGUAGGACCAACCAGAGUUUAGUACCUAAAACCCAAGCUUAAAUCACCUUGCAGGUUUAUGCAUCCGGGGGCACAAGCUAGAUUAUUGACAGCGAUGCACAAACCACAUGACGGGGGAGAAGAAGAUGUUCACCUCCUACGUCAAGAAUAAGGAUUCCCAUGACACGAUCAUAUUUAGAGAUGGGAAUCAAGGCAAGGUCAAAGGUUUGGGUAAAAUAGCCAUCACUACCGAGCAUUCAAUUUCUAAUGUGUUCUUAGUAGAAUCACUUGGUUACAAUUUACUUUCUGUAAAUCAAUUAUGUUAUAUGGGCUAUAAUUGUUUAGUUACAAAUAUUGAUGUAUCUGUCUUUAGAAGAAGUGAUGGUUCAUUAGCUUUUAAAGAUGUAUUAGAUGGCAAGCUCUAUUUAGUCAAUUUCUCUAAAGAAAAUGCCGAUCUAGAUGCAUGUUUAAUAACUAAGACUAAUAUGGGCUGGCUCUGGCACCACCGUCUAGCAUAUGUUGGAAUGAAGUAUCUUCAUAAGCUUCUAAAGGGAUAACAUGUGUUAGGACUAACCAAUGUCUGUUUUGAGAAAGACAGACCAUGUGCAGCGUGCUAGGCAGGGAAGCAGGUGGGAACUACUCAUCCAAGCAAAAAUGUGACGACCACAUCAAGACCACUGGAACUCCUCCACAUGGAAUUUCUUCGGGCCCGUUGCUUAUCUUAGCAUUGGGGGAAGUAAGUAUGGUCUUGUUAUUGUUGAUGAUUUUCCCGCUUCACUUGGGUAUUCUUUUUGCAGGAUAAAACAGAAACCCAAGGUACACUAAAGCGCUUCCUAAGGAUAGCCCAAAAUGAGUUUGAGCUCAAGGUGAAGAAGAUCAGGAGCGACAAUGGAUUUGAAUUCAAGAAUCUUCAAGUGGAAGAGUAUCUUGAGGAGGAAGGCAUCAAGCAUGAGUUCUCUGUUCUCUACACAUCACAACAAAAUGGUGUUGUAGAAAGGAAGAACAGGACACUCAUCAACAUGGCUAGAACAAUGCUUGGAGAGUACAAGGCGCUUGAGCGGUUUUGGUCAGAAGCUGUAAAUACAACUUGUCAUGCCAUAAACCGGCUCUAUCUUCGUCGCCUCCUCAAGAAGACGUCCUACGAACUCCUACCCGGUAACAACCCAAUGUUUUGUACUUUUGUGUAUUUGGGAGCAAAUGCUACAUCUUAGUUAAGAAAGGUAGGCAUUCGAAGUUUGCUCCCAAAGCUGUAGAAGGGUUUUUACUAGGUUAUGAUUCAAAUACAAAGGCAUAUAGAGUCUUUAACAAAUCUUCGGGUUUGGUUGAAGUAUCUAGUGAAAUUGUAUUUGAUGAGACUAAUGGCUCUCUAAGAGAUCAAGUUGAUCUUGAUGAUGUAGAUUAGGAUGAAAUUCCAAUGUCCACAGUGAGAACUAUGGCAAUAGGUGAUGUGCGAUCGUAGGAACAACAAGAACAAGAUCAACCAUCUUCCUCAACACUAGUGCAACCCCCAACUCAACAUGAGGAACAGGUACCUCAAGAUGCAGGCAUGAAUCAAGCGGGAGCACAUGAAGAAAAGGAUAAAGAUGAAGUACAACAUGCACCUCUAACUCAAGUCCGGGACACCAUCCAAAGGAAUCAUCCAGUGGAUCAGAUUUUAGGUGACAUCAGCAAGGGAGUAACCACUCGUUAAAGUUUAGCUAAUUUUUGUGAACAUUACUCUUUUGUUUCUUCUAUUGAGCGUUUCAGGGUAGACGAAGCCUUGUAGGAUCUGGACUAGGUGUUGGCCAUGCAGGAAGAGCUCAAUAACUUCAAGAGAAAUGAAGUAUGGAGCCUGGUGCCAUGUCCAAAGCAAAAUGUUGUGGGAACCAAGUGGGUGUUCCACAACAAGAAAGAUGAACACGGGAUGGUGACAAGGAACAAGGCUCGACUUGUGGCAAAAGGUUAUGCCCAAGUCGCAGGUUUGGAUUUUGAGGAGACUUUUACUCCUGUAUCUAGGCUCGAGUCAAUACGCGUAUUAUUAGCCUAUGCUGCUCACCACUCGUUUAAGUCAUUUGAAAUGGACGUGAAGAGCGCCUUCCUCAACGGACCAAUCAAGGAGGAAGUGUAUGUGGAACAACCCCCUGGCUUCGAGGAUGACAGAUAUCCCGACCAUGUUUACAAGCUCUCUAAGGCGCUCUAUGGACUUAAGCAAGCUCCAAGAGCAUGGUAUGAAUGCCUUAGAGAUUUUUUUAUUUCUAAUGCUUUCAAGGUUGGGAAAGUUGAACCUGCUCUUUUUACUAAGACUUGUAAAGGUGAUUUGUUUGUAUGCCAAAUAUAUGUCGAUGACAUAAUAUUUGGUUCUACUAAUCAAAAGUCUUGUGAAGAGUUUAGCAGGGUAAUGAUGAAAAAAUUCGAGAUGUCUAUGAUGGGCGGGUUGAACUACUUCCUUGGAUUUCAAGUGAAGCAACUUAAGGAAGGAACGUUCAUCUCCCAAACGAAGUACACUCAAGACUUGCUCUAAAGGAUUGGGAUGAAGGACGCUAAGCCCACCAAGACUCCAAUGGGAACUGACGGACACUUGGACCUCGACAAAGGAGGUAAGUCCAUUGAUCAAAAGGCAUACCGGUCUAUGAUAGGUUCUUUACUUUAUCUUUGUGCUAGUAGACCGGAUAUAAUGCACAGUGUAUGCAUAUGUGCUAGAUUUCAAUCCGACCCCAAGGAAUGUCAUCUUGUGGCCGUGAAGCAAAUUCUUAGAUAUUUAGUUCAUUCACCUUGCUUUGGGAUCUGAUAUCCAAAGGGGUCUACCUUUGACUUAAUUGGAUAUUCAGAUUCCGACUAUGCCGGGUGCAAGGUUGAUAGGAAGAGCGCAUCGAGGACUUGUCAGUUUCUGGGAAGGUCUCUAGUGUCCUAGAGCUCUAAGAAAUAAACAUAUGUUGCCCUAUCUACUGUUGUGGCUGAGUAUGUUGUCGCAGGCCAGUGUUGCUCGCAACUACUUUAGAUGAGGCAAACCCUCCGGGGCUUUGGCUACAAUCUAAGCAAAGUCCCACUCCUAUGUGAUAAUGAGGGUGCAAUCCUCUUGGCGGAUAAUCCUGUUGAACACAGCCGCACUAAGCACAUAGACAUCCGGCAUCACUUUUUGAGAGACCACUAGCAAAGGGGAGAUAUCGAUGUUUGCCACAUUAGCACCGAAAACCAGCUAGCCAAUAUCUCCACCAAGCCUUUAGAUGAGAAAAGGUUUUGCAGGUUGCGUAGUGAGCUAAAUGUCUUAGAUUCGUGGAACCUAGAUUGAUCUAUAGCAUACAUGUGUUUUAUGCCUUUGAUCAUGUUCAUUAAGCAUUUAUGUCUUUACUUGCUUAUUUCUGGUGCUCAAGUUGUACAAGUCACCCCCGGACCUCAUAAGUUCUUAUGCAAAUGAUGCACAUGUUUAAGGGGAGGAUGUACUACAACUUGACCCUUUGAUACUAAUGUGUUUGCUUGAGUGAUAUUGAUAUAGUCUUAAAGAUGAAUUGAAAGGUCACAUGUGGACUUGGACAAAGAAGAGGCUUCCACUGCAUUACGGUAUCAAUAUAUUGUUCCAAGUACCUAUCUGUGUUUUCUCAUUGCCUUUGGUUUUACUUGUGAUUUUUGUGCGGCAAUGGGGUUAAGAGGCCAAAAAGUUAUUCUGUUUUGGUGCUUAAUGCCAAAGGGGGAGAAAUUACGGCCAAAGCAGCUGUAUUUUUGCUUUAGGAGGAAUUACGGCCAAAGCCAUUGUGAGUAUUGUGAGAGGAAUGGCCAUUUGGCUAAUUUUUGCUUUAGGAGGAAGAGAGAUGAGCGGCGGGUUUCUAAGAUGAGUAGAGGAAACAUGAACCACCCUUCUCAUGGUGUUCGUUAUCCUUCUGUUUAGAGACGUCCUGCAGGGCCUAGAGGUGCUUUGCCUAUUGACGCUAGGCCUCAGGAAGAGAGACCACGUGGUGGUCGUACCUGGUGGGGUGCUGGUCGUGUGCCAUAUGGCCAAGGAUCCCAUGACAGCGGACCACAAUUUCUUCUUGUGGUGAUCGCUUCCCUUCUGGAUUGGGGAUGGUUGGUGUUUUUCCUAACACUUUUAUGGGUAGAUGCCGCAUCACUAGUAUUUUUAUCAGUUUCCUAACCCCAAUUUUGUUCCAUUUGAUCACCUUGUGCCUUUCUAUUGAUACAGGACGGAUGCCUGGAGAACAUAUGGCUCAUGGAUUCCGGCUGUUCGCGCCACAUGACUGGAAGCAAAAAAUGGUUCUCCAGUGUUGACCCCGUGAUUGGUACGGAAUACAUCACAUUCGAGGAUAAGUCAAGAGGUAAGAAAAUCUCUCAUGGCUCCGUUCGAAUGAACAAGAGUUUUGUUCUCAAGGAUGUUGCUUUUGUUUCGAAUUUGCAUUUCAAUCUGCUUUCUAUUUCGCAACUCUUUGAGGAUGACUAUGAAGUGUGUUUUAAAAAGGGCUUGUCUCAGGUUUUGGAUGCUCAGGGGAUCGUGUUUGUCAGAUUUCCCCUUUUGGUCGAGUUUUUAGUGCUGAUUUUUCACUUUCUUAUGUCCCUUCUCGAUGCUUGCUGAUGGGAUCCUCUUCUUUGAUUUGGAAGUGGCAUAGAAGACUUGGACACUUGAGCUUUAAUCUUUUGUGUAGACUAAGCUCACUUGGCCUGAUCCAAGUAUUGCCCAAGUUGAAAUUUGAGAAGGAUCUUGUCUGUCACCCUUGUCGUCAUGGAAAGAUGGUUGUUGCUUCCCACUCCCUGGUCACCAAGGUGAUGACCUCACAGCCUGACGAAUUGCUUCAUAUCGCACUGUUGGUCCAGCUCGGGUUUGCUCUUUCGAGGGGAUGUGGUAUGCACUUGUGGUUGUUGGCGAUUUUUCUCGCUACUCUUGGGUGAUCUUCAUGAAGGCAAAGGAUGAGGCUUUCACUCAUGCUCGAGAUUUGAUUUUAGAUUGCAAAAUGAGUUUCCCAAGAAUGUCAUGAGAGCUAUACAUAGUGACAAUGGCACAGAAUUCAAAAAUACUCAUUUUGAAACCUUUUGUGCUUAUUUGGGACAUGGGGAUCAGUUUUCCUCUCCGUAUGUGUCUCAGCAGAAUGGCAUUGUUAAACACAAGAAUCGAACCCUUGUUGAGAAGGCCAGGAUGAUGCUUGAUCAAUAUAGGACUCCUAGGCGUUUUUGGGCCGAAGCGAUCAACAUUGCUUGCCAUGUGUUGAACCGCAUCUUUCUUCUAGCUUUCUUGAACAAGACUUCUUAUGAGUUGCGGUUUGGAUGACCACCGAAGGUUAGUCAUUUAAGGGCGUUUGGCUCCAGAUGCUUUAUGCUGAAAUAGGGUAAUUUGGACAAAUUUGAGCCUUAUCGUGCUUAUCGUGUUCUUAACUUGGAGACUAACUGCAUUACAGAGACUUGUGAAGUAACAUUCGAUGCGACUGCACCUUGUCCAUCCCCUAUCUUUGAGCCUGCAGGUCCACAUCAGAUGGGACAGACCAUCUUUGUGAAGGAGGAGCAUGCCACCACUGAUUUGGGUGAUCUCGAGCCGACUCCACUGGCUACACCAGUUGAGCCUGCUUCCACUACUUCGGCUGACGGACCCGAUCCCACUACUUCCACUACUUGGGGUCCACUCAAGCCAGCUCCUUCUGAGACUGUAGAAGUUGAUGUUGCUAUUGAGGGGGAGGCUACCUCUUCGAGAAUGGCUCCACGAUAUGUUCUGCGUGAUCAUCCUCCUCAACAAAUGAUUGGUGAGAAUGAUAUGCGAGUCACUCACUUCAGGUAUCAACAGAUGUCUCAUUUUGCUCACUCAGCUUUUGUUGCUUCUUUUGAGCCUCGAGAUGUUGGACAUGCUUUGUCUGAUUCUAACUAGGUCAAUGCUACACGUGAGGAGCUCGAAAAUUUUGAGAGAAAUCGGGCUUGGGUUUUGGUGCCCCUCCUUCAAACUGCCAUCCCAUAGGUACAAAAUGGGUUCUAAAAACAAAGAAAGUGAGGAUGGGUUGGUAGUGAGAAACAAGGUGAGGUUGGUUGCGCAAGGGUAUUGCCAGAAAGAGGGUAUCGAUUAUGAUGAAACCUUUGCCUCUAUUGCCCAUUUAGAGGCCAUUAAGAUUCUUUUAGCCUUUGCUGCUUCAAAGGGUUUUAAGCUUUUUCAAAUGGAUGUCAAAAGUUCCUUUUUGAAUGGGUAUGUAGAGGAAGUGGUCUAUGUGUGUACUGUGUAACACCCUGAAUUUGGGGGUAUAAAAUUUCUUUGCUCAUAUUCACAAAUUCAGGUGUUACUUCCCUUUUCUCAUCCUUCCUCAUCCUUUUCUUUCUCAUUUCUAUAGGAGAAAAGUGCUUAUUUUAUUUGUAAUUAUAGUUUAUUAUGUUAAACCCUAAGGGAGUAUGAAUUGUUGCAUCAUGUUGAACCCUAGAUUUCACUUUUGCUUGGUGCAUAAUUCUUUGAAAGUUUGAUUUGAAUUUGUGGCUCAUUUGGAUUUGAAUCAAUUGGAGAAAAUAAAAAGAAAAAGAGAAAACAAUUCCAGAAUAAAAAGAAAAGGAAAGAAGCCCACUCCCCCGCCCCCCUCGGCCUUUCGGCCCACCAGGCCCAUCCCGCGCGCGCGCUCUCCUCCCCCCGCUCUCUCUGCCCUGGCGGGCCCGCCCGUCAGCGCAGCCGCCUCUCGCGCGCCCGCCUCCGCUCUCCCCUCUCUCUCUGCUCGCGGGCCCGGGCUGUCAGCCCCGUCGUCCCCGCGUAACCGCCGCCGAGCUGCGCGCGCCCGCCUUCCCCGCGCCCACGUCGCGCGUGGAGCUCGCAACUGACCCGCCCCUGGCCACUUGAGCCCCGAGCCCCACUCGCCCUCUCCCCCUCCCCCAUUUGCGCUCCAGUAGACCCUCUUCCCCCCUCGCUGCGCGCACGCAGAGCGCCGCCGCCAUAACCCCCGCCGUCCCGAGCUCGGUUCCCCGUCGCCGUUGGAGCUCCGCCGCGCCCUUUGCCCCGGUGAGCUCCGCCCCGACGUCCGCAACCCGGGACGCGCCCCAAUUCCCUCUCCCCCUCCCUAUUUCUCUCUGCCCGCGCUCACCCGCCGUUCCCCGUGCAGCCGCGGAGGUCCCCCACCGUAGCCCCGGACCACCGUCGCGCCAUUGCCGCCGCCGAGGAGUCCCCGGAGCCCGUCUUGAGGUAAGGGACCUCUCCCGCCCCUAUCGACCUUUGUUUUGCUCUCUGCCGCGUGUAAUUCCUCGCCGGAGUAGAGUAAUCCCGCCGCUCCGCCGUGAACCGCCCCCCUCCGGUGCCCCUGCCCCGACCCAGACCCCACCAGAGGACUCCCCGUGCCCUCCCCAACCUUCCCGGCCACUCAGGUCGCCCCAGAGGCCCGCCAAACGCCCGCGCCCCUCGUCUCCGGCGAGCCCUCCGCCGUGGGGACGAGCGCCGCCGCCCCAGCUAGCCGUAGGAAAGACCCAGGCCGCCCACCCGAUCCCCGCCGUUCAUCCCAGAUCGGGCGGCCCUGAUUCAACUCGCCCGGACCCAAUCCUGGCCGUCCGCCGGAGAUCCAGCGGCCCAGGCCCACUUCCCCCUCACCCCGUCUCCCUGCCAGUUGGGCCCCGCCUGUCAGCCCGCCCGCGCGCUCGCCCUGCCCGCCGGCCCCGCCUGUCAGCCCGCCCGCGCGCGCUCUGCCCGCCGGCCCCGCCUGUCAGCCUGCCCGCGCCCCGCGCUGCCCGCCCGGUCCCGCCUGUCAGUCGCCCAGGCCGCCGCGCGCUCGCGCGCCCGCCCGCAGGAUCUAAUCCUGGCCGUUCGCUUGAGAUCCGACGGCCGUAGGAGCCCGAUACCCCUUCGCCUGCGCAUUUUCUUAAAGAGACCCCCGGUUUUCUGGAAUUUGAACCCGCCGUCCCUGGUUUCUCGCAGUUAAGUCCCUGGCCCUUUUAUUUAAUUCAAAAUAGGUAUUUAGGGUAUAAUUUUAAUCCCCAAACUUGUAAAAUUCAUAACUUUGUCAUAUGAACUCCAAAUGAGGUGCUUCAAAUUGCAAAAUGCUCAUUAUGCUUUUGUCUAUCUAUUCAAACAGUGUUUCCCUGUUGUUUCCAUGUACCAAUUAAUAGUUAAUCACUAGGAUAGGAUUAAGACUAUUGGAACCUUAUUUGAGAUGAUUAGAAAUUGGUAGACUUUAAUAAAAGUUGGAUUACUUAAGUUUAUGGACUUAAACACCCAAGUUUAGGAACUUAAAACCAGGUAAUGAUUUAAUCCCACCACUGACUUAAACCUGAUUAGUGGAUAAUGAAUCACUUAGUAUAGUCCUCUACCCUAGACCUAGGGAACACUAGAGUGCCUAUCCCUUUUCUACUAUGAACUUGUGAUCCCUUUGCUGCAUAUGUUUGGUAUGUUGCUUUUUGUUUGUUAUCUUCCCAAGUGCAUAGUGUGAAUGAUUACUUUACGUAGACAACGAGCAGUCUGUGUUUCCCGAGGAGGUUGCAGAGGAAGUCCCUGAUCUGCAGUUUGGUGAAGGCAAGUGUCCUCUGUCCCAUUAUGUCCUAUUCAUUUAUAACUUACUACCCCGCACUACUUACUUGAAACCUAAGGAUUGACUAGCUUUACAUUUUACUUUAUCCUUGAUGACCUUAUGGGCUAUUAUGGUUAGCACUUUGCUAUUGCUUUAACAUAAUCAAUGAACAUGAUGUGACUAUUUAUGAUACUGUUAUCCUGAUGAUGUUGAUGAUCUUGUGAUACUCUAGGGGGCUCAGGCUGUUUCCUGAGUACCUCUCCGUAAGGACCUGUUCGUUGAGAGACCACCCGGGAUAACAGUGCAACCAUGAGGGUGAAAUGGGAUGCCCUUAGCUGAUUAAUUGGAUGAACUAGAGGUGUAGUUGCUUAGCCGUCGUGCCGUCAAUGGGGUCCAGGCACAGUGCUCGCUCUGCCGAGGCUGAGUGCCGAGGUUCUUUCGUUUUGCUCUUUGUUAGUCACUCUCCUGCGUGGAGGGGUACUGUGUUUAUCAAACUGGAGAAACCUAACGGGCAGCUAUGAUCUCUAGGGAAUCUUUGUAAAAGCUACGUAGUGAUGCCCUGCCGGACCACCUAGGUAGUGGUCAAUGGGGAUUAGCUCUCCCCGGGUAGAAAGGGAAUCAUGACUCAUGGGUAAAGUGUGCAACCUCUGCAGAGGAUUAGAAACUGAUAUAUCAGCCGUGCUCACGGUUAUGAGCAGCCUUGGGAUCCUCUUUGAUUAGAGAUACAGAUGGUUCGAGAUACAAGGAUUAUGUUAUGGUUUCGGUUCGACUAUGAUGAUGAUGUUCCUCGAUGAGGAAAUGGUUUACGGGUUGGUUAAUGCUAAAAUCUGGCUUCUACUAAUGAUAAAUACCUGACCAACUAAAAGCAACUGCUUGAGCCUAACCCCACAUAAAGCUAGUCCACUUCAGCCAAACGGGACAUUUGCUGAGUACGUUGAUGUGUACUCAUCCUUGCUUUACCACAAAACACCAGGUUGUCCGCAUUGUAACCACUGCUCAGGAGAAGGUGAAGCCGUGGAAGGAGACUUCCAGGAGUUCCAAGACUACGAUGAAUUCUAGGUGUGGGUUGGCGGCAACCCCCAGUCAGCUGCCUGUGAAGGCCUUAGCUUUACUGCGUUUCGUUUAGCACUUUGAUUUACUUGUUAAGACAAUGACUAUGUGGAUGUCUAUGACUCUAUGAUGUAAUAAGUACUCUUUUAUGUUAUUAUUCGAGCAUUGUGUGAUGAUGUUCAUUUAUGUAAUCGCUGUGUACGUGAGUUCUGAUCCUGGCACGUACAUAGUUCGCAUUCGGUUUGCCUUCUAAAACCGGGUGUGACAUAAGUGGUAUCAAAGCCGUGCUGACUGUAGGACCGCUGACCUAGAGUAGCACUGGUCGUACUAAGGACUAUUGACCUUCCCUCUCACCUUGACAUCUGAUGUUACUUCAAAAGUCGGUCACCUCGACCAACCCUAUGUUUUACUAUCUAUAUAUACUAUACCUUGUUAAAAAUUUUUAUCUCAUUCUGUUUAUGGUUUACUCACUUGUCAUAUUAGUUCUGCUCUUACUCUUGUGCUUACGGUGUCUUUUGUAGAUGGCUCGUCUUAGACACACUGCACGUAAGUCGGUGAUUCCUUUCCUGCCGUCUCGACUUGCGGAGCGUCCUCUGCACCGCACCGUGUCCGGUCAGUCGAGUCACCUGGAGAGGCUGCACCACCGCUUGCGUGAGGAGCAGGAACGCCGGCGCCAGCACAGAGAGCAGCAGGGCUCUUCCUCCCCACCCCAGCGAGAGGUGGAGUCCGUGAGGCCCCGUUCCUCUGUUGCCCAGCUGGAGGCGCCCCCUGCACCACCGCGGGACGUCCCGGCUGUUGGAGGAGCUACUGGAGGAGAUCCUGGAGGAGACCCCGACGACGACGACUCAGACCACAGCACGGAGUCCUCUGAGCCGCAGGAGGCGGAAGGAUGGGUCGCCCGACCCAUCACCCGUGACGCCGCUCGCGGUUGUCACUUCCACGACGCACUCGACACCUUGCUGCGCCAGGCUUUCGACCGGCACACCUGGUCGAUCGAGUAUCGUUGUGUAGUCUACCAGCACAGUCGCGGGAGGUACCCGGACCGCUGGGAGGCUACCUGCCUAGUUCGCCGUCCGGAGGAUGACCUCCGGGGUGCGGAGGCCGUUUCGGAGCACUAUUCCAUCUCCGAGAGGGACACUGCAGAGGCGGCUAUGCAGGAUGCAGCACGGCGUGCACUCUCCCAGUACUGUUCUUUGUUCGGUGGGGUGGCCGACGGUCUUAACCUUCGGUACUACCCCCGCCGCCCUACUGGCAGCACCGAGAGUGUGGUUGUCUCACCUGUUGGUGAGGCUAACCCUAGGUUGAGCAGCACAGUCAACCUAGUCGCGGUGCUUAACACUGAGCUGGAUCACUCUCUGGACGAGCUAAGCAGGGCUCGAACGGAGAUUGCGGAGUUGCGUGCUGAGUUGGCAGAGCGCCAUCACCAGGAGGGUGGUUCUCCCGCUCCUGUCGGGACUCAGCACCCAUACCGCUCACCACCACGUGGUCACCACACUUAUGGUUCCCCUGUCUGUAAGACCAGGAUAGAUCUGGAUCCUUAGAUCGUUAGCGUCGGAGUUUGUAAUAAUUCUUAAGUCAGAUGUCUUACUCUUAGGUAGUCAGUUUAGUUUGCUUAUCAGUUGCUUCCAUUUAGUUUAGUUUGCUUAUCAGUUGCUUUCAUGCUUGUUAUGAUGAACUUGUACUGGAUUUGAAUCUUUGUAAUGACUGUUGCCAACCUGCGGGUUUCCCCUGCAGUUUGGCUUAGCUAGUAAUAUUAAUGAAGUCAGUUGUUUAGUUGGGAAACCAUUUACUCUUACUUUCCUUUCUUAUCUGAGAAGCUGUGUUGAAUCAUGAAUGAGGAUCAGUGAAGCUCUUUGUUCACUCAGUGUCAUGAAGAAUUCUGUAUUCUCUUUUCUUAUGCUGAAGGGUUGUAAGAUCAAUGCUGAUGUAUGAAUGUCUUCCACAGAUGUCUGACAACAGGCGCCGAUGCAACAGGCGUGCUCAGCUGGAACAGCAUGACCAGCAGGAGGAAAAUCAGAGGCAGCCUCCCCCACCACCCCCGAUGUCAGUGGAGCAGAUGUUCUUGAUGCAGACCCAGGCAGUGCAGGCCAUUGGGCAGACUCUGGCAGCCAUGCAGCAGGCUCAACAGCAACCCCAACCCCAAUUGCAAGUGCAGAUGCCCCAGAUGCCACGAGAUAAGCGUGGUGAGUUCAUGAGAGGGCACCCUCCUACCUUCGCCCAUUCUGCUGACCCCAUGGAUGCAGAAGACUGGCUGCGCGCAGUGGAAAGGGAGCUGCGCACCGCCCAAUGCGACGACAGGGAGAAGGUUCUGUAUGGUCCCCGCCAGCUGAGGGGAGCAGCCCAGUCCUGGUGGGAGUCCUACCUCGCCACCCAUGCUGACCCCGAAGCCAUCACUUGGGAGGAAUUCAGCGAGAGUUUCCGUCGGUACCAUGUGCCAGAGGGACUGAUGAUCGUGAAGAAGGAGGAGUUUCUGGCUCUGAAGCAGGGACCCCUGUCUGUUAGUGAGUACAGGGACAAGUUUCUGCAGCUGUCUCGCUAUGCACCUGAAGACGUCAACACUGAUGCCAAGAGGCAGUACAGGUUCAUGAGAGGUUUGGUGGAUCCCCUGCAUUACCAGCUGAUGAAUCACACCUUCCCCACCUUCCAGCACCUGAUCGAUAGGGCAGUCAUGACUGAGAAGAAGCGUAAAGAUAUGGAAGAUCGGAAGCGCAAGAUGAGUGGACCCCAGUCCGGAGGCAUCAGCCGUCCGCGUUUCUCAGGCAGUUCAUCUCAGCAAGGCAGACCUGGUCACCCACAGGGAUAUCAGAAUCAGAAUCAGCGUCCGCAUCAGCAGCAGUUUCAGAGGCAGUACCCACAGCAGCAACAACAGUAUCGUCAGCACAGCCAGCAGGGAGGUAAUCAGUAUCAGAAGCAGAACAACCAGGCACCUCGCCUUCCUGCCCCAGCAGCGAAUCAGAGCAACCAAGCAGCCCCAGCACAAGGAGGAGGCAGAGGAUGUUUCCACUGUGGAGAUCAAGGUCACUGGGCGAUGCAGUGCCCGAAGAAGAUGGCGCAGCAGCAGACCAACCCCAAUGCUCCGACAAAACAAGGUGUACUGCAGCCGACAGCCGGCAAUCGUAACCAAGCGUACAACCGUGGAAAGGUGAACCACUUGGAGGCCGAAGCAAUCCAGGAUGCACCAGAUGUGGCAGUAGGUAUGUUCUCAGUCGAAUCUCAUCCCGCAAAAGUGCUAUUUGAUACUGGUGCAACUCAUUCAUUUGUCACUGCAACCUGGGUAGAAUUGCAUAACAUCUUAGUAGAGGCAAUGAUGCCGCCCAUGAGGAUUAAUUCGGUUGGUGGCAAGGUGCAAACGGAUAAAAUAUGCUCAAACAUAAUGGUGGAAAUAAGGGGGAUAGGAUUCCCCAGUGACUUAAUAGUAAUAGACACCCCUGGGAUAGAUGUUAUUCUAGGGAUGAACUGGUUAAUGAAGUACGAAGCAAAUGUUAGUUGUGACAAGAGGACCGUAACAUUGAAAUCCCCGUCAGGAGAAGAGGUAGUGGCCGAGCUAAGGAUGCCUAAAUCAGAAGGAGUCUGCCAUCAGAUUUCAGUUGAUAGUAAGGAGCCCAACCCGCUCGAGGCUAUCAAGGUUGUGUCCGACUUUCCGGACGUGUUUCCCGAAAGAGUUAACGGGCAUGCCACCCGAGAGAAAGGUUGAAUUUGCCAUAGAGCUUAUCCCUGGUACCGCCCCCAUUUCCAAAAGAGCCUAUCGAGUGUCUGGACCAGAAUUGGUGGAACUCAAGAAGCAUCUAGAUGAGAUGUUAGAGAAGGGUUACAUCAGGCCCAGCACCUCGCCUUGGGCCGCUCCAGUGUUGUUUGUAGAGAAGAAAGAUGGUACCAAAAGGAUGUGCAUAGACUACAGAGCCUUGAAUGAAGUCACUGUCAAGAACAAGUACCCCCUGCCAAGGAUAGAAGAUUUGUUCGACCAGCUCAGAGGUGCCAGCGUAUUCUCGAAGAUAGAUCUGAGAUCAGGUUACCAUCAGCUCAGAAUCCGACCCUCAGAUAUACCGAAGACGGCAUUCAUCACCAAGUAUGGGUUAUAUGAGUUCACAGUUAUGUCCUUUGGUUUGACAAAUGCGCCAGCCUUCUUUAUGUACCUGAUGAACAGUGUGUUCAUAGAUUAUCUGGACAAGUUUGUGGUAGUGUUCAUCGAUGACAUUCUCAUAUACUCUCAAAGUGAGGAAGAUCAUGUAGAGCAUUUGAAGAUGGUAUUGCAAAGACUUCGAGAGCAUCAACUGUAUGCCAAGCUGGGCAAAUGCGAGUUCUGGAUUCAUGAAGUCUUAUUUCUGGGUCACAUCAUAAAUCAAGAUGGGUUAGCAGUGGAUCCAAAGAAAGUAGCAGAUAUCCUGAACUGGAAAGCACCGAAGGAUGUUCGUGGGAUCAAGAGCUUCAUUGGAAUGGCUGGAUACUAUAGGAGUUUCAUUGAAGGCUUCUCAAAGAUUGCUAGACCAAUGACAGCGUUGCUAGCGAAGAAAGUUGAGUUUAAGUGGACUCAAAAGUGUCAGGAAGCAUUUGAAGAACUGAAGAAUAGAUUGACUACAGCUCCUGUGUUAGUCCUGCCAGACGUUCACAAGUCAUUCUCAGUGUAUUGCGACGCUUCGUACACCGGAUUGGGAUGUGUGCUAAUGCAAGAAGGAAGAGUUGUAGCAUAUUCAUCUCGGCAGCUGAAGAUCCAUGAGAAAAAUUAUCCCACACAUGACCUGGAGUUGGCAGCAGUGGUUCAUGCCUUAAAGACCUGGAGACAUUACCUGUAUGGGCAGAAGUGCGACAUCUACACAGAUCAUAAAAGUCUGAAGUACAUAUUCACCCAGUCAGAGUUAAACAUGAGGCAGCGAAGAUGGUUGGAAUUGAUCAAAGACUAUGAGUUGGAGAUACAUUAUCAUCCAGGCAAAGCCAAUGUUGUUGCAGAUGCUCUGAGCAGGAAGAGUCAAGUCAAUAUGUUGGUCACGUACCCGAUGCCGUAUGAGUUAGCCAAAGAGUUCGACAGACUGAGCCUCGGUUUCCUGAACAGUACGCAAGGAGUAACAGUGGAAUUAGAGCCCACCCUAGAGCGGGAGAUCAAAGAAGGGCAGAAGGAUGAUGAAAACAUCAACAAGAUCCGGCAGCUGAUCUUAGAAGGAAGAGGCAAAGACUUUCGAGAGGAUGAAGAGGGGGUAAUAUGGUUCAAGGACCGAUUGUGUGUCCCCGACCUCAAACCUAUUCGGGAAUUGAUCCUAAAGGAAGCUCAUGAGACAGCCUACUCCAUACACCCAGGGAGUGAGAAGAUGUACCAGGAUUUAAAAAGGAGGUUUUGGUGGUAUGGCAUGAAAAGAGAGAUCGCAGAAUAUGUCGCCAUCUGUGAUAGCUGUCAGAGAACCAAAGCAGAGCAUCAGAGGCCUGCCGGAUUGUUGCAGCCAUUGCGGAUUCCUCAGUGGAAGUGGGAUGAGAUCGGGAUGGAUUUUAUAGUUGGCCUACCUCGUACCCGGGCCGGCUAUGAUUCCAUCUGGGUGGUCGUGGACCGCUUAACAAAGGUGGCCCAUUUCAUACCCGUGAAGACGACAUACACCGGAGCAACGUUAGCUGAGUUAUACAUGUCACGGAUAGUCUACCUUCAUGGUGUGCCAAAGAAGAUAGUGUCAGAUCGAGGAACACAGUUCACCUCUCAUUUUUGGCAGCAGCUACAAGAAGCUUUGGGCACACAUUUGAACUUCAGCUCAGCUUAUCACCCGCAGACAGACGGUCAGACUGAAAGAACUAAUCAGAUCCUAGAAGAUAUGUUGAGAGCCUGUGCGUUGCAAGACAAGUCAGGAUGGGACAAAAGAUUACCUUAUGCAGAAUUCUCCUACAACAAUAGUUACCAGGCCAGCUUGAAGAUGUCGCCGUUUCAGGCACUCUAUGGACGGAGUUGUAGGACUCCGCUGCAUUGGGACCAGCCUGGAGAGAGACAGGUGUUUGGCCCCGACAUCUUACUUGAAGCCGAAGAGAAUAUCAAAAUGGUUCGGGAGAACCUGAAGAUAGCACAAUCAAGACAGCGGAGCUAUGCGGACUGAAGGAGAAGGGAACUGAGUUUCGAAGUGGGAGAUUACGUCUAUCUGAAGGUGUCACCUAUCCGAGGAGUCAGAAGGUUCGGAGUCAAAGGCAAGCUAGCACCCCGGUACGUUGGACCGUAUCAGAUUCAAGCAAAGCGUGGAGAAGUGGCCUACCAGCUUGACCUACCAGAGAGCUUGUCAGCAGUGCACAAUGUGUUCCAUGUGUCGCAAUUGAAGAAGUGUUUGCGAGUACCAGAAGAACAGUUGCCAGUGGAGGGUUUGGAGGUCCAGGAGGAUCUGACAUACAUAGAGAAGCCAACGCAGAUUCUGGAGUUUGCAGAUAGAGUCACCCGGAGGAACACCAUCAGAAUGUGCAAAGUCAGAUGGGGUCACCACUCUGAGGAAGAAGCAACCUGGGAAUGAGAAGAUGAUCUGAAGGCCAAAUACCCUGAACUCUUUGCUGACCAACCUUGAAUCUCGGGGCGAGAUUCUUUUAAGGGGGAUAGGUUUGUAACACCCUGAAUUUGGGGGUAUAAAAUUUCUUUGCUCAUAUUCACAAAUUCAGGUGUUACUUCCCUUUUCUCAUCCUUCCUCAUCCUUUUCUUUCUCAUUUCUAUAGGAGAAAAGUGCUUAUUUUAUUUGUAAUUAUAGUUUAUUAUGUUAAACCCUAAGGGAGUAUGAAUUGUUGCAUCAUGUUGAACCCUAGAUUUCACUUUUGCUUGGUGCAUAAUUCUUUGAAAGUUUGAUUUGAAUUUGUGGCUCAUUUGGAUUUGAAUCAAUUGGAGAAAAUAAAAAGAAAAAGAGAAAACAAUUCCAGAAUAAAAAGAAAAGGAAAGAAGCCCACUCCCCCGCCCCCCUCGGCCUUUCGGCCCACCAGGCCCAUCCCGCGCGCGCGCUCUUCUCCCCCCCCGCUCUCUCUGCCCUGGCGGGCCCGCCCGUCAGCGCAGCCGCCUCUCGCGCGCCCGCCUCCGCUCUCCCCUCUCUCUCUGCUCGCGGGCCCGGGCUGUCAGCCCCGUCGUCCCCGCGUAACCGCCGCCGAGCUGCGCGCGCCCGCCUUCCCCGCGCCCACGUCGCGCGUGGAGCUCGCAACUGACCCGCCCCUGGCCACUUGAGCCCCGAGCCCCACUCGCCCUCUCCCCCUCCCCCAUUUGCGCUCCAGUAGACCCUCUUCCCCCCUCGCUGCGCGCACGCAGAGCGCCGCCGCCAUAACCCCCGCCGUCCCGAGCUCGGUUCCCCGUCGCCGUUGGAGCUCCGCCGCGCCCUUUGCCCCGGUGAGCUCCGCCCCGACGUCCGCAACCCGGGACGCGCCCCAAUUCCCUCUCCCCCUCCCUAUUUCUCUCUGCCCGCGCUCACCCGCCGUUCCCCGUGCAGCCGCGGAGGUCCCCCACCGUCGCCCCGGACCACCGUCGCGCCAUUGCCGCCGCCGAGGAGUCCCCGGAGCCCGUCUUGAGGUAAGGGACCUCUCCCGCCCCUAUCGACCUUUGUUUUGCUCUCUGCCGCGUGUAAUUCCUCGCCGGAGUAGAGUAAUCCCGCCGCCGAGCCGCUCCGCCGUGAACCGCCCCCCUCCGGUGCCCCUGCCCCGACCCAGACCCCACCAGAGGACUCCCCGUGCCCUCCCCAACCUUCCCGGCCACUCAGGUCGCCCCAGAGGCCCGCCAAACGCCCGCGCCCCUCGUCUCCGGCGAGCCCUCCGCUGCGGGGACGAGCGCCGCCGCCCCAGCUAGCCGUAGGAAAGACCCAGGCCGCCCACCCGAUCCCCGCCGUUCAUCCCAGAUCGGGCGGCCCUGAUUCAACUCGCCCGGACCCAAUCCUGGCCGUCCGCCGGAGAUCCAGCGGCCCAGGCCCACUUCCCCCUCACCCCGUCUCCCUGCCAGUUGGGCCCCGCCUGUCAGCCCGCCCGCGCGCUCGCCCUGCCCGCCGGCCCCGCCUGUCAGCCCGCCCGCGCGCGCUCUGCCCGCCGGCCCCGCCUGUCAGCCUGCCCGCGCCCCGCGCUGCCCGCCCGGUUCCGCCUGUCAGUCGCCCAGGCCGCCGCGCGCUCGCGCGCCCGCCCGCAGGAUCUAAUCCUGGCCGUUCGCUUGAGAUCCGACGGCCGUAGGAGCCCGAUACCCCUUCGCCUGCGCAUUUUCUUAAAGAGACCCCCGGUUUUCUGGAAUUUGAACCCGCCGUCCCUGGUUUCUCGCAGUUAAGUCCCUGGCCCUUUUAUUUAAUUCAAAAUAGGUAUUUAGGGUAUAAUUUUAAUCCCCAAACUUGUAAAAUUCAUAACUUUGUCAUAUGAACUCCAAAUGAGGUGCUUCAAAUUGCAAAAUGCUCAUUAUGCUUUUGUCUAUCUAUUCAAACAGUGUUUCCCUGCUGUUUCCAUGUACCAAUUAAUAGUUAAUCACUAGGAUAGGAUUAAGACUAUUGGAACCUUAUUUGAGAUGAUUAGAAAUUGGUAGACUUUAAUAAAAGUUGGAUUACUUAAGUUUAUGGACUUAAACACCCAAGUUUAGGAACUUAAAACCAGGUAAUGAUUUAAUCCCACCACUGACUUAAACCUGAUUAGUGGAUAAUGAAUCACUUAGUAUAGUCCUCUACCCUAGACCUAGGGAACACCAGAGUGCCUAUCCCUUUUCUACUAUGAACUUGUGAUCCCUUUGCUGCAUAUGUUUGGUAUGUUGCUUUUUGUUUGUUAUCUUCCCAAGUGCAUAGUGUGAAUGAUUACUUUACGUAGACAACGAGCAGUCUGUGUUUCCCGAGGAGGUUGCAGAGGAAGUCCCUGAUCUGCAGUUUGGUGAAGGCAAGUGUCCUCUGUCCCAUUAUGUCCUAUUCAUUUAUAACUUACUACCCCGCACUACUUACUUGAAACCUAAGGAUUGACUAGCUUUACAUUUUACUUUAUCCUUGAUGACCUUAUGGGCUAUUAUGGUUAGCACUUUGCUAUUGCUUUAACAUAAUCAAUGAACAUGAUGUGACUAUUUAUGAUACUGUUAUCCUGAUGAUGUUGAUGAUCUUGUGAUACUCUAGGGGGCUCAGGCUGUUUCCUGAGUACCUCUCCGUAAGGACCUGUUCGUUGAGAGACCACCCGGGAUAACAGUGCAACCAUGAGGGUGAAAUGGGAUGCCCUUAGCUGAUUAAUUGGAUGAACUAGAGGUGUAGUUGCUUAGCCGUCGUGCCGUCAAUGGGGUCCAGGCACAGUGCUUGCUCUGCCGAGGCUGAGUGCCGAGGUUCUUUCGUUUUGCUCUUUGUUAGUCACUCUCCUGCGGGGAGGGGUACUGUGUUUAUCAAACUGGAGAAACCUAACGGGCAUCUAUGAUCUCUAGGGAAUCUUUGUAAAAGCUACGUAGUGAUGCCCUGCCGGACCACCUAGGUAGUGGUCAAUGGGGAUUAGCUCUCCCCGGGUAGAAAGGGAAUCAUGACUCAUGGGUAAAGUGUGCAACCUCUACAGAGGAUUAGAAACUGAUAUAUCAGCCGUGCUCACGGUUAUGAGCAGCCUUGGGAUCCUCUUUGAUUAGAGAUACAGAUGGUUCGAGAUACAAGGAUUAUGUUAUGGUUUCGGUUCGACUAUGAUGAUGAUGUUCCUCGAUGAGGAAAUGGUUUACGGGUUGGUUAAUGCUAAAAUCUGGCUUCUACUAAUGAUAAAUACCUGACCAACUAAAAGCAACUGCUUGAGCCUAACCCCACAUAAAGCUAGUCCACUUCAGCCAAACGGGACAUUUGCUGAGUACGUUGAUGUGUACUCAUCCUUGCUUUACCACAAAACACCAGGUUGUCCGCAUUGUAACCACUGCUCAGGAGAAGGUGAAGCCGUGGAAGGAGACUUCCAGGAGUUCCAAGACUACGAUGAAUUCUAGGUGUGGGUUGGCGGCAACCCCCAGUCAGCUGCCUGUGAAGGCCUUAGCUUUACUGCGUUUCAUUUAGCACUUUGAUUUACUUGUUAAGACAAUGACUAUGUGGAUGUCUAUGACUCUAUGAUGUAAUAAGUACUCUUUUAUGUUAUUAUUCGAGCAUUGUGUGAUGAUGUUCAUUUAUGUAAUCGUUGUGUACGUGAGUUCUGAUCCUGGCACGUACAUAGUUCGCAUUCGGUUUGCCUUCUAAAACCGGGUGUGACAAUGUGAGACAACCCCUAUUUUUGAGAGUUCUAAGUUUCCUAACCACGUUUUUAAACUCUAAAAAGCCUUGUAUGGUUUGAAACAAGCCCAUAGAGCUUGGUACGAGCUUUUGAAAUCUUUCUUGCUUUCAAAGGGUUUUAAAAUGGGCUAUGUGAACAAAACACUUUUCUCCUCAAGCAUGGCAGCGACACCCUUUUAGUACAGAUAUAAGUGGAUGAUAUUAUCUUUGGUGGCUCUUCUCAUGCUCUUAUUUCCAUGUUCUCAUAUCUUAUGAGUAGGCAAUUUGAGAUGAGCAUGAUGGGCGAGCUGAACUUCUUUCUUGGGCUGCAAAUCAAGUAGAGUCAAGACGAGACCUUUGUGCAUCAAGGAAUGUAUACAAAGGACAUCCUAAAGAAGUUCGACAUGGGUGAGGCCAAGCCUCUUUUGACGCCCAUGUCAACCAUGACGACGCUUGAUGCUAAUGAGUACGAUGAGCCCAUGGACCAGAAGGAGUAUAAGAUCAUGAUUGGCUCCCUUCUGUACUUGACUGCGAGAGGCCAGAUAUACACUUUACAAUGUGCUUGUGCGCUCGCUUUCAAACUUCCCCAUGCACUUCUCAAAGACAGGCUGUGAAACGGAUUAUGAGGUACCCACGCUUCACUCCUUAUCUUGGUUUGUGGCACUCUUCUUCCGUUCUGUCUUUGUGUGGUUAUUCUUAUGCUGAUUUUGCGGGAUGUCGCUUGGUGCGCAAGUCUACUUCUGGUACUUGUCAUUUUUUGGGGACUUCGUUGGUUUCUUGGUCUUCACGCAAACAGUCUAGUGUUGCUCAAUCUACCAUAGAGGCUGAGUAUGUCGUUGCUCGCAGUUGUUAUGGAUGAUGUCUACUUCACGAGAUUUUGGCUUGGAUUUUCAUCAGGUGCCUCUGCUUUGUGAUAGCACGAGUGCCAUAAGUGUUGCCAAGAAUCAUGUACGACAUUCGAGGACCAAGCACAUUAAUGUUAACUUUCACUUUCUUUGUGACCAUUUUGAGAAAGGCGACAUCGAUUUGCGCCACGAUUAUACCCAUCGUCAGCUGGCUGACAUUUUCACCAACCCCUUGAUCAGUCUACUUUUACACAUUUGAGAGGGGAAUUGGGGGUUUGCUUCCCUUUUUGAUCAAGGGCUCCCUUUUUGGUUUUUCUUCUUUUCUGCUGCUUUUCAUGUAGGUUUUAGUUCUUCUUUCUUGCGUUUGUAUUAUAUCUGCAUCCCAUGUAGUAUUUUGAGCUUCACUUGUAUAACUGCUAGAUUGUAACCAUGCUCCUAGUAGUAUGCUCUGUGUGUACAUGAUGAUGCAAUGACAUGCUUAGACUCUUUUUUCUCAUAUUGAUACAAUUUUGUUGAGCUAAGCUUGUUUUUAUAAUUGUGAACUUGACUAUUACUUACUAAAUCCAAAACAUGUUCACCAUUUGAGGUUGACACCUAGCAUGUGUAGGAUGUGUCUGAAAUCCUUUGUGUUGUCACUAGUAUGCUAGGUUGCUAUGUCUCAUGCUCUCAGUCAUUCACUAUUUUUAAUCAUAAAGCUUGUGCUUAAAAUUAAAAUCAAGAUAAGUGCAAAUUCAGAAAGAUCGAGAUAGGUUUGCAUUUGUCACCACCUCUCUAUAUCGAUACUGCUUCCAUUUGCACUUUUGGAUGAUCUUGAGCAGGGUAGUGGAUGAUUGAAACCGGUGACUUUAGCUUUUGAUUGCUUUUCUGCAUAGGCUACACUCGGUCGAAAAGUUAGACAAUGACAAUGCUCAUAACCUUUCACACUCACAUGCUUUUCUUUGAAACUUGUAAUCCACUGCAAAAUCCAAUAAAUCUUGAGAAUUUCAUCUGGUAUCAUUUUCAGAUAUAUUUCUAGCAAGAUGACUGACCACUGUUUGGGGUAGCUUGCCUGGUUUACCUUGAUUGACACUUAGUUGAUUUCCGAUUUACUAUAUGCCUAGUGUUGUCUUUAGUGGUGAACUUCUCUUUUGAACUGCUUAAAACUGAAUCAAAAUGCUUACACUUCACAUAUCUUGUGCAUAUGAUCAGUUUGAGCAUUUGCUAGCACAUGCAUUUAUUGUUGUACACAUAACACAACACCUGUUAAAGCAAUUUUACACUUCGACUGGUAUACUUCUGAAGCUCAUGUAUAUUCUUCAUUUUCUCCUUUCUUUUGCAUUUCUACAUUUUCUCAGGGGGAGCUCUUUGUCAAGGGGGAGUUCUAUUUCUACCCUUAUUCGUGCUUGAUGAGUCCAGUUGUCAACAAGGGGGAGAUAUCUUUGUGAUUUUCUGCCUCAUAACAAGGGGAGAGGUUUUGUGUAUUUAGGGCUUAUGUUGUUCCCAUCAUUAAAGAGGGAAAUUCUUGAUUUGGGAGAAUGCUUUGACAGGGGGAGAGAUUUGAGCCAUUUAGAGCUUUUGCUAGUUGUGUUGAUCCAUUUGCCUCUUUCUAGAGGAACUAGCUUUGAUUUCAGCUUUUGUGUUGAUUUUGUGCUCUGGUAUGGUUUUGUCUGCUAGCUAUUGGUGUUGAGACUUACUUUUGCCUCUUCUUGAGGACUAGCCGUUUUCUGCUUGGUCGUGUUGAGUUGUUGCCCAUUUCUUUGGGGACCAAGUUUUGCUCGCUUUGGAUGACUUGUUUGGCCUCUAUCUAGCUUUUGGUUGUUCGGAUGAGUUUCUCUUUCUAACCCCCUUAACAGAAUCUCGCCCUUGAGAUUCUAGAAGAGGCUAGCAGGAAAAUGAGAUUGGUUCAUUGGUUGAUCACUGCUUUCUUGAGUUGCCUUUGACUCUAUAAGCUUAACUUGCGGACUGUUUGCUUUGACCUUCAGAUGUUCACGACCCACUGAUGCAAUUCUUGAGGAUCUCCUGGACCUGUGGGUUAGGACCCACACACGCUUUCGCUGCACCACUUUGAUCUUGUCGGUUGACGUUGAUCGCAUUGUCUUCAUUGGGGUUAACAACUAACCCCCUUAACAGGAGCGUUGAUAUGCACUUGGUGAAGAUGCUACCGACUCUGAUCUUGACUAAUUUGGAGGAGUUGGAGGUUGCCAAAUGGACAGGUGCAAGAGGAAAGAAUAGCGAGAAAAGGUAAGUAUAGACGGAUUAGAGAGAGCAGGGGGAGAACCCAACUACCUAGCUCUAUGGCACUCAACUAGUAAACUGAUGUCAUUGCGGACCAACGGCCACAACACAUCAACACUCAUUUCAAAGAAGCAAAUCAGUCGUAACACAAAGACAAACAACACAAGCAUACAACAACAAACAUAUCAUGGCUACACGUUAAUGUUAACUAGGUGGUGGUCUUUCCUUACAAAGGGGAAACUACUCUAACGCCAUCGAAAGGCAAGGGGAAUGAUAAGGUAUGCAGGAUAGGGGCAUGAGCAUAAUAAAGGAUGAAGCUAAAGCAAGGAUUAAAACUGACAGGGAGAGAAUGCAACCAAGGUCAGGAUAGGUAAAACACCAUUCUCAAAUCGAGAUGGGAAGGAUGAUAUUUCAAAAGGUAGGCAUAAGAUAAGUAUCAUGGAAUGAUCUAGAGAUUACAAAGGUAAGGGAGAUGAAAGGCAAAAGCACACCAAAAGAUAGAGUUAGGACAAGACUUGCAAUGCGACAGAGGAAAAGGGAACGAACAAGAAUGGGAUGGGUAAGACAUCACUCUUGAAAUGAAAUGGGAGAGGAGGCUUUAAAAUGCAGGUGCAAGAUAAGCAUCAUGGUAAAGAUCGAGGGAUGACAAGGGUUAUGGUGAUAACGGGCAAUCACACAACAAAGGAUGUAUUUGAGGAAAAUCUUGCAAGGUGUUAGAGAAGGGGGAGCAGUCAAUGAUGAGAUAGAUGAGGCAUUAUUCUCGAACAGGGAUGGAAAAGAGGAGGCUUCAAAGGAUAGGUUCAAGAUAAGCAUGAGGGCAAGGGCAUAGAUAUCACGAGGGUUCUAAAGGUAAUAACGGACAAGAAUGUAGGAGAGGAGGUAAAUAGGCAUAAGACUAAGGAUAUAAGUACCAUAAAGGAUGGAGUUAAGAUAGGACCUGCAAAUGGAAAAGGAGAUGGUACGUCCAAGGGCCAGAUAGGUAAACUGUCACUCUCAAAUUGAGCUGGAAGAGUGGAGAUUUUUUUAGAGUGGGAAUAAAGAUGAGUAUCAAGGCAAGAUCGAUGGAUGACAAGGUGCAGGUGCAAGAGGAAAGAAUAGCAAGAAAAGGUAAGUAUAGACGGAUUAGAGAGAGCAGGGGGAGAACCCAACUACCUAACUCUAUGGCACUCAACUAGUAAACUGAUGUCAUUGCAGACCAACGGCCACAACACAUCAACACUCAUUUCAAAGAAGCAAAUCAGUCGUAACACAAAGACAAACAACACAAGCAUACAACAACAAACAUAUUGUGGCUACACGUUAAUGUUAACUAGGUGGUGGUCUUUCCUUACAAAGGGGAAACUACUCUAAGGCCAUCGAAAGGCAAGGGGAAUGAUAAGGCAUGCAGGAUAGGGGCAUGAGCAUAAUAAAGGAUGAAGCUAAAGCAAGGAUUAAAACUGACAGGGAGAGAAUGCAACCAAGGUCAGGAUAGGUAAAACACCAUUCUCAAAUCGAGAUGGGAAGGAUGAUAUUUCAAAAGGUAGGCAUAAGAUAAGUAUCAUGGAAUGAUCUAGAGAUUACAAAGGUAAGGGAGAUGAAAGGCAAAAGCACACCAAAAGAUAGAGUUAGGACAAGACUUGCAAUGCGACAGAGGAAAAGGGAACGAACAAGAGUGGGAUGGGUAAGACAUCACUCUUGAAAUGAAAUGGGAGAGGAGGCUUUAAAAUGCAGGUGCAAGAUAAGCAUCAUGGUAAAGAUCGAGGGAUGACAAGGGUUAUGGUGAUAACAGGCAAUGACACAACAAAGGAUGUAUUUGAGGAAAAUCUUGCAAGGUGUUAGAGAAGGGGGAGCAGUCAAUGAUGAGAUAGAUGAGGCAUUAUUCUCGAACAGGGAUGGAAAAGAGGAGGCUUCAAAGGAUAGGUUCAAGAUAAGCAUGAGGGCAAGGGCAUAGAUAUCACGAGGGUUCUAAAGGUAAUAACGGACAAGAAUGUAGGAGAGGAGGUAAAUAGGCAUAAGACUAAGGAUAUAAGUACCAUAAAGGAUGGAGUUAAGAUAGGACCUGCAAAUGGAAAAGGAGAUGGUACGUCCAAGGGCCAGAUAGGUAAACUGUCACUCUCAAAUUGAGCUGGAAGAGUGAAGAUUUUUUUAGAGUGGGAAUAAAGAUGAGUAUCAAGGCAAGAUCGAUGGAUGACAAGGUGAUGGUGAUAGCAAAUAAAACACAAAAAAGGAUGGAAUUAACACAAAACUUGUAAGGCGACAAGAAGUGAAAAGAAAUCAAGGGAGAGAUUGGUAACUCGCAACUCUCAAACUUUGAGAGGCUUUUAAAGGAUAAGUUCAAGGUAAGCAUUUAGGUAGAAGACAUAAAUAUCGCAAGGGCCAAAGGUGAUAACAGACAAGAGUAUAGGAGAAACGAUGACGGCAUAGAAGAGCCAGUGGUAUAAGCACAAUAAAGAAUGGAGGUAUGUCAAGGCUUACACGCGGUAAAGAAGAGGAUAUUGCCAAGGAUAAGAUAAGUAAAACACCGUUCUCAAUUUGGGAUAGGAGAUUGGAGAUUUUAGAUAACAGAAAUAAUGUCAUCACCAAGGUAUGAUCGAGAGAUGGGAAAGGUUAAGGCAACGCUAAAUAGAGGCACAACAAAGGAUGGAGUUGAAGAUUCACAAGCGAUGAGGAAGAGGAAACGACCAAGGGAAAAGUAGGUAAAGUACAACGCUCAGAUUGAGAUGGAAAAGAGGAGAUUUUAAAGGGCCAGUAUAAGAUAAACAUCAAGGUAAUAUAUAGAGGUGAUAAGGGUAAAUGUGAUAAUGAUGAAAAGCAUAAUCCAUGGACAAAGUCAAGGCAAGACUCACCAAAUGGCAAGGUGGAGAAAACAAUCAAGGAUAAGAUAAGUGAGGUUCCGACAUAAGAGUUGAAGUAAAAAUUCAUUACCGAAGGAAGUUACAAGGAAACAACGAGAUUACCACAGGUGUGCAAAAUGUAAUGAUCACUCAUGGAUCAUUAAUAAACAAGGGUGGUCAAGAACAUGUAAGUUGGAAUGUCUUAAACAAAUACUGGGGGUAUGAAGAUAAGCAUACAUAAAAAUAAGAGUAUGCAAGAUUCCAAUGGUACGAGCAUGCCAAUAUAAAGAGACAAGAAAUUGCUGAAAGAUAGCGACUUAACAACGGAAGAGGAAAGGGUCUCAAAAGAUAAGAAGGUCAUGGACAUAUAAACUAAAAUGUUUAAGUAGGCAGUAGAAAUUUAGAGGCAAGUAUUUGAAACAAGGGUAUUGAAGAAUUCAGGGAUACAAGUAUGUCAAUACAGAGGACAAGAGUUUGCCAGAUGGUAGAAAUUUAAUGACGAAAGAGGAAAGAACCCCAAAAGACAAGAGGGUUAUGGUCAGGGGGCAUCUACAAAGAUGUCGCAAGCACAAGAGUGAGAUCAGAUCUAGUAGAUUGAGAAAAGUAUAGACCAUACUAGAAUAAAAUACUUUUGGCAAGGGGACAUAUAGGAGCACAACAUAGAAUUAGUCGAGCUGACUAAUAUUUUGAAGCACAAUCAAGGAUGGGGUGAAGUAAUAAUAAAUAAGUCCUUAAAACGGCCAAUGCUACUCUAGGUCAGCGGUCCUACAGUCUGCACGACUUUGAUACCACUUAUGUCACACCCGGUUUUAGAAGGUAAACCGAAUGCAAACCAUGUACGUGCCAGGAUCAGAAAUUCACGUACACAUCGAUUACAUAAAUGACUCAUCAUAGCACAAUGCUUCGAAUAACAAUAAAUUGUAAGUAAUAAUAUUACAGACUAGAGCCAUUUACAUAAUAUAAAUCAAAGUCCACAGAAUUGAAACGUAGCCAACAUAAACAACCCACCAUAGGCAGCUGACUGGGGGAGGUCGCUAGCCUAAUCCUCAAACUCGUCGAUGUCCUGGAACUCCUAGAGAUCCGCCUCGACACUGUUCUUCUUCUUUACCUGAGCAUAGAUUGCACCAAAGGCAACCCGGUGUUUUGUGAAAGCAAGGGUGAGUACACAUUAACGUACUCAACAAAGGUCCUGUUUGGCUGUAGUGGACUAGCUUUAUGUGAGGUUAAGUUCAAGCAGUUGCUUUUAGUUGAUCAGGUAAUUAUUACUAGUAGAGAGCCAAGUUUAAUAUUAACCCAAGUUGUUAACCCAAAAGUACCCUUUCCAAACGGAAAGAAUACCACUUACCAUUACCAUAAUCAUAAUAAAAAACCAUCAUCCUCAUCACCACCUGUAAACCAACCAUCUCUGAUCAAAGUAUCUCUAAUCAAUGGAGCUCCCUUGGUCGCUCAUAACCGCGAGCACGGCUGAUAUAUCAGUUUCAUAACACUCUGCAGAGGUUGCGCACUUUACCCACAAGUCGUGAUUCCCUCUCUAGCCCGGGCUUGCAAGACCCUUAUUCACUCCCAAGGUGAAUGGCCAGGGAUUCACUACAAAGCCUUUACAAAGAUUCCCUGAGGCUGUAGCCGCCCGUUAGGUUUCCUAAAUGCACCGCACUCCUCCCCAAGGGGCGAACCAACCUUGGCAGAGCGAGCCGCAUACACCGAGCCCCAUUAACGACACGACGGCGAAGCGAACUACACCCCAGUUCCUCUAAUUAUUCAGCUAAGGGCGUCCCAUUCCACCCUCAUGGUUGCACUGUUUUCCCGGACGGUCAUCCAACGAACCAGUCCUUACGGAGAGGCACUCGAGAAACAGCUCGAGUCCCCUUAAAUGCCACAAGUAUACCAUCAUAUCCAGAAUAAAACCAUAGUAUCAUCAUUGUAUCUCAUCAUGUUCAUUGAUUAAAGUAAAGCGCUAGCAUGAAGCUAACCAUAGUAACCCACAAGGUAAUCAAGGACAAGGUAAAUAGAAAGCUAGUCAAUCCUUAUGUUGUUCAUAGUAUGCGGGACAGUGAAUUAUAAAGUAAAUGGGACAUAAUGGGUCAGAGGACACUUGCCUUCACCAAACAGAUGAUCAGGGUCUUCAGCCUUGUAGAACUCGAAGAGCUUGAUCUUGGGACUAGUGUUUCACCAAAUCUUGAUCGUCGAUUCUUUGAAGCUCAGGAACAGAUCGCAAUCUAUUCGCGACGCGAAGCGAAGACGAACAGGCACAAGAAAACAAACAUAUACAUAUGCAUAAGAACAUUACACCAUACAAGAUAAAACGUUAUAAAACCGAGCAAUAUAAAAUAGAGAGCGCCUCUACGGUUACGCGAGGAAAAGAACCAUGAUAGACGAAGCUAUGGUCGAGGGGUUAGCGCGUUUACGUUAAACAAGUACUAAUUAGAACAUCCAAUUCAACAUAAAUAUAUUAAUUGAUAUUAAUCAAAUGUAAAUUAAUACUACUACUUAGUUUUGACUAACUUACUAUUUUAAUAGUUGACAGUUAAGCAAGUAACUUAAUGAAUAUGAGCGAUUCUAAGCGAGACGAAUUAACGACGCACGACGUGCAAACACGAUGUGCGUAACGCGUGGACACAAAUGACUUAGCACGCGGACAACGCGCCACACGCGAACGGCACACGGCAAGGCGCGCGACACACGCGAACGGCACGCGACAACGCAUGCGAACAACACGAGCGACACUUGCGAACGACACGCGACGAAGUGCGCGAAACAGCACCACAGCAUGCGCACGGUACGCGCGGACCGACAUGCGAAAAUAAUAAAUAAAUGACAACGUGAUUACACUAAAUGAUUAUUAAUAAGUAACAUUUCAGUUAAGGUUAAUCAUAUUGGUGACUAAUUAUAAAUGCGCAAAUCGAAUUCCAAAAUUAGAUUUUAAAAUUGAAUUGUCGCUCUCGUAGCCAUUGGUUAAACAAACCCUUAAAUAAAUUAAAUAAAAUAUCCAACAGUGAAGAUAAAUAUUUCUAAAUUAAUAUAAUUUUAAUACGAAUCUAACGCAAUUUGAAUGGAUCGAAUCGGAUUUAAAACGCAAAAGUUAUAAAUGUUUUAAACCAUACUGUAAUUCACACAAACUAAAUUUACAGAAUUACCAUCAUCUUCUUCCUCUCAUCUUCUUCCUUCCAUCCAUGGAAGAAAGAGGAGGGGAAGAGGAGGGGGCUGCGCAGGGGAAGUCGGGUCGGGCUGGCCGGCCGCGGGCGCGGCCACUGCCGCCGGGAGGGGGAAUAGGGGCGCCAUGGGAGGGGAAACGGAGGGGGGAGGGGUGCCACCGCCGGGGAAGGUGAGGAGAGAGUGAGGGAGGCCCUGCACGGACGGGAAAACGAAGAAACGAAGAAACCCUAGGCACAACAGUAGAGGUUUCUCACCGGGGAAGAAGACUCUCGCUAGAGCCGAGGAGAAAUCCGUCGAUUGCCGGAGAUUCGGGGAUCCAAUCGACGAACCGAACACGCUGCGACGAAGUCCUCGACGAGACGACGCAACGGUACCCUCGGAUUCGGCAGACGAUACACGGAUUGGGAGUAAUUGCUCGUCGAAGUUGUCGCCGGAGUUGGAACCGCCCCGAACUUCAGCAAGCAAUACCGGGAGCUAGGGAUUGGAUUUAAAAAAACCGUUUCGUGUUAUGGAACGGGCUCGACGAGAUGAAGCCGAACAUGUAUAUAUAUCUAGGGUUCGGACGAGAUGAAAAUUCGGAUUUUACCAUUUUAAAAUUCGGAAAAGCCUAGAAAUCCAUAUUUUGUGCUCAAAAUAUUAUAUAUGCUUUCAAAAAUUCCAGAAACUUUUCUAUAAAUAUUUUGGCACCUAAUGAACUCAAAAAAUAUAAUUAGAAUUUCUAAAGACAUUUUUAAGUUCCUCAAAUAAAUAGAUUUUUGUUUCCAAAAAAUAGAAAAAUAUUCCGAAAAUAUGAAAAUUUACCGAGCGCUUCUAUAAGAUAUGUUAACAUGUUUCAAACAUAUUUUCCACUUAGAAACACCAUGCAACGACAUGAAUGCAACAACCAAAGUACCUCUCGGGCUCAUUCCACUAGGUUUACGCUAAUAUAAAACAAAAUAAUUCUCCAUUUUUAGGAAAAAGAGAAAGGAAAGCGAAGAACUGUGAGAGUAACACCUGAAUUUGGUGGAUAUUAAAAAAGAAAUUUUAUAUCCCCAAAUUCAGGGUGUUACACUCUUCUUCUUCCUCUUUCUUCUUAUAUAUGUUCAUGUGUUGGUGUUGACAAUGCACUCAUCGAGGGGGAGAUUGCGAACACAAGGUUGACUUGUCCCUUGUGGUUCAGGUUGAUGAAUAGUGAUUGUCAACGGGUAGCACUCUAGAGUAGUCAGUGGACUGACCAGAGUGUGAGAUUAUGUAUGUGCAACUAUGUCGGCACGCUUGUGGUGUGCAGGUGUGGAGCACAGGGAUGGUGGUUGACGACGAAGGUGAAGGUCAGGCGGGUUCAUGCUGAUGGACCCAUCGGUAAAGGACGAGCGCUGGGAGUUGACUAGGGACCAGAGUGGCCGGGUGACCAGCCAUGGUGGCUGACACCUGGGACAUGCACUAGCAUGAGGACAUGGCAAAGUGGGCCGUGUUAACAACCUGGUCGAGGACUGGCGGGACAAGUGUACAAGACGUGGGGGACACACACGCAGUGCGAUACUCAAGGCAGUUUGGUGGUUGAGCCUCAAAACCACCCUGCGCUAUGGAUGGCGGAUUUUACUGAGUUUGGGCCUCAAAACUCGGUGUCGGCGGUUCAGGAGGGAACCGGUGACGGCACAUGGCAGCACGACGAAGGGUGCGUCAAGGCGAGGCAACAUCGUGUGGAGCACGUGGCUGUCAGAUCAAAAACCUAAGAGUUGGUCUAUUUUGCCCUUGGCGUAGUGGAUAGACUAUAUGUAAAUAGGGGUAGUUUAGGAAAUAGAAAUAACCCUCUAUAAGUAGAGGAGAGGGUUGGUUAGUUCAACAUCACUUGGCUGCCAUUUUGUUCAGAGCACUUGUUUAGUACUCCACGUUUUCUCUCUAGGUAGUCACCAGUUGAGCUGAGGGAUCCACAACGAUUUUGUAAUUGUCGAUUGUGUUUGUGAUAUUUAAGCUUAAUCAGAGGAAGCAUCACCGGUAUGGCCCACAAGUUUUUGUCACCUCUCCAUCUCAGUUGUUUAUCCUUGUUGAAAUUAUGAAGUUUUGUGUUCUUGGUUUCGCCCUUCCCCUUCUCUUGUUAAUUUGUGGAGAACCUUUGAGUUUUUGUGACAUGGGUGCUAUUGGGGAUUGAUUUGGGUGGAGAUAGACCCUUUGGAUCACUAUGUAUGCCCUUAUGGUGAAGUUCUUGGUCGUGAUCCGAGUUGAUUCUUGUUCGAGUUCAUUUUGAGAAAACCCCCAAAAAAACCCAUCUCUCUUUGGUUUUCUGAUCUGUGCUUCGAUUUUUUGUUUGUUCGAUCCAUACUUCACCAGUAAACAUCUUCUACCCUGUGCAAACUUUUUGUGAAGAUUGAGAAUUUUCUAGGCAUUUUUAGUGCCCGACACUGUCGCCCGUGUGCGCGACACUGCUGGACCUAAGGUCGGCAUUGUCGCCCUAACUUUCUAGAUCUUUUGACUCUGAUAUUUUCUAGGAAGUUGGGUCUAUAGUUCUUAGAGUUUUGGUGCAUACAAACGAUACUAGUCUAUGUUGCACUCUGAUCUGCUGCUUUGAGUCCCUAGAGGGCUUCCGGGUUGAACUUUGGGUUCAAAGCCAUGUGCUCGCAAGUCGAGAAUUUUUAGUGGCUCUCAUUCACCCCCCCACCUCUGGUCACCUCACUGGUCCUACACCCAUCCAUGAGCACCUUGGAGAGGCACUUCAAGCCCACAAUUAGCUCGACGACGAGGGGGUAGGUCCCUAGGUGAGGGAUCCUCUCUGGAUGGUCGCGGCGAUCGAAGACAAUCAAAAACUCCGACCACUAGAGGUAUUGUGGGAUGACGGGUUCUGCCGCAUGCACCUCGCAGUGGGCCACCUUGAGGCGGCUCUUGUCAUUGUAGGCUUCCAACCCACCAAAGAUCAUGAGACAUCCCGUCAUUUCGGGAAAGUCUUCUGUGGAAGCCUCUUGUUCUGCUGCCUUGGCAGGCUCCUCUGGAUUUGCCUUCUUGCUAGGCUGUUUGUAGAUGAAGCUCUUUAAGAUCUCACAUUCUUGGAACUUGUAACGGACUAGGAAGCCAUAGUUUUGGCACGACAAGUCCAUCAGCUUCUGGAAAUGGUCACCCCUAUUUUCCGCAGGUGGCCUAGGGGGCUGAUCCAUCAUGGCGACUUCUCCCUCAUCGUGUCAGGGACGAUGGUUCCUCUGGCGCUUGUUGGGGUGCUCUUGACAGUUCUUGUUUACACUGCUUGUGUUGCCAGCAUUGCGCGAGCUCUUCCCCUUGCGUAAGAAGGCCCCUACCACGUCUUCCCCGUUGAAAGGGAAAUAUGUCCUUGGGCCAUUUCUAGUUAUUUUGGUGAUUAGAUGCUCAACACAUUACUAUGAACUAACAACUCCCCAUAUGAGCAUGAGCACAUGUGUUUGUAAAGAAAAUUGAGCAUUACAAGAAAAGCACCCUUUGGGCUUGAAAAUGGGCAUAUUAAAACAUUAAUGGAUCAAAGUGAAAAGGUAUGUUUCUAGCACUUAGUCAAUUGUUUUAGGUGCUAAUCAUGUUUGUCUAAGUGCUAAGGACCAUGUGGAGUCGAACCAAGAGGAGCAAAAGAAAAUUGGCACAAAAAGGAACAAGUUGGGUUGGACUGGGCAGCACCGGACGGUCCGGUGCCAUCCACCGGAUACUCCAGUGUGCACUAGACAAUCCGGUGUUCGUCCGGCCAUACGGUCCGCACGGAGCGCCGGACAGUCCAGUGUGAAAAUAGCCAAUGGCUAUCUGUCACGUCAGUUGCAGCCAAUGGUCAGAUGGCGCACCGGACAAUCCAGUGCCCCCGCCCCCUGGAUAGUCCAACACCCGCCUAAAACGGAAAGUGACCAAUCAGGGGUCUAUUGACCGUUGCAUUGUGCAGUGUCCGGCGUGCCACCGGACAGUCCGGUCCACCCGUAGACAGGGAAGGUUGGGAGCUUCCAAAUGAUUCUCCAAUGGCUCCUAGGCCUCUUGGGGCUAUAAAAGGACCCCCUAGGCGCCUUGGAGUAGCAACUAAGCAUACUUUGAGCACACCACAUCUCAAAAACUCUGUGACCACGCUUUUGAUUUGAUUUGAGCACGUUCUUGAGUUGUGACUCUAUUGUUUUGAUUUGUGCGCUCUCUUCUUUGCUUGUGUGUGUUUUGUUGCUGUGUUGUGCUCUUGUGUGAGUCUCUACUCCCCUCCUUACUUCGGAUUUGAUUGUAAUCAUUUGUGUAAGGCGUGAGAGACUCCAAUUUGUGAAGAUUCCUCACAACGGGAUAUUGAUAUAAGGAAGACGACUAUGGCACUCAAGUUUGAUCUUUGGAUCACUUUAGAGGGGUUGAGUGCAACCCUUGACCAAAGGAGAUCCCACAACGUGGAGUAGGCAUUGACCGAACCACGGUAAAAAUCGUUGUAUCUCUUGUCUAUUUUACUUAUAUCGAUUACUGUCAUCUUGAGUUCUCUACUCACUUGCAAUAUUGCUCCCAAGUUUAAUACUCAUCUUAAAGGAGCAAUCAAGUGAAGAGUUCUCCUUUCUUCUCUCUACUCAUCCUAACUUGGUUUAAGUUCUUACUAACACUUUGUAUAAACCAAGUUUGUGUUGUUUAAAGUUAAUUUCACAGGAUCACCUAUUCACCCCCCCCCUUAGGUGCUCUCAAUUGGUAUCAGAGUCGUUCUCUCCAUCAAGGGACUAACCACCCGAAGAUAUGGAUCCUAAGGGCAAGGGGAUUGUUAUCGACGAUAAGGAGAAGGAGAUCGUCAACAACAAUGAGCCAAAGAGAGAUAAGUCCAUCAAUUCAGGCUCCAAUAACAAGAAGAAGGAUAGGAAGAAGAAGAGGCACAUCAAGAAGAUAGUCUACUACGACAGCGAUGUCUCCUCAUCUUCAACAAAGGACGAUGACGACUCUUCUUCAAAGAAAAAGACGGUUAACCAAAAUUACUCUUUUGAUGAUUCCCUCAUUCCGUACAACUCCAAUCCUCAUUUAUUGUCUAUUCCUCUUAGCAAGCCCCCUCACUUUGAUGGGGAAGAUUAUUCUUUUUGGAGUCAUAAAUGCGUAGUCAUCUAGUUUCUCUUCAUCCCAGCAUUUGGGAAGUAGUAGAGAAUCGAAUGCAUUUUGAUAGUAAUGAUAAUGCUAUAUUUAUUCAUGAACAAAUUCAUAAAAUGCCCAGGCUACUAUUGUUGUUUUAGCAUCUCUAUGCAGGGAUGAAUACAAAAAGGUUAGUGGCUUGGACAAUGCCAUGGAGAUAUGGGACAUCCUCAAAAUUGCUCAUGAGAAUAAUGACGCCACAAUGAUCACCAAGAUGGAGUUGGUAGAAAGCGAGUUCAAGAGCUUCACCAUGAAGAGGGUGAAGAGCCAACUGAUACGUACAACAGGCUCAAGACCCUGGUGAACAAGAUUCAAAGCUAUGGAAGUACAAGAUGGACAGAUCAUGAUGUUGUGUGCCUCUUGUUAAAGUCAUUUAUUGUUAUUGAUCCUCAUCUUAUUAACCUUAUUCGUGAGAACCCCAGGUAUACCAAAAUGUCGCCCGAAGAAAUUCUUGGUAGGUUUGUAAGUGGGCGCAUGAUGGUAAAAGAAGCAAGGUACACCGAUGACAUCGCCAACGGACCUCUUCCUCACUACAAUCGCACCCCGUUGCACUCAAAGCAAUGGCCAACAAGGUGGCACAACAUGAGGCAGCCAACCUUAAUGAGGACAAAAUGGCACUUAUGAUCAAGCAUUUCAAGUCAGCUUUGAUGGGAUGCAAGGACUACCCCAACAAGAACAAAUCAAGGGAAAAGCGUUCAUGCUUCAAGUGUAGUAAGUCCAGUCAUUUUAUUGCUCAAUGUCCCGAUAAUGAAAAUGACUAGGACCAAUACAAGAAAGGGAAAAAGGGGAAGAAGUUCUAUAGAAAGAAGAAGGGCGAGUCGUACAUUGGCAAGGAAUGGGACUCGAACUGCUCUUCAUCCGACUCCGACGAUGAAGGACUUGCCGCCUCUUCUUUCGACAAGUCUUCUCUCUUCCCCAACGAGCGACACACAUGCCUCAUGGCUAAGGAAAAGAAGGUACGGACAUGUCACACUCCCAAGCACACUUCUAGUGAUGAGAAAUCUGAAGAUGAUAUGGAUUAUAGUGAUCUUUUAAGGGCUUGGAUAGAACUAAAGUAGACAAAAUUAAUGAAUUGAUUGAUUCUCUUAAUGAAAAGGAUAUAUUACUAGAAAAGUAAGAGGAUUUGCUUUAUGAAGAACAUGAUAAAGUAGUAGAAGUAGAAAAUCCCUUGCUUUAGAGAUAAAGAAGAAUGAAAUGCUUGUGUUUGAAUUGUCUUCUUGACAUUCCUCUAUUUCUAACCUUAAGAGUUUAAAUGUUGAUUUAAAUGCUAGAAUAGAAAAAUAAGUAUUGCUAGUUCAUCCAUGGAGCAUGUUGCAAUUUGAAUUAAAUGUAAAUAUCCUGAUUUUGAUGCUUGUAGUAAUCAUGCUUCUACUAUUGCAAAGUUGAAUGAAGAAAUUGUCUAAUUAAAUGUUCAACUUAAAACUUACAAGAAUGAAGUAGAAAAAUUUAAAUUUGCUAGGGAUGUAUUUACCAUUGGUAGACAUCCCUCCAUUAAGGAUGGAUUUGGUUUCCAAAAGGGAACCAAGGACACUAAAAGCAAAAAGGCCCUCAACUUCACAAAGAAGGGGAUGGCUCCUAUGGCUAGUAGCUCUCAUUCUUUUCAUGAAAAGAAGAACCAUGCUUAUUUGUAUUCUCAUGUUAAGAAUGUUUCUCAUCAUACCCAUCAUGAUAUUUGUAAUGAUAGUUAUGCUUUACCUAAGCGUCAUGAUGUUAUUUUUACUCCUCGCGCUAUGAUUGCUUCAUCUAGCGGUUUUUAUGCUCAUAGUAGGAGUAGACCAAGGCAUCGUGCAUCUCAUGUUGUUUCUCAUGCGCCUAAGAAUAUAAAUGCAUCUCACAGUCCUUCUAUUCUAUUUCAUACUUUUGAUGCUUCCUAUUUAAUUUAUUCUAAGAAUGAUAGAAUUGUUGCUACCAAUGUGGGACCAAAAUGCAAGAAAGGUAAAACUUGCACUUGGGUUCCAAAAUCUUAUGUAACUAACCUGACAGGACCCAACACAAGUUGGGGACCUAAACACCAAGCCUAAAUUCCUUGUAGGUUUAUGCAUCCGAGGGCUGAAGCUGGAUUAUUGAUAGUGCAUAAGCCACAUGACGGGGAAGAAAAUGUUCACAUCCUACGUCAAGAAUAAGGAUUCCCAUGACACGAUCAUCUUUGGAGAUGGAAACCAAGGCAAGGUAAAGGAGAUAGGUAAAAUAGCGAUUACUACUGAGCAUUCCAUUUCUAAUGUCUUUUUGGUAGAAACGAUUGGAUAUAAUUUACUCUAUGUUAGCCAGUUAUGUCAUAUGGGAUAUAAUUGUUUAUUUACAAAUGUUGAUGUAACUUUCUUUAGGAGUGAUGGUUCAUUAGCAUUUAAAGGUGUAUCUGACGGCAAGCUUUAUUUAGUAGAUUUUAUGUUGGGGGCCUUCGUCCUCCGAAGGUCCUCAAAAACAUAAUUUAACAAUGUCUUCCAAGUAUGGUUUAUGGACAGGUAUCUUCGGAUUCAUGAUAAAAGCGUACGCGAUGAGGAGCAUGAUCGUGACGAAGGUUGUCGUCGCUCCGAAGCUGUGCGCAAGGGAGCUUCGGCUAAAUCGCAGAAAAGGGAACCGACUUAAAAGGGAAAAGGCUAUUCAGUCCUCAUAGAUUUUUCUAUAAGCCAAUAGUAAAUGUAAGGGGCAUGAUUGUAAUUUCUCAUAGGCUGUGUCUUGUGCCUAUAAAUAGAUGACCAGUACCCCCAUACUGCUCACGCUGACUUGUACUCACUUUUGCAUCAUACUUGUACUCACUUGCCUUUUAUCAAGUCAAAGGUACUUUUGUAAUUCAGUAUUGUUUUUACUUUCCCAUGAUUAUAUAAUUAAGAAUAAAUGAUAUGAUAUGAUUGUUUGUGUUGUGUUCUAUAUGCCAUACAUUUAUUCUUCUAUUUUAUUGUAUAAUGCAUUGAUGAAGGUAUGUCCUUCAUGACCUUCGUCUGAAGAUCAUUAUAUCCUAAGGGAAAUAAUGUUUAGAAGGACAAAGGGCAUUAACAUUUAACAUCUUGUGUUGCCUUGUUCUUGACUCAUAGCAUUUGAGAACAAGUCCCCAACAUUGGCGUCCACCUCCGGUGAACCCUUUUUCGACCACCUUCGGCAAGCACUGACCUUCGUCAUGCCGCCGAAGAAAGCUUCAGCGCCAGGGGCUGCCGCACUACAGCCACUGGACCCAAAUCAGGAGACCCUUUCUCUCCGAGAGGCCCGAAGCCAGAAGAGGAAGGCCACUAGUCCAACACUCCAGGAAGAAGAGUUGGAUCAAGAAAUCAGAAACAUGGAGAUAAUCCAUCAGCAAGUACAAAGGAAGAAGGAGAAGAUGGCCCAACUGGCUGAUCUUCAAAGGCAGAUUGACGAAGCCACUGAAGAAGUACGCCAUCUUGCUCAAGACGAACAAGAUCGAAGGCCCCAACACAGGGAGCUUCAUCAAGAAGGCUUGUUCAAUGAGGAUGGAUGGUAUGAUGAUUUUAAUCAUGAUACCUUUACCUUUGAUGAUGCUUCUCCCUUGGUAGCAGAACUGCAUGCUAUCCCAUGGCCCCCAUCAUACAAGCCACCUCAUCUCCCCAUGUAUGAUGGGCAUUCAGAUCCGAAGCAGUUUUUGAUGAGUUAUGAAGCAACUAUAUCUUCAUAUGGAGGCAAUGCAGCCGUCAUGGCCAAGUCCUUCGUCAUGGCAGUUCGGAAUGUGGCUUAAACAUGGUAUUCUUCUCUUCGGCCAGGGACUAUUACUUCGUGGUAGAAACUCAAGGAUAUGCUAGUGACAAGUUUCCAAGGCUUUCAGACAAAGCCAGUCACAGCUCAGGCCCUGUUUCAAUGCACGCAAGAUCAUGAGGAGUAUAUCCAGGCGUAUGUCCGAAGGUUCUUGCGUCUGAGAGCACAAGCCCCUACAGUGCCCAAUGAAAUUGUCAUUGAGGCCAUGAUUAAGGGGCUUCAUCCAGGACCUACUGCCUAGUACUUCGCUAGAAAACCUCCAUAGACUCUGGAGAAGCUGCUUCAAAAAAUGGAUGAGUACAUUAGGGCUGACAAUGACUUCUGCUAAAGAAGGGAGGAAGCUUACAGGUUCUCUCAGAUGACUAGGGGCUUCGAAGGAAGAAUUCACCCGAGGCAUGUCAGGUCAAUUCACAGCUCCACUCAAAGUGAUGACAGAGGAAGUCAGCUGCAGAGGCCACAAUAUACUUCACAAUCUUCGGGGCAACAACAAAGCUCUUUUCGGCUGCCAGCUCCAAGAGGCAGAGGCGCCAGGGGCUUCGGAGGAAGAUAUGGGGACCAACCCAGGAAGAUCUACUGCCUAUUUUGUGGUGAAGACCAGGGUCAUACUACAAGAAUGUGCCAAAUCACCAUCCAAAAGCAGAAGGAGAUCGCAGAAGCCGAAGCCCGGCAAAAUCAACCGAAGCAGGUCCUGCACACUGCUUUGUGUCACUCAUCCUACAUACCAGAAUAUGUGGGUAAUCAUCCUGCAGCUUUUAUUGCUUCGGCUAGUCAGCCACAUGCUUCUUGGCUACAGCUUCCACCUCCACCGCCACUACAACCUGCUUAUUCACGAGGUCAGCAGCCAAAAGGGAGCCAUCAGACUCAUCAGCAGCGAGAUCUCAGGGAGGAAUCCGAAGCUCGCACAGUCAACAAUACUAUGCUAGAAUCAAAACACAUCUAUUGAGAGAUAUCCUACCUCUGAAGCAUUUUUACAUUCAUUGUCAUUUUCUUUUUAAUAAGGAACAACCAAUGUAAAUCUAGUCUUCUUUUCAUUUUUAAUUUCUUGUAAUAGCUUUGUUCUUGUCAUAGUGAAAUAUCUUUCCCACAGAUUCACGAAAGCUCAAAAACUGUUGAAGCUCGAAAGUCGUUCCUAAGGGAAUGCAGAGCUAAAAAUCGCAUUGCAAGUUUUACCGAAGCUACAAAAAGUCGUUCCUAAGAAGCGCAGUGCAAGUUUUACCGAAGCUACAAAAAGUCAUUCCUAAGGAGCGCAGUGUAAGUUUGCCGAAGCUACAAAAAAGUCGUUCCUAAGGGAGCGCAAUGUAAAUUUUCUGCUCAAAAGUCAUUCCAAAGGGAAUGCAGAGCCAAAUACCGUCGAAAUAUAAGGCGAAGCACGAAAAGUCAACGCGAAUACCGCCGAAAUAGAAGGCAAAGAAGUUCAAAAGACGUUCCUAAGAGGAUGCAAAACUUACACCGAAAAAUAAACGGUGAAGCCGAAAAUAAACGGCAAAGAGAUUUUGAUGGUUUCUAAGGGGACGCAGAGAUUGUGUUUCAGCGUGGGUAUGUGUCAUCGGCAUUAGCAUCAUUCUUUGCAUCAUAUCAUCGCAUCAUAUCACAUAGCAUCACAUCAUACAUCAUAUCACAUCAAUGACACCAAUUGGAAACGAAGCUGACCUUCGGAGAAUGCUUUACAAAAAAUGAAAGGAUGCCAAGGCACAAAGCAAGCUGAGAAUUAUAGCUUCAUCAGUUCUGAUGUAGAAAAAGAGAUCUGUUGUUUACGAAGCUUUGAUGUUUUUACAAAGUGUGGAUGAUUCUUACGAGGCAUAAAAACUCUUCUUUGCGAAGCAUGAAAAGAAGGGAAGGUGUUUUUUCACCGAAGGCUCAAAAACAGUAUGUACAUAAAGUUUCAUGCAUCGCAAAGAACUGAAUUACAAACAAUUUACAUAUUACAUUGAAAAAUAUAAACAUCAAACAUUACAGACUUAGUUCACCAAAUAUUACAGAAAUGUUUUUACAAUAAUUGCUAUUCUUCGUUCAAAACUUUCUCUGCAACUUCGUUAAGUAGCUUGGUAACAACUUCGUCGACAAUAGCUUCAGCCAUAUUAAUAAUUUCUAUCGCUUUCUUUGUUUCUGGGUCGGCUAGUGGGUCGAAUGGCUCUGGGGGAGAAGAUAGUUCAGCUGCGGUAGAAGACAUCAAUUAGUCCGAAGUCACGAAAAUAAACAACAAAGCUAAAAACCAUUAAGUAAUACAUAUCCGUCUUUCGAGUUCCGCAGCUUUCUCAGCUUCUUUCGUUGCUUCUCGAGUGUCAUGAAUAUCUUUUUCGCUCUUCUUCAUUAUUUCAUGAGCCAUCCCUCGGCCGCCAUUUUCCCAGAUAUCAGUGAAAAAAUUUCCGCCUAUGAAACUCGCUUCGGCCGAGGGGUCCUUUGUGUCGUCAACAGAGAAGGUAGCUUUGGCCUGGGCCAAGAUUUUAACAUGACUGCAACCUGCCUUCUCCAAAACAGUUGCAACUCCCCUCGCACCAGAGAACGCACAGACGUCCCCGCGGUCACUCAAAAUCUCCUCAAAAGCUUCGGCUUCACCACUGAUCCACUCGAUUACGCCCUCAGGGUCGCCUCGUAUGAAGUUGUCUUUGUUUGAGUAGGCGCCCACGUUGGCAAAGCUAGUCUUUAUCUUUUUCACACAUACCACAGAUUUUUCAAAACACCUUUCUUUGGAUGCGCAAAACUCUGCAACUGUUUUUUCAAAAUAAUUUUUCCAAUAUUCGCUGGCAUCUCGAUCAGCUUCGGCAACAGCGCACUUCAAUUUGGCCUCAGCUAAUUGUUUCCGAAGAUCUUCAAUUUCACUCUUUUGGGCCUCAGCUUGAACUUUAGAACUAGCUUCGUCUUCUUUUAUCUUGUUUACCAAUGAAAUUAAUAUUUUAUCCUUUUCAAGGCCUUCGUUCCUUAGUUCAAUCACCUCUGAGUGAAGGUUGUUCAGAGCCAUUGUGCACCCUUCAUCUUCGAUAUUUUUCUGUGCCCUGAGGGCAUUGCUAAGGAUCAAGCCCUGCAAGAGGAGUAUAGUAUUAAGUAUAAGCAAAUGAAAUAAUUCGUUUUUAAAUACAAAAAUUGAUUUUCACACCUUUAUACUAUUAUAUGCCAAACUGUCGGCCAAUUCAUCCUUCGACAGUACUGAGAGCCCAUCUUCUAACGUUGCGAAUCCGAAGCUUCUACCCAUCUCCCGUCAAACAGAUAUCUCUUUGCUAUCCGGGAGACAGUACAAAAAAUCUUCUUCUCCGCUGUCGUUGAACACUAAUGCCCCCUUCGAUAUUUCAGCUUCUAGGGAUAGUGUUGAGCUUCUCGUUCUUCUUCUUUAGAUAGUCUUUUUCCCAAAGCAUGACGGAUGAUAUAUUCAAUACUUUCUUUUAAAGCUUCGGGAGCAGGAGCGGCAACUUUUUCAGGCAAAGUCUGUUCUAUAGCCUCUUCCUCUGCUGCCUUCUCUUCAAUUCCCGAGGGUUUUUUCUCAGCAGGCUCUGAAGGCCCAGCUUCGGCACUACCCUGGCUCACUGCAGCUUCAACUUUGGUCGGUUUUGUUUCAGCUUCGAUUUGCAUUUUCGAAGCCUCGGCAAUUUUCCCUGAAGGAGUAGAGCUUGAAGCCUUUUCUGAUUCUAGCACAUCUAGUACAUUUGCCAUCCUUCUUCUUUUGGGAGUUGUCGCAAGACCUUUUUGUAUCUUCGGCAUUGUUACUUCCGCCGAAUGGCUUAAAAUUUCUAACAUUUUUGUUCCUUCAGUUUUUGGCUCUUCGGCCUUAUCUUUACCAGUCUUUGCCUCAGCUUGAGGGUGUCUUCGGCAUCGUAGCCGGUUCUUCAGCCUUCUGCAUAGGAGGAAUGGGCUCCUUUGAUUCAGCAGCUGAUGAAGUCUCCCCGCCAAGCUCAGGUAUCACGGCCGGCUCAAUAUAACGCGGUCGGUGGGUAAGGACUUUCAGUUUUUUGCUCUUCGGCGCAGGCUCAUCGGGGGCGGACGAAGCAGCAAUUUUGGCUGAAGCAGUAGCCUUCCUCUUCUUUCCCCGUCCUCGCAGCGGGUAGCAUGAGUCGGGGUAAACAAAACCAAUGGCAUCAAAAACUCUGUAUAAUAUCUUUUUUCCCCGGCCCCCGAAGGAUGUGGAUAAGGCAUUAUCUUCCGCUUUGGAAUACGGCUCAAGCAGUUCAUCACUUGUAGCCUCAAUACAUUUCAGCCAGUCAUCAUUUGGUUCAUCAAAUUUAUCUUCGUAUCUGAAGGUGUAUUUCAGUCGAACCAGCUCACCUUCGCCAGACUUGGUGACAGUCUCCUUCGGCAUUUCCCAGUUCUCUACAAGCGGCCACACUCUGAAAGCUAUAUGCUCCUAGAUUAAAUCUCUUGUACCAAUAAAAAAGCAAACAGUACCGAAAGCCUUUUGGCAUGCUUCGGCCGCUUCGUCAAUCUCAACCUUUGGCCUUCGAAGGUCGAAGCGGGACCAAAUGGGGCGCAUAAUAACUUAUUUAAUAUCCUCCCUUGCCUUCAAGUCAUUCUUCACGUAAAACCAUUCCUCCAUCCACGCUCCAGGCCACCUUUUUCUGUAUGUUGGCACCGGAUAGCUUGCGUUGGGGCGGGCAGUAAAUCCAUAACAGCCAAAGUUAUUGUGAUAUUGUUCCUUGCCCAUGGCCUUCGUCUCAUAUGCAACUUCAUGCAUACUGGAGAAACAUUUCGCGCUUGGCUCCACUCCUUGGCUUAUCAUAGUCCAAACAAAAAUUCCCAUUCUAAUAAUAGCUUCAGGGGUUAUCUGAUGAAGGAAUAUCUGAUAAAUUUUUAACACUUCGACCACAAACCUGCUCAAUGGAAACCGAAGCCCAACUUUGAAGAAGCUUCGGUAAAUCAUAACCUCGUCUUCCUCAGGGGCAGGGACGGUGUUGUCUCCGCCAGCUCUCACAAUAGACAUAUCCCGAAAGUAUCUUCCUCUCAUACUCUCAAGGUGAUUUUGUUUGAUGGUCGAUUUUCCAAAAAUCGAGUGACUUGGCCUCCAGGGCUGGUCCUCAGAAUCUUCACCCCCACUUUUAGCAUUGUAACUAUCACUGUCACCAAUAUCUUCAGAUAGGCCCUCCAAUAUUUCUUUUGUAAUCUUCUCUGUAUUUGAUUUGGCCAUCGAUUCUAAAAACCCAGCUAUAUAAGCAUUCACAGCCUUCUUCUGCUCAAAGAGCCUCUCCUCUUCGGUUAGCUUCGUCUCAGCAGCAACUUUCUUGUCUUCAGACAUCUUUUCUUCGGGAAUGGCGAAAAUGUGUCCUUCGAACCGAAGCUUAGAAAGCUUGAGAAACUAAGCAAGCGUUGGUGAGCAAGAGCUAUAAAAUUGAGCAAACAAAGCAAGUGGCACAAACAGCGUAUCAAAUGUGGUCAGGGUGAGUUCUUAUUUAUACGAUCAACACGCUCCAAAUUGGAGGGACCCGUCUGUCAUUGACUGUUGCUAUUCUAGCAAAGGGAAGGUGUUUUUUCGGACCUUCGGCUUAAGGCCUUCGUCCAUGUCACAGUCUGAAUUCGUUAUCUUAAACAAAUUAAUACUGCAAGGGGCUACUGUUGGGGGCCUUCGUCCUCUGAAGGUCCUCAAAAACAUAAUUUAACAAUGUCUUCCAUGUAUGGUUUAUGGACAGGUAUCUUCGGAUUCAUGAUAAAAGCAUACGCGAUGAGGAGCAUGAUCGUGACGAAGGCUGUCGUCGCUCCGAAGCUGCGCGCAAGGGAGCUUCGGCUAAAUCACAGAAAAGGGAACCGACUUAAAAGGGAAAAGGUUAUUCAGUCCUCAUAGAUUUUUCUAUAAGCCAAUAGUAAAUGUAAGGGGCAUGAUUGUAAUUUCUCAUAGGUUGUGUCCUGUGCCUAUAAAUAGAUGAACAGUACCCCCGUACUGUUCAUGCUGACUUGUACUUACUUUUGCGUCAUACUUGUACUCACUUGCCUUUUACCAAGUCAAAGGUACUUUUGUAAUUCAGUAUUGUUUUUACUUUCCCAUGAUUAUAUAAUUAAGAAUAAAUGAUAUGAUAUGAUUGUUUAUGUUGUGUUUUAUAUGCCAUACGUUUAUUCUUCUAUUUUAUUGUAUAAUGCAUUGAUGAAGGUAUGUUCUUCAUGACCUUCGUCUGAAGAUCAUUAUAUACUAAGGAAAAUAAUGUUUCGAAGGACGAAGGGCAUUAACAUUUAACAUCUUGUGUUGCCUUGUUCUUGACUCAUAGCAUUUGAGAACAAGUCCCCAACAUUUUACUAAAGAAAAUAUCGAUCUAGAUGCAUGUUUAUUUGCUAAGAUGAACAUGGCCUGGCUCUAGCAUCGUCGUCUAACACAUAAUGAGACCAAGAACCUUCAUAAGCUUCUAAAGGGAAAACAUGUGUCAGGACUAACCAAUGUCUGUUCUAAGAAAGACAGACCUUGUGCAGCGUGUUAGGCAGGGAAACAGGUGGCAAAAGUCAUCCAAGCAAGAACGUGAUGAUGAUGUCAAGACCAUUAGAGCUUCUCCAAAUGUCUGUUUUUAGAAAGACAGACCUUGUGCAGUGUUCGGUGCACCCGCAGAUAGGGAAGGCUAGGAGCUUCCAAAUGAAGCUCCAACGGCUCCUAGGUCCCUUGGGGCUAUAAAAGGACCCCCUAGGCGCCUUGGAGUAGCAACUAAGCAUACUUUGAGCACACCACAACUCCGAAACUCCGUGACCACUCUUUUGAUUUGUUAGAGAGACAUUUGAGAGUGUUCUUGAGUUGUGAUUCUAUCGUUUUGAUUUGUGUGCUCUCUUCUUUGCUUGUGUGCGUGUUGUUGCUGCAUUGUGCUCUUGUGUGCGUCUCUACUCCCCUCCUUACUCCGGAUUUGAUAGUAAUCAUUUGUGUAAGGCGUGAGAGACUCCAAUUUGUGAAGAUUCUUGACAACAGGAUAUUGAUAUAUGGAAGACGAUUGUGGCACUCAAGUUUGAUAUUUGGAUCACUUGAGAGGGGUUGAGUGCAACCAUUAACCAAAGGAGGUCACCACAAUGUGGAGUAGGCAUUGGCAGAACCACUGUAAAAUUCGUUGUGUCUCUUGUCUAUUUUACUUAUUGCGAUUAUUGUCUUCUUGAGUUCUCUUCUCACUUGCAAUAUUGCUCCCAAGUUUAAUACUCAUCCUAAAGGAGCAAUUAAGUGAAGAGUUCUCCUUUCUUCUCUCUUCUCAUCCUAACUUGGUUUAAGUUCUCACUAACACUUUGUAUAAACAAAGUUUGUGUUGUUUAGAGUUAAUUUCGCAGGAUCACCUAUUCACCCCUCCCCCUCUAGGUGCUCUCACCCGUUGGCGAACUUGGUCGCUAUGUCGAGGAGGUCGACAGUGGUCUUUGGUCGCCCCUAGACGAGUUCAUGGACGAGUGCUUCAUAGGUUGUGUCGUAAGUGAAGGCACUGACCACAUCGGCAUUGAUGGCAUCAUGGAGUUCGUUCCUUUUCUGGGAGAACCUCCAGAUGUAAUCUUGGAGGCUUUCCCUGCUCUUUUGGGUACACCUCUUACGGUCCUAGGAGCUCCUUGGGCGUUUGUAGGUGCCCUAGAAAUUUCCGAUGAAGGCCUUACUGUGGUCGGUCUAGUCAUGGAUGGUGCCACUUGGCAAGUGCUCAAGCUAGGCCCUUGAUCCCUCCAUGAGGUGAAUGGGAGGAACUUGAUGAUGAGGUGGUCAUCCUUGAUUCCUGCCAUGUGGCAAGCAAGGUGGUAAUCCUCCAACAAAACACCGGAAUUUGAGGAUCGAUUGUACUUGGUGAUGUUGGUUGGCGCUCGCACCUUUGUGCUGAACUGUGCCUUCCUGAUCGCGUGUCCGAUGGUGCGUGGCCCCGACCCAGGUGGGUUGGGGCUACGCUCGCGCGGCUGCUCUACUUCUUGCUCUUGUGUCUGGUUAUUGAGGAUGUGUCAGGUGUCGCAAAUGUCUCUGGGGCAGUUAUUCAGGAGAACGUUCACCCUUGUUGAUCAGGAGGGUUGUGCCCCUUGCUCUAGGAUGAGGUUGUGCGCGUGUCGUAGCUAUACGCGACGGUGGGCACCUGUCGAUCAAUUCUGGCUUGUUGCACAGUGGCUUUCUCAGCUAGGUUGCUGAGGUUUCGGUACAUCACCCUCACCUCCAGUUUGUCUGGCUCGGGGAAGGUUCAAAGCAUAACGGUUGUCAUGGCCAUGUUGUAUCCCGGGUUGAGGAAAUAUUGUGCCCCAUCGCUGCUCUCGGUGAGUUGGUCGUGGAUCUUCCUUUCCCAAGGUCUUUCAGCUUCAAGGCGCUUCUAUUUGAUGUCAUUAUAAACCCGGUCGAGUUUACAGACGAGAGCGUUGAGCUUCUCCUGCUGCUAUCGGAGGGUGGCCUUAAGGAGAGGAUGUGUGCCUUGCACUGGCGCUGAUACUCUUCUUCCUAGUUAGGGGACUCCUUGUCCCCCAUCAUUUUUGUUCUAUGGAGGUGUUGUCACGAAACUGGCCAUUCCCACCGCCUUGUUGGCAUCGGGGUUGGGAUCGAUCGAGCUAUGGCUCGAGUCAUCCUCGAGCAGGUUGAGGACAGACGUUGGUUGAUGGCCGAUGACGACCACAAAUGUUGAAGGUAAAGCUCCCUCUGUCUUCUGCUUGAUGGUGUUGGUAAGUCUGUUAAGGCACCUCUUCAUGGCGGUGGCACGCCUCUUGAUGAGUCACUUCUCCACCUAGCUGCUAGAGGUGACAGAGCGUGCGGGUCCUAAGCCUGUAACGACAAGCAUGUCAGGGUCGACGAUGCGCAGCUUGCCGGUGGUGGUGGUGAGGAAGUUGAGGGAGCCGAACAAGAUGUGGCUUCCUAGUGCGAAGGUCUCGCCACCGGUGAGCGCUGAAGUCUGAGCCAUCGGAGUGGAUUGUGUCACUUGGCACACUAAAGGUCCCCUACCGGGUGCGCCAACUGUCAUGGUUUCGUAAACUCGGGGACGAUAGAAUUUGUAUUCGGUGGGGAUGCUAGCGUGGACUCACUAUGAAUGGUGAAUCACCUCGGACUCAAGCAGAGGGUUAUACUAGUUCAGACUUUCGCCCUAGUCCAGUGUAGUGCUGAUCGUAGAUUCAUAGUACUGUUUGAGGAUUGUGUUACCGCUGCUGCAUGCGUGGGAAGGAGGGGCCCUGCCCUUUUAUAGCUCAAGGGUAGGACCUUACAGAGGAGACUUGUUUCCUACUGGUAAGAGCGUGAUCUGUUGCCCCUAGUUGACGUAUCUUCUUUAACGUAUUUCAUAGGGUCAUGUGUCGCCAUACUCUCGGUCUGGCAUACCAUCACGCUUGUCCGGACGUCUUUCAUAGGGUCAUGCAUCACCGUACUCUCGAUAUGGUGUACUGUCACGCUCGUCUGGCUUACGGGUCCCUGUAGCGAGUCUGAUGUUGAUGUCCUCAUAGUGGCGCAUGGCGGCUCCCAUAGUGUAGUCUCAUGGUGCAAUCGUGCGCGGCGCGACCUCGCCUUUCGUCAUGGACUCUGCGUCAUCCUCCAACGUGCAUAUGUGUACACUAAGUAUGGUGUAUCAUCCUAUCCUUUAUGGUAUAAAACUCACUGUAGGGACUCUGGUGCUUAGGUCCCCCAUUACUGGAGAUGACUGGCCCCACAAGACAGCUGGGAUACGUCAGAGACUGUAUGCGGUGGCAUGUCAUAAUGUUGAUAGGGACUUCUCGACGCCCCUUCGGUAUGUCGCACACAUGUCUAGGCGUGGUUUCCUGAUGAUGCGUCUCAUCGUGGCCGAUGUGGGUUAAUAGUAUUGGAUUCAGGGGGCCUCCGCCUUACUAAGUUGCUCGGUGAGGACUUGGUCAGCCACUCUGCCUUGUGAAGUUGCUCGGCAGGGAGUUGACCGGCCGCUCCACCUCAUAGGAUUUCCUGGCAGAGAGCUAGUUGGCUGCUCCGCCUCAUAGGGUUGCUUGGUAGAGAGCUGGUCCACCGCUCCGCCUCACAGGGUUGCUCGAUAGAGAGUUGGUCCACCGCUCCACCUCGUAGAAUUUCCUGGCAGAAAGCUGGUUGGCCGCUAUGCCUCACAGGGUUGCUUGGUAGAGAGCUGGUCCACCGCUCCACCUCACAGGGUUACUCGAUAGAGAGCUGGUCCACCGCUCCGCCUCACAGGGUUGCUCAAUAGAGAGCUGGUCAGCAAGUGGGCCAUUAAGAGGCUUUGGGCCUACUUCGGGCACCUGGUUCCUAGGUACCCGACAAUAUAUGGUUGGCAUAUACAUCUCCAAAGUAUUUGAGGAAGUAUCAAGUGCUUUUGGCUCAUUAAAACUCUGCCAAAAGGAAGGAGCAUGUGUUGAACAUGAAAUUUGGCAGCACUGGUAUUGUCGGACGAUCCAACGUGUUAGCUCAGAUGGUCCACGCCCUGGACGGUUCGCGAUUAGAUGAGUUUGGGUUAGAGUUCUGAUUUCUUUUAGGAUUCUCUGGAUAUCUCGCAAGAUUUUGUUGGACAAUGCCUAGGAACGGGUGUAGAGCUCCCCCUAUAAAUAUAAAGGAGUACAACCAAUUGAAACACUAACAAUCGAUCUACAAAUGGGUUUUAUCUUAUUUACCUUAUGCAUUAGCCUUAGGAGUAGUUCUAGCCCUAGCUAUAGUUUUCCAACCUUAAUAUUCACCUUGCUUUGGCUUUACGUCGUCUUGAGGCGCUUUGGAUAGCCUAUCGACCCCAAAGCAACCCCAAGAUCCUUCCUCCUCGACUAGGUCCCUCCCAUGAGGCGGGAUCUAGGUUCUUCUUAGAGCCCUCUGCGCCAUCGCAGCCGGUCUGUCACCUUCACACGGACAGUCAGGAACCCCGCAGAGAAGUCCCUAAGGUCUUGUACGUCGCGCGCAGACCCUAGGGAUCAUUAGUAUUUGGCCUGAAAAGGAGCCAACAGAUAUGUAAUAAUAAUAAUAAAUGGUAAUAAUAAUAAUUAUUAUUAUAUCAUACUAUAAAGCACCGCAAUCAUGAAAAUACACCACAAAUGAUAGAGUUAGCUUACAGUACUCAAUCAAGCACCAGUAUACUACUAUAUUGUCUGCCUAAGAGCAGUGGCCAUGAUGGUAUGUCCAUACUCAUCUAAACAUCUUGAACCAUCAAUGGAUACAUAUGUGGGUGUCCACAUAUGUCCCUUGACACCUCAUUUUCAUGACCAAUGUGCGCUAAUAUUAUAUCUAUGAGAUAGGAGUGUUAUCUUGACAUUAUUACUAAAGUAUAAAAGUAUAGCGUGCAUGGGCAAAUGAACUUAUGUGGAUGACUCAAUAUCUUUAACUUUAUUAUAUUAAAAUCCAUAGUUUUCUCAAUACCAGAGUUGAAUAUUUAAUAAAAACCAUGACAAAUAGAUUCACCAUGUGGCCUAUAAAUACAUGGCCUUCUGAUGUUCAUUCUCCCCACCCCAACAACCAUUAUUCAGAUUUCAUAAUACCAUAUAUCGUAGUACCCAACCCCCAUGGAUCCUAAUUAUGGAGAGUGGAAUUUCUCUGAGAUCAAGAUAGCGAAAGCUCUCAUUGCUAGCCACAAUGCCAAGAGUAGCUAUUCUAGUGACAUGAACAAUAAGCAAACUGACAUUAUAGACAUGCUCCAAGCAAGGUUUCCCACAAAAGAGAAGCAUAAGGUAACCAAACUGUAUGUUGAUCUCAUGUUGGAGAAGAUGCAGAUGAUAUUGAGUGGCAACCAACAUGCAACAAUGGGUAAGAAGCUUGUGAAUGACAAGUUUGGGAUGUCGAUAGAGGAUCCAGCCAUAGAUUUCAUGGGUGGUGAUUUAGUGGAGAAAAGGACGGCCAAAAGGAAGGCAAGGGAGGAUAUGAAUACCCACCUAGAUUCUCAGAAGGAGAGGCGGUACCGAAGGUUUUGGACCAUAGACGAACACAGGUUAAUGAUUUCUUUAUUUCACACAUGCAUUUGUUUUGUUCUAUUUAUAUCUUUUGUCUUAUUUUGGAAACACUUUUCACAUUUUCAUGCACAUUAUUGUUACAUUCAUUAGAAUGACGUAUGGGGUAUUGGUUAUUAUGAGGUGUUUGAGAUUUUUUCACUAAUAAUGUUAGUGUGGAUACUAUGCAUUUUUCAAUCUAAUCCUUAUCUUGGUGUAGGAAUUUCCUCUAUGGUUUGCGUGCAUAUGGUCGAAGCGACUGGAAGAACAUCUCAAAGCACUUUGUUACCACUAGGACGCCAAUGCAAAUCUCUAGCCAUGCCCAAAAGUAUUUCCAUAGGAUGGAGAACAUUGCUAGGAGGCAGCGGAGCAGCAUCAAUGACAUUGUCCUCCACGAUGAUGAACCCAGGGUGCAAAGUAAUGAUUCUAGCCUACAGAGGUUCACCUUCACCAGUGGAACCUACAACCCAAAUCAUUAUGGCUCUAGCAGCCAAUUUGUCGCCAUGAGUAACAUUGCCAAGCAUAUGUGGUUUCCAUCUGUAUGUUGUAUUGACCAAGAGAGCACCAGCAACAACCAAAUCACUACCUUAGAUAGAGGUGGGUCUGGUGGUUCUUGUGUGGCUCUAGAGGUGCAGGGGGUUGGGAGCAAGGCAAAACUAAUUAGUGAUUAGGAGGGAGAUUUUCUUGUUGGUCAAUGGAUGAUGAUGCUGAUGAUGAAAUAGGUGUUACAUCUAGCCAAGUACCCUAUGAUUCUUGGCGACCUAUUAGUUCAUCAUAUACAUGUGAAUUAAAUGUUAUAUCCAAUAGUAGGGAGGGCACAAUUUCGUCACAAUGAAACCUUUUGAAUUAUUAUAUGUAUGUGGUCAUGUUCUAGUGUGUCGUCAUUUGCUUCAUUUUUACAACCAAGACCCUACCCCAUCUCCAUGAAUGAAUAAUAUAAAUAUAUUAUAGUUUAGAUAACUUUCACACUAAAGAAAAAGCACAAGAGCUAAACUCACUAGAAUACGCACCAUACCCAUCAACUAACAUAACAAACAACAAAAUGAUCAAAAGCACUAAAUAAAGCUAGAACAACUAGUUAAACAAUCAGAAUAUUUUCAAUUCUGGCCAUCAUCCCUCAAAUCACAGUCUUGUCCUACAUCCCCAUAAUCUUGCGCAUCUCUAAUCGACUUGGUCUGGAUAACAUCCCAUGAUAACUUGGCAAGUAGCUUGAGAGCAAUCUUGAGCAUAGUGUUAACACCUUUGAUUAGCACCUCCUUGUCUCCAUCACUUUGGAGUCCUACCCGAAGUCUUAUAAGCGCGCAUGCAAGGCAUAUAAUCUCAAUAGAACUAUUGUGACACCCUAAUUUCUGAAUUCUAAAAUUCAAUGUUAGUUUGAUAACAUGUCUAGUUAUAUUUAUGUUUCUAGGAGAAAGCAAGAGUUCCAUAAAAAGAACCAAAAAUAAAUGUAAGGUAACAACCUACUUUUGUUGCAUUCAUGUUGGUGCAUGAUUUCUUUGUGUAUUUGACGUUCUAGCCUAGAAUUUGAACUAGGUUUAUAGAUCCUUUUUCCAUCCUUGGCCAAAAUAUCUCCUUUCUCUCUCUCCAUUUUCUCUUUCUAGCCUUGAUAACCACACCAACCCACGUCGGCCACCGCCACACCCAACCACCCCUAGGUCAGCCUCGACCCACAACCACUCUAUGCCCUAGAGGCUUCUCUCCCUACUUUUUGACCACUUUACGCCUCAUGGACAUGCCGUAGACAUCAUAGCCCACGACAACUAGCCAUAGCCACCUCUAGCCACCCCUAGCUUGUAACACCCCGUCCACUCCUAGAACGGCGGUAAUUACUCCUAGCAGCUCUCUAGGACCAAAUAUCAUCCCCACAUACCAACACGUGACUUUUGUGCGUACUUUGUCCUCGCUCAUGCCUACCCAGGAACACUUCCCAUCCGGUCACCCAUCCCAAGACUGCUCUAGACCAAGCACGCUUAACCUAGAGGUUCUUUCGAGGUAGGCUUCAAAAAAAGAAGAUGCACAUGUACGAUUAUUUUAUUAAUUUAUUUAAGCCUUGGGCCAAGAUAUCACCAUCCACUAGAACCAGGAUAUCACAAUUCACAAUCCACCCCCCUUAGAAGAUCGACGUCCUCAUCGAUCAACCCCAAGCAAGGAACCUCCCCUCUUGGACACGUCUGUGUGUCCAGUGUUGUCAUAUGCCAUGCCAUGUGACCACUCUAGUGUCACAUGUGCCAUGUGCCAUGUACCCAAACCCUAGCCCACACACGCCUGUGAAACCGCGAGGUUCAGCUCUAAUACCAUUUGUAACACCCUGUCCACUCUUGAACCGGGGGUACUUACUCCUGGCAGCUCUCUAGGACCAUAUAUCAUCCCCACGGACCAACAUUUGUCUUUUGUGCGUACUUUGUCCUUAGUCAUGCGUACCCAGGAACACUUCCCGGUCAGUCACGCAUCCCAAAAUUGCUCUGGGCCAAGCACGCUUAACCCAUAGGUUCUUUCAAUGUAGGAUUCUGAAAAAGAAGAUGCACCUUGUUGGUAUGAAUAUUCUAUUAAUUCUAUUAGGUCUUGGGCCAGGAUAUCACCAUCCACUAGGGCCAGGAUAUCACAUAGCUUGUGCUAGCCAGCCACACCCUAGAUGUCCCUAGCCUAGCCAGCUAACCAUAGCCAUGCCCUGACCACCACUAGGCAUAUAUAGCUCAUGUUAGUUGGUUUCCCUUAGCCAAUGGUCGCCUUUGGUUGGCCACCUACCUCUAAUGCACCCCAAGGACUGGCCAUGCAUGGUCGCCUCCCUUCUUCACUUCCUCCAGCCCUGACCACCCCUUAAACUCUAUUUGGAUCCAUGGUGCUAAAGUUUAGCACUACACUUUUAGCUAAACUUUAGUACAUGGAGAUCCAAACAAGAGUGCUAAAAGGUGCUAAAAGUGAAGUGCUAAAAUUUAGCACCCAAUAGCAGUUUAGCUCCUCAAGGUGUGCUAAACUUCAUCACCUUGUUAAAGUUUAGCACAUGGGAUCCAAACAGGCCCUUAGCCUCCCUAGUUAGAACCCUCUCCCUCCUGCCACCCAUAGUCAGCCAUAGCCCCUCCCCAACUAACCACAUUCUUUGCGAGGUAGCCAUAGCCAGCCAGAGCCCUUUCCAGCCAACUACGACAGUUCCAAGCUAGCCACAUCCCCUCCUUGACCGGCCAGAAGCAAGUUUAGCUAGCCAUUGCCCAUUUUUUACUGGCCAAGCAAGGUUACACCCUUCUCAAUUACUCCAUAGCUUGAGAGAAGGCUUUGGUAUAAACCCCCCUUCUUUCAAUCUCUUCUCUUCAUGUUUCUAUUUUCAAGUCUAUGGGAAUAUUACAAAGCCGCUCCACCAAGAACCCUAGCCUUGUGCUAAAUAAACUCUUUCACUUAGAGUUCAUAGCAAGAAAACUUUGUGUCAGUAGACUUCUAGAAGGUUUUGUUUGGUGUACUAUUUCUAAUUUAUAAUCCAUGUGUGUCUUUCAAUGCAUAUAGAAGGGGUCAGUUUGAGGGUAUCAUGGAACAAGCUUUCAAAGAACCCAAGACGCUAUAUUCGAUUACAUAUUUGGAAAUUAAUCAUGACAUACAAAUGAUUAUCACCUAGUUUUGGUCCUUCAAAAUUGGGUGUGACAACUAUUCAAAAUAUUUGCACCAAAACAGGCUCUAUCGUGAACUUUCCAGAUUUCCCAAUAAAUGGCAGCAAUUUUUUACCAUUUGGCGAACAUUUUUCAUAUCAUUUCCAUUUAUGGGAGGUAGUUGAAGCAUGGUUUACAAAGCAGACUAUGGUAAAUAGCAACAUGUUUUUCUUGGGGUUGUAAACCUAUAGCGUGGCUAUAAUAAAGCUAUGACAUAUGGUGGUUUAUAAGAAAACCAUAAAACAUAUGAGUAAUUGCUUCAAAAAAUAUGACAAUCAUGAAAUUUGAUGAAGAUAAGUAUAUUUUUAAGGUUCUAGAGAUGUAGGAAACAUUAGUUAAUAUGAUAUUAGGGCAUGAUUUAUAAAACUCAAGUGUUCAAUUUUCUAAAAUACAAAAUUUACUACAAAAUAUAAGUAGAUAAUAAUUAUGUUGUCACUAUUAAUACCCAAAACUAAAAUAGUAGGGCUAUUUCAAAAGCUACAGCUAAGCAAUUUAGAGUACUAUAGCACAAUAUAUUGCUCGUAGUUGACAUAACGAUAAAACGACAAUAUCUUAGUGUGGUCUCUCUCCCGCAUCUAUAGCCUGCUAUUUGAAACCAUGAGUUGAAGAAAUAUUAGAAGACAAAUGGCAGUAGUAGCCCACAUUUCCCUGGCAAUACAACAUGAUAACAGGAGGUGGUUUAUAGUUUUGUCUUGGUCACAUAAAUAGCAUGAAGGGUAACCCAACCAAGUCCUCCUAAUCAUAUUAUCUAUUGUUAUGAUGGCAUUGUUCUCAACCCGCCAUAGGAAAAACUUUAUUUUUGCUAGAAUAUUUUCUUUUCAAAUAUGUUUAAAUGUAGGGCCACCUUCAUUAAUAGAUCAUAGCAUUAUAAGUAGUUUUGACUGAAAAACUACCUUUAUUGCCUAAUUUUCACCCAAUUCUAUCUUGUCCAGAACAUAAAGGAAAGAUAGUAGAGUCCUGAACAAUCUUUUCCCAAUUAGUCAUUAUGUCUUUAAUAAGCCAACAUCAUAAGGAGAUUCGAACCUCUAUAUUUAUCAUUUGACUUACUGAUGUGUUUUUCUAAUCACAUAAAUCGAAAAGAUCAUGAAACUUAAGGGAUUACCAUAAAGCCAUGUGUCUUGCCAAAAAGAGUUUUUUUUUUAUAAUUUGGACUACGAUGUGCCUUCCCUGAAGGUAUACAACUCGUACUUCCAAAAGGUCAAUCCAGGUAAGGAAAUCUGAAUUCUCCUUUUAGAUACUUAAACUUGAUAAUGCCUUGCCAUAAAUCAUCCUUUUCUCAAGCUUCCACCACCAUCACUUACAAAGUAGACUAAUGUUAAUUUUUCUCUAGCACCACAUGUUAAUUACCUUGUGUCACUUUUGGUGGCUUUGAGGGAUCUAGCAAGGGAUAAAGUGCACUUUAGACCUUGUUCCAAACCUUUAAAACUAAUAGUUAGUAGUUAAAAUUAGCUGAGCGUUUUAAAACGGAUGAGCUAAUAGACCAACUAAUUGUUAGUUAUACCUAUCAAAUAGCUAUGAGGGCUUAUUUGGUGACAAUGGAAUUGGAGAUUGAUAGGGAAAUUAGUUCAUUUUCUCUCAAUACUCUCUAAAACACCUCAAUUUUCUUGACGACAAAGAAGCCCUUAGUUAUUAGCUGCUCUAACCCAACUAAAACCAACUAAUAAUUUAUUAACUGACUAACAAUUAGCUCUAGAUGUUUGGAACAGGGCCUUAAACGUUGUGGUGGCUAAUAGACUAGCUAAUUAUUAGAUAUACCUCUCAAAUAGCUAUUAGUUAUUAGCCAGCGCUGACUAAUAAUUAGAUUACCUUAUUAACAAUUAGCUUCAGAGGUUCAUAACACGACCUUAACGUGGUGUUAUAGCAAUUUCCAGAGAGCAGUAUGGAUAGGGUUGACAAUAGGUUUCAUAUUUUACACUAUAGAAUUUAAGUAUCAUUAGCGGAUUAUAAACAAACUUUAUUUCUAUUCAUUUUCGAACUAAAAUUAAUUUAGGGCUUAAACAAAUUAUGAAGAAAAAUUUAGAUCGCAAUACUUUACCACCUAGAUAUGAGAUAGGUAUGAGAUGUAAAUGCAUCUUUUAUCGCUACUCAAUAUUCAGGCUUAAGAAAGGUACAUAAUUUGGCAAAAGGAGAAAAGCAGUUGAAUACGUCCAGUGUCGUCGCUUUUGGCAAGUGACAUUUCUUCGUGUAACUUUAUGGCAACUACACGGCGCAUGAUAGCGAUACGCUGCUUAUUCAGGAUACACGUCGUCAGACAUCAUAACACACAAUGCAACAUAUCGUUCGAUUCAUAGACUCACCCUCACAACACAGAUGGUAAGCAAACAGUUUUCUGGGGAGCCUGAGGCUGAAGAAAAAUCUGAGGCAAUGUUAAAAACUCGCAUCUCAACGCAAACGUAAAAACGUAGCUUCGAUCAUCCACACAGUAGUGUUACAAACUAACUUGUGGUUCUGACAUUUUUGCAUAUAGCUUAAGCAUAGUAGUUCAAGCUUGACUUUUUCUUUGCCUGAACCUGCACGAUUCCUUCAUUGAAGUCCUCGUGAGUUACCUGUGCAAAGAAAAAUCAGGUUAGGAAAUCGCAAUCAUCACAAAAAGAAAAAUCAACAAGUCAAUAAUCAACCUACGGGAUGUCAGAAUCCAUCUAUUGAUGCAAGGAAAAUAUAAUCGAAUCGUGCAUAUGGAGGAGCGGAAGGCUCACCUCUGUAGCAUCCCGCCGUAGAGCGAGCAUGCCAGCUUCUACACAGACUGCCUUCAGCUGUGCUCCGUUGAAGUCAUCUGUUGAGCGAGCCAAUUCUUCGAAGUUGACAUCCGGAUUUACGUUCAUUUUUCUUGAAUGGAUCUACAGUGCGACAUACAGAAAACAUCAGUUGGUAAAUGACCUACUGAGUGAAGCAAAAACAUCAUUCAUUGACAAACUUCAGCAAAUUGAACAUAAGUUGUGGAGACCGACUUGCAAGAUUCUAGCUCUUGCUUCUUCAGAUGGGUGAGGGAACUCAAUCUUGCGGUCCAGCCGUCCUGAUCGCAUCAGAGCAGGGUCAAGGACGUCGGUGUUGAGAACUACGUUACCGCGGAUCACCAGAUCCGCUCCCUUCCCUCCCGUCAGCAGUAGAGGCGCAAGAAGAUGUAGAGAACCCGUCUCCCUUCCCUUAAGCACGACAGAGGAAACACACGAGACACAGGAUAUAGGGUUGGGCCUCUGGCCUCUUUCUCUUCUCUAUUCCAUAUGAGGGGGUACAAGUUAUAUAUAUAUAGAGACGUGAUCGUCAUCAGGGGCAUAUUCGGUAUUUGCCCACAUAACCCUUCAUUAGGGUUUCUCAACACUCCCCCUUGGGCGAAUACCGCGACCAACACAUGCCUCAUUAAAACUCCCAAAAAACCCAAUGGGAAAAUAUGGAGAAAGAGCGCAUGGUGACGCAUAUUGCAUUUACACUUUGUUGCCUCGUUAAAAACCUCAUGUGAGAAACUUCAGGAAAACUCACCAAGGGAAAAAGAGUACAACAGCUGUCAUCGUGACAGAUUUUGAUCCUCUCGGAUCUAGAUUCUAUCGAAUCUUCUACAAGGGCUAACUUUAGAAAUGUGCUCCCCCUGAUCCUUGCAAAAUCAUAUCAAUAAGGCAAAACAUCUUCUUCUAGAAGUAUAUGCAUAUAAAGAUUUAGUAAUCAGAUUGCAUAUCCUUGCAAGGACUAUUUCAGUAACUUUACCUCUACUCACUUCUAGGAUAUACGAGGUAAGUGCACGUAUCAAUAUAAAUAAGUCACUUUGACUGAUGGUGUUCGAUCGACGGGAUCUAUAUAUUUGAUAGAAAAUUCCAUAAAGGUUCACAUAUUGAUCAUCAAGCUCACGCCUUCAGGGCAUAAAAUAUGACAUUUAUUGUCUCACGGUUGUGAUCAAUAUAAGCAUUCGCUCCCCCUGACGAUGACAUCUGUCAAAGUCUUUAUCCCUCAUAACUCAAGCAUAUUCUUCAAGAUAUAUGUCUCAUUGUUCAUCUGGAAUAACGAGAAUGAAUGAGAUUGGGGUGCUAUCAUUUUCUAUCUUACACCACAAUUUAUACAUAGUUGUGCAAAGCAAAUAACAUAUCCUUCAAUAGGACUUAGGGGAUAAUAUAGUUGCAAUAGUACAUAUUCUAAAUAUGACACAUCGCUCGAGGCGUUCAUCCAUUGCAACAUCUAUGAUGGUGUAACAAAAGUCCAUCUAAGAUCGUAAGCCAUCAGGGAUUUUUCAUCGAUCAGAUACAUCGUUAUAGUCUGUCAUUCUGGCACAAUGGGGAUAUUUUGCCAAUAACACCUAAACCUUAUAGGUUUCUGCCAUCAGGGCUUUAGAGGAUACCGUAAUUCCACAUCUAGUGGAAAUUACCAUGAGUAAAACUCAUGGAAUGCACAUGUGCUUAUUCGAUGAACUUCAAGUCCUUUGGUACCUCAUCUUAUUCCUUUUCGGGUCUGUAUGGGUCUUUAUCCCUUUAUAGGGAUUAUCAAACUUUGGUGUUCAAUACAGACUUUGUUUCUUCUGGAUAGGUUCCAUCUGGGAACGAUAGUCUCAACUACGAGAUAUUCUCCCUACAUAGGAGAGUGAUCAUUCAUCAGGAAUGUAUUAUUCGGUAUGAGAUUUAUAUGUUGCAUAUUUAUAAUUCAAAUAUAUGAGUCCUCCUAGGAUCUCAUGACGGAUCUUCAGAAUCCUAUUAACUGCAUAUUUUAAUUCAUGCCAUUUGCCAGAUAUAUUACAUAGCGAAACUGUGUUUAUUCAACACAUAUGUGGGAUGGAUCUCUCACAAGACCACUUGAACCAUCGCAUUCACCACACAUUAUUUCAAUAGUGCCCAUAAUGUCCGAACUUCAAGCUCGUGACUUUCACUUUGCGAUUAUUGGUUCAGCCUCGAUUGCAUUUAUCAAUGACCCGAUAAGAGAGCUUAAAGCACUCAUGCCUAGGACUUUGUUUUGGAUCCAUUUGCAAUCUAGAGGGGCAAGAUAGGUGUCGACAUAUUUGUCUCCCACAUUUAAUAAUGAUCUCCGUUAUUUCCCAAAACGAAAGAUUCAUUGUUCUGUAUUCCCAGCACAAUGAUAUUGCGCGCAUUGCUAGGAAUUUCAUCAUCAAUAUGAACCUCUUCGUGAGGCAAAUCACCAUCAGGGUGAAUUAAUCGGAGGAGAGUUAUCACAGACCACGUGAAUCUGCAAUCAGAAACAUAUGCUUUGACUAAGGCUAAUGGAUCAUAUUCGCAGGCGUCCCCAAGAAUAGAUCAAAUACCAAUAAGUCAAAUGUGGAUAUGAUAUUAAUCCCGGGUAUAUCCACAUCUACAUCAAGUAGAAGCAUUCAAACCAAUAUGGUUACUCCUCAACGAUUUCUGGCAAACUCCAUAUACACAGGAGUACACACCGAACGACAGGUUCAGUUUGGCUUUUGUGUGUUUAAUAGAAUAUUGAGGCAUUACACUAUAUGGGCAUUCCUCCCCCUAAUGCCGAGAUAUUCUAAAAGCAUACAUAUAAAAUCCCCAACCACAAUCAUCUAGUUUGUGGCCAAUGUAUGCUAUUGUGGUGAUUUAUUUGGGAAAUCUUACGCACAUUACAUAUAGGGGUUUUAUACAGUGAGCUUUGGACUUAGAUUAAUGUAGUGGCAUGAAUACUACAUAUUUGUCCUUCAACAUGAAGGGUUAGUCUCAACAUUCAGCGAGACACGCACAACAAGUUGCUUAAUGGUUAUAAUUCUGCAAACUUAUUGUUAUUACUACCAAAUGCACAGUCAAUCAUUAAGAUUUAGACUAAUAUGCACAACACUAUUUUAUUCAUAAGGAUCCUUCAGGGGCUCAUGAAUACCAUUCGUCGUUUGGAGCCAUUAGUUGACUUCAGAUCAACAAGUAAAAUGACCAUCAGGGUUUAACGCUCACAAAGACAUUCACUGGUUGCAUUGUGCUUUAAGCACAUAGGAAAAAUGUGUGUGUUUAUAUUGGUAGUGAAGUGCACGGUAUCAGGCCAAUGCUGCCAAGCAGAGAUUUUUAUAUGAAGAGUUAUAUAGUCCAGCUCGUUUUAUUAUUGCCCAUGGUUUACCCAAUUACUCAUACCGAUCUGAAAUUGGGUAUCAAUUUAUGCAACAUUUUUAGGUAUUAUAAUUUUGAGAGAGAAUUUAUAACAAUAGUUAAUAGAUUGUGAUGCUGCCAGCAGGGCAAACAUUUCUCCUCAUAUUAUAUACCAAUUUGUUCUAUAAAGCAUUAUUUCAAUCUCUUCGUUGUUCGGCAAAAAGAGAAGCUUUGGAAUAGAACAGACAAGGCCAAGAAUUCCUUUUAUCUGGGAAAAUCACCAUAUAACUAGCUUUUGAUGAAGCAAAUGAUGAUAACUGCUUGGCAAGAACGAAACAAUACUGAUAUCCGCCUAGGAUCCAUCUUCAACAACAGAUAUUACUGCUCUCAUACGAAGAAAUCAUCAGGAGUAGAGAGGAUACAACAUGUCUCUACAAGAUCUUCAUAUUUCUAUCACAAAUUAUCAUCACUAGUAGUCUAGUGGUCAAGACAUAUGACUCUUCUGGCUCCGAGGACCAAGAACAUGUUAAUGUCUAAUUUAGCUUCAAGCUCUGUGGUGAUAUGGGAUUUCAUAGCUAGUUUAUACUCUUCUUACUCCUAGUAGAUCAGAGAUAGAUUACGGUAAGCAUUUCAAAGGUGGAAUCCAAUGUAGUUCUGCUACAUAAAGUCCAGGUAUAUGUCCAUUCAGGACCGACCUUUACCAUUUAGCUUAAAGCUAUACCAUACCAAUCAAAGAAUUAUACCAAGUCAAUUCAGUGACUAUAAGUAUUUACAAUUCUGAGAGAUGUAUGCAACACAAGCAUAGAGGUCCUAGAUAGGACGAGUAAAGUGGUUCGACGGGAACACACAAUGGUUUUUCACACAAACAUUGUGAAAAAAUUCUCAGAAUUACCUUUCGAUGUACUCGCAACUUCGUGUUGCUAAGGUACAAGACAUUUAUCUCAAAGUUCGCUUCAUGUCGUUCAGCGACAAAUAGCAAUGUGCCAACAUCUGGUUGAGCAAUGUAUGACUGAGAUUCUAGCAUUUAUUCAUCUGAUAAGGUCUUAUUGCUUACUAAUAAAAUCCCAAUUUGUGAUGUUUUCUGCGCCAAAAAGGCUUUCAUGCAUUAUAUAUCUUCGGUUUACUUCGGAUAAAACUUUUAUGCAUGAGGAGAGAGAGCAAAAAAAUUAACUUAUCUGUGCUUUAUUGUAUUUCAAUUUAUUUUCCCAGAAUAUUCAAGCACUAUAGAGCUUGAUAUAGUUGUUAUGGCCACUUGGCAAUAUAAAUAAAUAUAUGAUGCCACACAAAACAAUCAAAAAAAAUAUAAAGUUAAACAACAUUAUUUAUGAAGGUUGCGCUAUGCUGUGACUUCAGGGACUCGAAUAAUCCACCACAUUCCACGCGAGUACAAGCUCCAGCGUAUCUGGCGUCAACGUGUGUGUGGCCAUCAAGGCUACAACAACGAAUAAGCCUCCGUAACAAGCGCAACAGGCGCAAUUGUGGCUUGAUAGUCGGGGUACAGGAUAAGUCCACACAACUCGGUGAUGGCGGUCCGACUCAACGGGAGUGGUCCGACUAAGUGAGAGUACAACAUAGCAAUCACAUGACGCAGCCAAGUUCGGACGACACAAAUAACGUGUCGUGUUGCCAGGGCGCAACCAAUGCUCGCCAAUGCCAUAACUCAACCGAUUAACAACAAAGUCUGGUCGACAUGUUUGAGUACCCACUAUAUAGUUUAAUCGCUCGAUAUGAGUCCAAAAGCUCAACAUAAUAUAAAUAUUUAGAGCGAUUUAAAUAUGCACAAUAUAGAGUUUACAUGCAUUUUAAUAUUUUCUGCUAAAUAUCUACCACGAUAAAUAAAAGCAGAAAAAUAAACACCAAAAUUAAUGCAUGAGCAUAACACAUCAGGUGUAAAAGGCAACUUCCUUGUAUGUAAGCAUGCAUUUUUCUAGUAAUUAUUUACUACAGGAAAUAAUUAAUUAAGAUACAUACUGCAACAGAAAGCAUGCCUUAUUUUAUUUAUUAUUUGCAUCCAUAAAAUAUGAUAGAAAAAUCACGCAUGUAAUUAUCCGCAUGUAAAAUAUGAUAGAAAAAUCACACAUAGAAAAAUCCAGGAGCCGUAGUUUUCCAACGCCAGAGGAAUAAGCGGUUACGACUUGGUCAAAGAACUGGUAUGGAGUGAGAGGCGGCCAGCCCACAUAGCGCAUGUCACGUGCAUGUGGGCAUGCAAGUUUUUUUUCAUAACAAAAAUCCUAACUACCUCAGCUUUCUCAGGCUUGUACGCACGUACACGCCCACGACAUGAAUGGAUCACGACUUUGACCACAUGAGCCGCCCCCAUUCACCUCGCACUCUAGAACCAUAGGAUGCGCAUGAUUCUCGUGACUAGGCGGGCACGAACUCGGGUGCACGGGCGAGAUUGAGUGGAGCCUCACCGGACAUGGUGGAGCGAUUACGAGAUUCUACCAACAUUAGAUCUAAAAAAAAUUAUACCGUUCAAUUGCGUGAUCCACUCAAAAUUUCAUACGGGCUCGCAGAUAAUAUACGCGAUGAACAAUAAAUUGCAGAUCCGCUCAAAAUUUCAUACCGUGAUUUCUGGUUCGACAAACGGGAACGAAGCCUGUCGCGUAGGACAGUUCGGCAAGGCCGGGGACCUGCCGGUGUGACGGAGAGUUGAUGCAGAUCUGAUCUCGCAGCAACGUCGAGGUAGAGCGUGCUGAUAACGUGUUGAGAACUACGUUACCGCGGAUCACCAGAUCCGCUCCCUUCCCUCCCGUCAGCAGUAGAGGCGCAAGAAGAUGUAGAGAACCCGUCUCCCUUCCCUUAAGCACGACAGAGGAAACACACGAGACACAGGAUAUAGGGUUGGGCCUCUGGCCUCUUUUCUUCUCUAUUCCAUAUGAGGGGGUACAAGUUCUAUAUAUAUAGAGACGUGAUCGUCCUCAGGGGCAUAUUCGGUAUUUGCCCAUAUAACCCUUCAUUAGGGUUUCUCAACAGUCGGCACGGUUCGUUGCAGCUAUGACCUUUAUUCUCUCAUCACUGCUGAAUCCAUCCAGUUGAUUCAGUAAUUCCAACAUUGUUCGCUGAACUUCUCUAUCACCACGAACUUCACUGUACCAAGAGAACAAAAUUAUGGAGCAUACAUCAGAUAAGCUUCUUCGUAAUAAGAAUGAUUGGUUUCCACUAAAUUGAAACAUAAAAAAGUGUUCUACUUUCUGUGGUCUUGUGCAACUGAUUCACAUUUUCAUCUCAUAAAGAGUAUCAUCAGCCAAAGCAGGAAUAGAACCAUGCAAGAGCUAAAAAUGUCAUAAAAGGCAUACCUAUCAAAACGUUUGGUGCCGAUGGCAUCUAUCUCAUCAAUAAAUAUAAUACAAGGAGCUUUCUCUUUGGCAAGCUGGAAUGCAUCCCGGACAAGCUUUGCUCCAUCACCAAUAAACAUCUGAACCAGCAAGAACAUCGUUACUACCCUACUUCAAAAUAUAAAGUAUGCUCAGAAUAAAACAGAUUUUCCAUGGUAAUGCAAUAUCUCCAUUUUGUCGUCAAUGAAAAUGGAACAAAUGGUCAAUAUUAGUAAUGCAAUCAGACUAAUAUUUUAGUUAAAGCACUAAACCAUACAACUUUGUUUCCAAAUUCCAAAUCCAAUUAUAAAAUAGAGACAGAAUGUUAUACAAGAUCCUGAUAAUUCAUCAACCACGACACAUAACUGGCAACUGACUAAACUUCAACAAAGAAACUUUGGACUGACAAACUCCAUAAUAACAGAAAGAUGCAAUCCAUAUAUCCAUUUUCCUCAACAGUAACAAUAUUGGUAUGUACAAAAAGCUUACUUAGACAUUCAGGAACACAGUAGCCCUAGAUAAGUUAACAAACUAUGUUCAGAAGGUAGAAAGCACCAAGACAUUCAAACUUGCUUCUGAGAAGCUUAGCAUAAGGAAAUAUUGCUUCAUGUUAAUUCGUAUACAUAAGAAAAGGAAAUCAACCAGGAUGAUGCAAUUAAAUAAUAAAACUAUUGCAGAAAGCUAACAUAAACAAAGAGUGACAGAAGUUGCAGUACAAAUAUGAUAACAUGAAAUGGAGCAGCAGUGUACCACAAGAUUCAUGUCAGAAAAAAAAUAUCUUAUCAUCGAGAAGGCAUGCAGGCGCAGCUAUAUAACGGACACAUAAAAAAGGAAAAUAAAGCUUAAUUCUCAAGUAAACUGAUUACUUGCACAAGUUGUGGACCAGCUAAUUUCAGAAAUGUUGCAUUCGUCUGUGCAGCACAUGCACGAGCCAUGAGUGUCUUGCCAGUUCCUGGCGGUCCAUACAGAAGAACUCCUUUUGGAGGACGAAUACCCAACUUCUGGAACCGGUCUUUAUGUGUCAUGGGCAGUACAAUUGCCUCUACAAGCUCUUGAAUCUAAAUUCAAUCACAUAAGAUUCAAAAGCACUAGGCCCGGAUGGCUUUACAGGUUUAUUCUUCAAAGUAUGCUGGGAUAUCAUCAAGGAGGACGUUCUUGAGGCUUUUCAUCAACUUCAUAGCAUGAAUGGGGCGGAUUUUCGUUUACUCAACUCUGCCAACAUCGUGCUUAUACCUAAAAAGCCAGAUGCUUUGACAGUGGGGGACUACCGCCCCAUCAGUUUGAUACACAACAUCGCAAAAAUCUUCUCCAAACUGCUUGCUAAUCGGCUGGCCCCCUCCUCAACACUCUAAUCUCCAAAUCCCGAAGUGCCUUCAUCCAGAAAAGAUGUAUACAAGACAACUUCUUUUAUGUGCAUAACGUAGUUAGAAGACUACACAAGCAAAAAAACCAACGCUCUUCCUGAAGCUUGACAUCCAGAAGGCUUUCGACACAGUUAAUUGGGGCUAUCUCCUGGAAGUCCUCCAGACCAUGGGUUUUGGCCCUCGAAGGCGUGAGUGGAUUUCCAUCCUUUUUGGGUCCGCCUCGUCUCGAGCCCUCCUCAAUGGCCGACAAGGAGCAAACAUCCAGCACAGGAGGGGGGUUAGGCAGGGAGACCCCCUUUCCCCUAUGUUGUUCAUCCUUGCCAUUGAUCCGCUGCAGCGUAUCCUGGACCUUGUAGCCAGAAAUGGGAUCCUUUCCCCCAUUCCGCUAACUACAGCAAAACUGAGGACUUCUCUCUAUGCCGAUGAUGCUGCUAUCUUUAUCAACCCUUCUAGAGAAGACCUCCUGGCGGUCAAAGACAUCCUGCACGCUUUUGGCUGUGCCUCGGGCUUGGUCACCAACCUUGAGAAGAGCUCUAUCCACCCGAUAAGAUGUGAUAACAUAGACCUAGACCACGUGCUCCAGCCGUUCCAAGGGACCAGGGGGACCUUCCCGUGUCGUUACCUAGGCCUCCAACUUCACACCCGGGCGCUCCAGAAAAUUCAUGUCCAACCUCUGAUCGAGAAAAUCCAGAACCGUCUAGCCGGAUGGAAAGGAAGCAUGCUCAAUCGGGCUAGUCGUCUCACGCUUAUGUCUUCCGUCUUGUCUGCUAUGCCCACAUACCACUUGCCGGUCUUUCCCCUCGCGACAUGGGCCCGUAAACACGUCGAUAGGAUCCGCCGCUCCUUCCUCUGGAGAGGAAAGGCUGAAUCAAAUGGAGGCCAUUGUCUUGUGGCUUGGCCACUAGUCAGCAAGCCCAAAACCCUAGGCGGUCUGGGCAUCCUCAACCUCGACAAAUUCAGCUGCGCCCUCCGGCUAAGGUGGUGAUAGUCGCCUAGAGGGGGGGGGUGAAUAGGGCGAAACUGAAAUUUACAAAUAUAAACACAACUACAAGCCGGGUUAGCGUUAGUAAUGAAGAAACGAGUCCGUGAGAGAGGGCGCAAAACAAAUCCCAAGCGAAUAAGCAAGUGAGACACGGAGAUUUGUUUUACCGAGGUUCGGUUCUUGCAAACCUACUCCCCGUUGAGGAGGCCACAAAGGCCGGGUCUCUUUCAACCCUUCCCUCUCUCAAACGAUCCACGGAUCGAGUGAGCUUUCUCUUCUCAAUCACUUGGAACACAAAGUUCCCACAAGGACCACCACAAGAUUGGUGUCUCUUGCCUCAAUUACAAGUGAGUUUGAUUGCAAAGAAGGAAUCAAGAAAGAAGAAAGCAAUCCAAGCGCAAAAGCUCGAAAGAACACAAGCAAAUCACUCUCUCUAGUCACUAUGGCGUUGUGUGGAAUUUGGAGAGGAUUUGAUCUAUUUGGUGUGUCUAGAAUUGAAUGCUAGAGCUCUUGUAGUAGUUGGGAAGUGGAAAACUUGGAUGCAAUAAAUGGUGGGGUGGUUGGGGUAUUUAUAGCCCCAACCACCAAAUGUGGCCGUUGGGAGGCUGUCUGUUCGAUGGCGCACCGGACAGUCCGGUGCCCCUGCCACGUCAUCACUGCCGUUGGAUUCUAGCCGUUGGAGCUUCUGACUUGUGGGCCCGCCUGAGUGUCCGGUGCACACCGGACACGUACUGUUUGCUGUCCGGUGUGCCAGUAUGGGCGCGCCUGACCUCUGCGCGCGCAGAGCGCGCAUUAAAUGCGCGGCAGAGAGCCGUUGGCGCGGAGAUAGUCGUUGCUCCGGAGUCGCACCGGACAGUCCGGUGCACACCGGACAGUCCGGUGAAUUUUAGCGGACUAGCCGUUGGAGUUUUCCCGAAGCUGGCGAGUUCCUGAGGCUGACCUUCCUUGGCGCACCGGACACUGUCCGGUGUACACCGGACAGUCCGGUGAAUUAUAGCGGAGUUGCCUCUGGAAAUUCCCGAAGGUAGCGAGUUCGUGUUGGAGUCCUCUGGUGCACUGGACAUGUCCGGUGGUGCACCGUUCACUGUCCGGUGUACACCGGUCAGUCCGGUGCUCCCAGACCAGAGGGCCUUCGGUUCCCACUUUGCUCCUUUGUUGAAUCCAAAACUUGGUCUUUUUAUUGGCUGAGUGUGAACCUUUUACACCUGUGUAAUCUAUACACUUGGGCAAACUUAGUUAGUCCAAUUGUUUGUGUUGGGCAAUUCAACCACCAAAAUUAUAUAGGAACUAGGUGUAAGCCUAAUUCCCUUUCAAUCUCCCCCUUUUGGUGAUUGAUGCCAACACAAACCAAAGCAAAUAUAGAAGUGCAUAAUUGAACUAGUUUGCAUAAUGUAAGUGUAAAGGUUGCUUAGAAAUGAGCCAAUAUAAAUACUUACAAGAUAUGCAUGGAUUGUUUCUUUUAUAUAACAUUUUGGACCACGCUUGCACCACAUGUUUUGUUUUUGCAAACUCUUUUGUAAAUCUUUUUCAAAGUUCUUUUGCAAAUAGUCAAAGGUAGUGAAUAAGAGUUUUGCAAAGCAUUUUCAAGAUUUGAAAUUUUCUCCCCCUGUUUCAAAUGCUUCUCCUUUGAUUAAACAAAACUCCCCCUAAAUGAGAUCCUCCUCUUAGUGUUCAAGAGGGUUUUGAUAUACCAUUUUGAAAUACUAAUUUCUCCCCCCUUUUGAACACAAUAGGCUAUCAAUUGAAAAUAUUCAACACUUAAGUUUUUGAAAUUGGUGGUGGUGCGGUCCUUUUUGCUUUGGGCUCAUUUCUCCCCCUUUUUGGCAUGAAUCGCCAAAAACGGAACCAUUAGAGCCCUUGAAGUGCUAUCUUCCUCUUUGGUCAUAAAUGAGUGAAUUAAGAUUAUACCAAAGACGAAGUCCGGUCCUUUUGCCUUGGGCUCUUACUUUCUCUCCCAAAGACAAAGACCUUUUCUUUGAUGCUCAUUUCUCCCCAAAGAAUAGAGAGUUGCUUGGAGUGAUGGCGAAGUAUGAGUAACGGAGUGGAAGCCUUUGUCUUCACCGAAGACUCCAGUUCCCUUUCAAUAUACCUAUGACUUGGUUUGAAAUAGACUUGAAAACAUGUUAGUCAUAGCAUAUAAAAGAGACAUGAUCAAAGGCAUAUAAAAGAGCAAUGUGUGCAAUUUUAACAAAAGAAGUUCCUAGAAUCAAGAAUAUUGAGCUCAUGCCUAAGUUUGUUAAAAGAUUGUUCAUCAAGAGGCUUGGUAAAGAUAUCGGCUAAUUGAUCUUUAGUAUUAAUGUAAGAAAUCUCGAUAUCUCCCUUUUGUUGGUGAUCCCUUAAAAAGUGAUACCGAAUGGCUAUGUGCUUAGUGCGGCUAUGCUCGACGGGAUUGUCGGCUAUUUUGAUUGCACUCUCAUUAUCACAUAGCAAAGGGACUUUGGUUAAUUUGUACCCGUAGUCCCGCAGGGUUUGCCUCAUCCAAAGCAAUUGCGCGCAACAAUGGCCUGCGGCAAUGUACUCGGCUUCGGCGGUGGAAAGAGCAACCGAAUUUUGCUUCUUUGAAGCCCAAGACACCAAGGAUCUUCCCAAGAACUGGCAAGUCCCCGAUGUGCUCUUCCUAUUGAUUUUGCACCCCGCCCAAUCAGCAUCCGAAUAUCCAAUCAAAUCAAAUGUGGAUCCCUUAGGAUACCAAAGCCCAAACUUAGGGGUAUUAGCCAAAUAUCUCAAGAUUCGUUUUACGGCCGUAAGGUGGGAUUCCUUAGGGUCGGAUUGGAAUCUUGCACACAUGCAAACGGAAAGCAUAAUAUCUGGUCGAGAUGCACAUAAAUAGAGUAAAGAACCUAUCAUCGACCGGUAUACCUUUUGAUCUACGGACUUACCUCCCGUGUCGAGGUCGAGAUGCCCAUUAGUUCCCAUGGGUGUCUUGAUGGGUUUGGCAUCCUUCAUUCUAAAUUUGGUUAGAAUGUCUUGAGUAUACUUUGUUUGACUAAUGAAGGUGCCUUCUUGGAGUUGCUUGACUUGGAAUCCUAGAAAAUACUUCAACUCCCCCAUCAUAGACAUCUCAAAUUUUUGUGUCAUGAUCCUACUAAACUCUUCACAUGUAGAUUCAUUAGUAGACCCAAAUAUAAUAUCAUCAACGUAAAUUUGGCAUACAAACAAAUCAUUAUUAAGAGUUUUAGUAAAGAGUGUAGGAUCGGCCUUACCGACUUUGAAGCCAUUAGCAAUAAGGAAAUCUCUAAGGCAUUCAUACCAUGCUCUUGGGGCUUGCUUGAGCCCAUAAAGCGCCUUAGAGAGCUUAUAAACAUGGUUAGGAUACUCACUGUCUUCAAAGCCGGGAGGUUGCUCAACAUAGACCUCUUCCUUGAUUGGUCCAUUGAGGAAGGCACUUUUCACGUCCAUUUGAUAAAGCUUAAAGCCAUGGUAAGUAGCAUAGGCUAAUAAUAUGCGAAUUGACUCAAGCCUAGCUACGGGUGCAUAGGUUUCACCGAAAUCCAAACCUUCGACUUGGGAGUAUCCUUUGGCCACAAGUCGAGCUUUGUUCCUUGUCACCACACCAUGCUCAUCUUGCUUGUUGCGGAAGACCCAUUUGGUUCCUACAACAUUUUGGUUAGGACGUGGAACUAAAUGCCAUACCUCAUUCCUAGUGAAGUUGUUGAGCUCCUCUUGCAUCGCCACCACCCAAUCCGAAUCUUGAAGUGCUUCCUCUACCCUAUGUGGCUCAAUAGAGGAAACAAACGAGUAAUGUUCACAAAAAAAUGCAAUACGAGAUCUAGUGGUUACCCCCUUAUGAAUGUCGCCGAGGAUGGUGUCGACGGGGUGAUCUCGUUGAAUUGCUUGGUGGACUCUUGGGUGUGGCGGCCUUUGCUCUUCAUCCUCCUUGUCUUGAUCAUUUGCAUCUCCCCCUUGAUCUAUGCCGUUAUCUUGAGGUGGCUCAUUUGAUUGAUCUUCUUCUUCAUCAACUUGAGCCUCUUCCUCAUUUUGAGUUGGUGGAGAUGCUUGCAUGGAGGAGGACGGUUGAUCUUGUGCAUUUGGAGGCUCUUCGGAUUCCUUAGGACACACAUCCCCAAUGGACAUGUUCCUUAGCGCGAUGCACGGAGCCUCUUCAUCACCUAUCUCAUCAAGAUCAACUUGCUCUACUUGAGAGCCGUUAGUUUCAUCAAACACAACGUCACAUGAGACUUCAACUAGUCCAAUGGACUUGUUAAAGACCCUAUAUGCCCUUGUGUUUGAGUCAUAACCAAGUAAAAAGCCUUCUACAGUCUUAGGAGCAAAUUUAGAUUUUCUACUUCUUUUAACAAGAAUAAAGCAUUUGCUACCAAAGACUCUAAAAUAUGAAAUGUUGGGCUUUUUACCGGUUAGGAGUUCAUAUGAUGUCUUCUUGAGGAUUCGGUGUAGAUAUAACCGGUUGAUGGUGUAACAGGCGGUGUUGACCGCCUCAGCCCAAAACCGAUCCGAAGUCUUGUACUCAUCAAGCAUGGUCCUUGCCAUGUCCAGUAGAGUUCGAUUCUUCCUCUCCACUACACCAUUUUGUUGAGGGGUGUAGGGAGAAGAGAACUCAUGCUUGAUGCCCUCCUCCUCAAGGAAGCCUUCGACUUGAGAAUUUUUGAACUCCGUCCCGUUGUCGCUUCUUAUUUUCUUGAUCCUUAAGCCGAACUCAUUUUGAGCCCGUCUCAAGAAUCCCUUUAAGGUCUCUUGGGUUUGAGAUUUUUCCUGUAAAAAGAACACCCAAGUGAAGCGAGAAUAAUCAUCCACAACAACUAGACAGUACUUACUCCCGCCGAUGCUUAUGUAAGCAAUCAGGCCGAAUAGAUCCAUGUGUAGGAGCUCCAGUGGCCUGUCGGUCGUCAUUAUGUUCUUAUGUGGAUGAUGGGUGCCAACUUGCUUUCCUGCUUGGCAUGCGCUAUGAAAGGGAAUUAGGCUUACACCUAGUCCCUAAUUAAUUUUGGUGGUUGAAUUGCCCAACACAAACAAUUGGACUAACUAAGUUUGCCCAAGUUUAUAGAUUACACAGGUGUAAAAGGUUCACACUCAGCCAAUAAAAGACCAAGUUUUGGAUUCAACAAAGGAGCAUAGUGGGAACCGAAGGCCCUCUGGUCUGAGAGCACCGGACUGUCCGGUGUACACCGGACAGUGUCCGGUGCACCAGAGGACUCCAGCUCCAACUCGCCACCUUCGGGAAUUUCCAGAGGCGACUCCGCUAUAAUUCACCGGACUGUCCGGUGUACACCGGACAGUGUCCGGUGCGCCAAGGGAGGUCGGCCUCAGGAACUCGCCAGCUUCGGGAAACUCCAACGGCUAGUCCGCUAUAAUUCACCGGACUGUCCGGUGCAACUCCGGAGCAACGGCUACCUCCGCGCCAACGGCUCUCUGCCGCGCAUUUAAUGCGCGCUCUGCGCGCGCAGAUGUCAGGCGCGCCCAUUCCGGCACACCGGACAAGGAACAGUAGAUGUCCGGUGUGCACCGGACACCCAGGCGGGCCCACACGUCAGAAGCUCCAACGGUCAGAAUUCAACGGCAGUGUGACGUGGCAGGGGGCACCGGACUGUCCGGUGUGCACCGGACUGUCCGGUGCGCCAUCGCGCAGACAGCCUCCACCAACGGUCAAGUUGGUGGUUGGGGCUAUAAAUACCCCAACCACCCCACCAUUCAUUGCAUCCAAGUUUUCCACUUCCCAACUACUACAAGAGCUCUAGCAUUCAAUUCUAGACACACCAAAGAGAUCAAAUCCUCUCCAAAUUCCACACAACGCCAUAGUGACUAGAGAGAGUGAUUUGCUUGUGUUCUUUCGAGCUCUUGCGCUUGGAUUGCUUUCUUCUUUCUUGAUUCUUUCAUUGCGAUCAAACUCACUUGUAAUUGAGGCAAGAGACACCAAACUUGUGGUGGUCCUUGUGGGAACUUUGUGUUCCAAGUGAUUGAGAAGAGAAAGCUCACUCGAUCCGUGGGAUCGUUUGAGAGAGGGAAGGGUUGAAAGAGACCCGGCCUUUGUGGCCUCCUCAACGGGGAGUAGGUUUGCAAGAACCGAACCUCGGUAAAACAAAUCCGCGUGUCACACUCUUCAUUUGCUUGCGAUUUGUUUUGCACCCUCUCUCGCGGACUCGUUUUAUAUUUCUAACGCUAACCCGGCUUGUAGUUGUGUUUAUAUUUGUAAAUUUCAGUUUCGCCCUAUUCACCCCCCCCCCCUCUAGGCGACUAUCAAUUGGGAUCAGAGCCCGGUGCUUCAUUAGAGCCUAACCGCUCGAAGUGAUGUCGGGAGAUCACGCCAAGAAGGAGAUGGAGACCGGCGAAAAGCCCACUACAAGCCACGGGAGCACUUCAUCGGAAGAGUCCCGCACCAAGAGGAGGGAGAAGAAGAAGAGCUCCUCCAACAAAGGGAAGGAGAAGAAAUCUUCUUCUCACCACAAAGAGAAGAAGGAAAAAUCUUCUUCCCACAAGCCGCAUCGGAGUGGGGACAAGCAAAAGAGAAUGAGGAAAGUGGUCUACUACGAGACCGACACUUCAUCAACAUCGACCUCCGGCUCCGAUGCGCCCUCCGUAACUUCUAAACGCCAAGAGCGUAAGAAGUUUAGUAAGAUCCCCCUACACUACCCUCGCAUUUCUAAACAUGCACCUUUACUUUCCGUCCCAUUAGGCAAACCACCAACUUUUGAUGGUGAAGAUUAUGCUAGGUGGAGUGAUUUAAUGCGAUUUCAUCUAACCUCACUCCACAAAAGUAUAUGGGAUGUUGUUGAGUUUGGUGCACAGGUACCAUCGGUAGGGGAUAAAGACUAUGAUGAGGAUGAGGUGGCCCAAAUCGAGCACUUCAACUCUCAAGCGACAACAAUACUCCUCGCCUCUUUAAGUAGAGAGGAGUAUAACAAAGUUCAAGGGUUGAAGAGCGCCAAGGAGGUUUGGGAUGUGCUCAAAACCGCGCACGAGGGAGAUGAGCUCACAAAGAUCACCAAGCGGGAGACGAUCGAGGGGGAGCUCGGUCGAUUCCGGCUUCGCAAAGGGGAAGAGCCACAACACAUGUACAACCGGCUCAAGACCUUGGUGAACCAAGUGCGCAACCUCGGGAGCAAAAAGUGGGAUGACCACGAGGUGGUUAAGGUUAUUCUAAGAUCUCUUAUUUUCCUUAACCCUACUCAAGUUCAAUUAAUUCGUGGCAACCCAAGAUAUACACUAAUGACCCCGAGGAAGUAAUCGGGCAUUUUGUAAGUUUUGAGUGCAUGAUCGAAGGCUCGAGGAAGAUCAACGAGCUUGACGAACCCACCACAUCCGAAGCUCAACCCGUCGCAUUCAAGGCGACGGAAGAAAAGAAGGAGGAGUCCACACCAAGUCGGCAACCAAUCGAUGCCUCCAAGCUCGACAAUGAGGAAAUGGCGCUCGUCAUCAAGAGCUUCCGCCAAAUCCUCAAGCAAAGGAGAGGGAAAGACUACAAGUCCCGCUCCAAGAAGGUUUGCUACAAAUGUGGUAAGCCCGGUCAUUUUAUUGCUAAAUGUCCCAUAUCUAGUGACAGUGACCGAGGCGACGACAAGAAGGGGAGAAGAAAGGAGAAGAAAAGGUACUACAAGAAGAAGGGCGGCGAUGCCCAUGUUUGUCGGGAGUGGGACUCCGACGAAAGCUCUAGCGACUCCUCCGACGACGAGGACGCCGCCAACAUCGCCGUCACCAAGGGACUUCUCUUCCCCAAUGUCGGCCACAAAUGUCUCAUGGCCAAGGACGGCAAAAAGAAGGUUAAAUCUAAAUCCUCCACUAAAUAUGAAUCCUCUAGUGAUGAUAAUGCUAGUGAUGAGGAAGAUAACUUGCGCUCUCUUUUUGCCAACCUCAACAUGCAACAAAAGGAAAAAUUAAAUGAAUUAAUUAGCGCCAUCCAUGAGAAGGAUGAUCUCUUGGACUCCCAAGAGGACUUCCUAAUCAAGGAAAAUAAAAAGCAUGUUAAGGUUAAAAAUGCUUAUGCUCUAGAAGUUGAGAAAUGUCAAAAAUUAUCUAGUGAGCUAAGCACUUGCCAUGAAACAAUAGACAACCUUAGAAAUGAAAAUGCUAUUUUGUUAGCCAAGGUUGAUUCUCAUGUUUGCAAUGUUUCAAUUCCCAACCCUAGAGAUAAUAAUGAUGAUUUGCUCGCUAGGAUUGAAGAAUUGAACAUUUCUCUUGCUAGCCUUAGAAUAGAAAAUGAAAAUUUAAUUGCUAAGGCUAAAGAACUAGAUGUUUGCAAUGUUACAAUUUCCGAUCUUAGAGAUAAUAAUGAUAUCUUGCAUGCUAAGAUUGUUGAACUUAAUUCAUGCAAACCCUCUACAUCUAGUGUUGAGCAUGUUUCUGUUUGUACUAGAUGUAGAGAUGUUAACAUUGAUGCUAUUCAUGAUCAUAUGACUUUAAUUAAACAACAAAAUGAUCAUAUAGCAAAAUUAGAUGCUAAAAUUGCCGAGCAUAACUUAGAGAAUGAAAAAUUUAAAUUUGCUAGAAGUAUGCUUUAUAAUGGGAGACGCCCUGGCAUCAAGGAUGGCAUUGGCUUCCAAAGGGGAGACAAUGUCAAACUUAAUGCCCCUCCUAAGAAAUUGUCCAACUUUGUUAAGGGCAAAGCUCCCAUGCCUCAGGAUAACGAGGGUUACAUUUUGUACCCUGCCGGUUAUCCUGAGAGCAAAAUUAGGAAAAUUCAUUCUAGGAAGUCUCACACUGGCCCCAAUCAUGCUUUUAUGUAUAAGGGUGAGACAUCUAGUUCUAGGCAACCAACCCGUGCUAAGUUGCCUAAGAAAAUUCCUAUUACAUCAAAUGAUCAUGACAUUUCAUUUAAAACUUUUGAUGCAUCCUAUGUUUUAACUAACAAAUCCGGCAAAGUAGUUGCCAAGUAUGUUGGGGGCAAACACAAGGGGUCAAAGACUUAUGUUUGGGUACCCAAAGUUCUUGUGUCUAAUGCCAAAGGACCCAAAACCAUUUGGGUACCUAAAGUCAAGAACUAAACUUGUUUUGUAGGUUUAUGCAUCCGGGGGCUCAAGUUGGAUACUCGACAGCGGAUGCACGAACCACAUGACUGGGGAGAAAAAGAUGUUCUCCUCAUACGAGAAAAACCAAGAUCCCCAACGAGCUAUCACAUUCGGGGAUGGAAAUCAAGGUUUGGUCAAAGGUCUUGGUAAAAUAGCUAUAUCUCCUGACCAUUCUAUUUCCAAUGUUUUUCUUGUAGAUUCUUUAGAUUACAAUUUGCUUUCAGUUUCACAAUUAUGUCAAAUGGGCUACAACUGUCUUUUCACUGAUGUAGGUGUCAUUGUCUUUAGAAGAAGUAAUGAUUCAAUAGCAUUUAAGGGUGUGUUAGAGGGUCAGCUAUACUUAGUAGAUUUUGAUAGAGCUGAACUCGACACAUGCUUAAUUGCUAAGACUAACAUGGGCUGGCUCUGGCAUCGCCGAUUAGCACAUGUUGGGAUGAAGAAUCUUCACAAACUUCUAAAGGGAGAACACAUUUUAGGAUUAACAGAUGUUCAUUUUGAGAAAGACAGGAUUUGUAGCGCAUGCCAGGCAGGAAAGCAAGUUGGUGCUCAUCAUCCACAUAAGAACAUAAUGACGACCGACAGGCCACUGGAGCUCCUACACAUGGAUCUAUUCGGCCCGAUCGCUUACAUAAGCAUCGGCGGGAGUAAGUACUGUCUAGUUAUUGUGGAUGAUUAUUCUCGCUUCACUUGGGUGUUCUUUUUACAGGAAAAAUCUCAAACCCAAGAAACCUUAAAGGGAUUCUUGAGACGGGCUCAAAACGAGUUCGGCUUAAGGAUCAAGAAAAUUAGAAGCGACAACGGGACGGAGUUCAAGAACUCUCAAAUCGAAGGCUUCCUUGAGGAGGAGGGCAUCAAGCAUGAGUUCUCUUCUCCCUACACGCCACAACAAAAUGGUGUAGUGGAGAGGAAGAAUAGAACUCUAUUGGACAUGGCAAGGACCAUGCUUGAUGAGUACAAGACUUCGGAUCGGUUUUGGGCCGAGGCGGUCAACACCGCUUGCUACGCCAUCAACCGGUUAUAUCUACACCAAAUCCUCAAGAAGACAUCAUAUGAACUCCUAACCGGUAAAAAGCCCAACAUUUCAUAUUUUAGAGUUUUUGGUAGCAAAUGCUUUAUUCUUGUUAAAAGAGGUAGAAAAUCUAAAUUUGCUCCUAAAACUGUAGAAGGCUUUUUACUUGGUUAUGACUCAAACACAAGGGCAUAUAGGGUCUUUAACAAGUCCACUGGACUAGUUGAAGUCUCAUGUGACGUUGUGUUUGAUGAAACUAACGGCUCUCAAGUAGAGCAAGUGGAUCUUGAUGAGAUAGGUAUUGGAGAGGCUCCGUGCAUCGCGCUAAGGAACAUGUCCAUUGGGGAUGUGUGUCCUAAGGAAUCCGAAGAGCCGCCAAAUGCACAAGAUCAACCAUCCUCCUCCACGCAAGCAUCUCCACCAACUCAAAAUGAGGAUGAGGCUCAAGUUGAUGAAGUAGAAGAUCAAGCAAAUGAGCCACCUCAAGAUGAUGGCAUUGAUCAAGGGGGAGAUGCAAAUGAGGAAGACAAGGAGGAUGAGGAACAAAGACCGCCACACCCAAGAGUCCACCAAGCAAUCCAACGAGAUCACCCCGUCGACACCAUCCUCGGCGACAUUCAUAAGGGGGUAACCACUAGAUCUCGUGUUGCACAUUUUUGUGAACAUUACUCGUUUGUUUCCUCUAUUGAGCCACACAGGGUAGAGGAAGCACUACAAGAUUCGGAUUGGGUGGUGGCGAUGCAAGAGGAGCUCAACAACUUCACUAGGAAUGAGGUAUGCCAUUUAGUUCCACGUCCUAAUCAAAAUGUUGUAGGAACCAAAUGGGUCUUCCGCAACAAGCAAGAUGAGCAUGGUGUGGUGACAAGGAACAAAGCUCGACUUGUGGCCAAAGGAUACUCUCAAGUCGAAGGUUUGGAUUUCGGUGAAACCUAUGCACCCGUAGCUAGGCUUGAGUCAAUUCGCAUAUUAUUGGCCUAUGCUACUUACCAUGGCUUUAAGCUUUAUCAAAUGGACGUGAAAAGUGCCUUCCUCAAUGGACCAAUCAAGGAAGAGGUCUAUGUUGAGCAACCUCCCGGCUUUGAAGACAGUGAGUAUCCUAACCAUGUCUAUAAGCUCUCUAAGGCGCUUUAUGGGCUCAAGCAAGCCCCAAGAGCAUGGUAUGAAUGCCUUAGAGAUUUUCUUAUUGCAAAUGGAUUCAAAGUCGGAAAGGCCGAUCCUACACUCUUUACUAAAACUCUUGAAAAUGACUUAUUUGUAUGCCAAAUUUAUGUUGAUGAUAUUAUAUUUGGGUCUACUAACGAGUCUACAUGUGAAGAGUUUAGUAGGAUCAUGACACAAAAAUUCGAGAUGUCUAUGAUGGGGGAGUUGAAGUAUUUCUUAGGAUUUCAAGUAAAGCAACUCCAAGAGGGCACCUUCAUUAGCCAAACGAAGUACACUCAAGAUAUUCUAAACAAGUUUGGGAUGAAGGAUGCCAAACCCAUCAAGACACCCAUGGGAACAAAUGGGCAUCUCGACCUCGACACGGGAGGUAAGUUCGUGGAUCAAAAGGUAUACCGGUCGAUGAUUGGUUCAUUACUCUAUUUAUGUGCAUCUCGACCGGACAUUAUGCUUUCCGUUUGCAUGUGUGCAAGAUUCCAAGCCGACCCUAAGGAAGCUCACCUUACGGCCGUGAAACGAAUCUUGAGAUAUUUGGCUUAUACUCCUAAGUUUGGGCUUUGGUACCCUCGGGGAUCCACAUUUGAUUUGAUUGGUUAUUCGGAUGCCGAUUGGGCGGGGUGCAAAAUCAAUAGGAAGAGCACAUCGGGGACUUGCCAGUUCUUGGGAAGAUCCUUGGUGUCUUGGGCUUCAAAGAAGCAAAAUUCGGUCGCUCUUUCCACCGCCGAAGCCGAGUAUAUUGCCGCAGGCCAUUGUUGCGCGCAAUUGCUUUGGAUGAGGCAAACCCUGCGGGACUACGGUUACAAAUUAACCAAAGUUCCUUUGCUAUGUGAUAAUGAGAGUGCAAUCAAAAUGGCCGACAAUCCCGUCGAGCAUAGCCGCACUAAGCACAUAGCCAUUCGGUAUCAUUUUCUUAGGGAUCACCAACAAAAGGGAGAUAUCGAGAUUUCUUACAUUAACACUAAAGAUCAAUUAGCCGAUAUCUUUACCAAACCUCUUGAUGAACAAACUUUUACCAAACUUAGGCAUGAACUCAAUAUUCUUGAUUCGCGCAAUUUCUUUUGCUAAAUUGCACACAUAGCUCAUUUAUAUACCUUUGAUCAUAUCUCUUUUAUAUGCUUUGACUAAUGUGUUUUCAAGUCUAUUUCAAACCAAGUCAUAAGUAUAUUGAAAAGGAAAUGGAGUCUUCGGCGAAGACAAAGGCUUCCACUCCGUAACUCAUACUUCACCGUCACUCCAAGCAUCUCUCCAUCUUUAGGGGGAGAAUUCAAAAGCAAAAGGACUUUGUCUUUGGGGGAGAAAGUAAGAGCCCAAAGCAAAAGGACCGGACUUCGUCUUUGGUAUAAUCUUAACUCAUUUAUUUAUGACCAAAGGGGAAGAAAGCACUUCGCGGGCUCUAAUGAUUCCGUUUUUGGCGAUUCAUGCCAAAAAGGGGGAGAAAUGAGCCCAAAGCAAAAGGACCGCACCACCACCAAUUUCAAAAACUUAGUGUUGAAUAUUUUUCAAUUGGUAUCCUAUUGUGUUCAAAAGGGGGUGAGGUAGUAUUUCAAAAAUGGUAUAUCAAAACCCUCUUGAACACUAAGAGGUGGAUCUCAUUUAGGGGGAGUUUUGUUUAGUCAAAAGAGAAGCAUUUGAAACGGGGGGAGAAAAUUUCAAAUCUUGAAGAUGCUUUGCAAAAUCUUAUUCAUUCACCUUUGACUAUUUGCAAAAGAACUUUGAAAAGGAUUUUGCAAAAACAAAUCAUGUGGUGCAAACGUGGUCCAAAAUGUUAUAUAAGAAAGAAACAAUCCAUGCAUAUCUUGUAAGUAUUUAUAUUGGCUCAAUUCCAAGCAACCUUUACACUUACAUUAUGCAAACUAGUUCAAUUAUGCACUUCUAUAUUUGCUUUGGUUUGUGUUGGCAUCAAUCACCAAAAAGGGGGAGAUUGAAAGGGAAUUAGGCUUACACCUAGUCCCUAAUUAAUUUUGGUGGUUGAAUUGUCCAACACAAACAAUUGGACUAACUAAGUUUGCCCAAGUUUAUAGAUUACACAGGUGUAAAAGGUUCACACUCAGCCAAUAAAAGACCAAGUUUUGGAUUCAACAAAGGAGCAUAGUGGGAACCGAAGGCCCUCUGGUCUGAGAGCAUCGGACUGUCCGGUGUACACCGGACAGUGUCCGGUGCACCAGAGGACUCCAGCUCCAACUCGCCACCUUCGGGAAUUUCCAGAGGCGACUCCGCUAUAAUUCACCGGACUGUCCGGUGUACACCGGACAGUGUCCGGUGCGCCAAGGGAGGUCGGCCUCAGGAACUCGCCAGCUUCGGGAAACUCCAACGGCUAGUCCGCUAUAAUUCACCGGACUGUCCGGUGUGCACCGGACUGUCCGGUGCAACUCCAGAGCAACGGCUACCUCCGCGCCAACGGCUCUCUGCCGCGCAUUUAAUGCGCGCUCUGCGCGCGCAGAUGUCAGGCGCGCCCAUUCCGGCACACCGGACAAGGAACAGUAGAUGUCCGGUGUGCACCGGACACCCAGGCGGGCCCACACGUCAGAAGCUCCAACGGUCAGAAUCCAACGGCAGUGUGACGUGGCAGGGGGCACCGGACUGUCCGGUGUGCACCGGACUGUCCGGUGCGCCAUCGCGCAGACAGCCUCCACCAACGGUCAAGUUGGUGGUUGGGGCUAUAAAUACCCCAACCACCCCACCAUUCAUUGCAUCCAAGUUUUCCACUUCCCAACUACUACAAGAGCUCUAGCAUUCAAUUCUAGACACACCAAAGAGAUCAAAUCCUCUCCAAAUUCCACACAACGCCAUAGUGACUAGAGAGAGUGAUUUGCUUGUGUUCUUUCGAGCUCUUGCGCUUGGAUUGCUUUCUUCUUUCUUGAUUCUUUCAUUGCGAUCAAACUCACUUGUAAUUGAGGCAAGAGACACCAAACUUGUGGUGGUCCUUGUGGGAACUUUGUGUUCCAAGUGAUUGAGAAGAGAAAGCUCACUCGAUCCGUGGGAUCGUUUGAGAGAGGGAAGGGUUGAAAGAGACCCGGCCUUUGUGGCCUCCUCAACGGGGAGUAGGUUUGCAAGAACCGAACCUCGGUAAAACAAAUCCGCGUGUCACACUCUUCAUUUGCUUGUGAUUUGUUUUGCACCCUCUCUCGCGGACUCGUUUUAUAUUUCUAACGCUAACCCGGCUUGUAGUUGUGUUUAUAUUUGUAAAUUUCAGUUUCGCCCUAUUCACCCCCCUCUAGGCGACUAUCACGCUACAAAUCCUGUCUUUCUCAAAAUGAACAUUUGUUAGUCCUAAAAUGUGUUCUCCCUUUAGAAGCUUGUGAAGAUUCUUCAUCCCAACAUGUGCUAGUCGGCGAUGCCAGAGCCAGCCCAUGUUAGUCUUAGCAAUUAAGCUAGUGUCGAGUUCAGCUCUAUCAAAAUCUACCAAGUAUAGCCGACCCUCUAACACUCCCUUAAAUGCUAUUGAAUCAUCACUUCUUCUAAAGACAGUGACACCAAUAUCAGUAAAAAGACAGUUGUAGCCCAUUUGACAUAAUUGGGAAACAGAAAGCAAAUUGUAAUCUAAAGAAUCAACAAGAAAAACAUUGGAAAUGGAAUGGUCAGGAGAUAUAGCAAUUUUACCCAAACCUUUGACCAAACCUUGAUUUCCAUCCCCGAAUGUGAUCGUUCUUUGGGGAUCUUGGUUUUUCUCAUAUGAGGAGAACAUCCUUUUCUCCCCUGUCAUGUGGUUUGUGCACCCGCUGUCGAGUAUCCAACUUGAGCCCCCGGAUGCAUAAACCUACAAAACAAGUUUAGUUCUUGAUUUUAGGUACCCAAAUGGUUUUGGGUCCUUUGGCAUUAGACACAAGAACUUUGGGUACCCAAACACAAGUCUUUGACCCCUUGUACUUGCCCCCAACAUAUUUGGCAACUACUUUGCCGGAUUUGUUAGUUAAAACAUAAGAUGCAUCAAAAGUUUUAAAUGAAAGACUAGGUUCAUUUGAUGCAAUAGGAGUUUUCUUAGGCAACUUAGCACGGGUUGGUUGCCUAGAACUAGAUGUCUCACCCUUAUAUAUAAAAGCAUGAUUAGGACCAGAGUGAGACUUCCUAGAGUGAAUUCUCCUAAUUUUGCUCUCGGGAUAACCGGCAGGGUACAAAAUGUAACCCUCGUUAUCCUGAGGCAUGGGAGCCUUGCCCUUAACAAAAUUGGACAAUCUUUUAGGAGGGGCACUAAGUUUGACAUUGUCUCCCCUUUGGAAGCCAAUGCCAUCCUUGAUGCCAGGGCGUCUCCCACUAUAGAGCAUACUACGAGCAAAUUUAAAUUUCUCAUUUUCUAAGUUGUGCUCGGCAAUUUUAGCAUCUAGUUUUGCUAUAUGAUCAUUUUGUUGUUUAAUUAAAGCCAUAUGAUCAUGAAUAGCACUAACAUCAAUAUCUCUACAUCUAGUACAAAUAGUGACAUGCUCAAUGGUAGAUGUAGAUGGUUUGCAAGAAUUAAGUUCAACAAUCUUAGCAUGAAGAAUAUCAUUUUUAUCUCUAAGAUCGGAAAUUGAAACUUUGCAAACAUCAAAAUCUUUAGCCUUAGCAAUUAAAUUUUCAUUUUCUAUUCUAAGGCUAGCAAGAGAAAUGUUUAAUUCUUCAAUCCUAGCAAGCAAAUCAUCAUUAUUAUCCCUAGGAUUGGGAAUUGAAACAUUACAAACAUGUGAAUCAACCUUAGCAUUUAAACUAGCAUUUUCAUGUCUAAGGUUGUCAAUCAUCUCACGGCAAGUGCUUAGCUCACUAGAUAAUUUUUCACAUUUCUCAAUUUCUAAAGCAUAAGCCUUUUUAACCUUAACAUGUUUCUUGUUUUCUUUAAUUAGACAAUCCUCUUGGGAAUCCAAAAGGUCAUCCUUUUCAUUAAUAGCACUGACUAAUUCAUUUAAUUUUUCCUUUUGAGCUAUGUUAAGGUUGGCAAAAAGGGAACGCAAACUAUCCUCCUCAUCACUAGCAUUAUCAUCACUAGAAGACUCAUAUUUAGUGGAGGAGUUAGAUUUAACCUUCUUCCGUUUGCCGUCCUUUGCCAUGAGGCACUUGUGGCCGACGUUGGGGAAAAGAAGUCCCUUGGUGACGGCGAUGUUGGCGGCGUCCUCGUCGUCGGAGGAGUCGCUUGAGCUUUCGUCGGAAUCCCAUUCCCGACAAACAUGGGCAUCGCCGCCCUUCUUCUUGUAGUACCUUUUCUUCUCCUUUCUUCUCCCCUUCUUGUCGUCGCCUCGGUCACUGUCACUUGAUAUAGGACAUUUAGCAAUAAAAUGACCGGGCUUACCACAUUUGUAGCAAACCUUCUUGGAGCGGGACUUGUAGUCUUUCCCCCUCCUUUGUUUGAGGAUUUGGCGGAAGCUCUUGAUGACGAGCGCCAUUUCCUCAUUGUCGAGCUUGGAGGCGUCUAUUGGUUGUCGACUUGGUGUAGCCUCCUCCUCCUUUUCCUCCGUCGCCUUGAAUGCGACGGGUUGAGCUUCGGAUGUAGAUGGAUCAUCAAGCUCGUUGAUCUUCCUCGAGCCUUCGAUCAUGCACUCAAAACUUACAAAAUGCCCGAUAACUUCCUCGGGGGUCAUUUUAGUAUAUCUAGGAUUACCACGAAUUAAUUGAACUUGAGUGGGGUUAAGGAAAAUAAGAGAUCUUAGAAUAACCUUAACCACCUCGUGGUUGUCCCACUUUAUGCUCCCGAGGUUGCGCACUUGGUUCACCAAGGUCUUGAGCCGGUUGUACAUGUGUUGUGGCUCCUCCCCUUUGCGAAGCCGGAACCGACCGAGCUCCCCCUCGAUCGUUUCCCUCUUGGUGAUCUUGGUGAGCUCAUCUCCCUCGUGCGCGGUUUUGAGCACAUCCCAAACCUCCUUGGCGUUUUUCAACCCUUGUACUUUGUUAUACUCCUCUCUACUUAAAGAGGCGAAGAGUAUCGUUGUCGCUUGAGAGUUGAAGUGCUCGAUUUGGGCCACCUCAUCCUCAUCAUAGUCCUUAUCCCCUACCAAUGGUACCUGUGCACCAAACUCAACAACAUCCCAUAUACUUUUGUGGAGUGAGGUUAGAUGAAAUCGCAUUAAAUCACCCACCUAGCAUAAUCUUCACCAUCAAAAGUUGGUGGUUUGCCUAAUGGGACGGAAAGUAAAGGUGCAUGUUUAGAAAUGCGAGGGUAGUGUAGGGGAAUCUUACUAAACUUCUUACGCUCUUGGUGUUUAGAAGUUACAGAGGGCGCGUCGGAGCCGGAGGUUGAUGUUGAUGAAGUGUCGGUCUCGUAGUAGACCACUUUCCUCAUCCUCUUUUGUUUGUCCCCACUCCGAUGCGGCUUGUAGGAAGAAGAUUUUUCCUUCUUCUCUUUGUGGUGAGAAGAAGAUUUCUUCUCCUUCCCUUUGUUGGAGGAGCUCUUCUUCUUCUCCCUCCGUUUGGUGCGGGACUCUUCCGAUGAAGUGCUCCCGUUGCUUGUAGUGGGCUUUUCGCCGGUCUCCAUCUCCUUCUUGGCGUGAUCUCCCGACAUCACUUCGAGCGGUUAGGCUCUAAUGAAGCACCGGGCUCCGAUACCAAUUGAUAGUCGCCUAGAGGGGGGGUGAAUAGGGCGAAACUGAAAUUUACAAAUAUAAACACAACUACAAGCCGGGUUAGCGUUAGUAAUGAAGAAACGAGUCCGUGAGAGAGGGCGCAAAACAAAUCCCAAGCGAAUAAGCAAGUGAGACACGGAGAUUUGUUUUACCGAGGUUCGGUUCUUGCAAACCUACUCCCCGUUGAGGAGGCCACAAAGGCCGGGUCUCUUUCAACCCUUCCCUCUCUCAAACGAUCCACGGAUCGAGUGAGCUUUCUCUUCUCAAUCACUUAGAACACAAAGUUCCCACAAGGACCACCACAAGAUUGGUGUCUCUUGCCUCAAUUACAAGUGAGUUUGAUUGCAAAGAAGGAAUCAAGAAAGAAGAAAGCAAUCCAAGCGCAAGAGCUCGAAAGAACACAAGCAAAUCACUCUCUCUAGUCACUAUGGCGUUGUGUGGAAUUUGGAGAGGAUUUGAUCUAUUUGGUGUGUCUAGAAUUGAAUGCUAGAGCUCUUGUAGUAGUUGGGAAGUGGAAAACUUGGAUGCAAUAAAUGGUGGGGUGGUUGGGGUAUUUAUAGCCCCAACCACCAAAUGUGGCCGUUGGGAGGCUGUCUGUUCGAUGGCGCACCGGACAGUCCGGUGCACCUGCCACGUCAUCACUGCCGUUGGAUUCUAGCCGUUGGAGCUUCUGACUUGUGGGCCCGCCUGAGUGUCCGGUGCACACCGGACACGUACUGUUUGCUGUCCGGUGUGCCAGUAUGGGCGCGCCUGACCUCUGCGCGCGCAGAGCGCGCAUUAAAUGCGCAGCAGAGAGCCGUUGGCGCGGAGAUAGCCGUUGCUCCGGAGUCGCACCGGACAGUCCGGUGCACACCGGACAGUCCGGUGAAUUUUAGCGGACUAGCCGUUGGAGUUUUCCCGAAGCUGGCGAGUUCCUGAGGCUGACCUUCCUUGGCGCACCGGACACUGUCCGGUGUACACCGGACAGUCCGGUGAAUUAUAGCGGAGUUGCCUCUGGAAAUUCCCGAAGGUAGUGAGUUCGUGUUGGAGUCCUCUGGUGCACCGGUCACUGUCCGGUGUACACCGGACAGUCCGGUGCUCCCAGACCAGAGGGCCUUCGGUUCCCACUUUGCUCCUUUGUUGAAUCCAAAACUUGGUCUUUUUAUUGGCUGAGUGUGAACCUUUUACACCUGUGUAAUCUAUACACUUGGGCAAACUUAGUUAGUCCAAUUGUUUGUGUUGGGCAAUUCAACCACCAAAAUUAUAUAGGAACUAGGUGUAAGCCUAAUUCCCUUUCAGGUGGCUUUGGAAGAGCUGGACGACAGAGGAUCACCCUUGGAAAGGGUUUGAUGUGCCUUGUAACCUUGCAGACAGGCUCCUCUUUAGCGCCUCCACCAUUGUCACCGUUGGAGAUGGCAAGACAGCCAAAUUCUGGCACGACAGUUGGCUUGAUGGCAUGGCGCCAAGAAACCUAGCACCACACCUCUUCGAGCUAGUAUCAAGAAAGAACAAGUCAGUUGCCAUUGAGAUCAAUGACAGGAAUUGGAUCAGGUCGUUGAGAGGCAAGAUUACCUCCACGGUGCAGAUCGAGGAAUUCGUCUCCCUCUGGUUUAGACUCCAUGAUUUCCACCUCCAACCAUAGGUGCCGGGCUCCAUUGCCUGGAAAUGGAACCCCGACGGUGUCUUCACGGUAAAAUCAGCCUACAAUGCAUAAUUCAUUGGAUCGUACAGCCACAUUAAUUCUGAUUUUGUUUGGCGGGCACGGGCGGAGCAAAAGUGCAAGAUUUUUGCUUGGAUUCUUCUACAGGACAAGCUCCUCACUGCUAACAAUCUGGCCACUCGGGGUUGGCCGCACCAACCAAACUGCUCCCUCUGCAAUGGUUCCUUGGAGACUAGCCCCCACCUCUGUUUGCAUUGCCCUUUUGCCCGGGCGGUGUGGCGUCAGAUUCUAGUUUGGGAGGGCUUGAGCCUCCUGGCCCAGGCUGACCCUACUCACUUCUCCAGCAUAAAAGACUGGUGGGAAGCUACAUCCUCCCCGCUCCCAAAGAACCAAAAGCGUGACUUCAACGGCCUCAUGAUAUACACCCUGUGGAACAUCUGGAAGGAGAGAAACCGGAGGAUAUUCGAAAACAGCGCCCUCACCCCUAUCCAAUUAGCCUUGAAGAUUAAAGAGGACGUGUGCACUUUCAAGAGAGCCAUGUUCCUCCAGUAUUAUGGUUGUUGUAGUGGUUUCGCGGAUUUGUGCGGGUCUGUUGGGAGCGCUCCUCACGUUGUGUUUGCUAGUCUGUCUUAUCUCGGUCCUCGGACCUGUAUAGUGUAUUUUCUGAACUAUCUCCUUUUAAUGAUUAGGCAGAGCUCCUGCCAUUUCCUUCAAAAAAAAAAGAUUCAAAAGAUACAAGUAAUAGAUAAGCAACAGGGCAUUAUUUAAAGCUUAUAGAAGACUGAUGGAAUUUGCUCAGUCAAUUUCCUCAGUUAAAUACCUGCUUUUCAAGACCUCCAAUGUCAUUAUAAUCUUUAGUGGGCUUUUCAUCCACCUCCAUUGCCUUCACUCGUGAAUCAUACUCUGAUGGCAAUGUAUCUAGUAUAAGAUAGCUAUCUUUAUUGACUCCAACAAGAUCACCAGGCUUUAGCUUGUCAGGGUCCACUAGCCCAACAACAGGAAGGAAUAUAGUCUUGCAACCAUCAAGACAAGAAAUGGAGAUUUGCAGCAGUUAGUUUGAUUCCUUAAACUCAAAACCAUGCAUAAAAUGCAGUUCAUAAAAUGUUUCGUUGCUUCAAAUUUUGAGUAUCAAACAUGAUUCGACAAGAGAUGUCGAAGAAUGGGAACUAAGACAAUGUAAAAUAUACAUAAUCCCACACCUGCAAGGCUGGGCAGGUGAACACAGAAGAAGAAAAAAAAUGUUGAAUUACUGAUUUGGAACACAAUGUGACAGCUGGACAAGCAUAUUACAGAACUGCUUCUUUUGCGAAAAAAAACUCAGCCAAUUAUGGCUUCUUAAACAUAUUUACAUUUUUCAGUUAUAUACAAUUUAUUACUGGCAUAAUCUGUUAUGACCUGUCUGAUUCCUUAGAUUACAUGAGGGGGAUGGACGGGAGCUGGGCUUGGGAGCCCGGCGAGCUGACGCCGUGUUGUCGCCGGCGUGGGAUCUGGAAAGUGGAAGAACAGGAAGCAGACGGCAAGGAGGCAAUCUCCUCUUUUUAAAUUGAACUUGUCUGCCCUCAACAGGGUCCAGGGGAUAUAUUUAUUUACACGACCUGGUAACAGACUCCCCUAAUUACAGGAUCUACUAACAGACUCUUGAUACUUAUCAUAACAACUCGGCUACCUUUUAGCCUUAUCUAAUGCUUUGGCUCUACAGCCUUAUCCCUUCUACUAUAGACUUUCCCUGUCAUAACAUCUCUUCCCCCCCCCCCUCCUCCUCCCACCCCUGUCGAGGAACAGCUCGUCCUCGAGCUGAAACAGCGGGUAAGAGGCCUUGAACUGCUGCAACGAUUCCCAGGUCGCGGCUUCUGGUGGUGAAUCAGUCCAGUGUACCAAGACAUGCCAAACUCCACGCUGAAGCUGUGCCUUUAGUAUCUUGUGUGGUGAAGGAAGGAGCCAGCCAUUCUCCAUUGCAGGAAGCUCUGGGGGUGUGGUUGGAGGAGGCCCGCGAAGUGGUUUGAGGAGCCCCACAUGGAAGACAUCAUGGAUCCGUACACUGGCUGGUAGCUGCAGCCGAUAUGCCACCGUACCAAUGCCUUCGAGCACUUGGAAAGGUCCUGCAUAACGAGGCCCUAAUUUCCCUUUGGGCCUGUCGACGAGUGUCAAAGCUUGGCGAUUCAGAAGACGGAGCCAGACCCGGUCCCCAACAGCAAACUCCAGGUCCCUGUGGUGAGCAUCAUAGUAUUGUCGGGCAUAAGCUUGGGCUUGCAAGAGUCUGUCCCGAACUUCCUGAAGGAAGUGAUCCCGCUCCUUCAAAAGGUCUUCACGCUUCCUCCAUGCUGCAAGUUCCCAACCGCCCCGUGCCAGGCACUGCUGCUGUGCAAGUUGCACGGCAGCACACGGCUGUGCAGACAUCUCAGACUCCAUCGAGGGCUUCUCCAGGGACAUUAUCGGUAGCCAGGGAGUUGUUGCGACACCCUCUAAGCUCCACGGCCUCACCAGGGGCCAUGAAGCAAUGGCGGGACGACAUCGACCGACUACUCGGUAUGACACAUUCUACUUCGAUCAGGUCAAGGACACGGUCAUCUCGGCGCCAACACGAGGCGUCAACAUCUGUGCGCUCACUCUCAGUAAGGGGCGCACAGACCAACGACCUCCGGACAGAACUCAACUGCAAGCGUGUGGGAGAGGAUGCCUGAGUAUCUUUGGAAAGGGCGCGCGAGCGCCUCCAAAACAUAGAUGGUCGCAACCUUGAUCAAGACUUCGUGGCGGUUGCACCGCAGACGCCAAUGGGCAACUGGUCCCAAACGGGUGUCCCCUUGGCCGGUGUGGGCUGCGCCGCUCUUGUGGAUCAUCUUCGCGCGGCGUCAUGGCCACCCAAGUUCCGGCCAUACCUGCUGGAAAAGUACGACGGAACAUCGAACCCGUCGGAGUUCCUGCAGGUAUACGUCACCGCCAUCACGGCAGCAGGUGGAAACACCGCUAUGAUGACAACAUAUUUUCAUGUAGCCUUAUCUGGACCUGCCCGGACCUGGCUCAUGAACCUCACCCCGGGGUCAGUCUACUCCUGGGAGGAGCUCUGCACGCGAUUCGUUGCAAACUUCACCAGUGCUUACCAGCAGCACGGUGUGGAGGCCUACCUCCAUGCGGUGAGGCAGGAGCCCGGCGAGACUCUCCGGAAGUUCAUCUCCCGCUUCACCAAGGUGCGAGGUACUAUACCUUGUAUUUCUGAUGCUUCCAUCAUCACGACCUUCCAACAGGGAGUACGUGAUGAAAAAAUGUUGGAGAAGUUGGCCACACAUGACGUGGAAACUAUCCCCACACUCUUCGCUCUGGCCGACAAAUGCGCCAGAGCCGCUGAAGGCCGGGCAUGGCACUUAGCCCCACAAACCGGAGCUGCCCAGUCGGGUGGCUCGGGUGUCGUCCUCCGGGACGGAAAGAAGAAAAAGAAGAAGGACCGCGACGACCAGAAGCCGCGGUCCACCGCUCUGGUGGUCGCAGCCACGACUGGAGGCCAGGGCGACCGCAACAAACGCCCACGGCCGCAGAGGGGUAACAUUGGCUCAUGCCCUAUGCACCCCAACGGUCGCCACAAGGCCACGGAGUGUCGCGAGAUCGUCGACCUCGCGAAAUGCGUCAGUGAGCGGCGCGAGCAGUCUUCCAAAGACGGCUCUCCACCUCGCCGCCGACCUGGCAAAGAAAAGGUGGACGACGGCGAGGUGGCCACGGCUGAGCGGGACCUCGGGUAUCAGUCGCCCGAGGGGGGCCUAAAGGAUGUCUUCGUUGGAGGCUCCUACUCCGGUGAAGACAACUAGACGGACCCCAGAGGGAUACCGUGCUCCACGAUCUACGGAGCUGAAGCAUGCCUUCCUCCGGAAACCCUUCUGGAUUCCCCACGGGUCCAGGCUUCCGACAGGUACAUACAGGAGUGGCCACAGCAAAAGACAAGGGCUCCCGUGUCAAAUGCAGAUGGGGACCCAGGGUCGGGACCUAGCCCUACGGCAAGUACCAAACCAAGAAGGGCUCUGCAACUCUCCUCCCAGCUGGGAAGGACCCUUCAAGGUAACGGGAAAACACCAACCUAGGGGCAACCAUCUAGUUACGACGGAAGGAAUGCCUUACCCCGAUCCCGAAACAUCUCUGUAAGUUCUAUCCAUAGGGCAAGGCUAAGGGGUCGAAUCUGUUUCCCUUUUUGUAACUAGGUAACGCAUACGUGUACGACAACCCAGUGGGGUCUGUCCCCAUAAACCCGGCCUAUUGGUCUGCACACAUGCAAGACGAGUUAUAAAGAAAAACUACCCCCUCAGUUGUGCCCCUACGAUAGAUCCAUCUUGCUGCUCCAUGGUCCUACCUUGCAGUCUUUCAGAUAGUACUUUUUGUCUAACCCACCCGUACGGUUUCUAUCUGUCUGACAUAACGGCACCCGAAUUGAGCAGCCAGGCUAGCAGUUUAGGGCCCCUGAUACGAAAGUUGGGAGGUCCGACAGCCUGGGAGCCGGCUCCAGAGAACGGAACCCUGUUCCAUGGGGUGUUCCGGAGCCUGUGUGGCCGCUUAGCCUGGUUCCGUACCCGAAAGCCUACACACUCCACCACUCUGUGACAGGGUACCUAGUAUUUGGGGCUAUAAGUCCUGUGAGUCCGACAACCUCGGGACCGGAGCUAGAGAAUAGACAUUAGUCUCCUAGGGUGGUCCAGAGCCCGUGUAGCCGCCCAGCCUGGUCCUGUACCGUGGGCCUGCACGCUCCACCGCCCUGCGACAAGUGUCCUAGUACCUAGAACCGCGACCCAAGGGGGUCCGGACACGCAACUUGGCCACCCGGACUGAAACCUACGAGUCCCGAGCAUGUAUCAAAGGAUGGCGAAUGUCAGACAGGGAACCCUAUGGGUGUACUACUAACGCUCCCUAGCUGAAGCUGUGUACAGAUCCAGUUCCCGGUGAGAUUGCCUCCCGAGAAUUGUUGACAACCCUUUCAGAUACGCCGGUGUCCAGCCUCAACACAACAAGCCUGCAUCCCAGGUGGGGGGCCAGGUACCAGGGAGGAGUCAGCAAAAUCGCACACAGCAUAAACAAGUUGAAAAUAGAUAAGUGCUAAUACUGCUUAAUAAAUAGUACUCUUGAGUACCUUACAAAAAGCAAAAGUAUUACAUUUGUUUUCAAGUGGAGCCCUAGUUCCAUCUCUACUCUGCAGGUAUGAACUACCUCCACACAGGUAGGACCGCGGGAUAGCUAGCUCCAAGCGGCUCGCCAGCGGAGGCAACCACCUCAACACCAACGGUGACGGCUGCCUCUGCACCGACGACUCGCCAGCAGUGGUGACCACCUCAACACGAACGCCACCGCGAAAAAGGUCCUCGCCCCCGUCUCCCUAUGGAGGGCUACAACGAGGCCAUUAAAGCCAAAGAGCCAGGGGUCCAGCGGCAGGUGGCACUGACGGUCUCGCUAGCGGAGGCGACCACCUCUGCAGUGGGCAGCCUCACCAGCGGUGGCGACCACAUCAGCUCCUCCAACAACAGCAAGAAGAAGACAAGGUCGGCGGCACCACCAUGAGUGCGAGCUCUCCAGUGGUGAGGUCGCCGGAAGGGAUGGCCUUGAUGCGGAUCCCUCCAGAGAACACCGGCGCACCCCAUCUAGAGGCCUGGAAAGCGGAAGGGCGCGAUGGUCACAAGAAGGGUGAGGCAUGUCUACUGCCAGGGAGAUCGACCCCUUUUUAAAGGCAGAUCUCCCCACUCGCGCCCCCGAAGCAUCAUGGGCGAAGUCCCCCCGACGUGCACCAAGGUUCCCACCUUAUGACACGGGGGCCAGGCCCCACACGUCAUACAGACUGACCCGAAGAAGGAGCGUACAACUACCCCGCGGUUAUGCUCCCCUCCAUUCUUGGGGCAACUAGCGGUCAGGAAGGCGAACCGCUGCACAAGGGGCAUGCAACCGCCCGACGGUUAAGCGCUCCUACAUCUUCGCCGUAACCAGCGGUCAAAAAGACGAACCGCCACGCAAGAAGCGUACAACCGUCCCAUGGUUAUGCGCCCCCUCAGCUUCGCUGCAACCGGCGCGCCGGUUACCGGGUGCGGAAAAAUCGCACCACCGCUUGCGCCAAUGCCAUGUCUUCUCGGGGCCGUCGCGGAAGUCUGAAAAGAUAAGUUUUUCAAAACAAGUGCAGCGACUUGAGGCACCCCGUGCAUGGCCCAACAGUGACAUUUGAGUAUGAAGGUCACGGGCCAGUAAGCCAUGGGAAUAGGCGUAGCAGUCGGCAUGGCCAUAGGCGGGCCGGCGGUAAUUGCGCCAACGGGCGCGCAGGAGCAGCAGGCCAACCACCAAUCAGACUCUGGCCCCACUUGCAGACUCAUAUCCUCCUCUGAGGCGGGCCCGGGGGCCACUGUCGGUACCCUGAAUCAGGGGUACCCUCUUCUACAGUAUGGAUAUGCUAUACCCGUACAACACCUCCAGGUCACAUGGAGAGCGGCACCCGACCCCACCACAUGGGCAGGCCUAAGGGCACCACGUGGCGAGGAAGGAUAAUACAUCCCAUGAAGCACCUUUGGGUCCGGACCUCCAUAGAGGAACACUGGACCCCUGUGAGUGCCAGUCCGGAGCUCCCGAGGAGACAUGACGGGUCCCCCAGGUUGGUCCCCGGUCCCCCCCCCCCGAGUGAGGUUCGGGCCUUAGCAAGGUCCCGGGACGGGGAGGACCCCGACACAGGCAAGGGUCCGGUGCCGACACGUGUCCAGGCCUUGCCCUACACUCCCCGCUCAGGCGGAAACCCGCCACGGCCGUGUGGCUUGUGACAUAAGCCAACGGGCCGAGCCUGACGUAAGGCCCAUAUAGCUGUGCAGCCUUUGCAUUUAUUGCGGAGAGGAUGCGCCGCCUGCCACCACGCUGACGGGCGAUGCGCCCUCUCAGCAUUUAAUGUGUCCUGUCCAAUCCGCCGGUAGACGGCGUCAGGGUCACCCAGCAGACGGCGCACCUGACCAGUCUGUUGGCAAACAAUGCACCCAUGCCGAGCGGCGCAUAGUACUCAUCAUCCCUUCUACAAGAAGCGUCCCCUACACGCUGAGGAUACGGAGAUCUCGAGCGUCAGGGCACAAGAAGAUUGCCCCAGCAGCAAACAUUUGUGGCUCCAAGCGCUAUAUUCUUUAUGUCCCUGGGCCCACAUGUCGGGGCCCGGUACCUUUGUGCAUGCCCUCCUUCAGCUAUAAAAGGGGAGGCAUGCGACGUUACACACAAGCUCAAUCUUUCAAACCCAAUCUCAGACUCACAGGCUCAUACAAGCUCUCAAGCAAUACAUCACACAGUGGAGUAGGGUGUUACGCUCCGACGGCCCGAACCACUCUAAAUCCUUGUGUGUUCUUGUGUUCUUCCCACUUUUCCAUCUAACAAGCAAAACGCUUAGGCCACUCCUCAUCUUAGGAUUUAGGGCGGGUGCACUCCGCCACCCGGCCAGAGAUUUGCUCUCCGACAGCUACAACUGUGUAUUUACAGAUGUAGGUGUUACUGUCUUUAGAAGAAGUGAUGAUUCAGUAGCAUUUAAGGGAAUGUUAGAUGGUCAGCUAUAUUUAGUUAAUUUUAAUGAUAACCAAGCUGAACUUGACACUUGCUUAAUUGCUAAAACUAACAUGGGUUGGUUCUGGCAUCGCCGACUAGCCCAUGUUGGGAUGAAGAAUCUCCACAAACUUCCAAAGGGAGAGCACAUUUUGGGACUAACAAAUGUUCAUUUUGAGAAAGACAAGGUUUGUAGCGCAUGCUAAGCAGGGAAGCAAGUUGGAGCUCAUCAUCCACAAAAGAACAUCAUGAUGACUGACAAGUCGCUUGAGCUACUCCACAUGGAUCUAUUUGGCCCGAUCGCUUACAUAAGCAUCGACAAGAGUAAGUACUGUCUUGUUAUAGUGGAUGAUUAUUCUCGCUUCACUUCGGUGUUCUUUUUGCAGGAAAAAUCACAAACCCAAGAGACCUUAAAGGAAUUCUUAAGACGGGCUCAAAAUGAGUUCAGGCUAAGGAUAAAAAAGAUAAGAAGCGAUAAUGGGACGGAGUUCAAGAAUUCAUAAAUCAAAGGUUUUCUUGAGGAUGAGGGCAUCAAACAUGAGUUCUCUUCUCCCUACACACCUCAACAAAAUGGUGUAGUAGAGAGGAAGAAUAUAACUCUACUGGACAUGGCAAGGUCCAUGCUUGAUGAGUACAAGACACCAGACCGGUUUUGGGCGGAGGCGAUUAACAUCGCCUGCUACUCCAUCAAUCGGUUAUAUCUUCACUGAAUCCUCAAGAACACAUCAUACGAACUCCUCACUAGUAAAAAGCCCAAUGUUUCAUAUUUUAGAGUCUUUGGAAGCAAAUGUUUUAUUCUUGUUAAAAGAGGUAGAAAAUCUAAAUUUGCUCCAAAGGCUGUAGAAGGUUUUUUACUAGGAUAUGACUCAAACACAAGGGCAUAUAGAGUCUUCAACAAAUCCACUGGAUUAGUUGAGGUUUCUUGUGACAUUGUGUUCGAUGAGACUAAUGGCUCCCAAGUGGAGCAAGUUGAUCUUGAUGAACUAGAUGAUGAAGAGGCUCCAUGCGUCGCGCUAAGGAACAUGUCCAUUGGAGAUGUGUGUCCUAAGGAAUUCGAAGAGCCUCCACAAGCACAAGAUCAACCGUCAUCUUCCAUGCAAGCAUCUCCACCAACUCAAGAUGAGGAUCAGGCUCAAAAUGAUGAAGAUGAAGAUCAAGAGGAUGAGCCACCUCAAGAAGAGGACAAUGAUCAAGGGGGAGAUGAAGUAAAUGUGGACAAGGAAGAUGAUCAAGUUCAGGGUCAAAGACCGCCACACCCAAGAGUCCACCAAGCAAUUCAACAAGAUCACCCCGUCAACUCCAUACUUGGUGACAUCCAUAAGGGGGUAACCACUAGAUCUCGAGUUGCACAUUUCUAUGAGCAUUACUCUUUUGUUUCCUCUAUUGAGCCAUACAAGGUAGAGGAUGCACUAAGGGAUCUGGAUUGGGUGCUAGCAAUGCAAGAGGAACUCAACAACUUCACGAGGAAUGAGGUAUGGCAUUUAGUUCCACGUCCUAAUCAAAAUGUUGUAGGUACCAAGUGGGUUUUUCGCAACAAGCAAGAUGAGCAUGGUGUGGUGACAAGAAACAAAUCCCGACUUGUGGCCAAAGGUUACUCACAAGUCAAAGGUUUGGACUUUGAUGAAACUUAUGCACCCGUAGCUAGGCUUGAGUCAAUUCGUAUAUUACUUGCCUAUGCUACUUACCAUGGCUUUAAGCUCUAUCAAAUGGACGUGAAAAGUGCCUUCCUCAAUGGACCUAUCAAGGAAGAGGUCUAUGUUGAGCAACCUCCUGGCUUUGAAGAUAGUGAGUAUCCUAACAAUGUAUAUAAACUCUCAAAGGCGCUUUAUGAGGGAAAAACCAACAAAGGGGGGAUAUCAAAAUAGCUUAUGUAAACACCAAGAAUCAAUUAGUCGAUAUCUUUACCAAGCCACUAGAUGAGAAAACCUUUAGCAAACUUAGGAAUGAGCUAAAUAUACUUGAUUCUUGGAAUCUUGAUUAAAACAUUGCACACAUUGCUCAUUUGUAUACUUUUGAUCAUGUCUCUUUCAUUUGGUGCAAAUGCAUAUUUCUUAUCAUUCUUGUACCAAGGCUACGACUAAUGUAUUUUUCAAGUGUAUUUCUAUACUAAGUCGUAGAUUGAAAGGGAAAUGGAGUUCUCGGCAAAGAACAAGGCUUCCACUCCAACUUUGACGGUAUCAACUACCCUUUGUCGUUGUUCCUUCACACUCUCAAUUGGUAUAAUCCUUCACUCUUAUUUACUUGUACCAAUGGGAAGAAAGUAUUGAAGGGCUCUCAAAGUCUCCGUUUUUGGCGAUUAAUGCCAAAGGGGGAGACAAUAUUAAGCCCAAAGCAAAAGGACCGCACCACCAUAAUUUCAAAAUUUUCGAAAUAAAUCUUUAAUUGAUAUUUGGCAAUUUCUCAAUUGGUAUCCAUGCUUCACUUGUAUUGAGAAAGCAAAAUUUCAAUUGAUAUCUAAAUAAUGGAAAUCUCUUCAAUUGGUAUCUUUUAAGAUCAUUUUUCAAAAUUAGUAUCUAUUUCAAAACCCUCUUGAAAGCUAAGAGGAGAAUUUCAUUCAGGGGGAGUUUUAUUUAGUCAAAGGAAAAACAUUUGAAACAGGGGGAGAAAUUUCAAAUCUUGAAAAUGCUUCUUGCAGUCUUAUUCAUAUACCUUUGACUAUUUGCAAAAGAUUUUGAAAAGAUUUUCCAAAAAUAUUUGCAAAAACAAAACAAGUGGUGCAAAUGUGGUCCAAAAUGUUAAAGAAAAGAAAAGCAAUCCAUUCAUAUCUAGUGAGAUUAUCAAUUGGUUUAAUUCCAAGUAACCUAUCACUUACCAUAUGCAAACUAGUUCAUUUCUGCACUUUAUAUAUUUGCUUUGGUUUGUGUUGGCAUCAAUCACCAAAAAGGGGGAGAUUGAAAGGGAAAUAGGGUUAACCUUUUCCAUAAUUAAUUUUGGUGGUUGAAUGCCCAACACAAAUAUAUGGACUAACUAGUUUGCUCUAAAACUCAUGUAUAACAGGUGCAUAAGGUUCAACACAAACCAAAAAAUAUUCAAGUUAGGGACCCAAUUUAAAAGGAGCAAAAAGAACUUGAGUGUGUUGUGGUCUAGCGCACCGGACUGUCCGGUGCACCACGACCGUACAGGGUCAAACCAGCCACUCUCGGGAAAACGCUGGCGUGCUCCGCUAUAAUUCACCGGACUGUCCGGUGUGCCAGCGGGCAACGGCCAUUCAGCGUGCAACAGUCGACUCUGACAGAUGAACAGUGCAGCACAGUACCGCGCCAGAAGUCAGAACAGCAAGUCAGAGGGGCACCGGACUGUCCGGUGCCGCAAGAGGACAAAGCCCCCAACGGUCGACCGGGCUCUAGACCCUAAUGGCUGGGUGACGUGGUGGCGCACCGGACAGCCUACAGUGCCUGUUCGGUGGCGCACCGGACUGUCCGGUACGCCCAUCGCCAGCAGCCUCCCCAACGGCUACUUUGGUAGUUGAGGGCUAUAAAUACACCCCAACUACCACAACUCCAAGCAUCCAAGAUUUCUGAACAUUACAUUCAAUACAAGAGCUUUAGCAUUCACUCCUAGACACAAUUCAAAAGAUCAAAGCCUGUCCAAGUCCCAAAUUCACCUCAAAUACUUAGUGACUUGUGAGAGAGUGAUUCCAUGUUCUUUUGAGCUCUUGCCUCUUGGAUUUCCUUUCUUCUUUCUCGUUCUUGUUCUCAAGUGACUUGUAAUCAAAGCAAGAGACACCUAAGAGUGUGGUGGUCCUUGCGGGGUCUUAGUGACCCGAUUGAUUAAGGGAAAGGCUCACUCAGACUAAGUGACCGUUUGAGAGAGGGAAAGGGUUGGAAUAGACCCGGUCUUUGUGACCUCCUCAACGGGGACUAGGUUCUUAGAAACUGAACCUCGAUAAAACAAAUCACCGUGUUCAUUCGCUUGAUUUCCAUUUGAUUUGUUUUCCCCUCUCUCCCGGACUUGAUUUUAGUUCUAACGCUAACCCCGGCUUGUAGUGUGUGUUUGAACUUGUAAAUUUCAGAUUACGCCUAUUUACCCCCCCUCUAGGCGACUUUCAAUAAGCAUAUGUAGAGCUAGAUGCACCCAUAGCAUGAGGAUUAAAUGCAGCAUUAUGAGAAACCAUAUUAUCAUAUCACCUAUCAUUAUGAGCACGACUAGUAAAUUUCUUAUCAUAAAGAUAGGCAUGGUUCUUUUGAGAACUACUAGCCAUUGGAGCCUUCCCUUUCUCCUUGUUGAGACUGGAGGUCCUUUGGCUUGUUAAGUUCUUGGUUUCCGUUCGGAAACCAAGUCCAUCCUUAAUUGAGGGGUGUCUACCAAUGGUGUAGGAAUCCCUAGCAAAAUUUAGUUUUUCAUAACUUUCUUUGCAAGUCUUAAGUUGAGCAUUAAGGGCAUGUUUGGUUCGCUGUCUAACUUGCCACACUUUGUCUAACUUUUUUGCCUAAGGUUAGUUCUUCAAUUCAGACGACUAACCUUAGGCAAAGUGUGGCACAGUUAGCCACAAACCAAACAUGCCCUAAGACUUGCAACAUCAUUGUUUAACUUAGCAAUAAUAGAAACAUGUUCAUUACAAGCAUCAACAUCAAAGUCUUUACAUCUAUUGCAAAUAACAACAUGCUCUACACAUGAACUAGUUACAUUAACUUUCUCUAGCUUAGCAUUCAAAUCAUCAUUUAAAUUCUUUAGACUAGAGAUAGAUUCAUGACAGGUAGACAAAUCAGAGGAUAGUAUUUCAUUUUUCUUGACUUCUAGAGCAAGAGAUUUUUGAACACUAAUGAAUUUAUCAUGUUCCUCAUACAAAAUAUCUUCUUGCUUUUCUAGCAAUCUAUCUUUUUCAUUAAGAGCAUCAAUUAAUUCAUUUAUUUUGUCUACCUUAGUUCUAUCUAAUCCCUUAAACAAAUCAGUAUAAUCUACUUCAUCAUCAGACGAUUCUUCAUCACUAAAAGAAGUAUAUUUGGGGAUGUCUUGAAUACAUACUUUCUUCUCCUUAGCCAUAAGGCACGUAUGGCGUUCGUUGGGGAAGAGCGAAGAUUUGUUGAAGGCCGAGGCAACUAGUCCUUCAUCUUUGGAGUCGGAUGAGGAACAGUCGGAGUCCCAUUCCUUCCCGAUGUGCGCCUCGCCCUUGGCCUUCCUAUAUUUUUUCUUCUUUUCCCUCUUCCCAUUCUUCUCUUGUGCCUGGUCAUAAUCGUUAUCGGGGCAUUAUGCAAUAAAGUGACCAGUCUUACCACAUUUGAAGCAGGAGUGUUUUCCCCUUGACUUGUUCUUAUUGGGGUACUCCUUGCGUCCUUUCAGUGCGGUCUUGAAGCGUUUGAUGAUGAGAGCCAUCUCAUCCUCAUUGAGCCCGGCAACCUCCACUUGUGCUACCUUGUUAGGUAGCACCUCCUUGCUGCUGGUUGCUUUUAGGGCAAUGGCUGCGACUCGUAGAGGGGAAGUGGACCGUUCAAGGCAUCGUCCACGUAUCGUGCUUCUUUCACCAUCAUACGCCCACUUACGAAUUUUUUGAGGAUUUCCUCGAGCGUCAUCUUGGUGUAACUGGGGUUUUCAUGAAUAAGGUUUACAAGAUGAGGAUCUAUAACACUGAAUGACCUGAGCAUGAGUCGGACGACGUCAUGAUCCGUCCAUCUUGUACUCCCAUAGCUUCAGAUUUUGUUGAUAAGCGUCUUGAGCCUGUUGUACGUCUGUGCUGGCUCUUCUCCCCUUAUCAUCGCGAAUCUCCCCAGUUCGUCUUCCACCAUUUCCAUUUUUGUAGUCAUGGUGGCAUCAUUUCCCUCAUGUGAUAUCUUGAGGGUAUCCCAGAUUUGCUUAGCGUUGUCCAAGCCGCUCAUUUUGUUGUAUUCAUCCCUGCAUAGAGACACUAGCAAGACAGUGGUGGCUUGAGCAUUUUUAUGUAUUUGCUCAUUUAUGAAUACGGGGUUGUAAGUACUAUCAAAAUGCAUCCCAUUUUCAACAAUAUCCCAGAUACUAGGAUGGAGGGAGAAUAAAUGACUACGCAUUUUAUGACUCCAAAAAGAAUAAUCCUCUCCAUCAAAGUGUGGGGGUUUUCCAAGUGGAAUUGAUAGUAAAUGAGCAUUCGAAUUAUAAGGGAUGCGAGAAUAAUCAAAGGAGUAAUUUUGAUUUACUGUUUUCUUUUUCGACGAAGAGUCUUUGUCGUCGUCAUCCCUUGGUGAAGAAGAGGAGGCGUCACUGUCGUAGUAGAUAAUCUUCUUGAUGCACCUCUUCUUCUUCCUGUCCCUCUUCUUGUGACUCGAGCCUAAGUAAGUGGGCUUGUCCUCUCUUGGCUCGUUGAGGAGCGACUCCUUCUCCUUGUCGUUGAUCACCAUCCCCUUGCCCUUAGGAUCCAUCUCUUUGAGCGGUUAGUCCCUUUAAUGAAGAGUAUAGCUCUAAUACCAAUUGAUAGCACCUAGAGGGGGGGGGGUGAAUAGGUGAUCCUGCAAAAUUCAACACUAAUAGAACAAACUUGGUUUAUAAAAUGUUAGUUAGAUCAAACCAAGUUGUGAGCUCUUGAGAAGAAAUCAAUCACAAAGAAAAGCAACAUAAGAGACACAGUGUUUUAUCCCGUGGUUCGGCCAAGUAUAACACUUGCCUACUUCCACGUUGUGGCGUCCCAAUGGACGAGGGUUGCACUCAACCCCUUUCAAGUGAUCCAACGAUCCACUUGAAUACCACGGUUUUCUUCCUUAGACUGGUUUCCCCAUUUGUGAGGAAUCUCCACAAGUUGGAGCCUCUCACCCUUACAAAGUUGUUCACAACAAAAGCACUAGAGUAAGGGAGGGAAAGAGACACACACAAGAAUCGCAGCAAAUACACGCACACAAGUCAAGACGUGAGCACAAAACACGGUGCAGAGAGUUUACAACUCAAACGGUGCUCAAAUCUCUAACACGAUGAUCCGAGUGCGUGGUGGCGAAGUCUAGGCGUCUUAGAAUGUUCAGAGAAUGCUUGGUGUUAUGUUCCAUGCGCCUAGGGGUCCCUUUUAUAGCCCCAAGGCAGCUAGGAGCCAUUGGAGAUCCAAUUGGAAGGCAAUUCUUGCCUUCUGUCGGGUGGCGCACCGGACAGUUCGGUGCACCACCGGACAUGAACAGUAGUUGUUCGGUUCCUGAUCUCCUUCCUUAUUGGGCGUACCCGACCGUUGGACCUUUGGUUCCGUUGGCGCACCGGACAGUCCGGUGUGACCAACUGACCGUUGCCGCGGGCCACGCGUCGCCCGCUGAUUGCGCUGCCAACUGUUGGCCGCGGGCGCCGCUGACUCACCGGACAGUCCGGUGAUUUUUAGCCGUGGCGCCUUCGCUUUUUCCCGAAAGCGACGAGUUCGUUGCUGGGCCAGCCUGGGCACCAGACACUGUCCGGUGCACCACAUGCUGGUGCUGGUUUGGCUAAACUCAACCAAAACUUCUCCAAUUCAUUUCCAUUUUUCUUGGUAGUGUCCCUAGCACUUAGAGAGAUAUGUUAGUAUCCAAAACAAUUUACUAGGGCUAGAAACAUACCUUGAUUCUUGAUUUGCACUUCUCAACCACUUAGCACAUAUGAACUAAAACAAUUUGUGUUGGGCAUCUAAUUACCAAAACAUUUAUAGAAAUGGCCCAAGGGCACAUUUCCCUUUCAGGUGCUCACAAUAUAUCUGUGCUAGGCGGUAGGGGGUGCAACGGCCGAGGCCGAAUUCGUGGGGAGAAUCCCGGUCUCCGUGGCGGUGGGUUCGGACUGAGCACGACGGCCACGACGGAGGAGGUGGUGUAUCUGACCGGAUGGUCCCGCACGCCAGCGACAGCGAAAACGAGGGAACAUGGGGAACUACUGUCACAGGGGCUCCACUAGUCAGAGACCCACCGACCGCGCGUGAGAUACGGGCGUGCGCGGACUGACGAGUAAGAUCCCCAGGGUCCACCUGUCGGUUGCAGCACGAUUGAGGCAAGUCUGUUGGUGCGGCUGGCUUGUGGGCCCUGCGUGUCGGCGCACGGGCCGAGUGGGUCGCGCGGUGGAAUGAAGUAAUGGGCCGAAACCGGUAUAGUGAGCCCAUUUAUAUUCUUUCCCCUUUUCUUUCUCUUUUCUGAUUUCCUUUUUCUCAUUUUGGGAUUUCAAAUUUUGAAUUUGAAUUUUGGUUGUGAACUUGCACAUAUCAAAUGUACAAAUUCAAGUCUUAGUGUAGGAAUAAUAGAUAUUUAUUUGUAUGUGUAUUUUCUGUAUAUAGUAUUUCCUUUCUCUUCUUUUCCUUGUAACUUCCCAUUUCUACAUAUUCAAAUUAGGUAUUAAAUCCUCAAUUUGGGAUAUUAAUUUACUUCCAUUAAUGUGACUUCUUUUAUUAUUAAAUGCACAUACAAAUAAAAGCCAACAUGAUGCACAAAUUAGUAAUGUGUCAUUUAUUAAUUAUUUACUUUUAGAUGUCGUGUUCACAUGUGCUAAUAAAUGGAGGCAACACUUAUAAAGGACAUCAUCUCAUUUCUUAUGUAUUACAUAUAUCAGCCGAGCUCACGGUUAAGAGCGGCCUUGGGAUCCUCUUUGAUUAGAAGAACUUUGGAUACUCUUAUGAUGAUGUUUAAUGAUGAUGGUUAUAAUUAUGAUCUUUGGUAUUUCUUCUUAUAGGGAGUAUAUUUGGGUAAUAACUGGGUUUAUUACUAAAAGUUGGCUCUAUUAAUAGUAAUAAAUACUUGACCAACUAAAAGCAACUGCUUAACCUUAACUCCACAUAUAACUAGUCCACUUUAGCCAACCGGGACAUUUGCUGAGUACGUUGAUGUGUACUCACCCUUACUUCAAAAACCACCCACCCUAGGUUGUCCCCACUGUAUUCAGUGCUCAGGAGGAGAUGCUGGCAACAUGGAGGACAUUGAGGAGUUUCAGGACUACGACGAGUUCUAGUUAUCUUAGUGGCAAACCCCCCGUCAGCUGCCUGUGAAGGCCUUAUCUUCUACGUUUCGUAUUCCGCACUUUGAUUAUGUUAAUGACUAUGUUAUAGACUCUAUGGAUGACUUGGACAUCUUGAUGUAAUAAAGUACCUUUCCGCUAUUUACUUUGAACAAUAUGUGAUGAUGUCCAAUUAUGUUAUCAUUGUGUACGUGAGUUUCUGAUCCUGGCACGUACAUGGUUCGCAUCUGGUUUGCCUUCCAAAACCAGGUGUGACAAUUAUAUAUAUUACUCUAUAUUGGUUAACCCCAACAAAUAAUCUUUCAUUCAUUUGGCAAAAUGAAUUCAUGAUUACGUGUAAAAAUGUCAAUUUCGGUUACAAAGGUACAAUUACAUUUUGUACAAUGUCUACAAUGGCAGCACAUUGAAUCUCAACGUCGCGCAGUCUGAGGAAAUCGUAUGAAGGAAUGCAACAACGCAAGGAGGAGCAACGAUUCACCUGUGUCGGUUUGGAUUCGGUGACGUCAAGUGAAUCGAAAACGACGACGAGGACGGAUUUGGGCUGUGCUUCCUUUUCUUGUCUCCAAGCUUCAACGCGUGGACAGAACAUCGAUAAUGUUUGGCGAUAGUUUGUUGGAUGCAGAGGAUGGUGGAGUUCCUAGUCGCCAGCAACUUGAGUUCGCCCCGACAACUAGGGCGGCCUGAUGGGCGGAACGCUUCCACCCGCGGCGAGUGGUCUGCAGCCGGACCCGCCCAACCUCGGGACCCUCGAUCCCAGCUUCGCACAGGUGUCUGAGUACAUCCGCCAGGAUCCAGCUAGCGUCGUUGACGAGAGCUUUGCUAUGGGAAGAGGGCGAGAGGGGAAGCUUCCAUCUUGGCGCGGGAGGGAGGGAGAGAGAGAGAGAGACAGUGUACAACGAACGCUUGAGAUCCGCCAGAUUUACAGUCUCUGGUGACGCACUCUAAAUUUACCGGACGUUUUGCCGUUCGUUGCUGGGCGGAUGCAGGAGGUCACCGAUCGCCAGAUUUAGCGGACAGAACCUUUUACCGGCUCUUGUUGGAGACAGUCUUAAUCUUCAUAUUAUAGUGCACAUUCUAAUUGUUUUUUGCUACAAUUUUCGAGUUCAACGAAGAAGCAGUAGAUUUACAAUAUGAGGUUGGCUUGUUUGACUUGAACAUGGAGCCACCUAUUGAAGAGUCUUUUGUAAAAAAUUCUUCCACAAAUUUUAAGCUUGUUGCAUGACAUGGUGCUACUAGACGAGAAAGAGAGAUAUAUGAGGGAGGCGUCUGUUUUAUUAUGGCCGCGUGGACUACUCGUUGCUGGGAGCUGGACGUGAUGCUUGUUAUCUGUUGAUUAAGUCUUGCACCUUAGUCGGACUGCAUGUUUACUUAUUCAAUUGUUUGCACUUAGUCUGCAUGUGCCGAGCGCCGAUGUGUGGUGCGCUUUCAGACAACACCAAAUCCACCAUGUUCGAGUUUGUCUGUGUGUGUGUUCAUCUUCGAUCGUAUUCGUCGCCGGUGAUCACUCGUCGAUCCUGACAAGUGGUAUAAGAGCUUCGUUCAUCUGCGACGAUCGCGAAGGUACAAGAUGACAUGCCGCGACGGCAUUCGAGCUCCCCCACGCGCCUUGGUUCCAGCAGCCGCACUAGCGAAAGUAGCGGCGAGAACAAUCACGAGCUGGUGAUCCACUGUGUAAGGGAAGGCGGUGGCGGCGGACCGGCAAACUACCCCGUGCUCAACAAGACGAACUACACCAGUUGGUUGCUGCUCAUGAAGAUCAAACUGCAGGCACGCUGCAUCUGUGGCGCCAUUGACCCGGGAGCAGACAUCCCGGAGCACAAGGACCGGAUGGCUCUGGACGCCAUCUACAGUGCCAUCCCAAAGGAGAUGGUUCCUGCGCUCGCGGUCAAGCCCUCGGCGAAGGACGCGUGGGAGGUCGUUCGCACCAUGCGCGUCGGGGGCGACUGCAUCCGGAAGACGAGCGCACAGCGAGUGCGCCGGGAGGGCAAGAGCGUUGAAGAUUUCACGCUCUGGCUCACGGGCAUCAUCAACAAGCUCGCCACACUCGGAGAUCCAGAGCCCGACGACAAGGUCAUGGAGAAGUAUCUCCGGAUUGCGCGCUCGAGGUACAAGCAGUUGGUAAUUUUGAUUGAAACUCUGCUAGAUGUCUCGACGCUUUUCGUUGAAGAGAUCACGGGCCAUCUCAUGGCCUCAGAAGAUGACCCGGAGCCCCAACCGUCCGUUCUCGCUGGCGGCAAGCUCUACCCCACUGAGGAGCAGUGGCUUGAGCGCUACAAGCAGAAGGAGGAGGGCUCGGGUUCACGCGGUUCCGAUGGCACCGGGUAUCGUAGGCGACGUCGUGGUGGCUGAAGGAGGCCUCGCGGCAGCAGAAAUUUGAGUGCAUGUGAUGGCACAGGAUCUUCAUCAGGCCGCGGCGACGACAUGUGCAGGAAGUGUGGCAAAGUGGGCCACUGGGCAUGAGAGUGUCGCUGCAAGCCGAAGGCAGAAGGGCAGGCUCAUUUGGCUUAGGAGGAGGAGUCCACCCUGCUCCUUCUCGAGGUCAGCGACGACAUCAAGCUCCAGAUGCGGGAGAAGCGAGCUAUUGAGGAAACAUCGACAGCUGCUUGCGUCGCGACCAUGACGGUAUCAAGUCCUCCACGCAGACACAUUGAACUGGUGGAGGAAAAGGUGUUCGUCGUUCUAGACUCCAAUCCAGAGCGUGACACGCGCCAGUGGAUCUUCGACACCGGCGCCUCAAACCAUAUGACAGGUGCCUGGGAGGUCUUCUCUGACCUGGACACAUCGGUGGCAAGCAUGGUUUGGUUCGGUGAUGGCUCUCUGGUGCAGAUCGAAGGCUGCGGCACCAUGCUAUUCGACUGCAAGAACGACGAGCACCAUGCCCUCGCCAACACGUACUACAUUCCGCGGCUGACUGCCAACAUUGUCAGCUGCGACCAGCUCGAUGACAACGACUUCGAGAUCCUGAUCAAAGGUGGAGUGAUGCGGGUGCGCGAUGGACAGGGAGGUCUCCUUGCAAAGAUCGAUAUGGGCCCGAGUCGGCUGUACGUGCUCGACCUCACCAUGCCCCCACUGGUCUGCCUAGCGGCAUACACAGGGGAGGAUGCGUGGCGGUGGCACGCUAAUUCGGCCACAUGAACUUCACCGCGUCGAGGAAGAUGAAGAAGGAAGGCCUAGUGCGGGGGUUACCUGCGCUAUCGCAAGUGGAGCAACUGUGUGAAGCCUGUCUCGCCGGCAAGCAUCAUCGGGCAUCUUUACCGGCAAUCUUCUCUAGCAUUCAACUGAACCAUUGGAGCUGCUCCACGGUGACCUGUGCGGUCCAAUCACCCCAACCACACCGAGCGACAAUCGAUAUUUUCUCUUGCUCGUUGAUGAUUACAGCAGGUACAUGUGGCUGACACUCCUGGCAUCCAAGGACGCAGCACCGGGCGCCAUCAAGCGAGUCCAAGCGGUGGCCGAGCGCAGCAGCGAAAGGAAGUUGUGCGCCCUGCAUACCGAUCGCGUGGGAGAGUUCACGGCAGGUCACUUCAACGACUAUUGCGUCGAGCUCGGCGUGAGGCAUGAACUGACUGCCCCAUAUACACCCCAGCAAAAUGGCAUCGUCGAGCGCAGGAACCAGACGGUGGUUGGCACCGCCAGGAGCAUGCUCAAGGCCAGCGGCCUCCCCGGCUCAUUUUGGGGGGAGGCGGUCUCCACCGCUAUCUACCUGCUAAACAGGACCAUCACGAAGGGAAAUGGCGGCAAGACGCCAUAUGAGCUGUGGCAUGGGAGGACGCCAGCGGUCCAUCACCUGCGCACCUUCGGUUGUGUGGCUCACGUCAAGAGCACAAGCCCCAAGAUCAAGAAGCUGGAAGACCGAAGCAAGCCGAUGAUUUUUGUCGGGUAUGAACCUGGCACGAAGGCAUACCGAGUGUAUGACCCGGUUUCUCGCCAUGUACACUUAAGUCAGGACAUCAUCUUCGACGAGGAGGCGCACUGGAGCUGGUCCGACAAUGGACAAAAGGAGGAUGAUGGCGAGUUCACAAUCUAGUACACCUUGGUGUCACACCCAGAGGUGGUGACCACGCUUCGGCCACGACACGCAGCUACGUUGGCAUCGCCCACUUCUCCAGUGGCUGCUACGACUUCAUCCCCUCCAACGGCUACGGCUCCAUCGUCUUCGGCAACUGCGUCUCCAUCCUCUACGACGGCUUCGACGUCAACAACGCCCGUAGGACCGACGAUCGAGUAUGCUACACCGCCAACCGUGGAUGUGGAGGAUUUGGACGUGGAUCAUGAAGAUGACGUACCCCUUCGGUUCCAUCUCCUAGACAAGGUCAUAGGACCGGCGAUGUCCCGAGGGAUCGUUCACCGGUUUCUAGAUGAAGAUGAGGAUCUACUGAUGGCUGAAGAGGACGAGCCGAGGACCUUCAAGCAGGCGCAACAACAUGACUGCUGGAGGCUCGCCAUGCUGGAUGAGAUGACAUCCAUCGAGGCGAAUGGCACCUAGGAACUGGUGGAUCCGCCACCACAUAACCGUCCGAUCGGGCUUAAGUGGGUGUACAAGGCAAAGAAGAAUGACAUGGGGAUUAUCACGAAGCACAAGGCUCGUCUCGUCACAAAGGGGUAUGUGCAGCAUCAAGGUGUUGACUUCGAAGAUGUGUUUGCCCCGGUGGCACAACUUGAGUCUGUCAGACUCUUGUUAGCGCUGGCGACGAGCGAAGGAUGGAUUGUCCACCAUAUGGACAUGAAGUCUGCCUUUCUCAACGAUGUGCUGAAGGAAGAGGUGUACGUCACUCAGCCUCCGGGGUUCGUUGUCACCGGCAAAGAAGGGAAGCUUCUCCGCCUUGUCAAGGCGCUCUACGGUCUUUGUUAGGCGCUGCGCGCAUGGUACGCCAAGCUGGAUGCUUCUCUGGCAUCUUUUGGCUUUCGGCGCGGCAUCAAUGAACAUGAUCUGUACACGCGAGGGAAAGGCAUACAUUGACUAAUCGUCAGUGUGUAUGUUGACGAUCUUGUCAUCACUGGUGGAGAUGUGGUCGAGAUCAAGCACUUCAAGCAGGACAUGAAGAGCACAUUUCAAAUGAGCGAUCUGGGAUUGCUCAGUUACUACCUCGGACUGGAAGUGAAGCCAGGCAACGAUGGGAUCGCCAUCAGUCAAGGGGCGUUCGCUCGGAAGAUUGUUGAAAAAGCAGGCCUGAAGAAUUGCAAUCCGAGUGCCAUGCCCAUGGAGACACGCCCAGGACUGAGUAAGUCGAGUACCUGUUCUGCUAUUGAUUCUACUGCAUAUAGGUGCAUAGUUGGUGCACUUCGGUGCCUGGUGAACACAAGACCGGACAUAGAAAUUGUUGUGGGAUUUAUCUCACAUUUUAUGGAGAAGCCUACUACCGAGCAUCUCCUUGCUGUGAAGCGAGUGCCGCGGUACGUAGCAGGUACUGCAGACUAUGGCUGCUACUAUCAGAGAAGGAAGAAGUCGGUAGGUUUGACCGGGUACAGUGACAACGAUCAUGCAGGUGAUGUUGAUACCCACAAAAGCACGAUGUGGGUGUUGUUCUUUCUCGGCGACAGUCUUAUUACUUGGCAAUCACAGAAGCAUAAGAUAGUGGCCUUAUCAAGCUACGAGACUGAGUAUAUUGCAGCAGUCGUCGCCUCUUAUUAGGGUAUUUGGCUGGCAUGUUUGCUUGCUGAACUGCGAGGAGAAGAAGCUGAACCGGUGAUGCUCUUCAUCGACAACAGAUCAGCAAUAGAGUUGUCCAAGAAUCAUGUGUUUCAUGAGCGAAGUAAACACAUUGAUACAAGGUACCAUUAUAUCAGGGAGUGUGUUGAGGAAGACAGGAUGAGGAUUGAGCCGAUUGACACUAAUAAUCAAUUGGCUGACAUAUUCACAAAGGCAUUAGGGCGCGGUCGGUUCGUCCAUCUACGUUCCAGGCUUGGGAUCAUCAACACAAGGUUGUUGUGCAAGACUUAAGGGGGAGAAUUGUUAUCUGUUGAUUAAGUCUUGCACCUUAGUCGAACUGCAUGUUUACUUAUACAAUUGUUUGCACUUAGUCUGCAUGCGCCGAGCGCCAUUGUGUGGUGGCCGAGCGCUUAGGAGAUCAUGCCCAGAAUCGCUCGGUCUUAGCUGAACUCGUGGAUCAGUGCGCGCCAUGUGGACGUGGGGAUGGACACGACCAAGGGUGUGGCACGAAGCUCUCAGCGACGUUUGUUUUCUUUUUCAGUUGUUGGUAAUAAAAGGAGUAGAGAAAAACAGAAAACCCUGCGCUUUCAGGCAGCACCAAAUCCACCGUGUUCGAGUUUGUCUGUGUGCGUGUGUGUUCAUCUUCGAUCGUGUUUGUCGCCGGCGAUCACUCGUCGAUCCUAACAAUGCUUCGGCUUCGGUGCCGGAUAGGUGGACUACUCAUUGCUGGGAGCUGGACGUGAUGCUUCGGCUUCGGUGUCGGAUAGACGGACGGGGCAUGGGAAACAUAAGCAUUCAAGAGGGGUACUAAUGGAAACAGAAGACCCAACGAUAAGAAUUCCUGCACUUGAAUGCUGUGAUUCCCAAAAAUUGAGGAUAAAUUACUUCCACUAGAAUAAGUGGCGCCCUUACGGGCGCCCUACCGAGACAAUAGAAUUCUUGAGUAAAUUGCUAUAUACCUUUCAUGUAAAUUGUUCUCGAGUUUUGGCAGAUUGGGGCAAUAGUAAUAAAAUACUUUAGGUGUGCAUGAGACUAUCACGAUAAUUAAUGAGCAUACAAUAUAUGUUGUUCUAACCAGGCACACCAAUCGAUGUAGAUGCAGAUGUACAAACAGAGCGCACAAAAUCAAAUUCCAAUUGAUUAAAAAACAUAUCAAUUUUGUCAGUAUAGAGAAUAAGCAAAGACAAAACACAUAUGUCAGUGUGUCUGUGAAUGGGAAAUCCAGCCAGAAUUCCUUAACUUGCUAUGGGUUCUAGAAAACAAAGCACAUAUGUAGCAUGGAAUCCUACCAAGUGAUGCCAAUCCAUGUUCCUUCUCCUAGACAGCUUUGUGAAGCCGACAUUUGUCAAGAACAUUAAUAAGAACAGAAAGUAAUUAAAGUGAUUGAUUUGAAGUUCGAACUGGUAAAGUGGUACAACAGAGCCAGAAACAAACAUGAAUAGUUGUGCAUAUUGUAAUACAUCGCACCUCCCAAAAUUGUUGAUUCUAAAAUUGCCCAAGAGGAUCUAGAUUAUACCUUAUGCUUCCCUAAAGAGUGUUGGAUGUUGCAAAAUGAUACCAAAGCAUGAACGCAUGUCAUGUAAGCCAAUUGUUGUGAUAUCUACAGAGUCUAUAGUUAUUUUUCCUCUUGUUGGCUAUUUAAGAAACUAUAAAAAAAAUUAAACCUCCAUAUUGCAGCGUACAUGAAUGCUUGAACAAGCGUAGCUGAAGUAAGCAUUUCAUACUGCAUCUUUUUCUAUUGCUAUGCGUGUUACGGACCAAUACUUCGUGAACUAAUUAUUUGGUCUGACAAACAUUUCAAGCACAAGUUACCCUUUUUCAUAAAACCAUUAUCCAAACAAAUUACGUAAAAAUGAAUCUCACAACAAAAUGGAAAUAUAAAUUAUGCUCUAGAAUAACAGUAGGUUUCUCCAAGGCAACAACUGGCCUUCCAACAAUAUCAAUGUGUGAAUACAAAGCGUGCAUAAAAACCAUUGCUUUUAGGCACGAUGACUAUGACAACUAUUUAGCUCACAACAACAUACAUUGAGAAAUAACCUCUUGCUGCUACCGUAUUGGAAAGGGAGCUCAAACUUCAUACCCUUUGACCCUUUAGGUAGAACAACUUGUUCAACAACAACGAUACUUAUACAAGGGGCAAAUACAACUAAUGCAAAGUCAGAAUUUGGAAAAUUAAUAGUACAUAAUACCCUGUCACUGUUCUUGGUAUCCACAUUCCAAUAAAGAUGAUAGUUUAUAAUGAGUACCAAACAGUUGAUAGUAAAAGCCACACCCUCCAGCCAUAAAAACAUAUCCUUUAGGACAAGUUUUAUAGACAAGCUUUAAAACUACAAACAUCAAUAAUGUUUAAAAAGCUAUUUAGUUUGAGAACGUUAAGCUAUAUGUGUAGAAUUAAAAAUUGCAUUGAAAAAUACUCGCAAAUCUCAUGGAUCUAAAGACCCAAAUCUAGGUGUACUUUUACAAACACAAAAUAAUUUGCUCUUUGUUGAAGGACUUACAAAAAUAAGCAAAUAGGUCCAAUGGUCACACUUUAAAUAAAAUUUGAUCACUGAAAGGAUAAUUAAAUGCACAAAUGCUUACCUCAAUAUAUGAGGCUGCAACAUCUGAAUGCUUCUCGUUAGUUUUUGCUAUGAAUAUAUCCCAAAAAACGACCACCACUCGAAAAGAAAGCCACCAGGUGCAUCAAUUGCUGAAAAAUAGUUUUGGGGAAGUAAAUAAUACUCUUGACAAACAACAAAGAACAUAGACUGUAAGAACUCAAAUAAAAAAUAGCUCUAGACAAGAAUAACCAAUGCUAAUGAUAUUCCCUCUCCAUUCUUGGCACAUCCUAGUUCUAAAUUUUUUUGGUGGUUCAGUAGUGCAACGACAGCCAUGAACGUAACUAUGAGCAACACCUAUGAGUAAGCACAAAUGAUAGUCAAUUACUGAAUUAUCCUUGCAGUCUUGCCAUAGUGAAGACGAACAACUGAAGCUUGUAGUAAUUGUGUCUGCAUGGUGAUAGGCAGGACGACGAUGAUGGUGGUGCUGAUGAUGAUCCAAACAACAUCACUUAUGAGGUUUGUGGUCACAGAAUGUUCUUUUUUCCCUUUUUUCAAGUGAUAUGUAAAAGCUUGUGAUCAAAAUAGAACUACACAUGUAGUGUGUACCUUUACACCUAGGUUGGAAAGGCCACUAAUUUUUUGGUGAUGCAGCAAAGACAGUCACUUGUAGAAUCUGUGGGGACCGAUGACAUAGGUUUAUCCGAUGAAACAAAUUAAAUCAUAUUGUGAUGAUUGAGUUUUUUUAUUUUGAAACAAGCCAACAUUGCAUAUACAAAGAAGCAAAAAAAAGAGUCGGCAAUAGCUUUUUCUAUUGGACAACCCUGUAGAGCUCUGCACAGAAAUGGUAAUAUGUGUCUUGAUUCUUUGGACGAAGUAUCAUGAAUGGAAGCUGUCGCCUACCAGGUGAGUCACUCUGGCACGUUGUUUAGUGCUCACCUGGUAUAAACAACGGUCAAAAGCUAUGACGAGUAACGACUUUUUCACACCUAUUGUUAAGUAUAUGGUUGGUCUAGUACUUCGUCGUUCCUGUUAAGUAUAUGGCUAUUUUAUGGUUGUUAUAGAUUUAGAGUACAUGGGUCUUACACCAAAUGAGGGAAUAUCAACACUGUUAACCAACGAAAUGUGCUUCCAAAUAGAUAGAUAAGUGGUCCAUACUAAUAGAUGUGAUGUUUUUUUACUGAAGGUCUCAUGUUCAUGUUCCCUUCAAAGUAUAUGAGGUUGCAUGCAUAUUGUCAAUCGCAGUACGGGAUCUAAUCAUCUAUGCUAAUGUUGCUGAUUUUAAUUUCCCAUUCUAGCUUGCUCUAUCUAGGAGGUCUGAUCCUUGAGAGAAAGAAAAAUAAAGAAAAGAAACCAAAUGUUAUCCUAUAAUAGAUAACAUAACUGAUUAAGAAACAAAGAAGCAGCCUAACAUAUAUUCAGAUGAAUAUUUUCUAGGUCAAACCACUGGUAAAAAUAGUAGCUGAUAAUUGUCUGACAUGUUCGUCCACUAUCGAAUGAAAUUGCAUUUUGCACAAAUUGUAGCCUCCUAAGCUCCUACCAUGAACGAACCACAAUGAGCUAAGCGAUACUCUGAUCUCUCGGCAAAACCAAAAGAUGCCUGGAACACAAACCGAUGAAAAGCACCCAACAAUCAGAUGAUAAGAUGCACUGGCAGAGGUCAGUGGCAAAACAAACCUGCACCCACGGAGGUCUUCGCAAGAUCUGGUUUAGGAACGCUCUCAGCACUAACCCCAUGGAAUGCCGGCCAGAGGCCUGACGACACGGGCGUGGAGCAGGGGUAGGAGGAGGCAAGGCGGCUCUCUGGCCAUCGACGGCCUCGUCUCUUGUGGGAAAAGGGGGUCCCGUGCAUGGUAGAUGGCUUAAUCGUGUCCGUGAGGAGCAGGACGUCCUCUGGGUCGACGCGGGGAGCGACAGAGCAGGCAGAGGGAGAGAGGAGUGCGUGUGGGAGUGGGAUGUGGGCGAGGCUAGGUGGUAGUGGAAGAGGUGGAAGAAGAGAUAGAUGGACGGCGAGUUGAAUUUUUGAGAAGCCAAAGGGCUGAUUUGCAAAAUACACAGGGCACGUGUCAUCGCUGAAACGGCUGUGCCUCCGCAAAAUGCGGUCGUGCGUGGGAGGUCUGGUCCUUGAGAGAAAGAACAAAAAAGAAAAGAAACCAAAUGUUAUUCUAUAAUAGAUAACAGAACUGAUUAAGAAACAAAGAAGCAACCUAACAUAUAUUCAGAUGAAUAUUUUCUAGGUCAAACCACUGGUAAAAAUAGUAGCUGAUAAUUGUGUGACAUGUUAGUCCACUAUCGAAUGAAAUUGCAUUUUGCACAAAUUGUAGCCUCCUAAGCUCCUACCAUGAACGAACCACAAUGAGCUAAGCAAUACUCUGAUCUCUCGGCAAAACCAAAGGAUGCCUGGAACACAAACCGAUGAAAAGCACCCAACAACCAGAUGAUAAGAUGCACUGGCAGAGGUCAGUGGCAAAACAAACCUGCACCCAUGAAGGUCUUCGCAAGAUCUAGUUUAGGAACGCUCUCAGCACUAACCCCAUGGAAUGCCGGCCAGAGGCCUAACGACGCGGGCGUGGAGCAGGGGCAGAGAGGAGGCGAGGCAGCUCUCUGGCCACCGACGGCCUCGUCUCUAGUGGGAAAAGGGGGUCCUGUGGUAGAUGGCUUAACCGUGUCCGUGAGGAGCAGGACGUCCUCUGGGUCGAUGCAGGGAGCGACAGAGCAGACAGAGGGAGAGGAGAGUGCGUGUGGGAGUGUGAUGUGGGCGCGGCUAGGUGGUAGCGGCAGAGGUGGAAGAACGGAUAGAUAGACGGCAGGUUGAAUUUUUGAGAAGCUAAAGGGCUGAUUUGCAAAAUACACAGGGCACGUGUCAUCCUUGAAACGGUUGUUCCUCCGCGAAACGCGGUCGUGCGGGCUUUAGCUUUUAACAACAGAGAUAUCACUGGAAUCCUCUCCUCUCUUCUACAAUCCUGCUGACAUUGCUGUUCUGCACCAGCACAGCACCUCAACGAACGAUGCCUUCUGCUUCUUCGUCCUCGUUUUCCUCCCUCUACAUCAUCGGCGACUCCUCGCGUCUCCGUGACGACCCCAUCAUCGAGGUCGGCGACAUAGACGAGAACGACAGCAGCGACGACGCGCUCUCAGGGUUAGGGGCAGAGCGCUUCGCAUCAUCCUUCGAAACCCAAGGGUCCAUUGACGCCCUCUGUAGAAAGUACGGAGUACCGGAGGAGUACUCGACGGUCCUCCCCGCCGGCCACGAGCGCGCGUGUUCGCCCCCGGGGUUCGCCGUCUCCGUGUACGCGCAUGCGCUGGAGACCAGCAUGCCCGUCCCGCUGCACGGCUUCUUCUGUGAGGUGCUCGGCCACUUCGGCGUCGCGCCGAGCCAGAUUGCGCCCAACGGGUGGCGUGCCAUUGCCAGCUUCGUCUUCCGCUCCCACUUCAUCGGCGUGGCCGUGAACUACGCGUCGUUCUCGCUGGGCUACACGCUGGAGCUCGAGGAUAAGCUCGCGGCAAGGGAGCGCGAGGCGAACGCGCUGCGGCGGGAGCUGUCGCAGGCCAAGGCCGAGCUCGCCGGCGCGAAGAAGGCGACCGCGGAGGAGGUGAGGGGCGCCAGGGAGGCUGUCGUGCGCGACUUCUGGGGCUCCACGGAGCAGGUGGUCCGUUUCUUGGAGCACGCGUUGGCCGUGUACGAGAAGGGAAUGGAUGAUAUGAAGCAUGCCCGAAUUUUUUGUUUUUGAGUCCUUUUUGUGUCAAUAAUUUCCAAUUAGACCCCCAGAAAACUUAAAUGCAAUUUUGGACCCAUUUCUCGGCGCCAUGAGCUAUGGCGCCGAGUUUACACAGCUCGGCGCCAUAGAUCUUGGCGCCGAGCUACCUGCCGCGCUGUCGUCCACCAGCUGACGCGGCGCCGACGUGGCACCGAGCUCGGCGCCAAGAUCUAUGACGCCGAGCUCGAAUAUGUAACCACAAAGCUUGUCUAGCUCAGUUGGUAUAGUGCAAGGCUCUUAACCUUAAGGUCGUGUGUUCGAGCCCCACUAUGAGCGUUCAAUAUUUUUUGUCUUUGUCACUGAUUUGUUUUUUAUUGUCCAGAUUUUUUCGUUUAUGUCGCUGGUUUGUCCGUGCGUUUAAUAUUUUUUUGUCUUUGUCACUGAUUUGUUUUUUUAUUGUUAUUAUGUAUUUAGAAUUUAUGUUCAAAAGAACUAAAUCAAAAUAUAAUAUUUUUAUUUGAUCACGAUUGAAGUAAGAGUGUUCUUAUUUGAUUUUUAUUGUGGUUAGCUGAGCAAACAAGGGGAGAAGUUGACGGCUUGUGAGCACUGUGGCACACAGCCGCUGUGCUCGCCGGAUAAAAAAAAUCUGGACGAAUAAACAAAUCAGUCAUACAAAAAAACUGGAUGAGAAAUAAAUCUGGACGGACAAAUCAGCGACAUAAGCGAAAAAUAUGGACAACAAAAAAACAAAUAAGUGACAAAGACAAAAAAAUAUUAAAAAAAAUGUCCACUGUGGGGCUCGAAUCCACGACCACAAGGUUAAGAGACUUGUAUUUUACCAACUGAGCUAGACAAGCUUUCUGUAUAGAAUAGAGCUCGGCGCCAAGAUCUAUGGCACCGAGCUCGGUACCACGUCGGUGCCACGACGUCCUUUUGUGCCAACGCAGCGCGUACCUCGGCGCCAUAGCCUAUGGCGCCGAGCUGUGUUACCUCGGCGCCAUAGGCUACGGCGCCGAGUAAAGGGUCCAAAAAUGACAUUAAAAUUUUUUAGGGUUUAAACGUGAAUUUUUUUCGAUGAAGGACCAAAAUACAAAAAAUUCGGUGAAGCAAGCCGUGCUGCGCAGGUACCCGCACCUCGACCCGGAGCAGCUCGUCAUGCCGGCGGACGGUGACAGUACUCAGUAAUUAGCUCGUGGCGUCGAAUCGACGCGAUAAGAUUUUUUUUGCGUGCCGGUCCCCUAACUAACCUCAGGAUCAGACAACGUUUGGCGUUUUUAAUAUUGAAUAUAAAUUGUACAUAUUUAUAUACAUUUUUUAAAUAAAAAAUAUAAUCCUGUCGGGCUAGACCAGCACUACGGACCGAGACUACAGCCCAAACAUGGCAUGACGCUCGUACCGGGCUAGCCCAGACACUAUUAAAUAGGUCGUCCCUCUGGCCGAACCGUCAUACACGGCUCAUUUGGUCGUCCAUACCUCCACACGAUAAUGAUAGUCCUCGCUUUAGUUGUUGCCACCUCGUUCAUCACCCUGCUUCUUUUCUCUCUCUCUCUCCUCAUGCCUCCGCCUCCGCGCCACCCCAUUCUCGGCAAAGGGCGUGGGAGCAGACGUCUCCUCCUCGUAUUAGUCCAAUACCAGCUCCGACACCGACCCACGCAGUGGCUAUUGCACGUCCACGAGGACGUUUCACAGUAUGCACGCACCAUCGUUUUCGCCGUCGUCGGACGUCCCGUUUGUCUUCCCAGCCUUCACCCUGUUCUUCCUCCCCAACCUACUGCCCCCGCCCACGGUCGCAGCCGCGAGCCGACCGAUGCUCUUCGACGCGGGUACGGGGCGAGUCGAUCUUGCUUCUGGCCUUUCUUUGUGCAUGCCGCCGAGGAGGACACGGUGGCGCCUGCCACACUUAGGUUAUCUUGGCGAUGAGGAGUCCAGGUCUGAGAUAUUGGACAACCAAGGCCCAUAGCGCAGCAGAAGUCGGCAUAUGCUACGGAGUUGGUUGUGGUGUUAUGUCGCCUCGGCGGGUCCAGGGCUGGGAAGGCACUUGCAUUCUCUCACCCUUCUCGGACCGACACCCGAUGCAGGUGCCUCUCGGUUUGGAGCUGCUACAGCUGGGCUUCUUUCUACGAGUUAUCGUGGCAUAAAUUUGAGUUAAUAGUCCUUCUCCGGUUUUCAUGGGGUUUUCUCUAUGUUUUAUUUGUUUGGUCUCUCCUUGAAUACUCUAACUAAAACUAGUUCCAAUUAGUUGCUCAUGUGUGGUUUAGGACCUUUAGGUAGACCAUUAGACCAGAUGCAUGCUUUCAAAAGGAAACUUGUUGACACUGAGAAUCGUUAAAUAUCUUCAUCUUGUAUUUCGGUAGUGCACAAUUGGCAGUCGAGUAGUCGACAUAAAAUCAGUUAGUGUUCUAAUGCCUCUAGAUUUAAAGCAUAGGUGUGUAGCCUUCAAAUGUUCGUUUUCCUUUAUAUGUCUUGUGGCCACCUGGGAUCAAAAGUAUAGGUGUGUAGCCUCUCAACUGGAUUCUCUACCAAUCAUGUGAUCGCUCGGUUUACUACAAGUUCCUAUUGUUGCCAACUAUUGCUUUUAGUUAGGUUUGUUUUAAGCAAUAAUGUUUAGGUCAAUCAUUCAACUAUAUGAAUGCGGAACACUGCUUAAAUUUGGUGGUACCGUGCAAAUGUGUUUUGUUACAACAGAAUGCACACAUGUUGCCCCUUCAUAUUUGUGCAAUUAAAGUUGUAUCAUAUUAAUGUGGCUAGGCCAUUGGUGCUGCUACUGUUCAGAAAUAAAACCCAUAUGAUUAAUGUCAUUUGUAGCUAUUGUUGGGGGCCUUCCUCUUCCGAAGGUCCUCAAAAAACAUAAUUCACCAUUUGUUUUCAGCAUAAGCUAUUACAUGAAGCUUUGUCUUUAGGAUGUAAGUCUGUUUCUCAUGAUGAAGGCAUACGAGAUGAAGAUAUGAUCUAAGGAUGAUAAGAAUAAACGCCAAAGCUAUCGCCAGGUUGACAACUUCGGCUCGUUAUGAAGAUGAAGUAUGAUGAUGAUGAUGAGCGAAGGGGAAAAGACUAAUUAGUCCUUAAUGACUUGUAUUACGAUCAUAAGUGAAUAUUGAGGACAUAAAUAUACUUUUACCCGGGCUAUGUCCCAUGCCUAUAAAUAGAUGAACAGUAGCACCGUAUUGUUCACGCUGAUUUGUAAUCUCCCUCGCAUCAACACCUUUUCGAGCAAGCCGAAGGUAUCAUUGUAAUACAAAUCUCGUUAAUAUUCAUGUAUGUUAUGUGAAAUGCAAAUCCGAAUGAAUCAACGGGAUACAUUUGUUGUUUUCGUCUCUUUGCAGUCUCAUCUUUCUAUAAGAUGAUGAAGGCAUGUCCUUCAUGACCUUCAUCUGAUGAUCAUUAUGUACAUGAGGAGAUGAUGCUUCAGAAGACGAAGGUCUUUAAUACUUAACAAAUGUGUUGCCUUAUUCUUGAUUCACAUCAUUUGAGAACAAGUAACCAACAACUAUCUUCAUAUUUUAAUUUUUUGUCUCUUAGCAAUAAGAUGGUAGAAUGCUCUUGAAGAACACGAGAGAAUGAUGACAUCUAUGAAGUUUGCAUGGUAGAUGAAUAUCUGAUUAUGACAGUAUUCAACUGAUGUGUUACAAGUAUCUAUGGGACAAUUUGAUUGCAUAGAAAUUUCCAACAGAGAAUUUCUUCAGCUAUUUUAACCUGGACCCCAACUACUUGUUAUUAGAUCCAUGAUGUCAAGGAGGUACAUUAGCUUAUUAGGGUUCGAUGCAAAGGUGAUUCACCUCAUCUUUAAAAUUUGUAAUUCACCCUUCUAAUAGUUUUCAGGCGGUUUAUGUGAUUGACUAAUCUCGUUUAUUCAUGGGAAAUCAUUCGCUACUAUGAGAUAACAAACAGAGCAAAUACAUAAGAAGUGAUUGCUAAUACUCUUUUUUCACUAUAUUUUUGGAUGCUCAUUCAUGCUACCGUCGUCAACAUGUUGUAUGGUUUCUUUUGCAGACUUGAAAAUGUAUCAAAAUAUUUCAAGGUUACAUGCCACACGCUACUACGGUCUCAAGAAUAGCUGCUCUUAAGGUAAACAUGAGUUACAGGCUUAUAACCUAAGCAGCAGUAAUCUAUUGUACAUACUACGAAAUGGCAAAUCACUUUUUUCUGAACCUUUUGGAAACGGGAAACCACAAAUAUAGAGAGUAAUCCCCUUCAUAUUUACUGGUGCAGAUACAAACUACAUGAAGACCACUCCCUGCUUGAAGAACACCAGUUCACUUAUGAUGCUAGGUGGUUCAAUGAUCAAAUCUAGGAAGUCCUCAUCUUCUGGAUAGGAUCACGUGAGCCUAGAUUUGUAGCUAAAGAGGUGUGGAAGUGUCGUUUCUACAAAUUUGUGUCACGUUGUCCAUAGAUUGCUUCCAUACCAAGUUGUUGACGCUAACAAAAAAUGUUGUAAUUGGUGGCUUGGUGAAAUAUUUAAUGUUGAGUUGAAAAAACAAUUGUACUACUUGUCGGCGUUUCGACCCCGGGGGGUCCCUGGACCGACGAGUAAAUUUGUCGUUGUGUGUCCCAGCCCAGAUGGGUUGGCGCAAGAUGGAACACAAGGGGGAAACGCGGCUCGUGUUAUCUCGCACCAGGGGGGUGUGCUCGUAGUAGGGGUUACAAGCGUUCGCGAGAGAGAGAGAGAGUGAGCCUGUUCGUCAGCUCGUCCCUCCGCGCGACCCUCUCGCAUGAAGGCCCUAGACCUCCCUUUUAUAGAUGCAAGGAGAGGGUCCAGGUGUACAAUGGGGGGUGUAGCUAUGCGCUAACGUGUCUGGCAGAGAGGUGCCUGAGCCCUGUGUACAUGCCAACGUGGCUGUCGGAGAGGUGUUAGAGCCCUGUGUACGCGGUAUCGUGGCCGUCGGAGGAGUGCCUGAGCCCUAUAGAAGCGCAGUUGUCGGUGCUGCUAGGAUCUUGCUGACGUCUCCUUGCUUCCGUAGGGGGCUGAGAACCACCGUCGUCAUGGACGCACGCGGGGAGCCAUCAUUACUUGUUACCGGGGCGAGCCAGAUGGGACGCCGGUCUUAUCCCCCCGUAGCCUGAGCUAGCUAGGGGUAGGGUAAUGAUGUAUCCCCCGUGGCGCGGUCGGUCCGAGCCCAAGGUCGGGCGAGGCAGAGACUUCUCCUGAGGCCAAGGCCGGGGUCGGGCGAGGACGCGAUUCCUCCCGAGGCCAAGGUUGAGGCCGAUCCCUGGGGUCGGACGAGGCGGAGACCUCCUCCCGAGGCCGAGGCCUAAGGUCGGGCGAGGCGGAGCUUCCUGUUGCGCCUGAGGCUGAACUUGGCUGUUGUCAGCCUCACCCUGGUGGGUGGCACAGCAGUUGGAGCGGGGCGAGCGGCGCUGUUUUCCUGUCAGGUCGGUCAGCGAAAGGGCGAAGUGACUGCGGUCACUUCGACUUUGCCGACUGAGGCACGUGUGUCAGGAUAAGGUGUCAGGUGAUCCUCGCAUUGAAUCCGCCUGCGAUACGGUCAGUUGGUGAGGCGAUUUGGCCAAGGUUGCUUCACAACGAAGCAUGCCCGAGCUGGGCUUCGGGCGAGUCGAGGGUGCGCCCGUCGCUUGAGGAGGCCCUCGGGCGAGGCAUGAAUUCGUCCGGGACUACUGUUCCCGCCCGAGGCCGGGCUCGGGCGAGGCGAGAUCGCGUCCCUUGGUAGGUGAGGCCUUGACCUAAACCGCGCCCAUCAGUCUUUGCGGUUUGUGCUGAUGGUGGUUACCAGCCGUGUUUAGGAGUGUUGGGGGUACCCCUAAUUACGGUACCCGACAGUAGCCCCCGAGCCUCAAAGGGAGUGUUGGUACUCGCUUGGAGGCUUUGCCGCACUUUUUUGCGAGGGGACCGACCUUUCUCGGUUACAAUUUGUUCCGGUGGGUGCGCGCGAGCGCACCCGCCGGGUGUAGCCCCCGAGGCCUCGUGUCACACCCGGUUUUAGAAGGCAAACCGAAUGCGAACCAUGUACGUGUCAGGAUCAGUUAUUCACGUACACAGCAGUUACAUAACAUGGACAUCAUCACACAGUGCUCAAAAUGGUAUUAAAAGGGAAAUAAUAGUUGAUUACAUCAUACGUCUGAGACGUCCACAUAGUCCUUACAAUAAAAAUCAAAGUGCGGAAAAGAAACGUAGAUAAACGCGGCCUUCAGAGGCAGCCGACUGGGGGUUGCCGCUAACCCACGCCUAGAACUCGUCGUAGUCUUGGAACUCCUGGAAGUCUCCUUCCACGGCUUCAUCUUCUCCUGAGCAGUGGUUGCAAUGCUGACAACCUGGGGACGGGGGGGGGGGGGGGGGUUUGGUGUGUAGAGCAAGGGUGAGAACACAUCAACAUACUCAGCAAGUAUCCUGUUUGGCUGUAGUGGACUAGCUUUAUGUGGGGAUAAGUCAAGCAGUUGCUUUUAGUUGGUCAGAUUAUUAUUUACUAAUAGAAAGCCAGGUUUUAGCAUUAACCCAAGUUAUUAGCCCGAUGUACCCUUUCCAAACGGAAAGAAUACCACUUACCAGCACCAUAGUCGUAACCAGAACCAACAAUCUCAUAGCUACCUGUACCAUAAUGUCUCUGAUCAAGUACCACUAAUCACUGGAGCACGGCUGAUAUAUCAGUUUUCAAACACUCUGCAGAGGUUGUGCACUUUACCCACAAGCCGUGAUUCCCUUUCUGCCCGUAGAUCAUGACUCUCCAUUGAUCACUACCAAGGUGACCCAGCAGGGCAUCACUACGUAGCCUUUACAAAGAUUCCCCGGGGCUGUAGUCGCCCGUUAGGUUUCCUAAAUGCACCGCACUCCUCCCCAAGGGGCGAACCCAAACUUGGCAGAGCGAGCCGCAUACACCGAGCCCCAUUGAUGGCACGACGGCUAAGCGAACUACACCCCGGAUCCUCUAAUUAUUCAGCUAAGGGCACCCCAUUCCACCCUCAUGGUUGCACUGUUUUCCCGGGCGGUCAUCCAUAGAACAGGUCCUUACGGAGAGGCACUCGAGAAACCGCUCGAGCCCCCUUAAAGGCCACAAGUAUAACAUCAUAAUAAGAAGAGGGAAAACAGCGUAUCAUAGAUAAACUCAUCAUGUUCAUUGAUUAGAGUUUGAGCAAUAGCAUAAAGCUAAACAAUAAUAAUCCAACCCAAAUAGGUAAACAAGGACAUGGAUAUCAAAGCUAGUCAAUCCUUAGGUAUAAAUGUGUAAUGCGGGAGGUGAUUUAAAGAAUGAAUAGGACAGAGAUAGGUCAAGGGACACUUGCCUUCACCAAACAGAUGCUCAGGGUCUUCAACUUUGUGGAACUCGAAGAGCCUGAUCACUUGGUCGCCAACGCUUGAUCGUCGAUUCCUCGAAGCCCAGAAAUGAGUCGCGAUCUAAUCGCGACGCGAAGCGAAGACGAACAGGCACAAGCAAACAAACAUGUACAUAUGCAUAAGAACAUUACACCAUACAAAGAGAAACAUAAUCAAAACAUGCAAUACGAAAUAGAGCGCGUUACUACAGUCACGCGAGAAAAAGAAAUGUGAUAGUUGAAGCUACGAUCGAGGGGUUAGCGUAUUUACGCUAAACAAGUAUUAAUUAUAGCAUUUAGUUCGACAUGGUUAUAUUAAUCUACCCUUAUUAAAUGUAGAUUAAAACUACUACCUAGUUUCGACUGAAAUACUAUUUUAAUAGUGAAUAAUUACUCAAACAGCUACUUAACUGACCUGAGUCAUUAUAAGCGAACUGCUUAACCUCGCGCGCGGACAACGCGCGACACGCGCGAACGGCGCGCGGCAAGGCACGCGACACACGCGAACGGUGCGCGACAACACGUGAAACAUCACGCGACAACAUGUGAAAACAGCGCGACGGUAAGCUAGAAUCGCUAACCGAUCCCGCAUCCCUAUUAAGAAAGUGUUAAUUACAACAUUUGCAUCGACAUAAUCACAUUAACGGGUAUUUAUACGUGAACAGGUUAGAGCUAUACCUAAAUUGGAAUGUUAUUUUAUUAGUCAUUGGACAAACAAAUAAUCCAUUAACUAGCUAAAUCCUGUGAUGCGACAAAAUACUAUUAUUAACGUGUACUCGACAUGACCACGAGGUUACCACAAUCAGAACAUGAUCAAAUGUAUCUGCUAUGCAUACACAAUGAAUACAUACUCGCUCACGAUUCAGUACGAUGGGAUCUCAUGUGGCCACAAUCCAUCUCAUCCACGAACUAGUCCUGCGCGACGUGCAAAGGCGCGAGCAGCUUCGCCGGGGCUGCUCGAACCGUGCUGGUCGAGCGAAGAUGCCGCGAGCCAUGCCGGGGCCGCUCCUGGGCGAGCCGUGGGCACGCGAGCCACACCUCGCACGAGGGGAGCUUGGCCACGCUGCACGCCAGGGGAGGCCACGGCUGGGCCGUGCGGGCCGUGCCGAGCCGCCGCGCAGGCAGGCUGUGCCGAGCCGCCGCGCAGGCCACGCGGGAUGGCUGCCGCGCCGACUGGCCGCCGGGCUGCGCGUCAGAGGGCCGCGCCUAGGCCGCCCGCGCCAGGGUCGCGCCCGCGCCGAGGCCACGCGCGCAGGGGCCACAUUGCCCGCGCCGGAGCCGUCGUGGCCGAGACCGCCUGCCCGGCCGAGAUCGACGCGCGCCCAUGCCACCGGGGCUGGCUGGGGGCCGCGCCCGCGAGCCGUGCGGCCGCCGGGCUGCGCCCGCCACCGGGGCCGAUGCCCGUCGCGCGCGCCCGUUCGUCGCGGGGCCGAGACCGUCGCGCGCCUGCUCGCCGAGCCGGGGACGCGUGCUCGCGCCAGGGGGUCGUGCCCAGGCCGCCCGCGCCGGGCCGCCGGGGCCGCCGUGCCGGCAAGGCCGAGCCCUUGCCGCGGCUGCGGCUGCGCCCUGGCCACUGCGCGCUGGCGAGCCGCGCCGGGCCGCAGCGACGCCGCUGCAGGGGGCGGCGGGGAGAGGGAGGCGCGGGGGAAAGGGAGGGUGAGGGCGAGCGGCGUCAAGGAAGAGAGAGGGAUGUGCGCGGGAUCGGGGAGGGAGAGAAGGAGGUAGGGGAAAGGGGGUGGGGCUGACGAGCGGGCCCCACCAGGGGGGUGGCGGCGGCGGAGGCUGGGGGAGGGGCGCGGCCUAGGGUUAAGGGGGUGGGGCUGCUGCGCGCGGGAUGGACCAGGUGGGCUGCGCGGGGGAGGGGGCGGCUGGGCCGCCGAGCCAGCCGGCCCAAGGGGAAAGGGGGAAGGAGGGGGGCUGCUGGGCCUGCCAAAGAGCCGACCCAAGAGAGAAGGGGGAUCCUUUCUAUUUUCCAUUUUCUUUAUCUUUUGUUCUUUCCUAUUUUCUUCACGAUGUUAAAUUGAAUUCCUCAUUAAACCCAUGCUCCACAAAAUCACUCAUCAAACAAAGUGAAAGUAUACGCCAGCAUGAUGCGACAAUCAAAGCGCUCAUAGGGUUUUAAUUUACUAGGCUUACACGUAGAUAUAAUACAAAAUAAUUCCCCACUAUUUAGGGAAAGAAAAGAAAGAUCAAGGAAAAGAGAGGGUAACACCUGAAUUUGGUGGAUAUUGGAAAAGAAAUUUUAUAUCCCCAAAUUCAGGGUGUUACAAAUCUAACCCCCUUAACAGAAUCUCGCCCUCGAGAUUCAAGAAGGGGCUAGCAAGAAAAUGAGAUUGGUUCAUUGGUUGAUCAUGACCUUCUUGAGUUGGCUUUCACUCUGCAACCUUAACUUGCGGACUUGUUGCUUUGACUUUCAGAUGCUCGAGACCAAUUGAUGCAGUUCUUGAGGAUCUCCUGGACCUGUGGGUUAGGACCCCCACAUGCUUCCGUUGCGCCACUCCGAUCUUGUUGGUUGAUGUUGAUCGCAUUGCCUUCAUUGGGGUUAGCGGCUAACCCCCUUAACAGAAGCAUUGAUACGCACUUGGUGAAGAUGCUGCCAACUCUGAUCUUGACCGAUUAAGAGAGGUUGGAGGUUGCCAAAUGGACAGGUGUGAGAGGAAAGAAUAGCGAGAAAACAUAAGUAUAGACAGAUUAGAGAGAGUAGGGGGAGAACCCAACUACUUAACUCUAUGGCACUCAACUAGUAAACUGAUGUCAUUGCGGACCAAGGGCCACAACACAUCAACACUCAUCACAAAGAAGCAAAUCAGUCAUCACACAAAGACAAACAGCACAAGCAUACAACAACAAACAUCUCGUUGCUAUACGUCACUUUUAAUUAAAUGGUGGUCUUUCCUUACCAAGGGAAAACUAUUCUAAGGCCAUCGAAAGGCAAGGGGAAUAAUAAGACAUACAGAAUAAGGGCAUGAGCACUAUAAAGGAUGGAGCUAAAGCAAGGAUUGUAACCGACAGGGGAGAGAAUGCAACCAAAGUCAAGAUAGGUAAAACAUCAUUCUCAAAUCAAAAUAGGAAAGAUGAUAUUUCAAAAGGUAGGCAUAGGGUAAGCAUCAUGGAAAGAUCUAGAUAUUAGGAAGGUAAGGGUGAUAUCGAGCAAAAGCUAAGACUUGCAAUGCGACAGAGGAAAAGGGAACGGACAAGAGCGAGAUGGGCAAGACCUCACUCUUGGAAUGAAAUGGGAGAGGUGGCUUUAAAAUGCGGGCAAGCAUCAAGGUAAGGAUCGAGGGACGACAAGGGUUAAGGUGAUAAUGGUCGAACACACAACAAAGGAUUUUUUUGACAGAACUGGUAAGGUGUCAAAGAAGGGGGAGCAGUCAGUGAUGAAAUAGAUGAGGCAUUAUCCCCGAACAGGGAUGGAAAAGAGGAGGCUCAAAGGGGUAGGUUCAAUGUAAGCAUGUGGGCAAGGGCAUAGGUAUCACGAGGGUUUAAAGGUGAUAACGGACGAGGAUGUAGGAGAGGAGGUAAAUGUGCAUAAGAACCAAGAAUAUAAGUACCACAAAGGAUGGAGUUAAGACAAGACCUACAAACGGAAAAGGAGAGGGUACGUCCAAGGGCCAGAUAGGUAAACUGCCACUCUUAAAUUGAGGUGGAAGAGAGGAGAUUUUUUUAAAGAAUAAGAAUAAAGAUAAGUAUCAAAGCAAGACUGAUGGAUGACAAGGUAAUGGUGGUAGCAAAUAAAACACACAACCGAGGAUGGAAUUAAGACAAAACUUGUAAGGUGAUAAGAAGUGAAAAUAAAUCAAGGGAGAGAUAGGUAAUUCACAGCUCUCAAACUGGGUUGAAAGAAAGGGGAGACUUUUAAAAGAUAAAAUCAAGGUAAGCAUUUAGGUAAAGACAUAAACAUCGCAAGGGUCAAAAGCGAUGAUGGACGGGCGUGUAAGAGAGAAGAUAAAGGCAUAGAAGGGCCAGUGGUAUAAGUACAACAAAGAAUGUAGUAACGUCAAGGCUCGCACAUGGUAAGGAAGAGGAUAUUGCAAAGGGUGAGAUAGGUAAAACACCGCUCUCAAAUUGAGUUAGAAAAUAGGAGAUUUCAAAUAGCCGACCUAGAAUAAGCAUCGAGGCAGGAUCCACCUAUUGCGAAGGUAAGGAUGAUAUCGAACAAAAGCUCAUGAAGGAUGGAGUUAAGGUAAGACAAGACUUGCAACGUGACAAAGGAAAAGGAAAUGAACAAGAGCGGGAUAGGGAAAACAACACUCGGAUUGAAAUGGAACAAAUGAGGCUUUAAAAAUGUGGGUGAGUGUCAGGGUAAAUAUGGAGAGAUGUCAAGGGUCAAGGUUGAUAACAGACAAGGCUAUAAGUGAAGAGGUAAAUGUGCAUCAGAACCAAGGAUCUAAGUACAACCAAGAAUAGAGUUAAGCUAAGUCUUGCAAAUGGUAAGGAAUGGGAUAUAACCACGGGUGAGAUAAGCAAGACGCCACUCUUGAACGGAGAUGGAAGAUUGGAGAUUUUAGAUAACAGGCAUGGAGUAAUUACCAAGGUAAGAUCAAGAGAGAAAGGUGGAGGCAAUAACAAACAAAAGCACAACAAAGGACGAAGUUACAAACUCGCAAGCCAAAGAAGAGGAUACGACCAAGGUAAAGAUAGGUAAAGUGUAGCUCUCAGAAUGAGACGGAAGAGAGGUGAUUUUAAAGGGCAGGUAUGAGACAAACAUCAAACAAAAUAUAAAGGUGUCUAAGGUGAAGGUGAUUAUAACAAAAGGCAUGACAAAGGAUAAAGUUAAGGCAAGACUCAUGAAGUGGCGAAGUGGAGAAAACAAUCAAGGGUAAGAUAGGUGAGGGUGCAAUAGAAUGGUUGAAGUAAGAAUUCAUUAUCGAUAGAAGUUAUAAAGGAACAACGAGAUCACCAAGGAUGGGCAACAUAAAAUGAUCGCUCAUGGACCGUUGAGAAAUAGGGGUGGUCAAGGACAUGUUAACUGAAAUGUCCUGAACAGUUAUUGGGAUAUAAAGGUAGGCAUAAAAAGAUAAGAGUAUGAGAGAUUUCAAGGAGAUGAGCAUACCAAUACCAAGAGUAAAGAAAUUGCCGAAAGAUAGCGACUUAACAACAGAAAAGGAAAAGGUCUCAAAAGACAGAAAGGUCAUGAACAUAUAAACUGAAAUGUUUUAAGUAGGCAAUAGAAAUUUAGAGGCAAGUAUUUGAAACAAGAGUAUUAAAGGGAUACAAGCAUGUCAAUACCAAAGGACUAGAGUUCGCCAGAUGGUAGCAAUUUGAUGACGAAAGAGGAAAGAAUCCCAAAAAGAUAAGAAGAUUAUGGUCAGGGGCAUCUACAAAGGUGUCUCAAGCAAAAGGGUGAGAAUAGAACUAGUAUGACCAGCAAGUAAUAAACCAUAAAUAAAUGAAGGAUUAGAAUAAAACACAAUUUUCAGCAAGGUAUAAUAUAUAGUAGAACAUAGGUUUGGUCGAUAUGACCAACUUUUGAAGGGAUACCAAAGUCAAGGCAGGGACAGAGGUCUAUAAUCCUUAGAACGACCAUUCUAUUCUAGGUUAGCGGUCCUACAGUCAGCACGGCUCUGAUACCACUUAUGUCACACCCGGUUUUAGAAGGCAAACCGAAUGCGAACCAUGUACGUGCCAGGAUCAGUUAUUCACGUACACAGCAGUUACAUAACAUGGACAUCAUCACACAGUGCUCAAAAUGGUAUUAAAAGGGAAAUAAUAGUUGAUUACAUCAUACGUCUGAGACAUCCACAUAGUCCUUACAAUAAAAAUCAAAGUGCGGAAAAGAAACGUAGAUAAACGCGGCCUUCACAGGCAACCGACUGGGGGUUGCCGCUAACCCACGCCUAGAACUCGUCGUAGUCUUGGAACUCCUGGAAGUCUCCUUCCACGGCUUCAUCUUCUCCUGAGCAGUGGUUGCAAUGCUGACAACCUGGGGAUGGGGGGGGUUUGGUGUGUAGAGCAAGGGUGAGUACACAUCAACAUACUCAGCAAGUAUCCUGUUUGGCUGUAGUGGACUAGCUUUAUGUGGGGAUAAGUCAAGCAGUUGCUUUUAGUUGGUCAGAUUAUUAUUUACUAAUAGAAAGCCAGGUUUUAGCAUUAACCCAAGUUAUUAGCCCGAUGUACCCUUUCCAAACGGAAAGAAUACCACUUACCAGCACCAUAGUCGUAACCAGAACCAUCAAUCUCAUAGCUACCUGUACCAUAAUGUCUCUGAUCAAGUACCACUAAUCACUGGAGCUCCCUUGGCCGCUCAUAACCGCGAGCACGGCUGAUAUAUCAGUUUUCAAACACUCUGCAGAGGUUGUGCACUUUACCCACAAGCCGUGAUUCCCUUUCUACCCGGAGAUCAUGACUCUCCAUUGAUCACUACCAAGGUGUCGGUGUUUUGGGUCCGACCGCACACCCGGGGUUGCCCCUCAAGGUGUUUUUAGGAGUAGGACGGUGUCAACGACUGUAGCAAAAUGGUUCGUGCCGAUCGCACGAGGGACAAUGGACAAGAUUUGCAGGUUCGGGCCGCUUAGAAGUGCGUAACACCCUACGUCCUGGUGAGUAUAUGAGCGUGGUUACAAGAGGACUCUCUGGAUUGAGGGCGCAGAGAGUUUACGUGGGUGGCUAAGUAAAAUAGGGUCGAUCGAUCUGAAGGGGUGCCCCCUAGGCCUUAUAUACUCGACCGUGGGGCAGUACACGUGGAUAUGAUAACAACAAGUAGCUGAAAGGUAGUGAACCUCUUGAGUUUAUCCUUACGUAACUCUCGCCGACUUAUCCUCGCAUGGCUCUGUUGCAUGGGGGCUUCAGCGCGGGAAAGUCGGAUCUCUGUUGCGAUUUACUCGUUCGACGUUGUGGGCCGUCCGGGUUUGCAUCAAUCCGGUCUUACGUCUUCUCUGCUUUGUUGAUUGUCUCUCCCGAGGCCCACGAAAGAACGACCUUACGAUUUAUUGGGCCUUUGGGCCUUUCGGGAGGUCUUUUACUUCUUUAGUGGACCCAGGGGAUAUCUAUCCCCCACAAGCCCCCGAUCUUUGGGUUGAUUUGGAGGUAAUCAACCCAAAGAUCCAAGGUCCAAAAAAUGACUUCCUGAUGUCUUCUCUUGCUCCGAUCACUCAUUCGACCGAAGUUUAGCUCUGUACUUGUGCCUUAGAGGUCGGCAUUUUGAUUUGUAGGAUUCUGAACUUCAUUGGGUGCACCGGAGGUGCACCCAAUGGGUGUAGCCCCCGACCUUUGAGUAGAUUUUAGAAGAUAAUCUACUCGAAGGUCUUCCCCAGAAAUUAUCUCCAUGCGCGCUCCUGUACCUCGGUUGAGGAUUGGUCUUUUCAAUCUUGUCCCACGCCUUAGAAGUCGGCACUAUAUCGGGUUAGAAUGAUAAUCCAUGGGGUGCACCGGAGGUGCACCCAAUGGGUGUAGCCUCCGACCUUCAAAUGGAUUUUUUAAGGAUAAUCCGUUCGAAGGUCUUCCUUUUGCUUGUAAAAAUUGGCAUGAAGCUAUUCGUAUUAUGCUUUGGAGGUCAGCAUUAUGUCAUCAAAAUUUUGCUGCAGAGGUCAGCAUAUAUUUUGUCUUUAGCAGCCGAGUCUGCAAUCCGUCCAUAUCUUGUUAGGUAAUGCAAUUUAUUUGCUUCUGCGACUUGAUUGGACGUUUAAUGGACGUUCUCUGUCUAGUCCUCACAUCACUUCUGUCGGUCAUAUCUUGUACUUUGUUGGCUAUAUUUGGCUUUCCUCUGAUCCUUACUGAUAUCUCAUUUUUGUCUUGAGGUAUUUACUGCGUGCUCUGCACGAAUGUGACCGUUUUGGAAAAUAUACUGAUAAUUCCUGGGCGUCCCCCCCAAUGGGUGUGGGCAAGGGACGGCUUGGUACGCUGAGUGUUUUAGCCGGCUGCUUCUGAGUAGUAAUGUGAUGGGACGGCUAGUGUAAUCAUAUCCUUUGCGCUGUUGACUGGAGUCCUAAUGGGUGUAGUGUUGCACGAAACGGCGUCUGCCGUCUGACGUGUCUUCAGAUGGGUGGGAGUGCUUAUUGAAUGCUUUGCGACUGUUCAGUGACCGCGGUUGGAAGUGAGCGGUUGCCUUUCCUUUCUAUAAAUAACGCCCUUGCUCCUCUGGUUUUUUCACAUCCUUUGUUGUUCUCUGUUUCUUCCCUUUCUUCUCUCCCGUCUGCUUCCACCAUGGGCAAGAACAACAAGCGCAAGCGUGAGCCGACUCCUCCAUCGGAGGAGUUUGGUGACUCGGAAUACUCAGAGGAGGAGUUCUCCUCUGAGUCCGAGGGGUCUCCGGCUCCCAUCCCCCUGCGUGAGUCGUCUGAUGACUCAGACGACUCCCAGGGGCUUGCGGCGGAGGUCUGGACGUACAUCCGGGCCGUCGAGCGCUCCGGGCUCGAGGGCUCGGAUGAGUCUGAGUUCUCCUCGGACGAGGAGGACUCGGACGGCGGCGAGGACGAAGAUGAUGACGACGACGACGACGACGACGACGGUGGCGACGGCGACGGUGACGGCAGCAACGGCGGCGGAGGCAGCGGCGGCAAGGGCAGCACCAGAGGCGGCAGCAGCACGGGGAGCACCAGAGGCGGCAGCAGCAAGGGCAGCACCAAGGGCGGCGGCGGCAAGGGCAGCAGCAGCAAGGCCAGUGGCUAAACGCCACUGGUCUUUAGAUAUUAGUAUAGUGUAGUUAAAAUAAUGUAAUAGUAAUGUAGAGUAGUAUAGUGUAGUUUAGUAGUAGUAGUAAUGUAGAGUAGAAGUAGGGAAGCACCAACUCGCGAAGAGUUGGUUUGUAAUCUUAUUGACUUCCCCUUAAUGAAGAACUGUCGUUGACCCCCUUUUUGAUGACUCGCUUUCUCUGAUUGUUGAACUGAUUCUUUUGAUAUAGUAGAUGAAUAUCUUUGCGCAUCACAUUGACGCCUCCAGAAGCAGCUGCCGAGUAAUAUCUUAGUCGAUGUCGGCGUUUUUAGAAGCAAUGCCGAGCGAUUUGAAGGUUGACAUCAGCGUUUUAGAAGUAACGCCAAGCAAUCGAACACGAGAUCAGCGUUUUAGAGGCAACGCCGAGUGAUAGAAAGUCAUCAUCGGCAUUUUAGAAGUAAUGCCGAGCGAUUGAAUACGAGGUCAGCGUUUUAGAGGCAACGCCGAAUGAUAGAAGGUCGGUGUCGGCAUUUUAGGAGUAAUGCCGAGCGAUUGAACGCGAGGUCAGCGUUUUAGAGGCAACGCCGAGUGAUUGAAGGUCGGCGUCGGCAUUUUAGAAGUAAUGCCGAGCGAUAGAAUACGAGUUCGGCGUUUUAGAGGCAACGCCGAGUGAUUGAAGGUCGGCGUCGGCAUUUUAGAAGUAAUGCCGAGCGACAGAAUACGAGGUCGGCGUUUUAGAGGCAACGCCGAGUGAUUGAAGGUCGGCGUCGGCAUUUUAGAAGUAAUGCCGAGCGACAGAAUACGAGUUCGGCGUUUUAGAGGCAACGCCAAGUGUUUAAUGGUCGACAUCGACAUUUUAGAAGUAAUGCCGAGCGAUUUAAACACGAGGUCGGCGUUUUAGAGGCAACGCCGAGUGAUAGCCAGCCGCACGAGUUAUUUUUAGGAUAAUAACCGAGCGAUGAAGUGGCACGUCAGCUUUUUUGGAAAUAACUGUUAGAUGUCCACGUGGCAUGCUGGGAUUUCGGAAAUAACUGCCGGGUGAUGACUGGGCACUUUUUGAAGGGGUAUCUGGCUCAAGAAUAUCCCAUAAGAGUUGCGCUUUUAGCCGCCUUUGCUUUCCGUGCCCUAGUUCUUGCAUUCCCGCAUCUGAAUCUUCUCUGCCACUCGCCUCCUACUCUGUUCGCCAGUGAGAAGCAAGAUGGCGCCCAAGAGGAAAACUGCGAACUCGUCUGCUGCGGUGAUCCCCGCAAUCGACCCCAACAGUCAGUUACCCUUCGCAGGUAACCACAUGUCUGUUAUUUCCGAAGCUGAGCUUCUCCGCCUCGUCUCCAUCGGGGUUCUUCCUCCGCGGGAACUCUGUUCUUGGCGGAUUUGCCACGGGACUACUGUCCCAACCGAAGAUACCCACGAGUCAGUAGUUUACGCUCCUUUUCUUCUCCGCGGCCUCGGCCUUCCUAUCUCUCCUUUUUUCCGUGGCCUUCUUGACUUUUAUCACAUCAACUUGACCCAUUUGAACCCUAAUUCCAUUCUCCAAAUCUCCAUUUUCGUUCACCUAUGCGAAGCCUACCUCGGUGUGCUGCCGCAUUUCGGUUUAUGGAAGUAUCUGUAUCAUUGUCGCCCUGGGAUGGCCGGGGGGCAACACCAGCUGGUCGGAGGUGCCAGUUUGGAGAUGCGCCGUGGGCGGAAGACCGAGUAUCUUGAGAUUCCCCUCAAAGAUAGCAUUAAAGGGUGGCGUCUGGAGUGGUUUAUAGUUGACAAUUAUGGAAAUUCUCUCCCCUCCCGGUCGGGAAGACAGCCAGACGUUCGCACUCCGAGUUGGACUGAGUCUCCUACAGAUCAGGAAGUGGCCGAGGCAGGCGUGCUGCUUACUGAAGUCGGAUUACUGAAAGAAAGAGGUCUGACUGCCGAAGCUGUGGUCACUGAUUUUGUUUUCAAGAACAUUCAGCCACUGAAAGAUAGGGCCUAUCCAGCAUAUCUGUAUCAAGGGAUGGCCGACUCAACUCGGGUCACCAAUAAGAGAAUUCCUUCUGCUGACUUGGUAAGCCGGCUUGAAAUGAUCCUCAGGGGUAAAGUUUCGAAUGUUGGUGCUCCAGUGGCAUACUCGGCUUGGAACCUGCCUCCUCCCAAAGCUUUCACCCUUUUUGUGUCAAAUCCGCCUGUGACUGAUAGCAAUUUGGGCCUUAGAGUGCGACCUUCUGCUGAAGAAGUCAGUACUUUGGUCGCUUCGCUCGGGGCAAUUCCUGAUGAUGAACGGCAGGUUUAUUUUGAAGUGCCUCUGAACCCUAGUGAUGCCGACAUAAACGAUAUGCUUGAUCUGUUAGCUGAGGAUUCAUCCGAUGCUGCUCCUGAUGGUACGUUGGCAGUGGUGCCCCUUCCAGAGGUUGAUACAACUUUGGAUGUCCCGAAACCUAUCAGCACUCGCCCGAGGCGCCCUAGCCGAACCAGUCAGCCCGAGCCUUCUGCUGAUGAGCAAAAGAAAAAGAGAAGACGCCUCCGGCGAGUAUCCAGUUUUGAUGAGGACGCCGGUACCUUAGCUCCUGCUGCUGAAGAAGUGCCUGCAACUGGUCUUACUGACACUGAUCCCAAUGGGUGUGCCCAAACUGUUGCUGAUCCCAAUGGGGGUGUUGUUUGCGUUGCCGCCGUGGAGGAUGAAGAGGAAGAAAAUGAGACUCCCUUAACUCGGAAAAACAGUCGGCAGUUCAUCGCCAGCGGUGGAAGUAGUGGAGUUCCUUCUCCUGCUUUGUCUGCCCUUAUUGGUCUGCAAGAACUGUCCAUGGCCAAUUUUGAUCAAACUCUAGAGGAUAUGGUCCCAGAGGAUUUGCUAUCAGAGCCUGUGGAUGUUGAUGCAACAGAGACUUGUGCUGCCGUGCCCGAUGCUGGGUUGAGGUCAUCCCGUGCCUCGUCGACCUUAGAGCAUGAUCUCGAGGGUCGGGAUGCUGACUUGGAUUGUCCUGGUCCCAUGGAAGUAGCUGAAGGCCCGUCAACCUUAGAGGUGGUUACGGCAGAGAGCUUGGACCCCUUGAAUAGUGCUGACACGCGCCCAGCCCCCGAGGAUGUCGUCGGGGAAGACUUAGCUCGGGUGAAGAGUAUAAGCCACUGCCCAGCCCCCGAGGGUGUUGCUGGGAAUGAUCCGGCUCAAGUGGGCAGUGCCAACUGUGACCCAGCCCCCGAGGGUGUCCAAGCAAGGUCUCCUUCCUGCACUUCCAUGGAUGUUCAUGCAGGUUCACCUCCACACUCUGGCGGUAUGGUGGUGGCCCAGACUCUGGAUCAGGGGGUCGCUUUAGAGGGCAGCAUCCCCACUGGUCUGGCGUUAGGCUCUGUUGAAUGUACUGAACUCGUUCCUGCUGGUCUGCUGCAAGCUGCUUCGGGUGGUGGUCUGGCACCUGGUUAUCAACUGAUUUCUCCUGACUUGGGGAUCCCUUCGUUCUUUUCCAACCUCCAGGUACUGUGCGGUACUUUAGCUUGUUCUUUACGUUGCAUGAAUUUUUGUCAUUAUGCUUAUCCGCUCUUCUCAUCAGGCUUUGGUGGAUGGGAUGGCCAGCCAGCUGAAAUCGCAGGGUGCUUCCAUCCCAGAAGUGGCUUCAUCUCUUGAGCGUUGGAACCCGGUGUCACUUCAUCGUCGUGUAUCCGAGUUGGAGGCAACUAACGCUGGUUAGUGCCCUUCUUCUUCUUCCUUGCUUUUAUUUGUGGAUUGUUUUACCUUCUGACCUCAUUUCGUUUGAUUACCUCUUGAUAGGAAUGACUCGGCAGAUUGCAGUUCUUGAGGAAAAACAUUCCCGAGAUCAAGCUGAAAUGGCUCAACGGUGUGCUGACUUCGAGGAGAAGUAUUCUCAGAGCCAGACUGAACUGAAUCAGGUUUCCGCUGCUUUGGAUGACGCCAACGCUCUGAGUUCUUCUCUUCACGCUCGGCUUGACUCUGAAAAGGUAACUUACCAAACCGUGCCUCGCCUUGUUAUGCUCUUACUACUUACUUGGAUUCUGAAGGAGUUGAUUUUUGUUUGUAGGAAGAAAAACGUAUCCUUGCUGCCUCUCGCGACAAUCUGGACAGAUUGUACCGAGAUUCUAGCAACUCGCUGACCAUCCUGGAGAGGAGUCACCGCUUUACAAUGGAAGAACUGGACAAUCAGCGCUGCAGGCUGCAAGAAUCUGUGGACGAAGUGACCCGCCUCAAUCAAUUGAUAUCAGCAAAGGAUGCCACCAUCAAGGGACUCCGAGCUUCUAAGAAAUCCAUUGCUCAGGAGUUAGAAACUGCUCAGCUGGCUGCUAAAGUUGCCGAGGAAACUGCUGUUACUCUCAAAGCUCAGCGUGACAAAGCUAUGGACAAGGCUAUUCGGGCGGGACGAAUCUUGAUGAGAAGACCCGGCGUGGUAGUUCCUGAGGACAUAAAGGCCGACGUGCAUGCUGCCCCCGAUUCCUCGAAUCGCCCUUCCUCGUAUGUCGUUCCUGAGAGAGACAUUGAAAAAUAGAGGAACAUUCUGCGUGCUAUGAGCGCGCGGUUAGUACGAUCAAGUACUCGCUAGAGGAUAUCAGCUUAUCAUUCGAAUGACAUGAUUACUUUCUUUAUUGUAUCAGAAUUUAUUAGUUCGCGAGUUUGUGGUAAUGCUGCAUGAUGAUUAUGAAGUUUGUUUUCGGGAUAUGGAAGUCAUCCCCUGAAUUGCAUAAGCGCGAGUAUGCUGCACCGGCUUAAGCCAUCGCUGACUUUUAGCCGAUAGCUCCGUUCGUAGGGCAUAGUGGUCACCCCGAGUUAAGUAAGCGUGAGCAUGUUGCACCGCCUUAAGUCGUUGCCGACUUAAGUCGAUUGCUCCGUUUGUAGGGCAUAGUGGUCACCCCGAGUUAAGUAAGCGUGAGCAUGUUGCACCGCCUUAAGUCGUUGCCGACUUAAGUCGAUUGCUCCGUUUGUAGGACAUAGUGGUCGUCCCGAGUUAAGUAAGUGUGAGCAUGUUGCACCGCCUUAAGUCGUUGCCGACUUAAGUCGAUUGCUCCGUUUGUAGGGCAUAGUGGUCACCCUGAGUUAAGUAAGCGUGAGCAUGUUGCACCGCCUUAAGUCGUUGCCGACUUAAGUCGAUUGCUCCGUUUGUAGGACAUAGUGGUCGUCCCGAGUUAAGUAAGCGUGAGCAUGUUGCACCGCCUUAAGUCGUUGCCGACUUAAGUCGAUUGCUCCGUUUGUAGGGCAUAGUGGUCACCCUGAGUUAAGUAAGCGUGAGCAUGUUGCACCGCCUUAAGUCGUUGCCCCCUUAAGUCGAUUGCUCCGUUUGUAGGGCAUAGUGGUCACCCUGAGUUAAGUAAGCGUGAGCAUGUUGCACCGCCUUAAGUCGUUGCCCCCUUAAGUCGAUUGCUCCGUUUGUAGGGCAUAGUGGUCACCCUGAGUUAAGUAAGCGUGAGCAUGUUGCACCGCCUUAAGUCGUUGCCCCCUUAAGUCGAUUGCUCCGUUUGUAGGGCAUAGUGGUCACCCCGAGUUAAGUAAAAAUGCAAGUCAAUCGCAAAUGAGCCGAGUGUCUUUGAAAUCUCUCUUUAUUGAUGACGUAUUUCCAUUUUACAGAAUACAUGGUCGCCCCAGCUGUUUUGAAAUACAGCUAGGGGUAAAACUUUCUGAGGUGCUCUAUGUUCCAGGAGUUCCCAAUUUCUGUGCCAUCCAUCUGGGUGAGGCGAUACGACCCGGGCCGAGUGACUUCUGCUACUAUGAAAGGCCCUUCCCAUAGGGGUGAUAACUUGUGUCGUCCCUCCCCCGUUAGAAUUCGGCGGAGGACGAGGUCUCCUAUUGAAAAGAACCGCUGCCGCACAGCUUUGUCGUGAUAGCGCCUUAGAGUUUGCUGGUACCGUGCUGAUUGGAUUACUGCAUUCAGUCGCUCUUCCUCAAGUACAUCAACAUCUUCCAGCCUGGUGGCCUCGGCUUCUGCUAUGCUUUCGAAGAUCAAUCUUGGCGCCCCAAACUUGAGAUCAGCAGGUAGCACUGCCUCCGAUCCAUAGACCAUGAAGAAAGGAGUAUUUCCAUGCAGGGCUCGGCUAGGUUGGGUUCUUAAGCUCCAAACGACAUAAGGCAGUUCUCUUAUCCAUUUUCCUGCGAAUUUUUCAUUCUUAUCGAAGACCCUUUUCCUGAGUGCCUCCAAUAUCAUUCCGUUGGCUCGCUCAACCUGCCCGUUGGCUCUUGGAUGUGCUACAGAUGCGUACUUGAUCUGAAUGCUCUUUUGUUCGCAGAAGUCAAAGAAUUCUGAACUGGUGAAGUUGGAUCCCAAGUCAGUGAUGAUACUGUUUGGUAUCCCGAAUCUGAAUAUUAUGCUUUGUAUGAAUUCCACGGCUUUAGCAGAGGUUAAAGAAGCAAUGGGCUGAAACUCUAUCCAUUUAGUGAAUUUGUCAAUUGCCACCAAUACAUGGGUAUAUCCUCCUUGAGCUUUCUUGAAAGGUCCAAUCAUAUCCAGUCCCCAGCAUGCGAAAGGCCAAGUUACUGGUAUGGUCUGUAGUUGCUGUGCUGGCAUGUGCUGUUGCUUUGACAAGUAUUGGCAAGCUUCGCAUCUCUGAACUAACUCGGCUGCAUCGUUCUUCGCCGUCGGCCAAUAGAAUCCUGAUCUGAAAACCUUCCCGACUAGUGUUCUGGAUGCUGCAUGUACUCCACAUUGCCCUGCGUGGACUUCCUCCAGAAGUUGCUUCCCGGUGGACGGGAGAACGCACUUCAUGAGGACGCCUGACGCGCCCCUCCUGUAUAAUACCUCCCCAAUGAGUGUAAAGUGAGCCGAUUGUCUGGCAAUACGCUCUGCCGAGUUCUUGUCAUCUGGUUCUUCUUCAUUCUUUAUAUACUUAAUAAUCGGUCGUCUCCAGUCAUCAGAGUCUGACUCGGGUUGAUCUAUGACGUUGCACUCUUCUGUUUGAUCCAUCGAGAUACUCGGCUGGAGAAUUUCUUGCACGAAGACCCCGGGCGGGACCUGAGUCCGACCGGAUCCGAGCUUGGACAGUACAUCGGCCGCCGUGUUCCGAUCUCUUUCUAUAUGAUGAAACUCUAGACCCUCGAAUUUAUCUUCCAGCUUUCGGACGGCGGCGCAGUAUUUUCCCAUUGAAUCACUUGAACAAUCCCAUUCCUUGUUUAUAUGGCUGAUGACUACCAGAGAAUCUCCAUAUACCAUCAAUCUCUUGACGCUCAGUGAUAUGGCGAUGUUUAAUCCGUGUAUCAAAGCUUCAUACUCGGCUGCAUUGUUAGAGGCCGGGAAUAGCAACUGGAGAGCAUACUUGAGGUGUUCGCCUCCAGGUGCAGUGAAGAGAAUCCCUGCUCCUGCUCCCUGCAGCUUCAGCGAGCCAUCAAAAUACAUUCGCCAUACUUCUGCUGUCUCUGGAUUGUCUGGAACUUGCUGUUCUGUCCAUUCCGACACGAAAUCAACCAGUGCUUGAGUUUUGAUGGCGGUGCGAGGUCGGAACUCGAUAUCGUGGGAUCCCAACUCGCAAGCCCACUUGGCUAUUCGGCCAAUGGCUUCCUUGUUGUGAAGAAUGUCCCCUAUUGGGAAACCAGUAACUACUAUGACUUUGUGGUCGUCAAAGUAGUGACGCAGCUUGCGGGCAGUUAGAAGUACUGCAUAUAAUAGUUUCUGAACCUGAGGAUACUUUUUCUUCGAGGGGCCUAGAACUUCACUGAUGAAGUAGACAGGAUGUUGUACUGGAUAGGCAUGUCCUUCUUCUACUCGCUCGACUACCAACGCAGUACUUACCACGUGAGUCGUGCAAGAGAUAUACAACAACAAAUCUUCAGCCGGUCGAGUCGGCGUAGCUCGCCAGGGUGGUUUCAAUACCGGUGGUGUUGUCAAGAAUUUUUUCAGUGCGUCUAGAGCUUCUUGUGCUUCUGAAGUCCAUUGAAACUUAUCCACCUUCUUGAGCAGCUAGUAAAAUGGCAAACCUUUUUCUCCCAGCCUGGAUAUAAAUCUGCUCAGAGCUGCCAUACAUCCAGUGAGUCGCUGAACCUUCUUUUGCGACCGAGGAGCUUCCAUCUUCAUGAUAGCUUCAAUCUUAUCUGGAUUAGCCUCAAUUCCCCGGUGGCUGACGAUAAAUCCGAGCAACUUUCCUGCUGGUACCCCGAAAACACAUUUUUCAGGAUUGAGCUUCCAUCUAUAUCUUCUCAGGCUGUUGAAAACCAACUGUAAAUCUUCGAUGAAGUUUUCCGAAUUCUCUGUUUUGAUCACCACGUCAUCUACGUAGGCCUUCACACGCUUGCCCCAGUGAUCGGCUAAGCAUGUUUGAAUGGCUCUCUGAUAAGUCGCUCCAGCGUUUUUGAGGCCGAACGGCAUGGAGGUAUAACAGAAAGCACCAAACGGAGUGAUGAACGCCGUUUUUUCCUCGUCUUCUUUUGCCAAACUAAUCUGAUGAUACCCGGAAUAGCAAUCUAAGAAAGACAGCACAGAACAUCCGGCGGUGGAAUCCACCACUUGAUCUAUCCUCGGGAGCCCGAAGGGAUCCUUCGGACAGUGUUUGUUGAGAUCAGUAUAGUCGACGCACAUGCGCCAAUCCACUUUAUUCUUUUUGAGUACAAGAACAGGGUUGGCUAACCACUCGGGGUGUAAUACUUCUCUAAUAAAUCCAGCCGCGACCAAGCGGGCUAACUCGGCACGAAUGGCCUCUCUCUUGUCGGGCGUGAAACGACGUAGCUUUUGCCGGAUCGGCCUCGCCUGAGGAUAGACCUUCAAUUUGUGCUCGGCCAGUUCUCUUGGGACUCCCGGCAUAUCCGCAGGUUGCCAUGCGAAUACGUCUCGGUUAUCUUGCAGGAACUGGACGAGCGCGCUUUCCUAUUUGUCAUUCAAACUGGAGCUGAUGAUGGCCGUCUUGCGCUCAUCAGCGAACCCCAGGUUGAUCCGCUUGGUUUCUUCAAUUGGCCGCAUAGAGGUUACGGCCUGAGCUUCGUUUGCCGGUACGGCGAGGUCUUCCUCAGGCUUAGAGUUCGCCGGCGUAGAAAGAACCGUUGACGGCUUGGUGGUGAGGGCUGCUUGGAUGGCCACUCGGAAACAUUCUGCGGCGCCUUGGAAGUCGGCGCGCACAGUUAUGAUUCCUUGCGGUCCUGGCAUCUUCAGUAUCAUGUAUGUAUAGUGCGGAAUGGCCAUGAAUUUGGCCAGUCCCGGCCUCCCGAUGAUGGCGUUGUACCCGCAGUCGAAGUUCGCCACCUCGAACCUGAGGAACUCGGUUCUGUAGUUCUUCGGAGUCCCGAAGGUGACCGGCAUGUAGAUGUGGCCCAGCGGGUAUUCCCCUUCCGUCGGCACGAUGCCAAAGAAAGGAGUGUCCGACUCGUGGAGCUCUCUGAGGUGAACUCCCAAGCCUUGGAGCGUACGGGGGAAGGUGACAUUGAUGCAGCUCCCCCCGUCUACUAGCACCUUCUUUACCCGGCUCUCUCGGAUCACCGGAUCAACGAGGAGCGGGUAUUUGCCUGGAUGGUCGAAGUUGAGCCAUUGAUCCUCCCGAGUGAAAGUGAUCGGGUGCUCCGACCACCGGUAUGGGGCGGGAGGACCGGUGGUCGCCACCAGUAUCUGGCGGUCGUUGAGCUUCUGUUGUCUUUUGUUCUCCUGCGAUCCAUGUCCGCCGAAGAUGACGUUGACCUCCCUGUCAACGCGGGGGAAAGCUCCUCCUCCCCCCUCCUCCUGCUGACGGGGCUGUCGUGGUUCAUCUGGUCCUCCCCUCGGCGGAGGAGGCGGUAGAGGUUGGAAGGGUCGGCCGUGCCCGACGGAGUGCUUGAAGUCCCGGCAGUUUCGAAGAGUGUGGCGCAUGUCCUUGUGGUACGGGCACUAGGCGUCGAGGAUGUCGUCCAGCGUGCGCUCGCCUCCACGAGGUCCUCCUCGGGCGCGAGAGGCGGGUGGUCCGGCGGCGUGUACUUCUUCUCGAGGCCUCUUCUCCCAGCGUUUGUCGGAUGGCUGGUUCGCGUCGCGUCGUGGUGCUGCCGGUGCAGGCUUUGCUCCUCCGAUGAGAUCCUGGGCCCGCUCGUCGGCGGUGAUGUAGAGGUCGGCUUCCCGGAACAGCUCCUCGGAGGUAGUCGGUGCCUUUUGUAGUAUGGCUCGGACGAAAGCCGAGUCAUUGGAUCCUCUAUAGAAGUCCUCGAUCACAGCCGCCUCCGUGACCUCGGGGAUACGGUUUCUCAUGGUCUGGAACCUUUUGAGGUACGACCGGAGAGUCUCGUCCCCCCAGCGCUUGAUGGAUUUGAGGUCCCAUGGUUGCGCUGGUUUGUCGGAGAGGGACUGGAAGUUGGCGGUGAAACGUCGACUGAAGUCUCCCCAGUCGUCGAUGCAGUGUCGAGGUAGAUGUCGUAGCCACUGCAGCGCAUCUUGCCCAAGGACGAUGGGCAGAUACGCGGUCAUGACGUCUUCAGACGCCCCGGCAGCCCGAGCAGCGGUGGUGUAGACGGCUAGCCAACCCCCUGGAUCCUGCUUAGGUUCAUAUUUGUCGACGUUGGAUACCUUGAAGUUGGGAGGCCAUUGGAUGGCCCUAAGGCGCGGAGUAAGAGCGGAUACUCCGCACGUGUCUUCCUGUCGUCGGGGACGAUGUCUGUCCCGGGGAGGGGAGUGGUGGUGGUGGUUCCUCGACCGUCCCCGGGUGGUACCACCAGUUGAAGCUGUUGCCGACUCAGUCCUGGUGGCCUGGCCUUGAGUCGGGAAGCUGUGAUCUCGGUCAUACUCCUCCCGACGGCGAAUUUCGUUUUCAUGCCGCCGUUCGCGCGAAGCAUUGAUAGAGCUUCGCGCGUCUCGGCGACUGUUGAUGGCGUGUCGCAAAUCGUUCGGCGGGUGGGCGAGUGGUAGAAGAUGGUUGGCCGCCUGAGUGAACAGGCGUCGGUAUCCCUCGGCGUCGGGAGUCCGAGGAAGUCCAUCAGCUAUCCGAGCUAGAACGCCUCCGACUUCGCUCGGCGUGUUCAUAGCUCGGGCGAAGUCGGGGUUCAGGUUGCGCCAGAAGAGCGGAUUCUCCCGGCGUUGCCUUGCAUCUUGCUCGGCUUGCUCCUGAGUCCGUCGGCGAUCACGUCGUCGGGAGUUCCUUCGUUCCCUGAAGACGCGUUCCUCCGGGGUUUCUCCUAUCUCCGAGACCUCGUCUCGCGAGACAGGCUGCUCCGGAUCCCGUUCUCCGGCCGCGUGAUGUCGUCGAACGUUCCUGCGUCGGUUCCUCCGUCGGCGGGAUUCUCGUUGAGGUGGUUCUUCUCCAGGCGCGGUCGGUUCGUCGUCAGAGACGGCGGGCGACUCCACUCUCCCGAUGAAGAGGACGUCGGGGUAGAAUGGUGCUGCUGUCAUGGCGACUUUCUUUCCGUUCUCCUUUGAGGCCGGAGGAACGGAAAGAACGACUUGCCUUUCCCUGGUCUCCUUCUUCCUCGCGAUCCGUGUCCAUUCAUUUGUCGGGGAAGUAGACAGCGGAGUCUCCCGGGUCGGCGAGCCUCUAGCUCCAGCCUCUCCGAAGACGAUCUUUUUCCGAAGGGCUGGAGGUUGCGUUCCUCCAGCUUUUUCGGGGUUCGUUGGAGGAGACUUCUUUUCCGGCGGGUCCGCGAUGCGGUGUAGAAUUCCCUCUUCAUCCGCUAUAGAUGAGAUUGUCCCGAAGCAGAAAAUGGAUCCGGGACGCACGGUGAUCUUGCUUUGGAAGGUGACGGCCAUUGAGCUAGCUUGGAUCGUCGACACACCCCCUACCUGGCGCGCCAGCUAUCGGUGUUUUGGGUCCGACCGCACACCCGGGGUUGCCCCUCAAGGUGUUUUUAGGAGUAGGACGGUGUCAACGACUGUAGCAAAAUGGUUCGUGCCGAUCGCACGAGGGACAAUGGACAAGAUUUGCAGGUUCGGGCCGCUUAGAAGUGCGUAACACCCUACGUCCUGGUGAGUAUAUGAGCGUGGUUACAAGAGGACUCUCUGGAUUGAGGGCGCAGAGAGUUUACGUGGGUGGCUAAGUAAAAUAGGGUCGAUCGAUCUGAAGGGGUGCCCCCUAGGCCUUAUAUACUCGACCGUGGGGCAGUACACGUGGAUAUGAUAACAACAAGUAGCUAAAAGGUAGUGAACCUCUUGAGUUUAUCCUUAUGUAACUCUCGCCGACUUAUCCUCGCAUGGCUCUGUUGCAUGGGGGCUUCAGCGCGGGAAAGUCGGAUCUCUGUUGCGAUUUACUCGUUCGACGUUGUGGGCCGUCCGGGUUUGCAUCAAUCCGGUCUUACGUCUUCUCUGCUUUGUUGAUUGUCUUUCCCCAGGCCCACGAAAGAACGACCUUACGAUUUAUUGGGCCUUUGGGCCUUUCGGGAGGUCUUUUACUUCUUUAGUGGACCCGGGGGAUAUCUAUCCCCCACACAAGGUGACCCAGCAGGGCAUCACUACGUAGCCUUUACAAAGAUUCCCCGGGGCUGUAGUCGCCCGUUAGGUUUCCUAAAUGCAUCGCACUCCUCCCCAAGGGGCGAACCCAAACUUGGCAGAGUGAGCCGCAUACACCGAGCCCCAUUGAAGGCACGACGGCUAAGCGAACUACACCCCGGAUCCUCUAAUUAUUCAGCUAAGGGCACCCCAUUCCACCCUCAUGGUUGCACUGUUUUCCCGGGUGGUCAUCCAUAGAACAGGUCCUUACGGAGAGGCACUCGAGAAACCGCUCGAGCCCCCUUAAAGGCCACAAGUAUAACAUCAUAAUAAGAAGAGGGAAAAUAGCGUAUCAUAGAUAAACUCAUCAUGUUCAUUGAUUAGAGUUUGAGCAAUAGCAUAAAGCUAAACAAUAAUAAUCCAACCCAAAUAGGUAAACAAGGACAUGGAUAUCAAAGCUAGUCAAUCCUUAGGUAUAAAUGUGUAAUGCGGGAGGUGAUUUAAAGAAUGAAUAGGACAGAGAUAGGUCAAGGGACACUUUCCUUCACCAAACAGAUGCUCAGGGUCUUCAACUUUGUGGAACUCGAAGAGCCUGAUCACUUGGUCGCCAACGCUUGAUCGUCGAUUCCUCGAAGCCCAGAAACGAGUCGCGAUCUAAUCGCGACGCGAAGCGAAGACGAACAGGCACAAGCAAACAAACAUGUACAUAUGCAUAAGAACAUUACACCAUACAAAGAGAAACAUAAUCAAAACAUGCAAUACGAAAUAGAGCGCGUUACUACAGUCACGCGAGAAAAAGAAAUGUGAUAGUUGAAGCUACGAUCGAGGGGUUAGCGUAUUUACGCUAAACAAGUAUUAAUUAUAGCAUUUAGUUCGACAUGGUUAUAUUAAUCUACCCUUAUUAAACGUAGAUUAAAACUACUACCUAGUUUCGACUGAAAUACUAUUUUAAUAGUGAAUAAUUACUCAAAUAGCUACUUAACUGACCUGAGUCAUUAUAAGCGAACCGCUUAACCUCGCGCGCGGACAACGCGGGACACGCGCGAACGGCGCGCGGCAAGGCACGCGACACACGCGAACGGUGCGCGACAACACGUGAAACAUCACGCGACAACAUGUGAAAACAGCGCGACGGUAAGCUAGAAUCGCUAACCGAUCCCACAUCCCUCUUAAGAAAGUGUUAAUUACAACAUUUGCAUCGACAUAAUCACAUUAACGGGUAUUUAUACAUGAACAGGUUAGAGCUAUACCUAAAUUGGAAUGUUAUUUUAUUAGUCAUUGGACAAACAAAUAAUCCAUUAACUAGCUAAAUCCUGUGAUGCGACAAAAUACUAUUAUUAACGUGUACUCGACAUGACCACGAGGUUACCACAAUUAGAACAUGAUCAAAUGUAUCUGCUAUGCAUACACAAUGAAUACAUACUCGCUCACGAUUCAGUACGAUGGGAUCUCAUGUGGCCACAAUCCAUCUCAUCCACGAACUAGUCCUGCGCGACGUGCAAAGGCGUGAGCAGCUACGCCGGGGCUGCUCGAACCGCGCUGGUCGAGCGAAGAUGUCGCGAGCCAUGCCGGGGCCGCUCCUGGGCGAGCCGUGGGCACGCGAGCCACACCUCGCACGAGGGGAGCUUGGCCACGCUGCACGCCAGGGGAGGCCACGGCUGGGCCGUGCGGGGCCGUGCCGAGCCGCCGCGCAGGCAGGCCGUGCCGAGCCGCCGCGCAGGCCACGCGGGAUGGCUACCGUGCCGCCGCGCCGACUGGCCGCCGGGCUGCGCGUUAGAGGGCCGCGCCCAGGCCGCCCGCGCCAAGGUCGCGCCCGCGCCGAGGCCACGCGCGCAGGGGCCACAUUGCCCGCGCCGGAGCCGCCGUGGCCGAGGCCGCCUGCCCGGCCGAGAUCGACGCGCGCCCAUGCCGCCGGGGCUGGCUGGGGGCCGCGCCCGCGAGCCGUGCGGCCGCCGGGCUGCGCCCGCCACCGGGGCCGAUGCCCGUCGCGCGCGCCCGUUCGCCGCGGGGCCGAGACCGCCGCGCGCCUGCUCGCCGAGCCGGGGACGCGUGCUCGCGCCAGGGGGUCGUGCCCAGGCCGCCCGCGCCGGGCCGCCGGGGCCGCCGUGCCGGCGAGGCCGAGCCCUUGCCGCGGCUGCGGCUGCGCCCUGGCCACUGCGCGCUGGCGAGCCGCGCCGGGCCGUAGCGACGCCGCUGCAGGGGGGGCGGGGAGAGGGAGGGGCGGGGGAAGGGGAGGGCGAGGGCGAGCAGUGUCGAGGGAGAGAGGGACGUGCGCGGGAUCGGGGAGGGAGAGAAGGAGGUAGGGGAAAGGGGGUGGGGCUGACGAGCGGGCCUCACCAGGGGGGUGGCGGCAGCGGCGGCUGGGGGAGGUGCGCGGCCUAGGGUUAAGGGGGUGGGGCUGCUGCACGCGAGAUGGGCCAGGUGGGCCGCGCGGGGGAGGGGGCGGCUGGGCCGCCGAGCCAGCCGGCCCAAGGGGAAAGGAGGGGGGCUGCUGGGCCUGCCAAAGAGCCGGCCCAAGAGAGAAGGGGGGCUCCUUUCUAUUUUCCAUUUUCUUUAUCUUUUGUUCUUUCCUAUUUUCUUCACGAUGUUAAAUUGAAUUCCUCAUUAAACCCAUGCUCCACAAAAUCACUCAUCAAACAAAGUGAAAGUAUACGCCAGCAUGAUGCGACAAUCAAAGCGCUCAUAGGGUUUUAAUUUACUAGGCUUACACGUAGAUAUAAUACAAAAUAAUUCCCCACUAUUUAGGGAAAAGAAAAGAAAGAUCAAGGAAAAGAGAGGGUAACACCUGAAUUUGGUGGAUAUUGGAAAAGAAAUUUUAUAUCCCCAAAUUCAGGGUGUUACACCUCGAAGGAGUGGUUUGACUCCUCUGAGGUCUUAAUGCCUUUCGUGAUGCCUCGGCCGGCCUGGUUGUUCCCUCAUGCGGCCUGGCCAUAGCCCGGGUGCAUGGUCAGGUUCUGAGUUUUUAGGCUGGUUUGUUGACGCUGUCAACGGUUUGGCCGUAGCCGGGUUUGCGAGAGCAGCCCCCGAGCCUCUGCACAGAGCGAGAGGACGAUCAAGGACUGUCUCGACUUUUAUUAUACGCCCCUUCAUCGCCUUUUCGCAAGGAGGAAGGGGGAGAAAGCGCCAUGUUGCCCUCCGAGAGCGCCGAACAUGGUGUCUCCAGUGAGUUGCUAACGGGUGAUCCGAGUGGACGCUCGUGCCCCGUUCGAUAAGGGUUGGCUAGUGGCCCAGAGGCGCGCUCCAAAAGUACCUGCAGGUGAUUUGCCGGACCCGAACCCGUUCGAUAGGGUCCGAGGGCUCGAUGCCUCCCUCUGAUGGGAUUCCGUUACAAAAUCGCUCCUGUUGGUCUUGGAAAUGUCCUAGGGUACCUCGGGAGCGUAGCCCGAGCCUCAGCCAUGUAACGGACAUACCCAGAGUCAUCCCUCGCUCUGCGUGCUCUUGGGCAGCUGUCGAACCCUUCCGAGGGGCCAGCCUUUGAACCCCUGAUCAGUAGUGGGCGCGGAGCCCGAGUGCUCUGGGCGGCUGUCGAACCCUUCCGAGGGGCCAGCCUUCGAACCCCUGAUCAGUAAUGGGCUUGAAGCCCGAGUGCUCUAGGGCGGCUGUCGAACCCUUCUGAGGGCCAGCCUUCGAACCCCUGAUCAGUAGGAGGGCUCGGGGCCCGCUUCCUUCGUGGAGAAGGAUCCUUUUCGAAAUAUCCCCUUUCCCGGUCCCUGUAGCAAGAGAGAGAAAGGGGAAGAGGAAAAGGAUAUGAAUUUAAAUGGUGUGACGCACCUUUUUUGACGCGAUUGUUAUGGCGGAGGUGAAACGACGCCUGCUUCGCCUGCCAAAGGUGUUGCUUGCCCUGCCGAGGAGUUAAUGCGACGGGACGGGCGAUUCGCGGGGUGGCCGCGUGCACGAGUCGUUCGAGGAACAGAACACGGGCACGUCGUCUUCACGCCGUGAGAGAGGGCUCCCCUUGCUGCUUCAGGAGGGGAUGCGAGCCUACAGACGAUUUGACCGCUGCUUCCGCUCGUCUGCUGCCGCCAUUACUGUCGGUCCACUUUUGGCCAUAUCAACCGUCGCGCCUCCUCCCACAGCUGACUGACCCGUGAUCGUUGCACUCAAUUGGCACCGUUGGGUCGCGCGCAGGGCUGCCUCGAGUCGCGACACCGAUUCUGCAGUCGAGAAGGCGCGGCAUUGGCGCAAGUGGCGGUGCGGUUCCUUGCACGUAGUAACCGGCGCGCCGAUUACAUGACGUGUGGGCCUGGGCCUCCAUGCCGGAUGCGACGAAGCCGAAGAGGUGCGCCACUGCGGUGCGGUUGCAUGCCACCUGCAUGGCGGUCCGCCCUUUCGACCGCUGGUUUCGGCGAGGAUGGAGGAGUGCUUGUAACCACGGGGCGGUUACAUGCUCCGUGCGCGGCGGUUUGGCUUCUUCCGUUUCGGGUCAGUUUGCAUGACGUGUGGGACCUAGCCCCGUGUCGUUGGGGGGGACCCCGGAGCACGUUGGUGAAGACUUUGCCCGUUAUGCUUGAGGAUGCGAGUGGGGAGAGCCGCCUUUAAAAAGGGAUCGAUCCUUCGGGCGGUAACCAUGCCUUCGCACUCCCCUCAUGCAUCGCGCCCUUCCACCUUCCGAGCCCCCGGAUGGGGAGCGCCCGCGUUGCCUUCGUCUUGCUGCUGUUGGAGGACCGGACCUCUCGGGGGUUGGUGCCCUUCAGCCAUUGCUCGGCUUCAAGGAUUUUCAUCAUGCAGCUCGGCUGCAUUCCCCCACCAAUGAUCAUCCAGGAUGAUGACCACCAGUUUGGUGGUUGGGAGAAGCAAGCCGGGCUGCGGCCUCUGCCUCGCCCUCAGCUUCAAGGAUCUUCAUCAUCCUCGCUGUGGAGGAGGGCGGGGCGAGUCGGGGCCUGCCUCCGCGUGGGCCGGCGGCCCGCUUCUUCCUCCGGCAUUCGGGGGAGAAAGGCAUCCUCCAGCUCUAUGGAGGAGGCGUCCUCCAGCCAUGCGGGGGAAGGCGAACUGCUGCUGCUUGGACAGGGUGCAGCUGUCCGUCCUCCACCCCGGGCGACGGUCGUGCCGUGCGCGGGCCAGCCACGUCCAGGUCCUCCCUACGCCGUCGGCUGCACAACACGUCAUACUCCACGAGGGCGGUACUCAUGUUCUGGGACGGUCCCGUUCUUGUUCUUGUGGCGAGAACGGGAGUGAGGACCUGCCGGUGCGCUUUGGGGCGGCCGCCGCUCGCUGGUGCGGUGUUGGUGGGCAGGUGGCCGCUGUCGUCGGUGCCGAGGUGGUGGUCGCCAGAGGAGGUUUCUCCGCCGACGAGAUCGUCGGCGCCACCCGUGGUCAGACCCCCGGCUCUUUGGCUUUGAUGGCUUGUCCUCGCCCCUCGUGUGGGGACGUGGGCGAGGGCCUUUCCACAGUAGCGUCUGCCCUGAGGUUAUCGCUGCUGCUGUUUAGCCGCCCGAAGCGGAGGUCGUUGUCGCUGCUGGUGCAGUGGUUGCCGGCGAGCCACCUGGAGUUUGUUGUCCCGCAGGCCCUCUGGUGUGGAGGUUGUUCAUACCCGCGGGAGUGGAACCGGAGUUUCGUUUGUAAUGGCACCCUGAGUAUGGGUGUUUGUUCAUUGUGGCUGUCGAGGCCUGAAUAUCUGGGUAUUUGGGCGUGAAGCCGUGUUUCUUCCUUAUUUCGAGCACUAGGACUCGCCUGUCGGCUAGCUGAACCGCUUAACCGAGUGUGAGUUGCCUUGCGCGGAAGGUGACGAGUGAGGUAUCCAUAUCCCGAAGGCGUAGGAGUCCCUCGGCUCGGUCGGCCUUGCCACUCAAGGCCUCUCUUGCUCAAUUUUAGAACCUUCGGCCACUCUACGAUGAGCUGGAGCCGGAGGCAGCGGUGUCAGCGUGGACAGAGGCGGAGUCGGCUCGAAAAGAGGCUUUGUCGGCCUGGGAGCAGGUAGCUUCCUAGGCCGAGGAGGUGCAGCAGCGGCGGCUAGAGCUUGGCCACGUCAUCCGCGAGCGGGACCAACCUCGGAGUCAUGCUGCCGAGGCCGUGAGCCGGGCUGAGGUCCUCGGGGGACAGCUGGCUGAGGCUACGGAGUGGCCAACUGAGGUGUCUGCUCGGGCCGGGGCCCUAGCGGAGACCCGGGCUGCGAUGGCCCGAGCGCGGUGCUGGUGUCCUCCUUCGAGGUGGAGAUCCUUCCGCCCGUGUCGCCUUCCGAGGCUAGGCCAGAUUUCGCCGAAGGUGGAAACAACGCCGAGGGUGCUGCUGCUCCCUCUGUCGAUGUCUGAACCUGCAGGAAUAGUCCAGCUGUCUGUAGUAUGCGUAUGUUUUUUUGCGGCCGCCGAGCCCUAAACAUCUUAUUGUCGUAUUAUAAAGCUACGUUUCCUUUCCUCUUGUUUUGAGUAUCAGGACUUGUUCGUCGGUAGCAGAAUCGCUUAUCCGAGCGAGAGUUACUUUUCGCGAAAGGUGAUGAGUGAGGUAUCCGUAUCCCGGAGGCGUAGGAGUCCCUCGGCUCGGUCGGCCUUGCCGCUUACGUGCACUCUUACUCGUUCACAGGAUUCUGUUAUCGAUAUAGUCGAGAAGGCACAAAAAUCAUUCUGGUAGAAAAGACUUUUUCCGAGGAAAAAUUUAACGCAGAGGGGGUUCCCCCCUUCUAGCCCCCGAGGGAGGGUCGAGCUUUGCCGAGGCAAGGCUGACCCUUCCUUGACGGUUAGACUUUAUUUGUGUAUGUAAAGAGAACGAGGUAUAUGAACGACUUGAAACAUCUUAAGGGUAGAAGCGACGUAGCUGUUUGAUGUUCCAAGCAUUGCUGUAGACCUCGCCUUGAUUGUUGGCCAGCUUGUAUGUUUCGGGCUUCAAAAUCUUGGCGAUGAUGAACGGCCCUUCCCAGGGAGGAGUAAGCUUGUGGCGCCCUCGGGCGUCCUGCCGCAGCCGAAGUACCAAGUCUCCCACCUGGAAGCCUCGGGGCCGAACCCCUCGGGCGUGGUAGCGUCGCAGAGACUGCUGAUACCGCGCCGAGUGUAGUAAGGCCACAUCCCGAGCCUCUUCGAGCUGGUCCAGUGAGUCUUCUCAGCUGGCCUGGUUGCUUUGGUCGUCGUACGCCUUUGUCCUUGGGGAACCGUAUUCUAAGUCUGUGGGUAAGAUAGCCUCGGCCCCAUAGACUAGAAAGAACAGCGAGAAACCCGUGGCUCGGCUUGGCGUCGUCCUCAGACUCCAGACCACCGAGGGUAGCUCUUUCAUCCAUCGCUUGCCAAACUUGUUGAGGUCGUUGUAGAUCCUCGGUUUAAGUCCCUGCAAAAUCAUACCGUUGGCACGCUCCACCUGCCCAUUCGUCAUGGGGCGAGCUACGGCGGCCCAGUCCACACGGAUGUGGUGGUCCUCGCAGAAGUCCAGGAACUUCUUCCCAGUGAACAACGUGCCAUUGUUGGUGAUGAUGGAGUUUGGGACCCCAAAGCGAUGGAUGAUGUUUCUGAAGAACGCCACCGCCUGCUCGGACCUGAUGCUGGUUAGGGGUUGGACCUCGAUCCACUUGGAGAAUUUGUCGAUGGCGACCAGCAGGUGCGAGAAGCCCCCGGGUGCCUUCUGCAAGGGACCAACGAGGUCCAGACCCCACACAGCAAACGACCAGGUGAUGGGUAUUGUCUGCAGGGCCUGAGCGGGCAGGUGCGUCUGUCUCGCGUAGAAUUGACACCCUUGGCAGGAGCGUACAAUCCUAGUGGCGUCGGCCACCGCGGUCGGCCAGUAGAAGCCUUGUCAGAAGGCGUUCCCCACGAGGGCUCGAGGUGCUGCAUGGUGACCGCAAGCCCCCGAGUGUAUUUCUUGCAAUAGCUCCUAUCCUUUGGUGACGGAUAUGCAUCGUUGGAGAAUGCCUGAGGGGCUACGGUGGUAGAGCUCCUUUUCAUCACCCAGUAAGACGAACGACUUGGCGCGCCGCGCCAGUCGCCGAGCUUCGGCCUUGUCGAGGGGUAGCUCUCCUCGGAGGAGAUAUUCCAGGUACGGGGCCUGCCAGUUCGGGUUAGGCGUGACCCCAUUCCACUCUCUCUCGACGCGUAGGGCCUCACCCUCGGCGGCCGAGGAUACCUUAGGCUGGGCCGAGGCCUCCUCGGGCUCGAGCGUGUCGUCGAUCUUGACGUAGGGUUGAUGUAUGUCUCUGGAGAAGACAUCCGGGGGAACCGUUGUCCGCCCCGAGGCUAUUUUAGCCAGCUCAUCCGCAGUCUCGUUGUACCGUCGAGCGAUAUGGUUGAGUUCCAGCCCGUAGAACUUGUCUUCCAGGCGCCGAACUUCGUCGCAGUAGGCCUCCAUCUUCCGGUCGCGGCAGUGGGAGCUCUUCAUGACUUGGUCAAUGACAAGCUGCGAGUCGCCACGAGCAUCGAGGCGCCGAACCCCUAGCUCGAUGGCGAUGCGCAACCCGUUAACCAGAGCCUCGUACUCGGCCACGUUGUUUGACGCCGGGAAAUGGAGGCGCAGCACGUAGCGGAGAUGUUUCCCUAGGGGUGAGAUGAAGAGCAGACCAGCAUCUGCUCCUGUUUUCAUCAGCGACCCAUCGAAGUACAUGGUCCAAAGUUCCGGUUGGAUCGGAGCUGUUGGCAAUUGGGUGUCGACCCAUUCCGCCAAGAAAUCUGCCAAGACUUGGGAUUUUAUGGCCUUCCGAGGGACGAAUGAGAGUGUUUCGCCCAUGAGCUCCACUGCCCACUUUGCUAUCCUACCAGAGGCCUCUCAGCACUGGAUGAUCUCCCCCAGGGGGAAGGAUGACACCACAGUCACUAGAUGAGACUCGAAGUAGUGUCGCAACUUUCGUCGUGUCAGAAUUACUGCGUAAAGUAGCUUCCGAAUUUGCGGGUAGCGGAUCUUGGUCUCGGAUAGCACUUCACUGAUGAAGUAGACCAGCCUCUGGACGAGUAGUGUAUGCCCUUCUUCUCGUCUCUCAACUACGAUCACGGCGCUGACCACCUGAGUGGUUGCGGCUACGUAGAUCAAGAGGGCUUCUCCUGCAGCGGGGGGCACCAAGAUGGGCGCAUUUGUAAGGAGUGCCUUUAAGUUUCCGAGGGCUUCCUCGGCCUCGGGGGUCCAAGUGAAGCGCUCGGUCUUCCUUAAGAGGCGGUACAAGGGCAGCCCUCUUUCGCCAAGGCACGAGAUGAAGCGGCUCAGAGCCGCAAGGCAUCCCAUGACCCUCUGUACUCCUUUCAAAUCCUUGAUCGGCCCCAUGUUGGUGAUGGCCGCGAUUUUCUCCGGGUUGGCCUUGAUGCCUCGCUCGGAGACGAUGAACCCCAGGAGCAUGCCUCGGGGUACUCCGAAGACACACUUCUCGGGAUUGAGCUUCACGCCCUUCGCUCUUAGACACUUGAAUGUCGUUUCAAGGUCUGAGAGGAGGUCGGAGGCUUUCCUCGUCUUGACAACGAUGUCAUCGACGUAAGCCUCGACCGUUCGGUCGAUGUGCUCUCCGAACACGUGGUUCAUGCACCUUUAGUAUGUCGCACCUGCAUUCCUCAAGCCAAAUGGCAUAGUAGUAUAACAAUACAUGCCAAAAGGUGUGAUGAAAGAAGUCGCGAGCUGGUCGGAUUCUUUCAUCUUGAUUUGGUGAUAACCUGAAUAGGCGUCGAGGAAUGACAGGGUUUCGCACCCAGCAGUGGAGUCCACAAUUUGGUCGAUGCGAGGCAGAGGGUAGGGAACCUUCAGACAUGCUUUGUUUAGACCAGUGUAGUCUACGCACAUCCUCCACUUCCCACCUUUCUUCUUUACAAGCACAGGGUUAGCUAGCCAUUCGGGAUGGAAUACCUCUUUGAUGAACCCUGCGGCCAUCAGCUUGUGGAUCUCCUCGCCUAUGGCCCUGCGCUUCUCUUCAUCAAAGCGGCGUAGGUGCUGCUUCACGGGUCGGGCUCCAGCUCGGAUAUCCAGCGAGUGCUCGGCGACAUCCCUCGGUAUGCCCGGCAUGUCCGAGGGACUCCACGCAAAAAUUUCGGUAUUUGCGCGGAGAAAGUCGACGAGCACUGCUUCCUAUUUGGGGUAGAGCUCGGAGCCGAUCCGAACCUUCUUGUCGGCGUCGUUGCUGGGGUCGAGAGGGACGGACUUAACCGCCUCAGCUGGUUCGAAGUUGCCAGUGUGGCGCUUCGCAUCAGGCACCUCCUUGGAGAGGCACUCUAGGUCGGCGAUGAGGGCCUCGGACUCGGCGAGGGCCUCAGCAUACUCCACGCACUCCACGUCGCAUUCGUACACGUGUCGGUACGUGGAUCCGACGGUGAUGACCCCGUUGGGGCCUGCAUCUUGAGCUUGAGGUAGGUGUAGUUGGGGACGGCCAUGAACUUGGCGUAGCACGGUCUCCCUAGCACCGCGUGGUAGGUUCCUCGGAACCCGGCCACCUCAAACGUGAGGGUUUCCUUUCAGAAGUUGGAGGGAGUUUCGAAGAAGACGGGCAGAUCGAGUUGUCCAAGGGGCAGGACGCGCUUCCCGGGGAUGAUCCCGUGAAAGGGCGCCGCACCAGCCCGGAUCGUGGAUAGAUCGAUCCCCAAGAGCCCGAGGGUCCUGGGGUAGAUGAUGUUGAGGCUGCUGCCUCCGUCCAUGAGGACCUUGGUGAGCCUGGCGUUGCUGAUGACGGGGUCGACGACGAGCGGGUACUUUCCUGGGCUCGGCACGCAGUCGGGGUGGUCGCCUUGGUCGAAGGUGAUGGGCUUGUCGGACCAGUCUAGGUAGACUGGUGCCGCCACCUUUACUGAGCAGACCUCCCGGCGCUCCUGCUUGCGGUGCCGAGCUGAGGCGUUCGCCACUUGCCCACCGUAGAUCAUGAAACAACCGUGGACCUUGGGGAACUCCUCUGCCUUGUCGCCCUCCUUCUUGUCGUUGUCUUGGCCUUUGCCAUCUCCCGCCGGGGACCCGGCUUUAUGGAAGUAGCGCCGAAGCAUGACGCAUUCCUCAAGGGUGUGCUUGACGAGGCCCUGGUGAUAGGGGCACGACUCCUUAAGCAUCUUGUCGAACAGGUUGGCCCCUCCAGGAGGCUUCCGAGGGUUCCUGUGCUCGGCGGCAGCGACAAGAUCUGCAUCGGUGGCGUCGCGCUUCGCUUGCGACUUCUUCUUGGCCUUCUUCUUUGUGCCACGCUGGGCGGAUGCCUCGGGGACAUCUUCAUGCUGGCGUCCCUGAGGCUGCUUGUCCUUCCGGAAGAUGGCUUCGACCGCCUCCUGACCAGAGGCGAACUUGGUGGCGAUGUCCAUCAACUCGCUCGCCUUGGUGGGAGUCUUGCGGCCCAGCUUGCUCACCAGGUCGCGGCAAGUGGUGCCGGCGAGGAAUGCCCCGAUGACAUCCGAGUCGGUGAUGUUGGGCAGCUCGGUGCGCUGCUUUGAAAAUCGUCGAAUGUACUCUCGCAGGGAUUCCCCCGGCUGCUGGCGGCAGCUUCGGAGAUCCCAAGAGUUCCCAGGGCGCACGUACGUGCCCUGGAAGUUUCCAGCGAAGGCCUUGACCAGAUCAUCCCAGUUAGAGAUCUGCGCAGGAGGCAGAUGCUCCAGCCAGGCUCAGGCGGCAUCAGAGAGGAACAGGGGGAGGUUGCGGAUGAUGAGGUUGUCGUCAUCCGUUCCACCCAGCUGGCAGGCCAGCCGGUAGUCCGCAAGCCACAACUCCGGUCUUGUUUCCCCCGAGUACUUGGUGAUGGUAGUCGGGGCUCGGAACUGGGUCGGGAACGGCGCCUGUCGUAUGGCCCGGCUGAAGGCUUGCGGACCCGGUGGUUCGGGCGAGGGGCUCCGAUACUCCUCUUCUCGUCGAGGCAGGCUCAACGGUCGCGGUGGUGGCGCUCGUUGCCGAGGCGAUCCGGGGCUGCAGGCGUCGCGUCCCGCGUGCGCCUGGUGUAGACCGAGGCUUCCCGCAUGAGUCGGGAAAUCGCUGCGCGAUGCUCCGGGGGGAACCCUUGCCUUCAGGAGGCAGAGCUCUUGGCCCGUUGGACCACGACAUCCUCCAGGAGAUUCUUGAGUUCUCCCUGGAUACGCUGACCCUCGGUGGUGGAUGACUUCGGCAUUGCUCGGAGUAGUAUCGCCGUUGUAGCCAGAUUCUGGCCGACCCCGCUAGAGGCAGCCUUGCCCUGGCAUCGUCAACGAUACGGCGCUGGACGUCCCGGGCCCGAUGACACGCUUCUCCGGCGAGUGCUCGGCCUGCCCACUCCUACUCGAUGUUUUACCGGAGCUGCACAAGUUGCCCUGCUUCCUCGUCGAGCUUGGCCUGCAUCUCGCAGAUUUGCUCGAGCUGUGUGUCUUGACCCCCCGCAGGGACUGGGACCACAUCUAGCUCCCGCAGGAUGUCAACACGAGGCGCAGGCCCAGGGGGAUCAUCAUCCUCCGGCAUACCGAGGUGGUUGCCUUCGUCGUGACCCCCUAGAUCGACGUGGAAACAUUCGCGACUUGGGCCACAACCCUCGUCGUCAAGGAUGUGGCCAUCAUCGGAGCAAUCGGAGAGGCAGUAGUCACAUGCGGUCAUGAAGUCUCGCAUGGCACUGGGAUUACCGAGCCCGGAGAAAUCCCAACCAGAGUCGGGCUCGUCUUCUUCCUCGGAACCCGAGGGCCCAUAGGUUGAGACGGCCGUCAGUCGGUCCCAGGUUGACCACAUGUGGUACCCCGGAAGGUUAGGGUAUGCCUUUACGAAAGCGCUCACCGAAGCGGGGUCGCUUGGUGGAUCAAAGCUGAAUCUAAAAGGCACAGGGAGGAAAACGGACGGUACCUCUUGAUCGAUGGACGGUGACGAAGUCGCGUCGGGGACGGACUGCACCGUUAUCUCAGGUACGAGGCUAACGCCCAGCAAGCCCUUCGCGAGUGUGCAGGCGUCAUCUGCCCGCUUGGGGUUGGCACGUUGCGGGGAAACGACACUCGUCGUUGUCUCAGGCGCGAGGACAACACCCGACACACCCGACAAAUCAAAUUGGAAAUGAGAGGGUCGCGCGGAGGGACGAGCUGACGAACAGGCUCACUCUCUCUCUCUCUCUCUCUCUCGAACGCUUGUAACCCCUACUACGAGCACACACCCCUGGUGCGAGAUAACACGAGCCGCGUUUCCCCCUUGUGUUCCACCGGACAGUCCGGUGCUCCCAGACUGAGCAGACUUUGGCUGAACGAAUCCAUCUCAUUUCCAAUUUGAUUUUUCCUGUUUCCAGCACUUAGACACAAUACAUUAGUUUCUAAAAAAUGUACUAAGUCUGAGAAACAUACCUUUAUCCUUAAUUUGUACUUUGUCCACCAUUUUACACUUAGGCACUUGUGUUGGACACUAAAUCACCAAAAUACUUAGAAAUGGCCCAAGGGCACAUUUCCCUUUCAAUCUCCCCCUUUUUGGUGAUUUAUGCCAACACAAUAUAAAGCAAGUAGAACAAAUACAAAAUCAAUUCAAAUAAGAACUCAAAUUGUUUUGAUUCAAAUUUGACAUAUAUGGAUCACUCUUUGCCACCACUUGGUUUGUUUUUGCAAAUCAAACUCAACUUUCUAUCUCUAAGUCAAACACACAUGUUAAGACAUAAAGAGAGUCAUUCCAAGAGAAAUUGAUUCACGAUUUCAAAAACUCCCCUUUUCCCAUAAUCAACACUUCUCCCCAUAAUCAACACUUCACCCCACAAGAAGCCAACUUUUGACAAGAGAGACAAUAAAAGAUUUUUGACAAACUAAAAGCUCUAUUCUACUAUUUUCAAAAUCUCUCAAGUGGUAGCUGAUCCAUUUAUCACUUUGGCCUUUAUUUUCUCCCCCUUUGGCAUCAAGCACCAAAACGGGAUUAAUCUUGGCCCUAGAACCCCAUUGCCUCACCAAAAUCUUCAAUAAGAAUACGAAGGCAAUAAGAGUACAUGAGAUGAACUUGGAAUAAGUUACCCUCUCAUCGGAGUGCAGUGGAAGUCUUUCAUGGUCUAAGUCCACCUUUUCCCUUUAAAACCUCCUUUGAGACUAAAACAAGCAAACUCAAGCACAUGGUUAGUCUCAAAGGGUCAAGUUGUAGCACAACUCCCCCUAAAUAUGUGCAUUACUUGCAAAAAGGACUUGUGAGGUCCGGGGAGUGUUUGUACAACUUGAGCACCAUAAGUAAGCAACGAAAUGCAUAAGGAACAUGAUCAAGGGCAUAAACACAUGUAUGCUAUAAAUCAAUCCAGGUUCCGCGAAUCUAAGACAUUUAGCUCACUACGCAACCUGCAAAAGGUCUGCUCAUCUAGAGGCUUGGUAAAGAUAUCGGCUAGCUGGUUCUCGGAGCUAACAUGGAACACUUCGAUAUCCCCCUUUUGCUGGUGGUCUCUCAAAAAGUGAUGUCGGAUGUCAAUGUGCUUUGUGCGACUGUGUUCAACAGAAUUUUCCGCCAUGCGGAUAGCACUCUCAUUAUCACAUAGGAGUGGGACUUUGUUCAUAUUGUAGCCAAAGUCCCUGAGGGUUUGCCUCAUCCAAAGUAGUUGCGCGCAACACUGUCCUGCAGCAACAUACUCGGCCUCAGCGGUGGAUAGGGAAACGGAAGUUUGUUUCUUAGAGUUCCAUGACACCAGGGACCUUCCUAAGAAUUGGCACGUCCCCGAUGUACUCUUUCUAUCGACCUUACAUCCAGCAUAGUCGGAAUCUGAAUAUCCAAUUAAGUCAAAGGUAGACCCCUUUGGAUACCAGAUCCCGAAGCAAGGCGUAGCAACUAAAUAUCUAAGAAUUCGCUUCACCGCCACUAAGUGACACUCCUUAGGAUCGGAUUAAAAUCUAGCACACAUGCAUACACUAAGCAUAAUAUCCGGUCUACUAGCACAUAAAUAAAGUAAAGACCCUAUCAUUGACCGGUAUGCCUUUUGAUCAACGGACUUACCUCCUUUGUUGAGGUCGGUGUGUCCGUCGGUUCCCAUCGGAGUCUUUGCGGGCUUGGCGUCUUUCAUCCCAAACCGCUUUAGCAAGUCUUGCGUGUACUUCGUUUGGGAGAUGAAGGUGCCGUCCUUGAGUUGCUUCACUUGGAACCCAAGGAAGUAGUUCAACUCGCCCAUCAUUGACAUCUCGAAUUUCUGUGUCAUCACCCUGCUAAACUCUUCACAAGACUUUUGGUUAGUAGAACCAAAUAUUAUGUCAUCGACAUAAAUUUGGCACACAAACAAAUCACCAUCACAUGUCUUAGUGAAAAGAGUUGGAUCGGCUUUCCCAACCUUGAAAGCAUUAGCAAUUAAGAAAUCUCUAAGGCAUUCAUACCAUGCUCUUGGGGCUUGCUUAAGUCCAUAGAGCGCCUUAGAGAGCUUACACACGUGGUCGGGGUACCGUUCAUCCUCGAAGCCAGGGGGUUGUUCCACGUACACCUCCUCCUUGAUUGGCCCGUUGAGGAAAGCGCUCUUCACUUCCAUUUAGAACAACCUGAAAGAAUGGUGAGCGGCAUAUGCUAGCAAAAUACGAAUGGACUCUAGCCUCUCCAUAGGAGCAAAAGUCUCCUCAAAGUCCAAACCUGCGACUUGGGCAUAACCUUUUGCCACAAGUCGAGCCUUGUUCCUUGUCACCACCCCGUGCUCGUCUUGUUUGUUGCGGAACACCCACUUGGUUCCCACGAUAUUUUGCUUAGGACGAGGCACCAGCGUCCAAACUUCAUUCCUCUUGAAGUUGUUGAGCUCCUCUUGCAUGGCCAACACCCAGUCCGGAUCUAGCAAGGCCUCUUCUACCCUGAAAGGCUCAAUAGAAGAGACAAAGGAGUAAUGCUUACAAAAAUUAACCAAUCGAGAUCGAGUAGUUACUCCCUUGCUAAUAUCACCCAGAAUUUGGUCAACGGGAUGAUCCCUUUGAAUCAUAGCUCGAACUUGGGUUGGGGGUGCCGGUUGCGCUUCUUCCUCCAUUACAUGAUCAUCUUGUGCUCCCCCUUGAUCACACGCCUCCUGUUGAUGAACCUGUUCAUCGUCUUGAGCUGGGGGAUGCACCAUAGUUGAGGAAGAAGGUUGAUCUCGCUCAUUUUGUUCAUGUGGUCGCACCUCUCCAAUCGCCAUGGUGCGUAUUGCGGCCGUUGGAACGUCUUCUUCAUCUACAUCAUCAAGAUCAACAACUUGCUCUCUUGGAGAGCCAUUAGUCUCAUCAAAUACAACGUCGCUAGAGACUUCAACCAAACCCGAUGAUUUGUUGAAGACUCUAUACGCCUUUGUAUUUGAGUCAUAACCUAACAAAAAACCCUUCUACGGCUUUGGGAGCAAAUUUGGAAUUCCUACCCUUCUUCACUAGAAUGUAGCAUUUACUCCCAAAAACACGAAAGUACGAUACAUUGGGUUUGUUACCGGUCAGCAGCUCAUACGACGUCUUCUUGAGGAGGUGAUGAAGGUAGACCCUGUUGAUGGCGUGGCAAGCCGUGUUCACGGCUUCCGACCAAAAGCACUCGGGGGUCUUGAACUCUCCAAGCAUCGUCCUCGCCAUAUCGAUGAGUGUCAUGUUCUUCCUCUCUACCACACCAUUUUGUUGUGGUGUGUAGGGAGCGGAGAACUCGUGCUUGAUCCCUUCCUCCUCAAGGAACUCCUCCACUUGAAGGUUCUUGAACUCGGACCCGUUGUCGCUCCUUAUCUUCUUCACCUUGAGCUCAAACUCAUUUUGAGCUCUCCUUAGGAAGCGCUUGAGGGUCCCUUGGGUUUCAGACUUAUCCUGCAAAAAGAACACCCAAGUGAAGCGGGAAAAAUCAUCAAUAAUAACUAGACCAUACUUACUUCCUCCUAUGCUUAGAUAGGCGACGGGUCCGAAGAGGUCCAUAUGUAGCAGCUCCAGGGGUCUUGAUGUGGUCAUCACAUUCUUGCUGUGAUGCGCUCCUCCCACUUGUUUACCUGCUUGACAAGCUGCACAAGGUCUAUCUUUCUUUUUCGAAAGUAACAUUGGUUAGACCUAUCACGUGUUCUCCCUUUAGAAGCUUGUGUAAGUUCUUCAUCCCCACAUGUGCUAAGCGGCGAUGCCACAGCCAGCCCAUGCUAGUCUUAGCAAUUAAGCAUGCAUCUAGACUGGCCUCCUCUUUUGCAAAAUCAACUAAAUAAAGUUUGUCGUCUAAUACACCCUUGAAAGCUAGUGAACCAUCACUUCUUCUAAAGACAGACACAUCUAUAUUUGUAAAUAGACAAUUAUAACCCAUAUUACAUAAUUGACUAACAGAUAGCAAAUUAUAUCCAAGACACUCAACUAAAAACACAUUAGAGAUAGAGUGCUCAUUUGAAAUUGCAAUCUUGCCUAAGCCUUUCACCUUGCCUUGGUUCCCAUCACCAAAUAUGAUUGAAUCUUGGGAAUCCUUAUUCUUGACGUAGGAGGUGAACAUCUUCUUCUCCCCUGUCAUAUGGUUUGUGCAUCCGCUGUCGAUAAUCCAGCUGGAACCCCCGGAUGCAUAAACCUUCUUCUCCCUUGCCAUAAGACAUGUGUGACGCUCGUUGGGGAAGAGGGAUGACUUGUUGAAGGCGGUGGCGGCAAGUCCUUCAUUGUCGGAGUCGGAUGAGGAGCAAUCCGAAUCCCACUCCUUUCCAAGAUGUGCCUCGCCCUUUGCCUUCUUGUAGUUUUUCUUCUUUUCCCACUUUCCACUCUUCUUUUCCUGGUCACUAUCAUUAUCGGGGCAAUUAGCUAUAAAAUGACCAAUCUUACCACAUUUGAAGCAGGAGCGCUUCCCCUUCAUCUUGUUCUUGUUGGGGUGCUCCUUGCGACCUUUUAGCGCCGUCUUGAAUCUCUUGAUGAUGAGGGCCAUCUCUUCAUCAUUAAGUCCGGCCGCCUCAAUUUGUGUCACCUUGCUAGGUAGCGUCUCCUUGCUUCUUGUUGCCUUGACAGCAAGGGGUUGAGGCUCAUUGAUUGGACCAUUCAAUGCGUCGUCCACGUAUCUUGCUUCCUUGAUCAUCAUUCGCCCGCUUACGAACUUUCCAAGUAUCUCCUCGGGCGUCAUCUUGGUGUACCUAUGAUUCUCACGAAUAUUGUUCACAAGAUGAGGAUCAAGGACAGUAAAAGACCUUAACAUUAGGCGGACGACGUCGUGGUCCGUCCAUCGCGUGCUUCCAUAGCUUCUUAUCUUGUUGACAAGGGUCUUGAGCCGGUUGUACGUUUGGGUUGGCUCUUCUCCCCUUAUCAUCGCGAAUCUCCCGAGUUCGCCCUCCACCAACUCCAUCUUGGUGAGCAUUGUGACGUCGUUCCCCUCAUGAGAGAUUUUGAGGGUAUCCCAAAUUUGCUUGGCGUUAUCCAAGCCGCUCACUUUGUGAUAUUCAUCCCUGCACAAUGAAGCUAGAAGAACAGUAGUAGCUUGUGCAUUCUUAUGAAUUUGCUCAUUAAUGAACAUGGGACUAUCCGUACUAUCAAAGUGCAUUCCACUCUCUACAAUCUCCCAUAUACUAGGAUGGAGAGAGAACAAGUGACUACGCAUUUUGUGACUCCAAAAACCGUAGUCCUCUCCAUCAAAAUGAGGAGGUUUACCAAGUGGAAUGGAUAAUAAAUGAGCAUUUGUACUUUGAGGAAUACGAGAGUAAUCAAAAGAAAAGUUCGAAUUGACCGUUUUCUUUUUCUCGUAGUCUUCGUCGUCCUUUUGGGAAGAGGAAGAUUCGUCACUAUCGUAGUAGACGAUCUCCUUGAUGCGCCUUGUCUUCUUCUUCUUCCCGUCUUUGCGCUUGUGGCCCGAGCCCGAGUCGGUAGGCUUGUCAUCCUUCGGCUCGUUGAAGAUAGACUCCUUCUCGUUGUUGUUGACCACCAUCCCUUUUCCCUUAGGAUCCAUCUCUUCGGGCGAUUAGUCCCUUCUUGAAGAGAACGACUCCGAUACCAAUUGAGAGCACCUAGAGGGGGGGUGAAUAGGUGAUCCUGUAAAACUUGAAACUUAACUCACAAAAACUUGAUUAGGAGUUAGCACAAAUAAUGCCAAGUGACUAGAGAGGAGUCUCAACAAAACACAAUAACCACAAGAGAUCAAUCACAGAGAUGGCACAGUGGUUUAUCCCGUGGUUCGGUUAAGACCAAUGCUUGCCUACUCCACGUUGUGGCGUCCCAACGGACGAGGGUUGCAAUCAACCCCUCUCAAGCGGUCCAAAGACCCACUUGAAUACCACGGUGUUUUGCUUGCUUCACUAUAUCCCGUUUGCGAGGAAUCUCCACACUUUGGAGCCUCUCGCCCUUACACUUAGAUGAUCACAAAGAAGCACGGAGUAAGGGGGAAUAAGCAACACACUCAAGACAAGAAAUCACAGCAACACCACGCACACAAGUCGCAACAAGAGCUCACAACACAACUCAAUAAGUUCACAACUCAACUAGAGCUCUAAUUGCUAUCGCAAAGAAUCAAAGGCGCGGAAUCGAUGUCUUAAUGCUUAGGAAUGCUUAGGAGAUGCUUGGUGUAGUCCUACUUGCCUAGGGGUCCCUUUUAUAGCCCCAAGGCAGCUAGGAGCCGUUGAGAGCAAUCUAGGAAGGCAAUUCUUGCCUUCUGUCGCCUGGCGCACCGGACAGUCCGGUGCACACCGGACAGUGUCCGGUGCCCGAUUUCUUUCCUUCUACGGCGAAGCCGACCGUUGGCAGCCAGAGAGCCGUUGGCGCACCGGACAUGUCCGGUGCACACCGGACAGUCCGGUGCCCCCUUCUAGCCGUUGGCUCAGCCACGUGUCCCGCGUAGAUUGCGCGGCCGACCGUUGGCCCGGCCGACCGUUGGCUCACCGGAUAGUCCGGUGCACACCGGACAGUCCGGUGAAUUAUAGUCGUACGUCGCCGGUAAAUUCUCGAGAGCGGCCAGUUCGCUCGAGCCACCACCGGACAGUCCGGUGCUCCCAGACUGAGCAGACUUUGGCUGAACGAAUCCAUCUCAUUUCCAAUUCGAUUUUUCCUGUUUCCAGCACUUAGACACAAUACAUUAGUUUCUAAAACAAUGUACUAAGUCUGAGAAACAUACCUUUAUCCUUGAUUUGUACUUUGUCCACCAUUUUACACUUAGGCACUUGUGUUGGACACUAAAUCACCAAAAUACUUAGAAAUGGCCCAAGGGCACAUUUCCCUUUCAGUGCUCUCGAACAGUAUCACCUUGCUAGCCGAAAAAGGUCAAGCGUUCGAGUGAGCUACAAAAAGGGUAGGUUUCCUUUUCAACUUAUACCCUUCUCCACAUUUUGGCUAAGAUAAAGUGUAGUAUAUGUAUUUUAAUAUCUGAUAUGUAGACCAUAUAUCCGCAUUAAUUUUAUUUUUUAUGAGAAGGGUCGACUUUAAUUUUGAUUUUUUGGAGGGUCCAGCAUAUCCGAACCCUUGUGUGUCGUAUAGAUUAAAUAUAAUUGGUGUGUCGUUGCAACGCACGGGAAUUGUACUCACUUCUUAGACUUUGUUUUUGUGGUUUUCAUAUUGUAUUGUAAAUUGAUUUUUUGUAUUAGUUUAAUUCUUCAUUGGUUAUUGCAAGAGAGUUUAUAAGAUUGAGAUCGAUAAUAUUAUAUGUUAUUUGCUUUAUGUAAUCAUUGUGCACUGAUAUUUUGUAUGUUGUUGCAACGCACGAGCACUUGACUAGUUUGUAUAUAUAUUUAUGUACGUGCAUGUUGGUUUUCAGUGGUCUACUUGGCUGGAUGCAAAAUAUGACCAACAGACAUUAUCAGUGGUCAGCAUUUGUACGAGCUCAAAUAAGUUACAUGGUUAAGUUACAUGGUUACGGUAGCAAUCACACUUAAGUUACAUGGUGAUCUAUUCAUAAUGUUAUAUGCUAGUAUGUUCUUCUUUGCAUUUCCCAUUACCGGGAAAUUGAGAAGGAAAAGUUUGAUGUUAAUAGCCCUUCAUGAUACCUCUUUGCAAAUAACAUGGAAUCACAACUGCUUCUUAGCCAACUUUCUGUUAUGCUCCAGAGCAGGGUAAACUCUCUGAUACUGCAAGAUAGCCCAAACAAGGUGCCUAAAGGAGAACUCGGGCCACAAAGGAUCUGGAUUCUGCAAGUGACUAAACGUUGUCUGCCAAAGGAGGAAAUUGCUCAAUCGAGUCUCGCCCGAAGUCCGGAUGACGAUAUCAGGAUCUGGGCAUCCGGCACUAUACAUGUG
This 266318-nucleotide long non-coding RNA is filed under the name Zea mays. Its description in RNAcentral is "long non-coding RNA (ZMAY_LNC005228)". The stretch from base 217589 to 217661 matches the Rfam family "tRNA". The record is from RNAcentral. Lineage: Eukaryota; Viridiplantae; Streptophyta; Magnoliopsida; Poales; Poaceae.